This 203628-nucleotide long non-coding RNA is filed under the name Sorghum bicolor (sorghum). Its description in RNAcentral is "long non-coding RNA (SBIC_LNC000848)". The stretch from base 72470 to 72576 matches the Rfam family "Plant small nucleolar RNA R71". Lineage: Eukaryota; Viridiplantae; Streptophyta; Magnoliopsida; Poales; Poaceae. The record is from RNAcentral.
AUACGCUAAGUUUCCCAAAGGGAAUAUUGAAGAACCUCUACGUCCGAGUUGGUACCUUGUACGACCCAGCAGACUUCGUGGUGAUAGAGACCGGUUCUGAUAAGAGGGCACCCGUCAUCCUAGGGAGGCCAUUCUUGAACACUUCAGGAGCUGUCAUCUACGCUAAUGCUGCCAAGAUCAGUUUCUACAUCAAAGGGAGGAAGGAGACGUUUUCCUUCAAGAACAAGACUACACAAAUCUCAAAGCAAUCCCGACAUGAACCAAGGAAGAGGAUCAACAGGGGGAACAGGAACAAGCAAAUGUGGACUGAGUCAGCUAAGAUGGUCACUGCAGCUCAAGGAGGUCAAGAUCGUCAACUCAAGUCACCUUUCUUGAUCAAGAAGGACGACCCUGGUGUUCCAAGCAUCGAGUGCACAAUCAACGGAUAUUCUUUUCAGAAGACACUCUACAACACCGGAUCUGACGUCAACAUAAUGGCCGCAGUCACUUAUCAGCUCCUGCAUAGAACCAUGCCCCUACAACCAACAUACAUUCAGCUCCAGAUGAUUUUAAGGUUAUUGACAUGGGAGAAGACGAGUACAAUCCACCCAUCACCAUUGGGAGACUGUUCCUCAGCACCGUUAAAGCAAUCAUCUACAUUGGAACCGGCGGAGUCCACAUGCAUUUCCCCUCUGAGAAGGUACGCUGCUAUUUUACUGACCCUAACCAUAUAGUUGAAGACUCUAAGCAGGUCAGGACAAGAAGAAGACGACGCAACUGCAACCAGAGGAGGCAAAAUCAUCAAGGACGGAUGGGUAGACUAUGAAGGAGAAGUGGUAAGAUCUGAAGACAUACAGCUUGAACAGAACUGUCCUGAGGAGACCGUAGCACCGAGUCAGGUGUGUAGAGAGAAGUUAGUUAUACACGAAGAGGAGGCACUGCCGGAACCACCGACUACGUCAUCCAGCGAAUCCCAGGACAACUGAGAAAAUGGAGAGUCCCGUUCGGAGGACUUAAAAACGCCGAACACCUUGCCAAGAGGUAAACUUGGUAGUUAUCCUUUUCCUUUCAAUUAUUUUAAAAUAGUUUACUUAGUUAAUCAGGUCCAUACCAUCUUCAAAAGAAAAUAAAAAUGUUAAAAAUAGUAAGCCCCAUGUGAGUAUGCUCAUGGCAUAAAACCCAUAAGUACAUUCACUGUGGUGGCAUAAAAAUAAAAUAAAUAUAUUCUUGUCCUAUAAAAAUGAAAAUAUAAAAAUAAGAUUGUGAUCCUACUAAAAAGAGUGUAACAUUUAUUGAGGAGGCUCAACAUAAUAAAGGCUAGAUAUUUAUGCUAACACUUAACUAGUUUCACAACGCUUUGUUGUCUAUUUGAGCUCCACAGAAUUCAAGGAUCAAAGAAGACUAGCAGACGGAGGACAUCCUAAUCACUGUCAGGGUGCUGCUAACAUUAAAUACACCUCCGCCACCAGCUAGCUACAUCAGUAGAAAUUACGUCAAAAUCCAGCUUGGGGGAGAGCACUCAAAUUUAUCCAGCUAAGUGUUCUACUCAUGUUUAUACUUUACUCAAAUAAUAAAAAGAUGCAUAAUCAUAUAAACCCAAAUAAAGAUUUUGUGCUUAGAUAUCUUUGCUUAGUUUGCUAAAUAAAUAAAUAAAUAAAGUUUGCUAUGAACCCUCAUGAUAAGCUCUCACAUGGAAAUCAUGAAUAGUUGCUCUAUCAUGACUAGUUCUCAAAAUGGAAAUCUCUCUCAAGUUUAGGCAUUACUGUUAUUAAUUAAGAAUUGCUCUAAACCUGAACUUGUGGGAAGAGUACUUGAUCUAAUGUCUAAGUUGUUAACGGAUAUGAUAUGGGAAGGUUAAGCUGCUGUUUAUCUAUUCCUAGAGAUGCUAGAAUUCUAGAGAAUUUUAUCUUUGAAAAUCUUUAAAAUGUUGCAUGAUGAGUUCCUGUAUGAUGAGAGUUUAAAAUCCUACCACAGCCAUGUAUACAUGCUUAUUAGACUACGAACCAUACAUUUACUUUUUACUGCUUAUGAGCAUUGAGUGUGGUCAAGCUGUGUAGACCCUUAGGAGCUUGUCAUGUGGUUAAAAUCAAGAUUCAUUUGAACGUUCACUCAUACAUGCUGCUUCUACUCCAGGAGUACGCAUCCACAUAUAUCCACUCAUUUCCAUCUCCAGAACCAUCCAAAAAUAUUCUACUCCUAAUCCGAGAGAGAAUAGCCAAAAACAUUUCUGUUUUCCCCUGUGAAAUAAAUGCUCAAGUUAUUUUGUUUACUACCACUUGCUACACUAUUCUAGGAGGAUGAGUGCUCUGAAAAAAAGUGAAUACGAGGAAAUAAAAAGGGGCAAGUGCCCGGAACCUCGAAAAGAAAAAAAAGUGAGACGAGAGGUAAAAUGGACAAGUGUCCGACAGUAGAAUUAGGGAUACAUGAUACCCACCUGAGAGAAAAGAAAAAAAAAGAAAAUAUAGAGCAUCUCAUUCCCCUCAAAAAGCUUCAAAGUGCAAGAAAGGUAUGUAUCCCCUCAAAAGAGCACAAGUAGAAUUAGACUUUCACCAUUGUUAUCACCAUCAUCACCAUACACCAUUCAUUCGCCACACAUGCACAUCUUGAUUUGACUUUUUGACUUGUUCUUCUGGAUCCAUGGUUUGACUAUGCAAUAAAUGUCUUGUAAGUAUGUAUUAGCUGUCUCCCACCUAUGAGCUCUAGAUAUCAAAACCUUAUUAGAGUAGGGUGAGAGAGAAGGCAAUGCCACUAUGCCUUAUACCACAAAUACCACAUAUUUUGAGAGAAGGCAUACACCUUUACUGCCUUGGUAAGGAUCCAGAAAUACCACAAAAGAGAGACUAGAGAGAGUCAUACAAGGAAUCUCUGAGUUUUAUUUGAAAAUCUGUAAAAACUCUAGAGCUAUAGUUAAUCGAAGAACAAGAGACAUGGCGCUUGACUAGACCGUUCUAUCUUUUAACUACUCAAGAUAGAAGUGACGGUUACAAGUCCCAUGGUGAAAGGCAAAAUGAGUAAGUUUUAAAUAUUAACAGUUUACCCUAACUUAGAGAUGAGAUCUUGUUUGAACGAAUGUGUAUUUUUAAGGCAUAAAACCACUGCAGAAACUCUUGAGUCCAUCUUUGCUCAGGGACGAGCAAAGGUUAAGCUUGGGGGAGCUUGUUGACGGUCCUUAAUGCUCACAUUUAACCAUCAACAAAUCAUAGAAAAGGAUCCAUAUGCAACCAACACUCAGACUUAGGGUUUUAUCUGACAGAAUUCCACGAGUUUUGGUGUUUGUCUAUUUCUGCAGGGGGUUAUCAGGAAAUACGGAAGAAAGGCCCACACGUCGGGUUUACAUAGAGAUAUUAACGUGCCGCGCAAUUUUCUACCAUCUAGAAGACUCCAGAAGCCACGGGAAGGAAGCGGUGGCCGAGAGGACUCAGGGACAGGGCGCCCGCCCUACUUUCCUAGGCGCCCGCCCUCAACUAGAGUCCAAUCAGGACUCUCUUUCGGGAUCGUGCUCCACCGACCUAAGGGAUCAAGGAAAACUGUGCGAUUAAUGUCAGUUUGAUCCGACGGCCCAGAUUCAUCUGAAAAGACUAUAUAAGCAAGACCCCCUGGCCCCUGGAGAGCAUACCUCUUCUACAGAAUCAAAGCUAGGGUUUCAAUUCUUCAUCCAAGUAGAGAGGAUCCCUCUAGUUCUUCUAGUUCUACCUCUAGUUCAUCUAGAUCUAGUUCUAGUUCAUCUAGUUCUAGUUCUAGUUCCUCUAGUUCUAGUUCUAGUUAGUUCUAGUUGUAAUCUAGAAAAUAGGGAGAGAGAAGAGGAGAGCGGAGGAGGAGCCGGAUCUGUCGGAUCUUCCUCAACAUUAUACUUUUGCAGCAACUGGUUCGUUCUUCAUCGUUCUCCAAGUUCUUCAAUUCAUAAUUCCUGAGUUCUUUAAUUACUUUUAUUUACAUUCAAGUUAUUUAUUGGAUUCCCGCUUGCAUCAAGUGCUCUAGUCUUUAUAACGCUAGAGUAGUAAUUAAUAGAUUAGACGUGGUGUUUAGUCUUGCAAUUACCUGGAAUUGCACCCAAUCCUGCGGAUUGUUGUGGUAGCCUUAGGGUAGUGACAGCCCUAACGGUCGACGUAUUCAACCUCGUUCAGAUCGGUGUUUGUAGGACCGUAGUCAGACCUUCCUAACCCCCUUCUCAUCUCUUUCUGUGGUUAGUGCUCUGAUGUCCCGAAAUAGAUAAUCUUGAAGUAAUUCUUGAUUCUUAGAUCAACUAGAGAACUCUCAGGAAACUUCCUCUCUUCUCACCAAAAAUAAUUAUAUAGUUAUCCUUGGGCGAUCUUGGAUCUUAAUUAGUACACUCACGCUCUCUGUGGAAAAUCGAUACUCUGGAAUACUCCCGGGUGAAGGCUACAUCGGUAUCUGUGCGCUUGCGGAUUUUUCUGUUUGCGUUUAAAAUACCCAACAACCCCCAGAGCGGAAUCCCCCGAAGGGGGAACAGCCCCGAGAGCCAGGACUGUUUCCUCCGACUCCUAGGGCCUUGGCGUCUCCGCCUCCUUCGCCGGGGGAUCCGGUGUUUUCUGCCUCGUCUCCUGCCCCCCUUCCUCGUGGGGGCGCUCGCCCUCUUCGCGGUUCAAAGGGGGCGGUGACCUGGGUCUUGUUGACCCGGGGGUCGACUACGCCCCCCUCUUCACGGCCUUCAGGGGUGCAAGCCCCACUGAAGCCACCUUGUGCUUCCACCUGGAGGGGAGACGACGCGAAUUAGAAAAAAGAGAAAAACAAAAAACCAAAGAAAAGCCAAAUAGUAGCGUUUACCUCACCCAGGGGGCAGCACUCUUUUGGGAGCUCGGAGCUCCCUAGGCGCCUCCCAAAGUCCCGGGGGUCGUCGGGCGAACUCCCGUUUCCCCUGCAGAGGGCGCGGGGGCUCCGACGGUCGUCCCGGCACUCAGUGCCUCUGCCAAGCCCUCCAGCUCUGCCCUUGCCACUGGGCAGCGCUCGAUUGGGCCUUCCAACGCCACCGGCUUCGGGGGCAUCUCGGAUCCUCCGCCCGGCGCCUUUUCCCCCUCUUGGGGACCUGGGGGGAUAGACCCCCCUUGUGGGGCUCCGUCCUCCUCAUCGUCAACAAUAAUAAAGGGGGCAACUCUCACGCCCCUGGAGCCUGAGACCCCUCAGGGGCCUCUGACCCCCCUCGGGUCCUCGACCCCACUGGGACCUCGAUCCCCCCGCCGACGGGGGGGAUCACUUCAUCCUUGUAUUCUUCGUCGGCGAGCUCGUUCAGCCAGUGCGGUUCCUCCCCGCCUUCUAUCUCCGAGACCGAAGUCUCAGGAGAUUCAGACACGGGAAGACCCACCUUCUUGGCCGUGUUGACGGUCCUUAAGUAUCAAAUUUAAUUAUCAAAUAAACAAAGAAAAGGAUCCAAAUGAAAUCAACAUCUAGACUUAGGGUUUUAUCUGACAGAAUUCCACGAGUUUUGGUGUUUGUCUAUUUCUGCAGGGGGUUAUCAGGAAAUAUGAAAGAAAGGCCUGUUGACGGUCCUUAAGUAUCAAAUUUAAUUAUCAAAUAAACAAAGAAAAGGAUCCAAAUGAAAUCAACAUCUAGACUUAGGGUUUUAUUUGACAGAAUUCCACGAGUUUUGGUGUUUGUCUAUUUCUGCAGGGGGUUAUCAGGAAAUAAGGAAGAAAGGCCCACAUGUCGGGAUUACAUAGAGAUAUCAACCCACCGCACAAUUUUCUACCAUCUAGAAGACUCCAGAAGCCAUGGGAAGGAAGCGGAGCCCGAAAGGGGCCAGGCCCAGGGCGCCCGCCCUGAGGACCUGGGCGCCCGCCCCCCUCUGGACUCCGUUCUGGACUCUCUUCGCACACGACGUUCCACCGACCUAUUGGAUCCAGAAUAACAUAGUACCACCUCGCCUAUCGACCCAAAAACGCAUAGAAGGAGAGGACUAUAUAAGGAGACCCCCUCUGGCCCCUGGAGGAGACAAGAAAUUAUCAUAGAGAUUGAGGGGUGCCCUCGAAGGAAAACCUCUUCUCUAAAUAAUAUUUCUUUUUAGGCUUAGCAACCAAUGUAAAGUAGAAAUAGAUCCUCUAGUUUCUACUAGAUUGAGAGAGAUAGAGUGGAGGUGUGGAUCGGAGGAAGGCCGGCCUGUCGGUGUCUACUCCGAGUUGUACCUGCAGGAUCAAGUCUCCUAACCCGAGGCUUGCUUCUAAGAUUCUUCACUAAUUCGACUUCUAAUACUAGUAAGUUCUUGUUUUAUUGUUCUUUGGUUUAUGAGUUUACUUUAAUCCUCUUUCGGUUGAGUAUUAGAGUAAUCACUUGUUAGCGUAAACGUGGUGUUUAGGCUAGGGUACUCAUACAUAUCCCCUGACUAGCUGGACCGUGGUAGUAGCGAGGAACGUGACAUUUCCGAGUUACCUUUGCAGAUCACAUCUCGUUAGCAGGACGGGUAGGUUUAUAGGUGCGGGUCGAACAUCCUUUGUGUUGUCUAGAUUCCGUGAGCCUCCCUAAUAGAACAGUAGAUCAUCCUUACCAAGGUUAGAACGAGACUACGGUUGCAGUCUUCUCUAUACAUCACUCACAUCGAGAGACAUUCUUUGUAUCCUAAAGGGAUAGUAGCCUAGAUUUGGUUAGUCAGAUGCACCCUUUCUCCCAGUGGUAAAAAUAUAAAUACGAUAACUCUGGAUAACCUCCCGGGUGAAAUGCUCACCGAUAUCCGUGCGCUUGCGGAUCAUUUUCUAAUUGCGUUACCAAAUAUCAACAAGGCCCACACGUCGGGUUUACAUAGAGAUAUUAACGUGCCGCGCAAUUUUCUACCAUUUAGAAGACUCCAGAAGCCACGGGAACGAACGGGAGGCCGAUCGGGACCGGGGGCAGGGCGCCCGCCCAAGUCCCUUGGGUGCCCGCCCAGCUACAGUAACCAAUCAGCUUCAACUUCGCGGAUCAUGCUCCACCGACCUAAUACUUCAAGGAAAACCACACGAUCAAUGUCGGUUUGAUCCGACGGCCCAGAUUCAUCUGAAAAGACUAUAUAACCUGACCCCCUGGCCCCUGGAGGAGGCACCCCUUGAUCAUUAUUCAUAGACAGAGCAAAAGCUAGGGUUUAGAGAUGAGAGCUCUCCUCUCUUCUCUAAACUAGAGUAGAUCUAGAUAGUAGCGAGAUGGAGAGCGAAGGAGGAUUAGAGGAGAGGCCGGCCUGUCGGUUCUUCCUCCGGCUGUACUUCGUCAUGAUCAAGCUCUAAUCAAGCUUGCUCAUGGGAUGACUCUGGUAAUCUACUUCUAAUUCAUUAUGCAAUUACUAAUCAUGUAUGUUCUGGUUCACAACCCUUUUGAGUACUUCUAAUCUAUAGGACGCUAUAGGUUAGAGUUGUAGUAUAGGUGUAAGCGUGGUGCUUAGACCUAGAUUACUUGUGGAUAUCCCCUGUCUAGCUGGAUCGUGUGGUAGGCCGCGUAGGUGACAGUUACGUUGGUUCUCUGUAGUCCACCUCUCGUUAGCAGGACGGGUAGGGUUUAUCAGCCUAUGGAUAAGCAUCCUUUGUGGUGUAUUCUUAUCACGUGGUUCGUCCCAGACAUAGACAUACCCCUUUGAAGUAGAGAAACCAUAGUUAUCCUCUCUAUUCUGCUACCAUCGCCCAUAUACUAGAAUUGCUCUACUCUCUAUUCCCAUAUUAUCACUCACUGUUAUCUUACCUUUAAUAUUGUUCUUAUUCGAUUCUACCAUCUUUCCUAUUUACACUUAUUUACUUUUCUUGGUUAAGUUAGAGCGUAGAUCAGUUCUCCCGUUUCCCUGUGGAUACGAUAAAACCUUUAACCGGGUAAAAGCUUCAACGGUAUCCGUGCGCUUGCGGAUUAUCUGUGUGCGUAUAAAUACCAUAGUACAAUCUAGUGCCAUGCUGGGGAUGACAACCUAGUAUUCAAGUGGUGUUAGCAAGUGUCAACAAGCAUUUUUGGCGCCGUUGCCGGGGAAACGGUUGCUGAGUUGACUACGAACUAGCUUAAUCAUUUUCUAAAAAAAAAUAAUAAAAAAAUAUUUUCCUUUUAUCCUUUGCGUCAUCUCUGCUAAUCUUUCUUCUUAUCUAAUCCUUGAUCUCAGGUCUAUCAUGAAUUCAAACAUGUCUAUCUAUGAAUUUCAUAGACCUUCGGGCACACAUCUCGAACCACCAAAAUCUUCAAAGCCUAUGAUAGCAUCUAGUUUUGAGAUAAACCCCGAAUACAUAGAAUUUGUUCAAAAACAACCUUUCUCAGGAGAAGGUGAGAAAAACCCAUACACACACCAAAGAGAGUUUUAUCGAGUCUGUGACCUCCUUCGCAUAGAAGGAAUGUCCGAUGAGACCCUCAAAUGGAAGCUCUUUCCGUUCUCUUUAACGGGAAAAGCUAGACAUUGGUACAAACUCAAAGUAGGGAGUGUUCAUGGAGAUUGGAAGGAGUUACAUAAUAGUUUUCUUUUAAAAUAUUUUCCAAUCUCUAAAGUGGUGGAACUUCGGCGUGAGAUUAUUUCUUUCAGACAACUGGAAGAAGAAUCUCUUGGCAAAUCAUGGGACCGCUUUAUUAACCUUACUCUCACUGGCCCAAAGCUUUCUAUUCCAGAAGAAGUUCUUCUAAUUCAGUUUUUUGAGGGCCUUAGUGGGGAAAAUAAGCAAACCUUGAAUAUAGCCUCUAGAGGAUCCUUCUAUCACCUACGUGCUAGUGAAGCUUGGAAUUUGAUUGAUUUAUUAAGUGGAAAGUCUCCUAGCUUUUAUAUCCCUGAGAAAGAGACAGAACCAGUUCCUAGACAAGAAGAAGAAGUUUCGAUAGCCAGAUCACAACCACUUCAAUUCCAAACUUUAGCUAUCGAUCCUAAACCAUCAAUACCCCAAAAUUCUCCAAGGGAGGAAGGAAUUCCGACCUUAAAUCUUUCAGAUGCUGAUGGUUUAGACUUCUGGUUCCAUAAGAGACCUUCAAGCAGGGAUAAUUCAAAUCCUCGCAAUAAUGGUUCUCUUAGAGAAUGUCCUGGUUCCUGUUAUGAAGAAGCCGAGGAUGACACAUCAAGUAAAGGAGAGCUAAGCCAUAUUGAAAAUUCUAACACCUCUCCUUUCCUGAUCACAAGUUCUAAAUGGCUAGAAUGUGUAGAAUGGAUGGAUAAGGAAGAAGCCUUAAUGAAUUCUGACUUUGGUUCAAUUUCAAAUGGUGAGUUCUUGACUCCCUUUGAAGAUGGGAUUCAUCCAACUAUAGAAGAGGACAUAAGUGAGACCAAUCCAAGAGGAACUCUGAACAUUCAGAUUGGAGACGAAGAUAACAUUAAUGAGCAUGGAAUUUAUUUCAUAGCCACUUUGUUUACUCCAUGCUCAUAUGCAACAUCUUCCCAAUCUAUUGGUCUCUCCAACAUCACCACAUUUGAGAUCUCCAACCCCCUCUUCCUUUCUAUUUAUAAAAACUUUAAAAGGGCGGUUGUCGAUGCAUAUGUCUAUAAUAAAUAUUGCAGAUCCCGUUGAAUUGAUCUUGAUAUAGGUCAGCGUUGGAAGGGAAACCACUUCGCCGAUAUAAAUUGAUGGUUUCCCAAGGACAAGCUUGGUGCCCUAAAAUAAGCACUGAUCAGAUUGUAACAUAAGUUUUUAAUUAUUUGCAACAUUACCUUGUGUAUUGAGCAUAUAAGGAUAAUUGUAAAAAUAUUCCUUCGGGUAUUCUUGUCACUAACCUUUCCAGGAUUGGAGCAAGAAGAUCGGAUGAAUGACAAGCAAGUACAAGGUAUGUCCAACCAAUCAUCAUGCAACACUGAACUAAAUUCAUCCAAACUUGAAUUCUGCAGAAUUCAAGCUUGGGGGAGUACUUUACAUAAAAACAUCAUUUGCCAUGUUGCUAUGUUGGUUGUCUCUACAUUUAAGACAUGCUCAAAUUGUUAAGUACUAAUCACACUACUUCAUCUCCACUUGAGUAGAACUCUAUAAAUGCUGUCAUGUUACCUUUGUCUAUUUACUAGUAAGUGUUAGAUUGGAAGUACUGCACAUACUUCUAUUGGCUUUUAAAUUAAGCAUGGUGCUUAGGUUAAACAGCCUUCCUUAAUCUGAUUAGACAUGGAGCCUAGUUCGGUUAUUGAACUAAAAACUGCUUGUGUAGACAUUGGUAUAUUUUUGUCGAACUAACCCCUGCAGAAAAACUUUCAAUAUCGAUUUGGGAAGUCCUGAGAUAAACUCACAUCAGAGACGAAGAGAGUGACACAUGAAGUUUAACAAUUUGCACAAGAAAGACGUAGCUCAUAAGAGAUGAUCCAUGGAGGGUGCCACAAACAUGAUGCACAACCGCUAAGAAAGGAAAGCUUCCACAAGGUGAUACUGUACCGUCACUCUUCAAGUAAGGUAACACCUUAAGGUACUUGACUAUCACUUUUAUAAGCUUCUCCUUGGUUCUAGCAUUCACAUAAAUGAAGAGACAAACAUGUAUGAUUUAUAACUCCAGAUAACCAACUCAAUUAAUUCAACAUGUUUAGUCCUUUAAUCUUUGUUCCUAGUACUAUCCUCGUGAUCCCAUGCUCCUAAACAUAUAAACUAAUAUGUUGCACAUUCAAUAUUUGGAAGAUAUAAACAAAACAUAAAUAUAGAUAGAUUAUCUUUCCAUUAGGUUGAGCCAUCUGAUCUGACAAAUGUUUCAAAUACUACACUCAUGAUUUUAUUAUCCAUCAACUUUGUCUUGCUCACUAUGCUUAAGGUUAGAGAAGAACAAAUACACUUUUGGUUCUGUUGGUGUUUUCCACCAACAGAGCCCAUGCACUUGAUCUCUGCCUUGUCUCUAUGAACAGGUACACUUCAAGCAAAACAUGUAGGAGUUUUACAACUCCCAGACUCCACCAUGUGAAGGACCUGGAUCUAUGAGCACAAACACACUGAGCAGGAUAUUACCAACACCAUACUUCGAACUGCUGGGCAAAGAAGAACAUGGGUGACACCGUAUCAAGAGGUGCAGACGUCAAGGUCCACACCUAAUCAAAUGAUGCACCUAAAGGAUGAAGAUGGUGGAAAGUCUUGUCCAGAAGACUUAAAACAUUGGAUCCUUGUCGGGAGAGGUCAACAUUGUCGACUCAAGUCACCUUUCUUGAUCAAGAAGGACGACCCUGGUGUUCCAAGCAUCGAGUGCGCAAUCAAUGGAUACUCUUUUCAGAAGACACUCUACGACACUGGAUCUGACGACAACAUAAUGGCCGCAGUCACUUAUCAGCUCCUGCAUGGAACCAUGCCCCUACAACCAAUAUAUUCAGCUCCAGAUGAUUUUCAGGUCAUUGACAUGGGAGAAGACGAGUAUUGUAACGUCCCGCCUCCACGAGGCCGAGCCCGCUUACAUCUGGCUGCUUUUCUAGGACAUAGUCAGCCCCGACAGACCAACACUAGUCUUUUCUGCACACUUUGUCCUCACUCGUGCGCACCCGGGAACUAGUUCCCGGUCGGUCACCCAUCCCUAAAUUGCUCUAGGCCAAGCACGCUUAACUUUAGAGUUCUUUCGAGAUAGGCUUCCGAAAAAGAAGUUGCAACUUGUUGGUAUGAGUCUCCUAUUAAUCCUAUUAAGCAUUGGGCCAGGUGUUACAUCCUCACCCCCUUAAGAGAUCGACGUCCUCGUCGAUCAACCCCAAGCCAGGAACGUCCUCUCUUGACCACGUCCGUGCAUCCAGUGCCAGCGCAUGUGCCAUGCUGUGUGACCACUCUGGGUCCACACCAGCCAUGCACACCAUGCCUGCACAACUGCGACACACGCGCCCGUGAAACCGCGAGAGUCGGCUCUGAUACCAUUCUGUAACGUCACGCCUCCACGAGGCCGAGCCCGCUUACAUCUGGCUGCUUUUCUAGGACAUAGUCAGCCCCCACAGACCAACACUAGUCUUUUCUGCACACUUUGUCCUCACUCGUGCGCACCCGGGAACCACUUCCCGGUCGGUCACGCAUCCCUAAAUUGCUCUAGGCCAAGCACGCUUAACUUUAGAGUUCUUUCGAGAUAGGCUUCCGGAAAAGAAGUUGCAACUUGUUCGUAUGAGUCUCCUAUUAAUCCUAUUAAGCAUUGGGCCAGGUGUUACAAGUAUGAUCCACCCACCAUCCUUGGAAGACCGUUCCUCAACACUAUCAAAGCAAUCAUCUAUAUUGGAACCGGAGAAGUCCACAUGUACUUCCCCUCUGAGAAGGUACGCAACUAUUUUACUGACCAUAACUAUACAGUUGAAGACUCUAAGCAGGUCAGGACAAGAAGACGACGCAACCGCAACCAAGAGGAGGCAAAUCAUCAAGAACGGAUGGGUAGACUACGAAGGAAAAGUGAUAAGGACUGAAGUCAUACAGCUUAAACAGAACUGUCCUGAGGAGACCGUAGCACGGAGUCAGGUGUGGAGGGAGAAGAUAGUUAUACACGAAGAGAGGCACCGCCGGAAUCACCGACUACGCCACCUAGCGAAUCCCAGGACGACUGAGAAAACAGAGAGUCCCGUUCGGAGGACAUAAAAAUACCGAACGCCUUGCCAAGAGGUAAACUUGGUAGUUACCCUUUCCUUUUAAUUAUUCAAUUAUAAUUUACUUAGUUAAUCAGGUUCAUGCUAUCUUGAAAAGAAAAUAAAAAUAUUAAAAAAUAGUAAGCCCCAUGUGAGUAUGCUCAUGGCAUAAAACCCAUAACUACAUUCACUGUGGUGGCAUAAAAAUAAAAUAAAUAAGUUUUCAUCUUACAAUAAAAAUAUAUAAAUAUAUAUAUAUAUAAUAAUAAUAAGUGUAUGAUCCUGCUAAAUAAAUAACAUUUAUUAAGGAAGCUCAACAUGAUGAAGGCUAGAUAUUUAUGCUAACACUUAAUUAGUUCCACAAGCUUUGUUGUCUAUUUGAGCUCCACAGAAUUUAAGAAUCAAGAAGACUAGCAGACGGAGGACAUUCUAAUUGUUGUCACAAUGCUGCUGACUUUCAAAUACACCUCUGCCACCUGCUAGCUACAUCAAGAGAAAUUACGUCAAAAUUUAGCUUGGGGGAAAGCACCCCCAUUAUUCUCACUAAGUAUUUCUACCUAUCUUUAUACUUAUAUUAUGUUAGAAUAUUAAAAUACAUAAACUAUGAAAAACCAAAUAAAGAUUUUGUGCUUAUAUAUAUCUUUUGCUUAGUAUGUUUAAUAAAUAAAUAAAGUGGCUACGGUAAUCUGAAUGUUAAUAAUAAAACUCUAGCAUGAAUAUGAUGAAUAGUUGCUCUGCCUAAUUUGCAAUUUUGAAGUUCCCUCUCAAGUUUAGACAUAACUGUUAUAAUUUAAAGCUUGCUCUAGAUCUAAACUUGUGGGAUGAAAACUUGAUCUGAAAUCUAAGUUGUUAACGGAUAUGAUAUGUGAAGGUUGAGCUGCUGUUUAUCUGUUCCUAGAGAUGCUAAAAUCCUGGAGAAUUUUAUCUUUGAAAAAUCAUUAAAAUAUUGCAUGAUGAGUUUCUGUAUGAUGAGAGUUUAAAUUCCUACCACAGCCAUAUAUACAUGCUUGCUAGACUUUGAGCCACACAUUUAUUAUUUACUGCUUAUGAGCAUUGAGUGUGGUCUAGCUGUGUAGACCCUUAGGAGCUUGUCAUGUGGUUAAAUCAAGAUUCACUUGCACGUUCACUCAUAUAUGCUACUUCUACUCCGGAAGUACCAUCCACAUAUAUCCAUCCAUGUCCAUCUCCAGAACCACCCAAAAAUAUUCUACUCCUAAUCCGGGAGAGAAUAGCCAAAAAUAUUUAUGUUUUCCCUUGUGAAAUAAAUGCUCAAGUUAUCUUGCUACUACCACUUGCUAUAUUAUCUCAAGAGAUGAGUGCUCUGAAAAAAAAAAGAGAAGAAAAGAAAAAAAAUAAAUAAACGAGGAAAUAAAAAGGGGCAAGUGCCCGGAACCUCGAAAGAAAUGAAAAAAGAGUGAGACGAGAGGUAAAAAUGGACAAGUGUCCGACAGUAGAAUUAGGGGUACCGGAUACCCACCUGAGAGGAAAGAAAAAUGAAAGAUAGAGCAUCUCAUUCUCCUCAUAAAGUUUCAAAAAGCAAGGAAGAUAUGUAUCCCCUCAAAAGAGCAAAAGUAGAAUUAGACUUUCACCAUUGUUAUCACCAUCAUCACCAUAGACCAUUCAUUCGCCGCACAUGCACAUCUUGAUUUGGCUUAUUGAUUUGUUUCUUUGGAUCCAUGGUUUGACUAUACAAUAAAUGUCUUGUAAGUAUGUAUACUUUAUCUCCCACCUAUGAGCUCCAGAUAUUAAAGCCUUAUUAGAGUAGUGUGAGAGAGAAGGCAAUGUCACUAUGCCUUAUACCACAAAUACCACAUAUCUUGAGAGAAGGCAUAUACCAUCACUGCCUUGGUAAGGAUCCAGAAAUACCACAGAAGAGAGAUUUAGAGAGUCAUACAAGGAAUCUCUGAGUUUUAUUUGAAAAUCUGCAAAAACUCCAGAGCUAUAGCUGAUCAAGAAUAAGAGACAUGGCACUUGGCUAGACUGUUCUAUCUUUUAACUACUCAAGACAGAAGUGACGGUUACAAGUCCCAUGGUGAAAGGUAAAGUAAGUAAGUUUUAGUUCUUGACAGUUUACUCUAACUCAGAGAUGAGAUCUUAUUUAAAAGCAUGUGUACCAUCAAAUUUUUAUGAUAUUGCAACAACUUCUGGUCCAUUGCUGAGUCUAUCCUUGCUUAGGGACGAGCAAGAGGUAAGCUUGGGGGAGUUUGUUGACGGUCCUUAAGUAUCAAAUUUAAUUAUCAAAUAAACAAAGAAAAGGAUCCAAAUGAAAUCAACAUCUAGACUUAGGGUUUUAUCUGACAGAAUUCCACGAGUUUUGGUGUUUGUCUAUUUCUGCAGGGGGUUAUCAGGAAAUAUGAAAGAAAGGCCCACACGUCGGGUUUACAUAGAGAUAUUAACGUGUCGCGCAAUUUUCUACCAUUUAGAAGACUCCAGAAGCCACGGGAACGAACGGGAGGCCGAUCGGGCCCAGGGGCAGGGCGCCCGCCCAAGUCCCUUGGGUGCCCGCCCAGCUAUAGUAACCAAUCAGCUUCAACUUCGCGGAUCAUGCUCCACCGACCUAAUACUUCAAGGAAAACCACACGAUCAAUGUCGGUUUGAUCCGACGGCCCAGAUUCAUCUGAAAAGACUAUAUAACCAGACCCCCUGGCCCCUGGAGGAGGCACCCCUUGAUCAUUAUUCAUUAUUCAUAGACAGAGCAAAAGCUAGGGUUUAGAGAUGAGAGCUCUACUCUCUUCUCUAAACUAGAGUAGAUCUAGAUAGUAGCGAGAUGGAGAGCGAAGGAGGAUUAGAGGAGAGGCCGGCCUGUCGGUUCUUCCUCCGGUUGUACUUCGUCAUGAUCAAGCUCUAAUCAAGCUUGCUCAUGGGAUGACUCUGGUAAUCUACUUCUAAUUCAUUAUGCAAUUACUAAUCAUGUAUGUUCUGGUUCACAACCCUUUUGAGUACUUCUAAUCUAUAGGACGCUAUAGGUUAGAGUUGUAGUAUAGGUGUAAGCGUGGUGCUUAGACCUAGAUUACUUGUGGAUAUCCCCUGUCUAGCUGGAUCGUGUGGUAGGCCGCGUAGAUGACAGUUACGUUGGUUCUCUGUAGUCCACCUCUCGUUAGCAGGACGGGUAGGGUUUAUCGGCCUAUGGAUAAGCAUCCUUUGUGGUGUAUUCUUAUCACGUGGUUCGUCCCAGACAUAGACAUACCCCUUUGAAGUAGAGAAACCAUAGUUAUCCUCUCUAUUCUGCUACCAUCGCCCAUAUACUAGAAUUGCUCUACUCUCUAUUCCCAUAUUAUCACUCACUGUUAUCUUACCUUUAAUAUUGUUCUUAUUCGAUUCUACCAUCUUUCCUAUUUACACUUAUUUACUUUUCUUGGUUAAGUUAGAGCGUAGAUCAGUUCUCCCGUUUCCUUGUGGAUACGAUAAAACCUUUAACCGGGUAAAAGCUUCAACGGUAUCCGUGCGCUUGCGGAUUAUCUGUGUGCGUAUAAAUACCAUAGUACACUCUAGUGCCAUGCUGGGGAUGACAACCUAGUAUUCAAGUGGUGUUAGCAAGUGUCAACAGGCCGCACAACGGUUCUUCUCAGAAGUCUCGCGAUGCUUAGCCUUCCUCGCACUCUUCGCUUUCUUCUCCUCUUUGGCCUUUUUCUGUUCCUCAUUCCAGGCCCGGUUUCUGCCCUAGAGCUCCUUGUCCUCCGGGACUGGGGGCAGGGAGUCCUUGACGACCCCCAUCCCCUACAAAUGAACAGAAAAUCAAGAUCAAAGCGAGGAAAGAGGGAAACCAGCACAAGGUCAGAGAUAAAGGCGGCAUCUUACUAGAGAAAUCUAACCUCUGUUAGGGCGCAUCGGCGCCACCUGAGAGUCCUUCAGAUCCGAGUGUAUAGUCCUCGAGAUCUGGGUGGUUAUCUCCGUUGCAGACACUAGCGCCUCCAGCAUCCGCGCCCCGACCCAGGGGGUCUCCCGGGUCAUCUCCCACAUGAACACAUUCCGCUGCGUCAGUGGCAGUAGGCUCCGCUUGUGGAAAGCCACUGCCACCGUCGCCGCGGUAACCCCGGCGUGGCGGAGCUUCACGAGGCCUGCGAGAAGGACGUCGAGCCUCUUCUGCUCGUCCGCAGGGGCGCCCCACCCCCACUUCACGGGGCACUCAACCACCAUCCUACCGGUGUACUCCGGGAGCAGCCCGCCGUUGUUCCGAAGGUAGAACCAUCUGUUCUGCCACCCCCGGUUCGACGAAGGCAUGUUGCUUCGGAUAUACAGGUGGGAGCGUGACUGAUGGAGUUGCAACGUGCAACCGCCGGCCCGCAGGGGCCUCUUCUCCCCUCCCUCGUUGCGGGAGGACAUCUCCGCCAUGAAGAGGUGGAGCCAGAGGUUCCAGUGAGGAGGGACCCCCCAGGAACCCCUCGCACACCUUGGCGAAGACAGUCGCCUGCAUCAUGGAGUUGGGGUUAAGGUUGUGCAGCUCCACUUCGUAGUAGUGGAGGAUGGCUCAGAUGAGCCUAUCGCCGGGCGUUCCAAACCCCCGUUCCAGGAAUGACAGGAAGCAAACCACAUAGCCCGGAGGCGGGUUUUGCUCCCUGUUGUUCGCCGGGGGAACGAUCCACUCCGGAGCCCCCUCGUCCGUAAUAGGACAGAGAAGUCCGUUCUUCACUCGCGCAUCCAGCGCAGCCCUGGUUGUGUUGCAGGGAUACCAUGCGUUGUCGCCGGCCAUGUCAGCAAGGAGGAUUGGGCGCUUAGAGGAAAGAUGGGCGACGGUAGAAGAUUUGGGAGGCAAAGACGGCAGAUGAACAAGGGCAGGUAAAAAGGGUAAAGGACCCCCGCGGUAGCUUUUAUAGAAGGAGCGUGCCGCGGCUUCACCUCCCAUGCAGCAGAUCAACGAGGAAAAGGGCAACCGUUGUCCCCGUGUUAACCAGGUGAAAAACUCGAAGCGACCACUUCUCCCGAUUCUCACGCCCACUGCGCCCACGCGCGCAUUAAAUUCACAGGUGAGGCGUCACAUCCGGCUCAGGCACAACGGCACGGCUGUUCCGGCUCCCCAUGUGAGUCGCCUCAAAAGGAGCGCCCUGAGAAGCUAUGUUAAGGCAGUUCCUUCUAGGGUAAGUGGUACCCGACCCCCUGCUACGCCCGAGCCAAGCAGCAAGGUGGUUCCUUCUAGGGCAAGCUCCAUCUCGCCCGACCCCCCUGCUGCAACCAGACCGAAACCUCUCAAGGUAAAAAUCCCUAGGCUAUGGCCACCUACGUUCUAGAGGUUGCGAAACUGACCCACCAAAUGGGUUCGAACAGUCGCCUCAGGAUGACCGAGCAAGGGAUGACUGAGGAUGAGCACAAUAGAGGCCAUGAUCCGAGCCCCCUAGGGGAUCGGCGCAUCUUUGCCAGUCGUAUCCGAGACCCAUGCGGGUGUCGCGCGAGUGGGAUCCCAUCGAGGGAGGCACCGAGCCCUCGGAACCUAUCAAACGGUUCUGACAUCCACCGUGACUGCCCUCGGGUAUUUUGAGAUGUGCCCAUAGGGCCACCAGCCGACCCCUUGUUGACGGUCCUUAAGUAUCAAAUUUAACUAUCAAAUAAACAAAGAAAAGGAUCCAAAUGAAAUCAACAUCGAGACUUAGGGUUUUAUCUGACAGAAUUCCACGAGUUUUGGUGUUUGUCUAUUUCUGCAGGGGGUUAUCAGGAAAUAAGGAAGAAAGGCCCACACGUCGGGAUUACAUAGAGAUAUCAACGUGCCGCGCAAUUAUCUUACAUCUAGAAGACUCCAGAAGCCACGGGAAGGAAGCGGAGACCGAACGGAGUCAGGGACAGGGCGCCCGCCCAAGUCCUUAGGGCGCCCGCCCACCUUUUUCGGCCAAUCACGCUCAAUCUCGCGGAUUAUGCUCCACCGACCUAAAGGAUCAAGAAUAACCGUUCAAUCAAUGUCGGUUUGAUCCGACGGCCCAGGUUCACUUGAGGGGACUAUAAAACUAGACCCCCUGGCCCCUGGAGGAGGAACCCCUUGAUCAUUAUUCAUUAUUCAUAGACAGAGCAAAAGCUAGGGUUUAGAGAUGGGAGCUCUCCUCUCUUCUCUAAACUAGAGUAGAUCUAGAUAGUAGCAAGAUGGAGAGCGAAGGAGGAUUAGAGGAGAGGCCGGCCUGUCAGUUCUUCCUCCGGUUGUACUUCGCCAUGAUCAAGCUCUAAUCAAGCUUGCUCAUGGGAUGACUCUGGUAAUCUACUUCUAAUUCAUUAUGCAAUUACUAAUCAUGUAUGUUCUGGUUCACAACUCUUUUGAGUACUUCUAAUCUAUAGGACCCUAUAGGUUAGAGUUGUAGUAUAGGUGUAAGCGUGGUGCUUAGACCUAGAUUACUUGUGGAUAUCCCCUGACUAGCUGGAUCGUGUGGUAGGCCGCGUAGGUGACAGUUACGUUGGUCCCCUGUAGUCCACCUCUCGUUAGCAGGACGGGUAGGGUUUAUCAGCCUAUGGAUAAGCAUCCUUUGUGGUGUACUCUUAUCACGUGGUUCGUCCCAGACAUAGACAUACCGCUUUGAAGUAGAGAAACCAUAGUUAUCCUCUCUAUUCUGCUACCAUCGUCCAUAUACUAGAAUUGCUCUAUUCUCUAUUCCCAUAUUAUCACUCACUGUUAUCUUACCUUUAAUAUUGUUCUUAUUCGAUUCUAUCAUCUUUCCUAUUUACACCUAUCUAUCUAUCUUGGUUAAGUUAGAGCGUAGUUGGUUCUCCCGUUUCCCUGUGGAUAUGAUAAAACCUUUAACCGGGUAAAAGCUUCAACGGUAUCCGUGCGCUUGCGGAUUAUCUGUGUGCGUAUAAAUACCAUAGUACACUCUAGUGCCAUGCUGGGGAUGACAACCUAGUAUUCAAGUGGUGUUAGCAAGUGUCAACAAGCAUUUUUGGCGCCGUUGCCAGGGAAACGGUUGCUGAGUUGACUACGAACUAGUUUAAUCAUUUUAUAAAAAAUAAAUAAAAAAAAAUUAUUUUCCUUUUAUCCUUUGCCUCAUCUCUGCUAUUCUUUCUUCUUAUCUAAUCCCUGAUCUCUGGUCUAUUAUGAAUUCAAACAUGUCUAUCUAUGAAUUUCAUAGACCUACGGGCACACAUCUCGAACCACCAAAAUCUUCAAAGCCUAUCAUAGCAUCUAGUUUUGAGAUAGACCCCGAAUACAUAGAAUUUAUUCAAAAACAACCUUUCUCAGGAGAAGGUGAGGAAAACCCAUACACACACCUAAGAGAGUUUUAUCGAGUCUGUGACCUCCUUCGCAUAGAAGGCAUGUCCGAUGAGACCCUUAAAUGGAAGCUCUUUCCGUUCUCUUUAACGGGAAAAGCUAGACAUUGGUAUAAACUCAAAGUAGGGAGUGUUCAUGGAGAUUGGAAGGAGUUAUAUAGUAGUUUUCUUUCUAAAUAUUUUCCAAUCUCCAAAGUGGUGGAACUUCGGCGUGAGAUCCUUUCUUUUAGACAAGUGGAAGAAGAAUCUCUUGGCAAAUCAUGGGACCGCUUUAUUAACCUUACUCUCACUGGCCCAAAACUUUCUAUUCCAGAAGAAGUUCUUCUAAUUCAUUUUUUUGAGGGCCUUAGUAGGAAAAAUAAGCAAACCCUUCAUGCGGCCUCUGGAGGAUCUUUCCACCACCUAUCCGCUAGUGAAGCUUGGAAUUUGAUUGAUUUAAUGAGCAGAAAGUCUCCUAGCUUUUAUAUCCCUGAGAAAGAGAAAGAACCAGUUCCUAGACAAGAAGAAGAAGCUUUGAUAGCCAGAUCACAACCACUUCAAUCCCAAACUUUAGCUAUCGAUCCUAAACCAUCAAUACCCCAAAAUUCUCCAAGGGAGGAAGGAAUUCCGACCUUAAAUCUUUUAGAUGCUGAUGGUUUAGACUUCUGGUUCUAUAAGAGACCUUCAAGCAGGGAUAAUUCAAAUCAUUGCAAUAAUGUUUCUCUUAGAGAAUGUCCUGGUUCCUAUCAUGAAGAAGUCGAGGAUGACAUAUCAAGUGAAGGAGAGCUAAGCCAUAUAGACAAUUCUAUCUACUCCCCUUCCAUGUUCACAAGUUCUAAAUCCAUCCUUGACCUUAGAGAUCCCUCUUAUCCCUCUUCUUUUCAGUCUCAUGAUGAUCCUAGCAAUUCACCAAGACGACCAAACCAUAGGAGUCAUGAAGACCAUAAGGAUGGCAUGUCAAGUAAUGCCAUAGAAGGAGAGCUAAGCCAUAUAGAAAAUUCUAACACCUCCCCUAUUUUGAUCACAAGUUCUAAAUGGCUAGAAUGUGUAGAAUGGAUGGAUAAGGAAGAAGCCUUAAUGGAUUCUGACUUUGGCUCAAUUUCAAAUGGUGAGUUCUUGACUCCCUUUGAAGAUGAGAUUCACCCAACUAUAGAAGAGGACAUAAGUGAGACCAAUCCAAGAGAAACUCUGAACAUUCAGAUUGGAGACGAAGAUAACAUUAAUGAGCAUGGAAUUUAUUUCAUAGCCACUUUGUUUACUCCAUGCUCAUAUGCAACAUCUUCCCAAUCUAUUGGUCUCUCCGACAUCACCACACUUGAGAUCUCCAACCCCCUCUUCCUUUCUAUUUAUAAAAACUUUAAAAGGGCGGUUGUCGAUGCAUAUGUCUAUAAUAAAUAUUGCAGAUCUCGUUGAGUUGAUCUAGAUAUAGGUUGGCGUCGGAGGGGAAACCACUUCGCCAACAUAAACUGAUGGUUUCCCAAGGACAAGCUUAGUGUCUUAAAAUAAGCAUUGAUCAGAUCGUAACAUGAGCCUUUAAUUAUUUGCAACAUUACCUUGUGUAUUGAGCAUAUAAGGAUAAUUGUAAAAAAACAUAUUCCUUCGGGUAUUCUUGUCACUAACCUUUCUAAGAUUGGAGCAAGAAGAUCGGAUGAAUGACAAGCACAAGGUAUGUCUAACCAAUCAUCAUACAACAUUGAAUUAAAUUCAUCCAAACUUGAAUUUUGCAAAAUUCAAGCUUGGGGGAGUACUUUACAUAAAAACAUCCUUUGCCAUGUUGCUAUGCUGGUUGUCCCUACCUUUGAGACAUGCUCAAUUUGUUAAAUACUAAUCACACUACUUCAUCUCCACUUGAGUAGAUCUCUAUAAAUGCUGUCAUGCUACCUUUGUCUAUUUACUAGCAAGUGUUGGUUUGGAAGUACUCGCCAUACUUCCAUUGGCAUUUAAAUUAAUCAUAGUGCUUAGGUUAAAUAGCCUUCCUUAAUCUGAUUUGACAUGGAGUCUAGUUUGGUUAUUGAACUAAAAAAAACUGCUUGAGUAGAUAUUGGUAUAUUUUGUCGGACUAACCCCUGCAGAAAAACUUUCAAUAUCGAUUUGGGAAGUCCUGAGAUAAACUCACAUCAGAGACGAAGAGAGUGACACAUGAAGUUUAACAAUUUGCACAAGAAGGACAUAGCUCAUUCAUCAUAGAGAGAUGAUCCAUGGAGGGUGCCACAAACACGAUGCACAACCGCUAAGAAAGGAAAGCUUCCACAAGAUGAUACUGUACCAUCACUCUUCAAGCAAGGUACACUACGAGCACAAACACAUUGAGCAAGAUACUGCUAACACCGCACUUCGAACUGCUGGGCAAACGAAGAACAUGGGUGACACCGUAUUAAAAGGUGCAGACGUCAAGGUCCGCAUCUGAAUCAAAUGACGCACCUGAAGAAUGAACACGAUGAGAAGUCUUGACAAGAAGACUUAAAACAUUGAACCCUCGCCGAAAGGUAAGAUUGGUAGUUAUCCAUAUUUAUCCUUUCUGCAUUCACUUUUCCCUUUAAUUAUUUACUUUCCUUAAAUAGAUUAUUAGUUAAUCAUGCUAUCUUGAAAAGGAAAUAAAAAUAUUAAAAAAUACUAAGCCCCAUGUGAGUAUACGAGUGGCAUAAAACCCAUAAGUACCUUCACUGUGGUGGCAUAAAAAUAAAAUAAAUAUUUCUUUUCUGUUUAUAAAAUAAAAAUAUAAAAACAGGGAGUAAUAUUUAUUGAGGAAGCUCAACAUGAUGAAGGAUAGAUAUUUAUGCUAACACUUAAUUAGUUCCACAAGCUUCGUUGUCUUUUUGAGCUCCACAGAAUUUAAGAAUCAAGAAGACUAGCAGACGGAGGACAUUCUAAUCGCUGUCAGAAUGCUGCUGACUUUCAAAUACACCUCUGCCACCUGCUAGCUACAUCAAGAGAAAUUACGUCAAAAUUCAGCUUGGGGGAGAGCACCCCUAUUUAUCUCGCUAAGUAUUUCUACCUAUCUUUAUACUUAUAUUAUAUUAUAAUAUUAAAAUACAUAAACUAUGAAAAACCAAAUAAAUAUUUUAUGCUUAUAUAUAUAUAUAUAUCUUUUCUUAGUUUGCUAAAUAAAUAAAUAAAUAAAUAAAGUUUGCUAUGAAUCUUAAUAAUAAAACUCUAGCAUGGAUAUAAUGAAUAGUUGCUCUGCCUAAUUUGCAAAUUUAAAGUUCUCUCUCAAGUUUAGACAUAACUGUUAUAAUUUAAAGCUUGCUCUAGAUCUAAACUUGUGGGAUGAAAACUUGAUCUGAAAUCUAAGUUGUUAACGGAUAAGAUAUGGGAAGGUUGAGCUGCUGUUUAUCUGUUCCUAGAGAUGCUAGAAUUCUGGAGAAUUUUAUCUUUGAAAAUCUUUAAAAUGUUGCAUGAUGAGUUCCUGUAUGAUGAGAGUUUAAAUUCCUACCACAGCCAUAUAUACAUGCUUGCUAGACUUUGAGCCACACAUUUAUUAUUUACUGCUUAUGAGCAUUGAGUGUGGUCAAGCUGUGUAGACCCUUAGGAGCUUGUCAUGUGGUUAAAUCAAGAUUCACUUGCACGUUCACUUAUAUAUAUGCUAUUUCUACUCCGGAAGUACCAUCCACAUAUAUCCAUCCAUUUCCAUCUCCAGAAUCACCUAAAAAUAUUCUACUCCUAAUUCGGGAGAGAAUAGCCAAAAACAUCUGUGUUUUUCCCUUGUGAAAUAAAUGCUCAAGUUAUCUUGCUACUACCACUUGCUAUAUUAUCUCAAGAGAUGAGUGCUCUAAAAAAAAGGAAAAAAAAAGAAAAGAAAAAAAAUAAACGAGGAAAUAAAAGGGGCAAGUGCCCGGAACCUCGAAAGAAAAUAAAAAGAGUGAGACGAGAGGUAAAAAUGGACAAGUGUCCGACAGUAGAAUUAGGGGUACCGGAUACCCACCUGAGAGAAAAGAAAAGAAAAAGAAGAGCAUCUCAUUCUCCUCAUAAAGUUUCAAAAAGCAAGGAAGGUAUGUAUCCCCUCAAAAGAGCAAAAGUAGAAUUAGACUUUCACCAUUGUUAUCACCAUCAUCACCAUACACUAUUCAUUCGCCACACAUGCACAUCUUGAUUUGGCUUAUUGAUUUGUUUCUUUGGAUCCAUGGUUUGACUAUGCAAUACAUGUCUUGUAAGUAUGUAUACUUUAUCUCCCACCUAUGAGCUCCAGAUAUUAAAGCCUUAUUAGAGUAGGGUGAGAGAGAAGGCAAUGUCACUAUGCCUUAUACCACAAAUACCACAUAUUUUGAGAGAAGGCAUAUACCAUCACUGCCUUGGUAAGGAUCCAGAAAUACGACAAAAGAGAGAUAUGAGAGAGUCAUACAAGGAAUCUCUGAGUUUUAUUUGAAAAUCUGCAAAAACUCCAGAGCUAUAGCUGAUCAAGAAUAAGAGACAUGGCACUUGGCUAGACUGUUCUAUCUUUUAACUACUCAAGACAGAAGUGACGGUUACAAGUCCCAUGGUGAAAGGUAAAGUAAGUAAGUUUUAAGUCUUGACAGUUUACUCUAACUCAGAGAUGAGACCUCAUUUAAAAGCAUGUGUACCGUCAAUUUUUAAAGAUAUUGCAACAACUUAUGAUCCACUAGCUGAUUCUAUCCUUGCUCAGGGACGAGCAAGAGGUAAGCUUGGGGGAGUUUGUUGACGGUCCUUAAGUAUCAAAUUUAACUAUCAAAUAAACAAAGAAAAGGAUCCAAAUGAAAUCAACAUCGAGACUUAGGGUUUUAUCUGACAGAAUUCCACGAGUUUUGGUGUUUGUCUAUUUCUGCAGGGGGUUAUCAGGAAAUAAGGAAGAAAGGCCCACACGUCGGGAUUACAUAAAGAUAUCAACGUGCCGCGCAAUUAUCUUACAUCUAGAAGACUCCAGAAGCCACGGGAAGGAAGCGGAGACCGAACGGAGUCAGGGACAGGGCGCCCGCCCAAGUCCUUAGGGCGCCCGCCCACCUUUUUCGGCCAAUCACGCUCAAUCUCGAGGAUUAUGCUCCACCGACCUAAAGGAUCAAGAAUAACCGUUCAAUCAAUGUCGGUUUGAUCCGACGGCCCAGGUUCACUUGAGGGGACUAUAAAACUAGACCCCCUGGCCCCUGGAGGAGGAACCCCUUGAUCAUUAUUCAUUAUUCAUAGACAGAGCAAAAGCUAGGGUUUAGAGAUGAGAGCUCUCCUCUCUUCUCUAAACUAGAGUAGAUCUAGAUAGUAGCGAGAUGGAGAGCGAAGGAGGAUUAGAGGAGAGUCCGGCCUGUCGGUUCUUCCUCCGGUUGUACUUCACCAUGAUCAAGCUCUAAUCAAGCUUGCUCAUGGGAUGACUCUGGUAAUCUACUUCUAAUUCAUUAUGUAAUUACUAAUCAUGUAUGUUCUGGUUCACAACUCUUUUGAGUACUUCUAAUCUAUAGGACCCUAUAGGUUAGAGUUGUAGUAUAGGUGUAAGCGUGGUGCUUAGACCUAGAUUACUUGUGGAUAUCCCCUGACUAGCUGGAUCGUGUGGUAAGCCGCGUAGGUGACAGUUACGUUGGUCCCCUGUAGUCCACCUCUCGUUAGCAGGACGGGUAGGGUUUAUCGGCCUAUGGAUAAGCAUCCUUUGUGGUGUACUCUUAUCACGUGGUUCGUCCCAGACAUAGACAUACCCCUUUGAAGUAGAGAAACCAUAGUUAUCCUCUCUAUUCUGCUACCAUCGCCCAUAUACUAGAAUUGCUCUAUUCUCUAUUCCCAUAUUAUCACUCACUGUUAUCUUACUUUUAAUAUUGUUCUGAUUCGAUUCUAUCAUCUUUCCUAUUUACACCUAUCUAUCUAUCUUGGUUAAGUUAGAGCGUAGUUGGUUCUCCCGUUUCCCUGUGGAUACGAUAAAACCUUUAACCGGGUAAAAGCUUCAACGGUAUCCGUGCGCUUGCGGAUUAUCUGUGUGCGUAUAAAUACCAUAGUACACUCUAGUGCCAUGCUGGGGAUGACAACCUAGUAUUCAAGUGGUGUUAGCAAGUGUCAACACCCCUAUCGAAUGGGACUCGGGCAUCCACUUGGAUUUACACGCCUGCAGCUCUCGGGGAACAUCGAUACUCGCCCAUCGAGGGUAGUACGGCGUCUCCCAUCCCUCCUCCGAGCGAAUGGACGAAUAAGGGGCGUAACGACAAGACGGGAAAGAACCUGAUCGACCCUUGUGGGGAAAGGGCUCGGGGGCUUCCCCACAUAAGGGAACAGACACUGCGUGUAAAGAACACGUAACCUAUCCUUUGAAUACUCCCGACUACAACAUUCAGGGGUAAAAGCCUUUGAAGGAAUAACACCAUUCCUCCAAAAGGCUCGGGGGCUACACCCAAGAAUUGUCCCUUAAAAGAGAACCUCUGAAGGGGUGUCUUCACCCCUCUAAAGGCUCGGGGGCUACUGUUGGGUACCAUAAAAAGGGAUACCCAAAUCAGAGAAAUAAAAAUUGCAAAAAGGGGAUAAGGUGAACCCCUGAGAUUACCAGGGCUCGGGUGCGGGUUCCGUCUCGCCCGACUCCUUGGCCUCGGGUGCAAGCUCCGACUCACCCCAACCCUUGGCCUCGGGCGCAAGUUUCGCCUCGCCCGACCCCUCUUGGGCUCGGGCGCAAACACCGCCUCGCCCAGGCCCCCAUCUCGGAGCCAGGCUUCCAACGCACGAUGGUCGUACUCUUGACGUGACAUUCGCUAUGACCUCCACGUUGCGGCAGGGCAUGGCAGCAACUAUUCCAACUACCCCGGCCACUGUGUAGCCUUACCUCUUUCACUGUGAAGUACCGCCUCACAGUAAAAGAGGUAUGGAGGAGAUUAACCUGCAUCACUGUGGCUAUCUUCUCCUACUGUUAUAGAACGUGCUUCAGUAUCACCGACCCGACCCCCACGAUCUCAACAGGGCUCGGCAACUCUCCACAGGAGCAACCAUGCUGUCAGCCACGUCCCAAGGAUGAGAUGGGCAAGACUCCACAGGGUCAGAACUGUGACUUUACCAUUUACAAGAAGUAGAUCACUAGUCAACACAUGUAAAAACCCUGUGACCUCUUAUGACUAUAAAAGGGGAGCCAGGGCACACAUCCAAGACACGCUCACAACAUUGUAACUCAAGGUGAGACCACACACACACCAGAGUAGCAAGUAACGCUCUGUCCACCAUGCAAAGUCAAGACUUGGGACUUAGCCCACUCUCGCAACCAGCUUGUACACCCCUACUACAAGCACUUUCGGGUGCAAGGCAAUACAGACUUUGACUCUCACACUGGACGUAGGGCACACUUAGCGCGAACCAGUAUAACUCUCUGUGUUCCGCUUGCAUCACCAUUUGGGUUUAGGAGGACACGCAGACUUAUCAGUCGUUAGUGUCUAGACGACGAGUCUAGACGCCGACAAUAUAUAUAUGUGUCUCUUUGUGCGCAUAUCUACUAUUCAAGCUGUUUUAUGAACAAUAUGUGUUUUAGAACAUAUAUUCAAAGCAUAUCUACUAUUCAAGCUGUAUUAUGAAACAAUUAAUUGCUAAUGCUUUGUCUAGAUGAUAUACUAUGUUGUCCCAACUUGAUUGUAGAAUUUUUGGACUUGAAUUAAUAAAAGAACAAUAUGUGCUUGAUCCUGAUUUUAAAGAUGUGUUGCUAAAUUGUAAAGAGGGUCACAAAUGGAAAAAGUUUGUGAUAAAUGAUGGAUUUGUAUUUAGAGGUAACCGUCUAUGCACUUCAGUUGGUUCCAUUUGUGUGUUGUUGUUGCAGGAUGCACACAAAGGAGGACUGAUGGGCCAUUUUGGUGCUAAGAGGACCGCAUAUAUUUUGGCCACACACUUCUUUUGCCACAAAUAAGGAGAGACGUUGAGCGUUUCGUGGUACACUGCACCACAUGUCAAAAAGCUAAGUCUCACCUGAAAAAACAUGGUUUGUAUAUGCCUCUUCCUGUUCCUUCUAUUCCUUGGGUGAACAUUUCAAUGGAGUUUGUUUUAGGAUUUCCUAGGACUAAGAGGGGGAGGGAUAACAUUUUUGCUGUUGUGGAUCGAUUCUCUAAGAUGACAUAUUUUAUACCAUGCCAUAAAAGUGAUGACGCCACUCAUAUUACUGACCUCUUUUUCCAAGAGAUUGUUCGCUUGCAUGGUAUGCCUUCUACUAUUGUUUCAGAUUGCGAUGCUAAAUUCUUGAGUCACGUUUGGCGUACUCUAUGGAGCAAGUUAGGUAUAAAACUGUUGUUUUCAACAACUUAUCACCCACAAACUGACGGACAAAUAGAGGUAUUGAACCGCACUUUGGGCACCAUGUUGAGAGUUGUUUUGAAGAAAAAAUUGAAGAUAUGGGAAGAAUGUUUGCCUCAUAUGGAGUUUGCUUACAAUUGGGCAACACAUUCUACCACCAAAGGUGUAUGGUUUUAACCUGAGUGCUUCAAUUGAUCUUUUGCCUUUACCUACCACAGAAAGAACACAUAGUGAUGCUAGUGCAAGUGCUAAAUUCGUUCAUAAGUUGCAUGAAACCACAAAGGCAAAUAUUGAAGAGAUGAAUGAAAAGUAUAGAAUUGCUGGUAGUGAUGGUAGAAAAGAAAUUAAACUUGAACUGGGUGAUUUAGUAUUGUGACAUUUGAGAAAAGAUAGGUUUCUAGAGCUACGUAAGUCAAAAUUAAUGCCAAGAGCUGCUAGUCCUUAUAAAGUUAUUGAGAAAAUAAAUGAUAAUGCAUAGAAACUUGAGUUACCACCUGAGUUUGGGGGUAGUCCUUCUUUCAUCAUUUUAGUUUGAAGCCAUAUUUGGAAGAAGAAGAUGACAUUGAGUCGAGGAUGACUUCAAUUCAAGAGGGGGAGAAUGAUGAGGACAUCACUCCUUUGGAUGCACAAAAUGAUCCUACACUAGACAUUCAAGGUCCAAUCAUAAGAGCUUGCGCACGACAAUUAAAUUUACAGGUGAGCUUGUUCCUAAGCAAGUCUUUUUAUGAUUUUGAGAAUAUAUUGCUACCUAAUAAUUAUAUUAUGCUUAGGAAUCGUGGAGAGGACUAGGGGAUGCUUAAGGAAUGGCUUGGAGGCGUGGAGGACCAGCAAGGGGGCCCAAGUCAAGAAGAAGGCCCAAACCGAGUCGACUUCGAGCUUGUUCUGGAGUCCAGGACCAGUGAGAAGUAAAAUGGACACCUAGGACGCAUCUGGACACUGUUUUUGAUGAUCCACCCAUAGUUGGAAAGAUAAUUUCAUAAGGAAACCAAUUGCGUUGGUUUGAGGUCCAAAUUUCUUUCGAGUCAUCGAAAAACAUCAAAACAAGUCAGCAUCCAGAAUCUAUUUUGGUGUUGCGUCACCGUUUUUCGUCCAUUGUGUAUCGUUAUUGAGCCCGUUAGGGGGGCGCGUCCAGGGGUGGCGAUGACCCUUAGACCUCUAUAUCUAGCCACCGUCACUCUUAUUAGGUUUUGUGUUUUGCUUAGAUUAUUCUGUCAAGAAUAGUUUCACCGUUUCAUUAGAUUGUGAGACCUCAACUCAUGAAAUUAAUCAUUCAUCUACAAAUUGGUUUGUGUUCUUUGAUUCAUAGGCAAAGGAUUUAGCCUUCUUGGCGAGGUCAACCAUGCAAUACCUGUUAAUAACUAAAGAAGAUGUGGUGCUGUGAUUGCUGGGUUUCAGAUCGUGUUGUUCGGAAGUCGGAUCGAUUUGUGACUUAUAUCCACCAAAUUGAGAGUUACCAGAACCUUUCGGAAGAUCGGCCACCUUUGUUCACAUCACUCUUAUCCCAAGUUCCCCACCCUAUCUGAGCCUAAGCUCCCUACCUCCAAGUUUGACAUUGAGUAUAUACCCACGCACACGUCGUCCCAUGGACGCCGUUUUCAUGGGGAGUUUGAGCUUGUCGAGCGCAUACCGGGGCUGCGCCACUUAUCCAUGCUCCGAACCACCAUCGAUGUCUCUAUCCAGCACUCAACAGUUAAGGCUUUGUUUGAAAGCCCAAAACCUCAGAGCCUCCCUGCCUUUUCCUCGAGGAGAAUGCCCAUGCAGACCCAUGCCAUGGGCUAGACAACAUCUGGGUUUGGAAACUCAUUUGACGUGGGUUGCUAGACCAACCCACACACUUUCUAGGGGGAACGAUGCUGCAAAGACACAGGUCAGGCACAACAUCCCCAUCUUGCUUGUGAUUCAUGAUUUGUGGAGUUCCCAUUCCAUGACCACGGAGCUGCCUCCUCGUCAAUCUACCUCCCCAUCCAAUUAUCACGACGGCUCCUUGGGCCAAUCUGGCCCUUCCUCCAAACAACAAAAAGGGUGGGGGAGCACCUCCUAGGGAAAUGAGCGAACAUUGGGCACUUAAACCUUUGUUGGGGCUGUGCUUCCCUAGGCUAAGCUGCCCCUUGCUCCGAAAGGAACACUACUACAAAAAAAAAUUAUGGAGGCAGACGUUUUAGAUUUUUGGAGGUCGGCAACCCCAACCGCCUCGAACAAAAGGCCUCUGUUAAUGCAUAAACUAUGGAUUAGAGCUCGGUCCGUCGAGCCCAUCCAGGCACUGUUGGCCGGAUCUGCACCGCCGGUGUGCUCGCACGUUGGAUCUACACCACCGCUGCACCCGCUAGCUGGAUCCAGAAGCUUCUCGCCUAAUCCAACAUCCGCUUGCCGGAUCGGGUCGCCUGUGCCUAGAUCUACCGCCCCAUCGACCCAAUCUGCUGCCACCACGCCGUGGUGGAGACCAGGAGAGGGAGCAGGCUGCCGCUAGAGAAGCCGCUCGUCCAUCAUCAUCACCAUGGAUCUGUGAUAGAGAAGGUAAGGUGAAGGGCUAGAAAGAGAGAGAAUGAAGGGAGAGAGAGAUAGAGAGAGGAUGAAGUCAUACAGCGGCCUUCUCGAGGGAGUGCCGCCCUGCCGCCGCCGAACCUCGGAGUUGAGGGAGAGUGAAUCACAUACGCCACCGAAUCUCAGAGGGAGGGUGGGAGAGCCACCAGAGGGAGGGACGACCCCGACGAGAGGGGGAGUCCUGCGCACAACGCUCGGUGGAGAGGGAGGGGGGCCACGCAUGACGUGACACUCGAUGGAAAGGGAGACAUGCCACCUUUUUGUGAGGAGGGAUAGAAUGAGAAGGGGAGAGUAAGUGAAGGAGAAAUCUUAACUUUUUAUAUUUAUAGCGAUGACGGUUUAUGGAGGUGGGCAUUUUAAGACGAUCGACUCUGUUAAUAUAGAUUAAUGGAGAUGACCCUUUUAAUAUGCCCGCCUCCAAAAACCGAUUUAUGAAAGCGGGCACCUUAAAACGACUGUCUCCGUUAAUAUAGAUUAAUGGAGCUGGGUUUUUUAAUGUGCCCGCCUCUAAAAAUUGAUUUAUGAAGGCGGGCACCCUAAGACGAUCGCCUCUGUUAAUAUAGAUUAAUGGAGGCGGACUUUUGAACAUGCUCGCCUUCGUUAACAUUUAACCGAGGCGGGCUAGUUAGGGGUCGGCUGUGGCUCGCUUGGCUGAGAGCAAUGAAGGCGAGCAAAAAGUGUUCCCGCCUCAAAUCUAAAACCCCAAUAUCACGCAAAAGAAAUCUUGUACUAGUGGAAGCCUGGUACUUAGCCUAUGCCCUGAGGACAUGUUCGCCUAUUCAUCUUGUGCCAUCGUGGCCACCACUAAGGUAGGGGCUUGCAAAUCUCAAAGUGUUUGCAUUUUAGGGGGAGAUGGUUCUAGAUGAGGCGGUGGUGGUGGAAAGAAGCAGGCAGCGGUGGAAAAACAAAAACAAUGAAGAAAGGCUUAGACCUUACGCUACACCCACAAGAGAAGGUGCUCACAGGGUAGAUUUGACGAGCUCUGAGUAAAAGCCCGCUGGAGUUGUUUUUUUAUGUGAUCGUUCAGAUUCGAGUUUAUGAAUGUGACUAGAGUCUCGUGUUUGGCGCCAGCUACAGGAAACUACGUCUAAGAGCAAGUUUAAUAAUACAGCCCACUUACUGGCCGUAAGGUUUCUUGCAGCCUUCUCCCAACCCACUCAUACAAUAGUUAGCUCUUCACUAUUAAUACAUGGCCUACUUAUCUUUCUCACAAAGUUUCUUGGUUCUUGUGACUAAGCUGGCUGUAAGCUUACAGCCUGCUUCUCCUCUUUCUCAUCUCUUCUCUUCUCCACCUUAGUAUUUAGCCAAUUUACAGCCCACUGUAAUACUUACUCUAAUACCUCUAACCAUCGUGAGUUGUGGCGGGGGUAAGGAUUUUGGGUGCCACAGCAUGGUUCUGUGCUACAAAAAGCUAUGGCUACCUCAGUUGAAUAGCAAACCAAACAGCGGCGCCAUGAUUACCGUGGCGAGCCACAGGGGCGUGGCGUGCCGUGGCCGCCAACCAAACAUCCUUGCUUUCACAUCUCAGAAAAACGCACUAAAAAUAUAUUUAUGCUAUAUUUCAUAAACAUACUUUUCAUCAUAAACAGUAGUCGCUUGAUGCACACAAGCACUAGCAAGCAUUCUCAUGAGAGUCGUUUAGAUCUUUAUUAAGAGCACAACUUUGUUAAUUGUAAAUACUACUCUGAAAAUCAGGUGGUGGUUACCUAUAGUAGAGUAGACACUCAGACGACAUUCAGGGAUUCAGCGGUAGAUCGUAUGUACCCGAGCUUAAUAAAUGUAUAAACAUUGGCUGCCCCAACUCCUAAUAACUGUCAUGUCACAAGGGGGUGCAAAUCAGACGAUCCUCAUCAGCUGAUGAUGAUGACUCCAUUAGGUCAUGAUGAUACAAGAAUUGGUGUCAGGAUCGACCAGCGCUGGCACGAGAUACUUCCUGCCGUUCCGGCCGACCACGUUGAACCCAGCGCCGGUGGCCGUGUCGAGCCUGACCGCGCCGGGGUACCCCGGGUACGCGCCGCGGCCGUAGACGCCCGGGCACGCAGCCGCCACCUCUACGGGUGCGCCGGGGUCGCCCUGGAAGUAUCCGUGCCCAUAUGGGUUGGUGACCGCGGCGGCCAGCAGCGCCGCGAGGUUGAUCAGCAUGCCGUCGAUACCGACGUCGCCGUUGGGCGCGCGCAGCGUCUCGCCGCGGCCGCGCCCGGGCACAUGCCUGGCACCGUAGGCGAAGCCCUCCGCGGGGUGGAACGGCCACGUGCACCGCCCUGGGCACUGCACGGCGGCGUCGCCCACCCACACGUGCGUCGCUCCCCCCGACGCGGAGGCCCCGUGCGUUCCGCACGCGCUGCCGCAUUGCCCCUCGACGGCGACGUCGGCGGCCGUGAGCACGACGGCCACGCCCCUCGGCGCCACGCCGAGCCGCGACGCCAGCCGCUCGACCUGGACCCUGGACAGAGUCUUCCCCAGCGAGCACGACUCGUCGUGCACCUGGCUGGCCAGCAGUACCCGUGGGGGCCCUCGGCCGGCCUUGCGCACGUACCGGUCCACAGUCUCCCACCACCGCGCCACCGACGGCGCAGGCGCGGGCCCUGGCGCCCCGAACCUAUGGUGCUGCGGCUGGCGGCCGCGCGGGGAGAGGGAGAGCAGGAAGUCGGAGAUGAUGGCCUUCUGGUGUGGUGAGAAGGCGCCAUAGUAGAGGACAGAGACCGGCACAACGCCGUCGAGCACCUCGCCGGCGUGGUAGACCAUGACGGGCGGUGGCGGGCGGUAGAGGGAGGAGUGGCACGGGCGCGCGAAGCUGACCAACACGAGGACGAGGAGGGCGACGGCGCCACAGCCGACGUUCGAUGUUGCCCUGUCCAUAUGGUUGCGUCGUCGGCGAUCUGUUUUACGCACCGAGUUGCGCUUGCACACCAUGCAACGCAACGCAACGCAAGGUUGUGAGGCAGCUAUAUAGUAGUACAUGUCUCGGGCUCUCGGCUCGCUCUCCAACUCCAACGGCAUCUAAUUUGUUGCUUCCAUUGGCGGGCGCGGCGAGCAUCGCAAUGCAUGCAUGGAAUGGAUACCAGGCGUGCGUGCGGUGAUGCAACACAACACAACACCCACGGGAACUGAUUAGAAUUGCUUGCAAGGCAGGCUAGAGAGUCUAGAAAAACCGCAUAUCAAUAUUGUGUGUUGUUUGUCGACGCCGCACAUAGAAAUUGGGCCAGGGCCUGCCACCAUUACUAUGGAUUACAGCAUGUGUUCGGGUUCAUAAGUUUUUUAUCUCAGAAAAUUAGCUUCUCCAAUACUUCCUCCGUCCCUAAAUACUGCUAUUUCUAGCAGAUUUCAGACAGAUUAGUGUGGCAAAUAAAAGACCAUUCUACCCUCAAUUAAUUUGGGUUCCACCAUUUAAUCAUGCACGUUAAGCCAUGAUUCUCUAGUUCCAAUGAGCUGCAUUUAAUGUCAACUAAACAGACUCAAACAAUUACCAUACGCCAAAGUAUUACUCCUUGGAAGAAAUUAAAUGGGCUGGUGGACCACGGAAGUUCCGAGGAGAAAUUAAAUGGGCUAGUGGACCGAGAAUUCUAGUAGAAAUAACAGUAUUUAUAGAUAAAAUUUUCUCCUAGAAAUAGCAGUAUUAGGGAUGGAGGGAGUGGUUUGGCAAAUGACUUCGCAUCUAUAAUUUUUUUAGCAAAAUGAAAAAACUCUUUACCUAACUCUCUAUCUUUUCUAACUUGACAUAUCUCUGUGUCUAAUGCACAAAUAUGCACGCGGGCUCUGUACUUGGCAUCAGUCUUUCUCCUCAUGCUUAGUUGGGCUCUUUGUUCGCUUAGUGCGGUUUUUAUUCACUUAGCAGGGCUGUUCAUUUCAUUAGCGGAUUUUUAGGUUUUAGAAUGAAAUUUGUGUUAGAGAUAAUAUUUUUUUCUUCUCGUAGUUGACAAAUAAUAAGAUUUAGGAAAUAAAUAUUGCCAAACAGUUAGAGAUGGCUCUUAGAUAAGUAGUCGUUAAGCGGAUGACUGUAGUCGUUACAGGUCGGACUAUGUACGUACUGUGGUACUAACUUUUAUUUUACUCUUUUUUCAUAACAGUGCUUUUUUUAUCCUUUUUUCUAGCUAUUAGUAGAGAUGCACGCGUAGCACGCAUGUGCUAUGCAAACUAUUCAUAUUUACAUAUUUAAUGGGUGAUAUCAGUAAAAUUUUCUAGAAGUCAAUUCAUAUAUAUUAUACAUAAAAAUAUAAUCAACUUUUUACAACAAUACAAUAUUAAUAAGGUACUAACAUAUUCAAACCAUAAGAAAAUUUGGAUGUAGCAUUCUGCCAUGCACAUUCUGCACAUUAGCUAAGGUUGUGCAGUUGCCACAACUCGUGGAGAACAUGUUAGGGGACAAAUCCUUGACCAAUAGUUACGAGGGCUCGCAGAUGCUACUUGUUUCACUUAUAGCUCUUUUUUUUUUGCAAAGUGUGCAUGCCCCACACAGAUGUACCGUAACAUCUUGGGCUGCGGGUGUGCUUACUGGAGGAGCACCGGAGGAGCACCACUUAUAGCUCCUUUUAUCGAUUCAUCUCCUCACAAUGACUUCGACUGGCGCAUGCGAGCCCGUUCGCUUGUCUAUCAGUCGUACUUUUUCUACCAGGCAGUAGCAUUUUUCUCUCCAUUACUUUUUAGACCAGCUUACAUGUUAAGCAUAUCAACCAAUGUUUUAAAUAGCGCACUAUUUUCGCGCUAUAGCGCCGCUAUAGCGGCCAGAAUAAGUCGACGCGAAGCUAUACCUCAUUUUUACGCUAUCAGCGCUAUUGACGCUAUAGCACGCUAUAGCUCCGCUAAACUGAAAUAGCGCCAUAGCGCCGCUAUUUGCAUGCUAUUGCUGUUUAUUUGUGAUCAUGUUAUCAUGCACUUAUUUGUGGUGCUGUGCUUAUGCACUUAUGGUUAUACACUAUGCAGUCAUACAUUAUGCUUAUGACUUAGUUAUGUAUUAAACUUUUAAACUAUGUAACACAAGUGAUGAUUUGUGAUUUGUGAUUGUGAAAUAUGAUGGUUGUUUGAACUUGUUGCUGUCUAUUAUAUAUUUUGCCUGUUUCCAAUUAAAUAGCGCGCUAUAGCGCCGCUAUAGCGUGGAUAGCUACAACACGCUGCUGUGUACAGCAGCCGCUAUAGCGGGGCUAUAGCGUUCGCUAUAGCGCAAAUAGCGUCUAGAACAGAAAGACGCUAUUUUCUAUAGCUCGCUAUUUAAAACAUUGAUAUCAACUGAUAGUUCACAACUUGAACAUUAUGUAAGCAUAGCAACUGCACGGUUACCCUGCCAUAGCCAAGCAUAGCAACUGAUAGUUCACAACUUCACAUACCAUCUGGGAUUAAAUCUUUAUCUGUUACGGCGUCGGGCUUUGCUGCGUAGGAAGUAGGGCGGAGAGAAGGAAGCUCGUGUGCGUGUGUUUUGGCGGUGUGUAGGCGCCGUGGCAUGAAGCUGGCAGCAGGGGCUGGGCGCCCAAGGAAGAUGUAAAUCUCAAUCCCAAGCUAAAUUCUAUUACUCCAUAUGGUUAGCCUUUAUAGGCAUUACAAGACCGGCCAAUAAUAUGGCUAACUGACUUAAGUCCUGGCCUCCUAAAACAACUCUUAACCAACCAAUCUAACUAUGGCUAACCGACUCCAUAAGUCCUGGACUCCUAAAACAACUCUCAACCAACCAAUCUAACUCAGUCUCUAACUCUUCAUGCUAUCGGACUCUAUAGACACAGCGCAUGCAUGUGCGCCUGGAAUUAGGACUCCCAGCCAUGACCUGAUCGCAUGCUGUUGCUGGGCUUACCCCCUGCAUACUGAUUAACCCCUCUGCCUACAAUGAUAGGUCUUACCGACCAUAACAUCACUCCCUCCCUCUGGAAACAGCUCGUCCUCGAGCUAGAACGAAGGAUGAGCCACACGGAAGCUGUCCACCGAUUCCCAAGUCGCGUCUGACGGAGGUAAACCUGCCCACUGCACCAAGAUGUGCCAAGAGCCGCGAACAGAGAUGUGCUUGGCUGGAUCAGGCCGUUCUGCAGCAUGGCCUCAUAUUGGGCCUCAAGCUCAUCCUUUUGAAUUUGCGGAUAUCUGUAGGAGCGAACAGCCACCGUCUCGGCUGCGGGCUUGAGAUGGAUGCGAUGAUCGCAAGCACGAGCCGGGGGCAGACCUAUUGGAGCGGCGAAGACGGUACAGUAAGACUCCAGUAGGUCCUGUUCAGACCCAGUGUUGGUGAAGAGAGUGCUAGCCAGCAGGCCAUGAGCCUCUGGAGCUAACAGUGAGCGAGAGGCGCCCACGCCCUCCCAAACGACGCGACGCCCACGGAAGGUGAAGGCCAUGCGGCGCGUCGCGAAGUCGCACAAGCUGUUUAACUUUCUCCAAGGUAGACUUCAUCUCGCUCGACCACUAUUGCCGUGGAAACAACUCUGUCGGUUGCAGCAAUGUAAAGGAGCAGGUCUUCGUUGGGCUGAGGCGCUGUGAGAACAGGCGGUGAAGUGAGGAAGGUCUUAAGCUGAGUGAACGCAGCGUCGGCGUCUUCUGUCCAGGAGAAUUUUUCUGACGCUUUCAAUAGUUUGAAAAAGGGGAGGCCUUUUUCUCCCAGCCUUGAGAUGAAACGACUGAGGGCGGCCAUGCAUCCGGUUAGCUUCUGAAUAUCCUUGACGUUCUUCGGUGGUCGCAUGUCGAGUACGGCUUUGACUUUUGAAGGGUUUGGCCGUAUGCCGUCGCAACUGACGACGUUGCCGAGCAGUAGACCGGAAGGAACGCCGAAAAUGCAUUUCUUGGGGUUGAGCUUCCACUUGUACCUAUUGAGUGCCUUGAAGGUUCGGUCUAAGUUGUCGAUUAGGGUGCUCGCAUCCCUUGUUUUUACGACCACGUCGUCCACAUAGGCCUCGACGAGGUCGUCGCGAAUCUCGUCGUGGAGGCAUUGCUGGAUGGCCCUUUGAUAAGUGGCCCCGGCGUUUUUAAGUCCGAAAGACAUGGUAGUGUAACAGUAUGCGCCGAAAGGUGUGAUGAAGGAUGUUUUGAUCUGAUCUUCUUCUUUUAACGAGAUCUGGUGAUAACCAGAGUAGCAGUCUAGAAAGGAGAGGAGUUCGCAUCCGGCCGUUGAGUCGACCACCUCGUCGAUGCGAGGAAGACCAAAAGGAUCUUUAGGACAGUGUUUGUUGAGAUCGGUGUAAUCAACGCACAUUCUCCAUUCAUUAUUCUUUUUGCGUACAAGAACCGGAUUGGCGAGCCAAUCGGGAUGAUACACCUCUUUUAUGAAUCCGGCUGCUAGAAGCCGUGUUAUUUCUGUCCUAAUAGCCUCCUUUUUGUCACGAGCGAACCGUCGCAGUUUUUGCUUGAUUGGUCUUGCGGUCUUCGAGACGUUUAAGGAGUGCUCGAUCAGGUUCCGUGGGACGCCGGGCAUGUCUGCGGGUUUCCAUGCGAAAACGCUCACGUUGUCCCUUAGAAACCUGACGAGCGCGUCUUCCUAUUUUGGAUCCAGGUUAGCCCCGAUGAGGGCUGUCUUCUCGGGGUUGCCCUCGACCAGCUGCACUUCUUUGUACUCCUUGGAUUUCGAAUUCUUUCUGGCUGUCUCCUGCUCAGGUAAUCGGAGCUGGUCGGGGGGCAGCUGUGCGGCUUGGUUUGCUGUUUCCGCCAUGCGGAUUGAGAGGUCAAUUGCCUCGGUGAUCUUGAAACUUUCUUCUUCGCAGGUGUACGCAGUGUAGACGUUGCCUCUGACGGUCAGGACACCCUUCUCCGUGGGCAUCUUAAGCACUAGGUACGAGUAGUGCGGGACUGCCAUGAACUUUGUCAGCGAUGGGCGGCCCAGUAUGGCGUGGUAGGUCCCGUCGAAGUCCGCGACUACGAAGUUGAUGAACUCCGUCCGGAAGUGAUCGGGUGUGCCGAAUUGGACAGGCAAUGUUAUCUGUCCGAGGGGCACCGAACUUUGACCUGGCAAAACCCCCCAGAAUUGGGCGUCGUAAGGUUUUAGUUGGGCCGGUGAUAUCUUGAGGGCGGGCAGGCUGUUGCGGAAGAGGAUGUCAAUGGAGCUUCCCCCGUCCACGAGCACGCGCUCGAAUCUGAUGCUGUUGAUGCAAGGAUCGAGAAUUAGUGGGAAACGACCCGGCUCCGGGAUAGCGGCCCACUGGUCCUUCCUGCUGAACGCGAUCUCCCUGUGGGACCAGGCGGGAAAUUUCGGAUCUGCGAUCAGCCCGUCCGUGCUGUCUAUGUUGAGGCAGGCUCUCUUCAACAGCUUUCUUUCUCGCUUGGACUCAGUGGAGACCUUGCCCCCGAAAAUGGAGUGGACCACGUCGGUGGGGCUGACGUAUUGGUGUCGGGGGUCCCUGUCUUGGUCCUCGUCCUCAUCUUCGUGGUCGUGCCCGUCGCGUUUGUUACUUUUCUUGGCGGUGUCUUCUUGGGCGGCCCGCCGUGUAUAGAUAUUUUUGAGGACGCGGCACUCUUCCAUGGUAUGGUUAGACUUUGGAUGUAGCUGGCACGGUCCCUUCAACGUUUUGUUGUAGUCAUCUUGGUAGUCCCGUCGUCCAUUGGGACGUUUGACCGUGUUUACUUCGUGGUCGUAUUCGCGAGGGCGCUUUCCUCUGAAGUCGUCGCGGCUGUCGCGCCGCCGAUCCCAACCCUCUCGGUGAUCGCGGUUGUCGGAGCGACGGUGAUUUCUGUUGUCGUAGCGGCCGCGACCGUCGUCUCGCCGGGAGGGCUGGUCGGUGCCUCUCGCAUCGUCUCGGAUUAGUUUUUCUGCGUCAUCAGCAUCGGCAUAAUUUUUAGCCGUGGCGAGGAGCUCUGCUACCGUUGAUGGACGUUUACGCAACAGCUUGUUCCUCAGCGCUUCAUGGAAACGUAAGCCCUUGAUAAAGGCUGAUAUGGCCUCGUCAUGAGAAAUCUUCGGGAUUUUGAGACGCAUAUCCGAGAAUCGUCGGAUGUAAUCACGCAGAGGUUCAUUCUUCCUGUCUCUUAUCCUUUCAAGGUCAUACUUGUUUCCGGGCUGUUCGCAUGUGGCGAUGAAGUUGUCAAUGAAAGCCUGUCGUAGUUCUUCCCAAGAGUCGAAGGAGUCCUCGGGCAAGCCGAGAAGCCACUGAUGACCAGCCUGGUCGAGGACUACGGGGAAGUAGUUAGCCAUGACGUGCUCAUCUCCUGCCGCUGAUCGGACGGCGAUUUCGUAGAGGGUGAUCCAGUUCUCUGGAUUUUCCUUGCCGUCGUAUUUUUUAAGUUUUUCGAGCUUGAAAUUUCUGGGCCACACGACCUGGCGGAGGUGUGAGGAGAACUGCCUUAGGCCCGGGGGACCAUGGGUCGCAUCGUACUCGAUGCGGCGCAGGUUUUCGUGGACUGCUCUCUCUGCGGCGCGCCUGUUGAUGCGGUCCCGGGCAUCUUUGGGAGGGAUGUUGUGGCGGAGAUCCCUGUGUUGAUCUUCUUCUUCCUGGCCGCGUACGCGGUUCUGCUGGCGGCGGCCAUCGGCGUCUCGACCACCAUCGUCGCGCCGUGAGUCCCCUCGACGGUUGUCGGGGGAGCGGCUGCGGCGACGCCUGCUGGGCGAGGCCCGGCUACGAUGAGUCUGGUCGGAGGCGGCUUCCGUAUAAGGGACGUCCUGGACUCUCUUAAGCAGAGUUGCUGUCUGUCCCAUCGCGGCGAUCAGGUGUGCUCGGAUACUGGUCCGGACCCCCUGGCAUUCUGGUGUGUCAGGAAGCCGAUCCAGGUUGGCCAUGGCGACAGCCACGUUGGCGCUUGGCGUUUUGUAGACCGGCUGGUCCCCGACCAUGUCAAAGGCAUCGUUGAGGUUACCCGGUGGCGUCUGUUGUUGCUCGUCCGCACGCCGUCGGGCGCGAUCGGCGUUACGCUGUUCGCGGAGUUGCCUCUGGUCGUCUGUUUCUCCGUCAACAACCGGUUCGUCGGCGCUGACAUUGAAUACAAUGUCCCCUCGCCGGGGGGGGAAUAUCGGGAACCGGUCGAAACCCGGAGGGUGUGAAGGGAAAUCCAGGUCGUAGCCCUCGUCUUCGGUGUUUAUAACCUCGGUGGGGACGGAGCCGGUGCUUGAGUUGGUGCUGGAAACCUGGCCGUUCCGUAGCUCUCGGAUUGUCACCAUGUUGACAUGGUGACGAUUGUUCCUUGUCGGCGACCAGCCCGCUUUGCUGAAAACGGAUUGAACAUGCUGUGAGUAGACAGAGGCCGAGUUAUUCAGGCCGCAAGGAUGGUCUCCCUUUUUGAGCUCGACGGAUCGGCCUGAGGAGGUUGAGGUUAUCGCCAGGGACGUUCCCAGCCGUUCGUGUGUGGUGACACGAGUUGGCCGGCGGGAUUUCGAAAAAUCCGCUUGAGUGGCUUGGUCGGGCCGGCGCAGAACUCCAUCUAUUAGUUGGGAGACUUCGAGCAGCUUGGAGUCGGCGCGAUCGAGCGCUUGGAGGAGGUCCGAGCAGUCGAUCUCCUUUCCCUUGUAGAGUGGGAACGGUGGCCGGGAGUUUGGUGCCGUCAUGCGUGUGGUCGGAGACGGCGUGAUCUCAGAUUGGAUCUGGAUCUCUUUCGGGACCGUGGUCGGGAAGCCGCCGCUGCACGUCGUCCACGUGAUCUGGCCGACGGUAAACGUGAGGCCUUCGGGCACGGUCGCGGAAGCUGGGAUCGUGGCCAUCUUGUUCGCCGGAAAAGUUGCACGCACACCCCCUACCUGGCGCGCCACUGUCGACGAAAGCUGGUCGGCAGUCUACCUUGGGGUAUACCCACGGUAGUAGUUUAUCGGUAGACGGUGCGCAAACUACGAACUCGAUGGUGACGCAAGACACGGACAAGCUUUUUAUCCAGGUUCGGCCGCCGAGUUGGCGUAAUACCUACGUCCUGCGUCUGGUUGUAAUGGAUUGUGUUGAGAGAUAAUCUACCCUAGGGGGUCCCCUUGCCCCUCCUUAUAUAGUCUGGAGGGCAGGGUUACAGAUCUAGAAACUAAUCCUAGCCGGUUACAAUUGCCAUAGAUAAUUCGAUAUCAAUUCCUAUUCUAACCGACUAGAAUCCUGCUUGAUCUCCACGUCCUGCUUCCUUGCGCGAAACUCGGGCUAUCGGAUCAAGCCUUGAACUCGUCUCGUAGUGGGCCGAGCUUCCUAGCUGAAGUCUAGCCGUAAGGGUAUAGGGGUUUAUACCCCCACAAUGGGCCCUAGGGUACGCAACCAUGCGAUGCCCAGGACGAUGUCGCAGCCCUGCACCGGGAUGGAGAACAUGUUGACCCGAAAGAUUUCUGACCGAUCUGCAGGGGAACCGCAUGGGCCAUGCCCUGGCACGCGACACGGUCACCAUUGGCCACGACAACGUGCGCGCCCUUGCUGUCGAGGAGGUGCAGACCUGCACGGCGCGCGGCGUCCGAGCUGAUGAAAUUGUGCGUAGAUCCUUAAUCCAGCAGCGCUAUGAGCUCAUGUGCGCCAAUCUGGACGCACAGCUGCAUGGUGUCCGAUGCGCAGAUUCCUGUGAUAGCGGACAGAGAGAUCAAAGGAGCGUCAGGAUCAAAAGGCGGCUGAUCAGUACCAAGCGGCGCUGCCUUGUCGUCGUCGGCGUCGUCUGGCUCCUCGACGAUGUAGUCGUUGACCUCGAGGUAGAACAGCCGGGCACACUUGUGCCCCCGUACAUAUGGCUCAUCGUAGUUGUAGCAGAGCCCCUGUUUGCGACGGUCCGCCAUCUCCUCGGGUGAAAGGCGCUUGAACGGGUGCUGCACAGCUGCAGCGGGCGCUGGUGGUGUCGAGGAGGAGCUGGCCGACGCCGGGAACGUGUUAGGCACCUUGGUGGAUCGGCGUCGUGGCGGCGCUGGCAACGCGAGCGGGGCUGGUGCGUUGCGGCGUUCGUAGGCGCGCGCGAGGUGCAUGGCGCGCUGCAGGUCUUGUGGAUCAUGAAGCUCGACGUCGACACGAAUGUGAUCAGGCAGUCCACCAGUGAAGAGCUUUGCCUUUUGUCCCGAGGAUAAUCGGCCUGCAUGCGCAGCGCGUGCUUCGAACGCCUCCAUGUAGGCGUCCACUGUGGACGUGAAGGGAAGGCACGCCAAAUUGGAGAGGUGAUUGGUGCUGAGGGGCGGCCCGAAACGCUGCUGGCAGAGAGUACGAAACUCCUCCCAUUGCGGCCGGCCAGCAUCAGAUUCUAGCACCAGGUACCAUUGUUGAGCGACACCGGUGAGAUGGUACGAAGCGAGCCAGACCCGAUCAGCGUGACGUGUCUGAUGGCUGUUUAAGAACUGCUCGCACUUGUUCAACCAGCCGAGGGGGUCAUCCUUGCCGUCGAACAGCGGGAACACAAGUUUGUGAUAUUUGGGUACGACAUGCCCCGUGUGUGAGUCCUCCGGAGGCGCCGGGACAUGCACCCGAGGAGGCGCGGAUGUCAUGGCGCCAAGGCUACUGGCACGGUCCCGAGGAUGGCCUCGAGGGUUGGGAUCGGAGACGGCGACGCCGGAAAACGAAUGUGCUGAAUAGGGACGCCGAAUGGGGGGCAGCCGUGGAACCCUGCGGCGCCGCGGCCGGCCCGGUCGUCGAAGGUGCUGACGGCGUCGGUGCAGAUGAAGACGCGGACGUUGCAGAGCCGGCGUCCUGGAGCAGCGGUAAGGACGGUGUCGGCAGCGAGGGGAGAUGACCCGCGCUCGGUGUGGGUAGCUAUGGGAACUGCGCGGCGGUAGGCAGAGCACAACCGUCCAGGGCCGACAGACGCGUUGCCAGAUCGCCCAUCUGGAAGCUCAUGGGGGAGCUCUGGUUCUGGAUGCCCUGGAUGGCGCUGGUGAAGGAUGUAAGCACGUCGGAGGGGAUGGCCAGCAUUGGUGCUGGCGGCGUGGAGGACGCAGCUGGCGGCGAUGUGGUUGCGGUGACCAGAGCGCCGGAGGAUGUUGUCACGGUCGUGCUGGUGCCGGGCGGGGCACUUGUGGAGGGCGGAACAACAGCGGAGGAUGUCCCAGCUAACACCAUGUUCUCUGAUACCAGAUUGUUACGGCGUCGGGUUUUGCUGCGCAGGAAGUAGGGCGGAGAGAAGGAAGCUCGUGUGCGUGGGUUUGGCGGCGUGUAGGCGCCGUGGCAGGAAGCUGGCAGCAGGGGCUCGACGCCCAAGGGAGAUAUAAAUCUCAAUCUCAGGCUGAAUUCUAUUACUCCAUAUGGUUAGCCUUUAUAGGCAUUACAAGACCAGCCAAUAAUAUGGCUAACCGACUUAAGUCCUGGACUCCUAAAACAACUCUUAACCAACCAAUCUAACUAUGGCUAACCGACUCCAUAAGUCUUGGACUCCUAAAACAACUUCCAACCAACCAAUCUAACUCAGACUCUAACUCUUCCUGCUAUCGGACUCUAUAGACACAGCGCAUGCAUGUGCGCCUAAAAUUAGGACUCCCAGCCAUGACCUGAUCGCAUGCUGCUGCUGGGCUUACCCCCUGCAUGCUGAUUAACCCCUCUGCCUACGAUGAUAGGUCUUACCGACCAUAACAUUAUCUGCUUGGGACUAAUCUUUAAGACUCAUUAGCAGGAGAACCUCUAUUUCCUGUAAGUUUGUUGUCAUAGUGCACAAAAAGGCAUGCAAUCUUUAACAUUUUGGGUAGCCUCUGUUCACCAGUAAAAAAAAAUUGAGCAAAACCUUCCUAGAUUGUAGCUAUAAAUUCAGUAGAUCGACAUACUGGCAGCUAUUAGCCGUUUGCAUUUUAGCCUUAGAUACAAAUAUUCAUUUUGGGAUACUUUAAAAUAAAAUUAAUUAAAGAAAGAAGAACACAGUAUUAAGCAGUCAAUCUAAUUUAGAACUGUAAACCGAUGUGCUAUUUAAUUAUUUGCUAUCUAACAUAAACAUGAUACUGACCAUGGAAAAAGGUAGCAAGAGAUUUUUUUUUUGUCUUCUAUGUUAUAAACAGAGUGCUAUAGAAUAAAUAUAAGGGUGAUGUGAGCCUAUCUCCAAACGCAGUAUGGCCUCUGGAAAGCGCUCUUAACAACAAAACUUUUAGGUAGGCCCGCUCCUGCAAAAUGGAAACAAGAGGAACAAAAAAAUAAAAGAUUCCUUAGCAAAUGAGUUACAGAUAUAGUCUUCAUCCUGCUACCAAAACAUAUAUUACUCUCUCUAUCUUUAAAGCUUUAAUUUAUAAAAUCUAUGCCAGUCAAACUUUUUCAAAUUUGACCAACUUUAUAGAAAAAAAAUAUCAAUAUCUAUGACAUAAAAUAUGUAUUUUAUGAAAAUAUAUUCUAUAAUAAAUCUAAUAGGAGUACUAAUUUGGUACCGUAAAUCUUAGCUUUUUUUCUAAAAGUUUAGUCAUAGUUUAAAAGUUUGACUUGACAACUUUAUGAAUUGAAGUUUUCAGGGAUAGAGGGGGUACUUUGUGCCUCUCUUUCACUAAUUCCUCCCAUUGGAAGUCGGUCAAAGAAAAAACAAUUUGAAUGAGGGCAAUAAUUAAAUCAGAUGUAAGUACAGUAGUAAAAGCCUGGUGAGCUUGGCGUGGUGGUUGGGGAGAUCAACGGUUGUUGCUUGUUCUUGUCCUUGUUGCUUGUUCUUGUCUUUGUUCUUGUCCUUGUUGCUUGUUCUUGCCUUUGUUCCCGAAGAUAGUGACCCCCUUCGCUACAGUAAAUGAAAAAAGAGAGCACUCGUGAGACAACAGUGAGCACUCGUGCUCCCCCAGGCUUCAUGUUGUACGGAGCCGUCGUCUUGAGCCGACACUACACGGAUCUUGCUGCGUGCGUGAGGUGAAAGAAUCAUGCCAAAAAAUCAAAGCCGCCUUCUCUUCCCUUUUGUCCUCACCGGAGCGCGCACGGAGGGCGAGUAGGCGGCACCGGCAGCGAGGCAGGACAGGGCGAGUAGUGCAUCAACACCAGGGUAGGGCAGGGCGAGUAGGGCACCGGCACCGGCGCGGGUCCGGACGGAGCAGUGCCGCACAAUGAGGAGGCGGACCACAGCGGCACCGGCGAGGAAGAUCUGGGCCGCACGGCGGGGCAAGGUGAGGGUGAGUAGGGUGAACAUGGCUGAGGUGAGCUUCGCAGGCAUCCAUGAAAACUAAAUCCAGAAAUCCAUCGAGCAGUGCCAUUCCCUAGCAUCUCUUCUUCUAUCUACAGCCUACAGGAACCACGACUUGACUGCACCUAGAAAUCCAUUAGUGGCUUUGUAGCGACUUGGUUGUUCUCUCAUGCAUGGAUGCAUCGUCAAAUAUGGGAUUCGGCAACCAGGUAAUCUCCUUGUAAAUGUCACAUGUUUACUUGCAACUUUGAAAUUAGACAUGCACUACAAUUCUAUUUUUUGGAUAGCAUUUGCAACUUUGCAAGAUCCAUGUGUUAACAGAAUGUUUUCAGUUACUAAUAACUGAAUAUCUUUUGCUACUAGUAGCAAAAAUGAGGGAGCCAUGGUGAGUUGUGUUUUGCCACUACAACAUGGCUGUUUAUAGAAGGCGUUUAAAAAUGCCUUUAAAAGGCAUCAAAAUGCCUUCAAAAACCUUUUUUAGGCAUACUUAAAAAUGCCUGCUAUAAACUGGACUUAAAAAGUCUUUUGAGGAAUUUUUUCAAAACGCCUUCCAAUAUCAACAUAUAAAGGCAUUUUGUAGCUGCCUAUAAUAAUUUCUAAAGGCAUUCUGUAUAAGCCUUCAAACACUGAUAGAGGCAUUAUUGAAAAUGCCUCCAAAACCAACUCAUAUGUUAAAAUUUGCUAGUAAUCAAAACAGCAACAUCCAUUGAGAAAUUAACCAAUGAAAAUACACGUUAACAACAUGAUCCAAACAUUUAACCUUUCAGGCUAUACACAGUUAUAUUUGUAACCAAGCACAGUCAAUAAGGUUGAAAAAUAGUCAAUUCAAAUGAUGUUCCAAGUCCUGAUGUCUAGGUCCCUAUUCCUAAUGCAAGUUUCUUUCUCCUUUUAUAAGAGUGUCCACAUCACAGCUAUAUAUAUAUAUAUAUGUAAGUAUAAAUCCAUCUAAAUAUACUAUGUUGCCACAGUACUGGCCAUCAAUAUUCAGGAACCAAAUUAUGUUACUCCUGCUUGAAAAUGACAUGCCCACAUCCAGCUAUACAUGUCUGUUGUCCUCACUUGUCAAUUGCUCCUGCUUGAAACCAAACAUGUCCCAAUGAGUGAAGGUAUAUACACAAGAUUUGGACAAGAGUUACUAGACAUAGGUUUACGUUUCUGAUUAGGAAAAAAAGGUAAACAGGAAUGUUGCUUCAAACAGAAAUUCUAGUGACAAGCGACAUGGCCAUAUUAAUUCUAGAAUUAGUUGCUCAACAUAAAUUCUUGUCAACGCAUAUCUACAUAAACAAAGUUACACUGACAGAUUAUCCUGACCAUACUAUAGUAACAAAGCCAACUACUAGUAUCCAAGAAACAAAAAUAAACAAACUUAGUUCCAAGCACCUAAACCAGUCUACAUAUGUUUCUUAAGAACAUCAAGUUUGGCACUUCCCACCACCUAUUAUUGUCCUACUAGUGAGGAAAACAGAGACCUGAUGAAGAGGUCUAAAGGAAAACUUUGAUCCUCUAGUUCUAUUUAUAUUCUCACUGCUAGCUGACUAGUUUUUAACAGACAUUUACCAACAAGUAGAAUGGCAUAUGAAGUAGAAACCUAUUCUGUAACACCAUCCACAAGUCAUACUACAAGCCUAUGUGUUUCAUAUAUUCAUCUAGGGUAGAAAAAUGACAUGUUGCCUAGAGAUGCCAAAACUAAACUGUCAUAGUACCAUGAAUUUUUAGAAAUGACAAAGAAAAAUAGAAAACUAGAAGCAAGAAAUGCUUACUUUUAAUUGUACUAACAUCGAGACGUUGUUAUAUGUAUGCAUAAACUCUUGAGUUCAUCCUUGCUCAGGGACGAGCAAGAGGUAAGCUUGGGGGAGUUGUUGACGGUCCAUAAGUACCAAAUAUAAUCAUCAAAUAAAUAAAGAAAAGGAUCCAAAUGCAACCAACACCCAUACUUAGGGUUUUAUCUGAUAGAAUUCCACGAGUUUUGGUGUUUGUCUAUUUCUGCAGGGGGUUAUCAGGAAAUACGGAAGAAAGGCCCACACGUCGGGUUUACAUAGAGAUAUUAACAUGCCGCGCAAUUUUCUGUCAUCUAGAAGACACCAGAAGCCACGGGAACGAACGUGAGGGCGAACGGGCUCGGGGGCAGGGCGCCCGCCCACCCCCCUUGGGCGCCCGCCCUGACCUGGAUUCAAUUCAGAACUCUCUUCGCGGACUAAGCUCCACCGACCUAAUGGAUCAAGGAUAACCGCCCAAUCAAUGUUGGUUUGAUCCAGUGGCUCACGUUCACUUGAGGGGACUAUAAAACUAGACCCCCUGGCCCCUAGAGGAGACAAGUUCAUCAUAGAGUUGAGAGGAGCCCUCGAAGGAAUACCUCUCCUCUAAAUAAAAUUUAUUUUAGGCUUAGCAUCCAAUGUGAGUAGAAUUAGAUCUUCUAGUUUCUACUAGAUUGAGAGAUAUAGAGUGGAGGUGUAGAUCGGAGGAAGCCCGACCUGUCGGUGUCUACUCCGAGGUUGUACCUGCGAGAUCAAGUUCUCCUAACCCGAAGCUUGCUCCUAGGAUUCUUCAGUAAUUCGACUUCUAAUUCUAGUAAGUUCUUGUUUUAUUGUUCUUUGGUUUAUGAGUUUACUUUAAUCUCUUCCGGUUGAGUAUUAGAGUAAUCAUUGCUAGCGUAAACGUGGUGUUUAGGCUAGGGUACGCAUAGAUAUCCCCUGACUAGCUGGACCAUGGUAGUAGCGAGGAACGUGACAUUUUUGAGUUACCUUUGCAGCCCACAUCUCGUUAGCAGGACGGAUAGGUUUAUAGGUGCGGGUCGAACAUCCUUUGUGGUGUCUAGAUUCCGUAAGCUUCCCCAAUAGAACAGUAGAUCAUCCUUACCAAGGUUAGAACGAGACUACGGUUGCAGUCUUCUCUAUACAUCACUCACAUUGAGAAACAUUCUUUGUAGCCUAAAGGGAUAGUAGCAAUAGAUUUGGUUAGUCAGAUGCAUCCUUUAUCCCAAUGGUAAAAAUAUAAAUACGAUACUCUGGAAAACCUCCCGGGUGAAAUGCUCACCGAUAUCCGUGCACUUGCGGAUCAUUUCCUUAUUGCGUUACCAAAUAUCAACAGGCACAUUGAGGUGAGAUGACCCCAAGUGCGGCACUUGAAGCACUUGACAUGCUUGAGCCUCUCUUAUUCUUUCAUCUUCUUAAGCUUCUCUUUGUUUGGGCAACCAUUAGCAAGAUGUCCCACUUCAUGGCACCGAUAGCACAUGAAAUGAGAAAGCUUUCUCUUUUCUUCAUUUCUUUUGCCCUUUGUCAUCUUCUCCUUGAAGCCAAGGCCACACUUGUCACCAUAGAUUCUUUGAGUCUUCAAUAUAUGCUCAAAGGUGACUUUUGAAUUAUAGCACCUCUCUAGCUUGUUGCUCAAAUUCUUCACUUGUUCAUUGAGCUUAUUGUUCUCCUUCAAAAGGUUAGUCUCACAAGACAUAGAAGUAGAACAGGCAUCUAAAUGUGAAGAACAUGGCAUAGAUAAUAAAUCAUCACAAGAGGUGGAUACAUGCUUCUUGCCUACAUCACAAGGGUUAGUAACAAUAUGUGAUUGAUCAUUUCACCCAAAUGAUGAGCUCUCACUAGUUUUAGUUUCUUCAUUAGAAAGCCUCCUAGUGAGAAAAGCAUGAUCUUUUACCAAGUUGUCAUGAGCAACACAAAGUUCCUCAUGAACUAAUUUUAGUUCCUCAUGUGAACAAUUAGUAACAUAAAGUAGAUGUUUUUGUUGUUCACAUGCGGUCUUUAGAAAUGAGUUUUCAUUUUUCAAUUUAUUUGUUUUUGCUAACUCAUUUCUUAAAGCUUUUGAGAGUUUGCAUACAAGCUCAAAAUUUGGACCAUCACAAUCAAUAAUCACAUCACCAAUAGAUACCUUAGUGUCACCAUGUGACAUGAAGCAAUGUGGUGAUGUAGUAGAUGAGCUUGUAGAAGCAUCACUCUCAUAGCCAUCAUCUUCAUCAUCAAGUGUGCAUGAGGUAGCAUCAUCAUUUGCAUCACUUGUGGCAUCAUCAUCAUCCUUGUCAAGUGAUCUUGUGGUAGCAUUAUCAUCACCAUCACUUGACCAUGAGGUGGAGCAAUCCUCCACAAACACCAUGUUAUGGUCAUGCUCAACAACCUCAUGUAUAUCCACAUUUGGCACAUCAUCUUCUCUAGAUAUCGCCCCAUAUUUCUCAUUGAGAAAUACCCAAGUCUCAUGGGCGGACUUCGUAUCCAUGAUCUCACCAAAUAUAUUAUCUUUCAUGGAUGAAUAGAAGAUGUUAGUAGCUUGGCAAUUGAGAUGUAGGCAUUUCUUUUAUGCUUGAGUUGCAACCUUUUUAUCAAUUGCACAAGAAAAUCCCACAUCUACAUUCCACCACAUUUGAGGAGAAAUAAACUUGAAAUUGCAUUGCAUCCAAAUUCUCCACCGUGCAAAGUGUGUGCCAUCAAAAAUGUGUGGACACUCAACAUCUAACCCAUAAGCCGCCAUCCUCUUGGGUCGGUGAAGACCACAAAUGAGAGACCUAGCUCUGAUACCACUUGAAGUGUCGAGAUGGCGGACUAGAGGGGGGGUGAAUAGUCCUUUCUAAAACUUAUCACGCCGGCUAACCGAAAUAAGUGUGGAAUUAAAAGUAUCGGUCUAGCCAAGACUAUACCCCUCUAUCUAAGUUAUUUAGCACCUUGUAAAAGAUCCUAAACAAGCAAACAGGGUGCUACCUUAGCAAGAGCUCGCCUAACCGAUUCUAGGAGCAAGGUCACACAAACCUAUGCCACUAGUACUUUGCAAACCGGGAGAGCUCCUACACAACUAGUAAGCAAAAGCACAAAGCUCCUAAGCUCACUAGCAAUGCUCAAUAACAAGGCAACCAAUGCCAAAUUAGAGAGCGCAAAUUACUUAGCUACACAAACUAAGAAAUGUGACUAACAAGGUUACACAAACCAAAUUAGUCACGCAAGGGAACUACUUCUAGCUACACAAGCAAGAAGGUAACUAGCAAGCUACACAAGCUAACUAAUUACAAGAGCAACUACACAAGCACAAGUAUAUGAAUGUAAGAACAAGCUUGUGUUACGGACAUGCAAACCAACGGGAAGAACAAUGUUGACACGAUGAUUUUCUCCCGAGGUUCACUUGGUUGCCACCAAGCUACGUCCCCGUUGAGACAAGCUCCAAGGUUGCCGCCGGUCCUCUUGCUAGUGGUGACCCGCAAGUCACACUCACCCACGUGGAGUGCUUACCACAAGCUCUAGCACUUGACCCGGUCGGACCACUUGUUGCUCUUCACGUCUCACUCAACUAGAGUUGCUCUUCGCGAUCCCCGCGGCGUGAGCACCGUACCCCUCACAAUCUCUUCUCCGGAGCACCGCACAAUCUCCUUGCGUGCUUCGACGGAGUCACAAGCCACCAAGCCAUCUAGGAGGUGGCAACCUCCAAGAGUAACAAGCACCACCGGCUUGCAACAUGAACACCUAGUGCCAUUCGAUGCAAUCUCUCAAUGCAACGCACUAGAAUCACUCACUCGCUAUUGAUUCGCACUCUUGCAAGCACAAGUGAGUUAGAGGCUUUCCUAGCACUCCCCAAGCAUGGACACUAAGUCCCAAGGGUGCUCAGCGCAAGCCAAGGCCGGCCACCACUUCUAUUUAUAGCCCCAAGGGCUAAACUAGUUGUUACCCUUCACUGGGCAAAAGUCGACCACAACGGACGCGUCCUAGUUAACACCGGACGCGUCCGGUAUUGACCAGACCAGCGUCCGGUGCUCUUGACUGUUAGAAAACUAGCCGUUGCCCUCAAUGCUGACAAGGCACCAGACUCUCACUUUUGAACACACCGGACCAAAACUCAGGGAGCGUCGCAAAAACAUCACACCACCGGACUCACACACCGGACCUAAACUCAGAGUGCUCUAAAAACUGAGUUUGCACUAGACGCUCAACUCGGACGUGUCCGGUGUCACACCGGACGCGUCCGGUAUGCACCGGACGAAAACUCAGAGAGCUUCUCCGAGAAAGCGUUCUCUCUAGAUGAAACACAUCGGACUCCAGGUGGAAACUAUUUCCAAGUUCGGUGCCUCAACUCGGACACGUCCGACCUCAUAACGGAUGCGUCCGGCUUCACAUCGGACGCGUCCGACCUCACAUCGGACGUGUCCGGCCUAUACGCGCUGCACGAAACAAACUCCAACUUCUUCCCUUGCUUCCAUGUGCCAACACCAAAGUGUCACAACACUUGUGCAAGUGUGUUAGCAUUUUCACAAACAUUUUUCCAAGGGAGUUAGCCUCUCAACUUGCCACGCCACUCGAUCCUAACACGUAUGGAAAGUUAGAUCGCUCAAGUGGCACAAGAUGUCUGAUAUGCAAACAAGUUUGCCCCUCUUGAUAGUAUGGCCAUCUAUCCUAAAUCCGGUCAAAUACUUCUCUACACACCUGUGACCGGUGAAAUGGAAAUGCCCUAGGUUAUACCUUUGCCUCGCGCUUUCCAUUUCAUCUCCUCCAAUGUUGAUGCAACACAUGCACCAACCAAUCACCAAAUGAUAUGAUCCACUUCAUAUCAUCAUGUGACCGUAUUGGUUCAUCGAUCUAACCUCACUUGCUCUUCACCAUUGCCUCGGUCCAUCGGCGCCAAGUCUUGCUCAAGCUUCACCGUCACACGCGGUCCCUCGCUUCAAAGCCUCUGACUUUCCCUUCACUCUUGCAACCGGUCCAUCGAGCCAAGCCUCAUCUUGAUCUUCUCCACCUUGGUCACAUGACUCCAUGUCAUGUCUCAUAUGCAAUGAGCUCCUCCAUCAUCACAUCAUCACCUGUGGACUAAUCUUCUGUGUAUCUCACAUAAAUACUAUUAGUCCACCUAAGUUGUCACUCAAUUACCAAAACCAAACAAGGACCUUUCAGACGCUAAAGCACUUGUUGAGAAGAUGGCCUCAAAUUCAACAUGCAAUGAAGAACGUACUCAGUCUCGGAAGAAAGGAGGAGGAAUCCAUCAUCUCAAGGAAGCUGGCAUGGUCUCUGCCAAGCUAGACCUCAUCAUGAAGAAGCUUGACAUAGAGAAGAAGGAAGUCAUGCACAUCAAUGAUUCCCAUAUGACAUGUGAAGAAUGUGGAGACUACGGGCACUCAGGUACCAGUUACCCUACACUACAAGAGGAUGUGAACUUCAUCAACAAUAACACCUACUAUUGUCCUCAACAAAAUCAAGGAUAGAAUCAGGAACCUUGACAAGGUGAUUACCAAGGUAAUAACCAAGGUAAUAAUUUUAAUAAUAAUUUUCCACCUUUAAGAGAACUAGUUGCUAAUCAAUCCAAACUGCUAGAUCAAAUGACUAGGAAACUAGCAUCAAAUGAUAAAACUUUGGAAAACAUACAUACUAGGAUGGAUACAUUUGCUUCUGCUAUAAACAAUCAACAUAGUUUCAAUAAAAUGCUAGAAUCACAAUUAGGUCAAUUAGCUGCUGCUAUACCUCCAUUAGAAAAAGGAAAGAUUCCCGGCCAACUAGAAGAUUUAGAAACUGCUAACCUUAUUGAUAUCCACAAUGUAACCCAAUGUUAUAUUGAGCCUGCAGUUGUACAAUGGAUUGACCACUCUCUGCUAGAGAAGAUGGGAGACCCUGGAAGACCUGUCAUUCCUAUGUCUAUAGAUGCCAUAGCUUUCCAAAGGCUAUCUGUGAUUUUGGUGCAAGUGUCAACAUUAUGCCCAAGGUAAUUUAUGAGAAAAUACUAAAUGAUUCCUUGUUGUAUACAAAUAUGCAUUUACAGCUUGCUGAUCAGUCCAUUUGCUACCCUAAGGGAGUCCUAGAAGAAGUUGUCAUUAGAGUGGGGCAAUCGUACAUCCCAGUUGACUUCGUGGUCAUGGAGACAGGAGUAGAUGAGAAGGCACCAAUCAUUUUGGACAGACCAUUCUUAUGCACAACAAAAGCCAUCAUCUAUGCGAAGCACGCCAAGAUUGUCCUAUCCAUCAAGGACAAGAAGGAGAGAUUUGCAUUCAAGAACCGCGUCCUGAAAUCUCCUACAGCCCCGAAGCAAUUCUACCAACGAGGAAAGCAAGAACAGCAAUCAGUGCCAAAGAAGAAGAACAAUAGAAGAUGGAGGAAGACCAAGCAGGCAGAGACUGCUCAAUUGAUCACUGUUGACACUAGCUAACACCACUUGAAUACUAGGUUGUCAUCCCCAGCAUGGUGCCAGAGUGUACAAAGGUAUUUAUGAAUGUAAAGGCUCUCUAGAAAAUAAUCUAUUCUAUCCGCAAGCGCACAGAUAAAACACCUCAUUGUAGCAUUUCACCAGGAAAGUAUUCCUGGUAUCGUUAUUUAUAAUUUUGUUUAAGAGAACAAUGGAGAUGAAGAUAAGGAUAAAAUCUAUCAAGGCAUAGACUAGAGAUAAACUUGCAAGAACAUAAUUACUAAUGAGGAACUCGUCACACAGUCACUUACUUUAGCAGGGGGUAAGCCAUAAUAAUGAUGAUAAUGAAAUAUAAGCUCAUGGGUAAAUAACACAGCGAUUAGAAAAUAGACUACUCCUCAUAUAUGUAAGGUGACAUCGGAUUAGCUAGAGAAUGGAUUCUAAGUUAUCUACUAUCUACUAAGUGACAAUCUACUCUAGUUAUCUACAAGAUCAUGUAUAGCAUAAAAGACUCUUCAUUCAUGUAUAAGGAACAUUGCUAAAGUAAAUCAGAGCAUCACAAGACUUACUCCGCAAUACAAAUUCUGCCUGUCCUAUCAACGGAGGGUGGAAUAUGUAAGAAUCAACGAAGCUAUCACUAUCGCGAACUACCACACGACCCGGCCAAUAGGAUACAUUUGCAGGUAAAUAAUAUCUAAGCACCACGCCCACAUUUGAUCUACCACUUAACUCCCACGCGUCAAGAGCUAAGUGCUUUGCAAACUUAUACAUAAACUCAUUAUCAAUCAUAACUAUAUCAAAUAUAGAACUAGAGCAAACUAAGAUCAUAAUAAAUAGAGACAUAAUGCAAUUAGAAUAGAGUAGUAGAGAAAGAUAUGAAAUAAUACCAAUCUUAUUAAUGAAGAUCCGAAUCCAGAGCGCUAGGCUCUACUUCUCUAAUUCUAUCUAAUCAAUCCUCUAAAACUUGAAGGAUUAGGGAGUAGCUAAUUCUAAUUCUCUGUGGGAGAGAAGUUCUAAAACCCUAACUUUCAUGGCUUCCUCUAAUAAUGAUUUCUCCUCUCUCCCUGGGGUGGAGAGGCCUUGCUUACAUAGUCCCCUCAAGUGAAUUUGGGUCGUCGGAUCAAACCGACAUUGAUUGCACAUUUUUCCUUGAUUCUUUAGGUCGGUGGAGCAUAAUCCGCGAAGUUGAACGUGAUUGGCCCCGAGGCCAGGGUGGGCGCCCUACCCCCGAGCCCGUCCGGUCUCCCGUUCAUUCCUGUGGCUUCUAGAAUCUUCUAGAUUAAGAAAAAUUGUGCGGCACGUAAUUAUCUCGUUGUAAACAUGACAUGUGGGCCUUCUCUCCAUAUUUUCUGAUAACCCCCUGCAGAAAUAGACAAACACCAAAGCUCUUGGAAUUCUGUCAGAUAAAACCCUAAUUCUAGAUGUUUGGUGCAUAUUGAUCCUUUUCCAUGUUUAGUUGAUGGUUAAAUUUAGUACUUAAGGACCGUCAACAAACUCCCCCAAGCUUACCCUUUGCUCGUCCCUGAGCAAACAGCUAAACUCAGAUGGAUCAGGAGUUGCUUCGAUGUUUUCUUUCCUGACAGGCACACAUGCUUUCAUAUAAAAUUCUUCCAGAUUAGAGUGAAGUGUCAUGGAACUUAGUACCUGCACUUAAGUCUUAAGUAAUCAAAAGACAAAAUAAUUAGGUCAAGCACUAUUCCUCGUGUUUAUACUUCACCUUUGUUCCAGAGUUUUGCAUAAGUUUUCAAAAAUAAAACUUAGAGUUCCUAGCUAUGAUUCUCUCAAGUCUCUCUAUAUGUGGUAUUUGUGGAUCCUUACCAAAAAUGUCACUUACCUAUAGCUAAUGGAAUAUUUAAGUGGAGCUCAUAGAAGUGAAAAACGGCUCAUACAUAUGUUGUCUAAUCGAGCCAUGGAUCCAAAGGAACUCAGCAUAUAAUUAAAUCAAGAUGUGCAUGUGUGGUGGAGUAAAUGAUAGUGAUGGUAAAAGUAUAAGUGAUAAUAAAACUUACUUCUCAUUGCUCCUCAUAUUGCUAUCUCUCCUCCUUUCUUGAUCUUUGCUUUGAGAGAACAUGGGCUAUCUCUCUUUCUUUUUUUUAGUUGGGUAGUAGAUACCCCUAAUUCUACUGUCGGACACUUGUCCAUUUUUUCCGCUUAGGUGGGCAUCUUUGUACCCCUAAUUCUACUUUAGACACUUGUCCAUUUUUACCUCUCGUCUCACUCUUUUUCUUUCUUUUUCGAGGUUCCGGGCACUUGUCCCUUUUUAUUUCCUCGUAUAUUUUUGCAUAACCCAUGCCUCUUCUGCAUUAAAUCUUUUUGGAGAGAGAGAAUAACAAUACUUGGGACAGUGAGUGAUAAUAUUUUUUAGCAAUUUUAAUGAAUGGUGGUGGAUGGUGUAGUAGAUGUGUGCAAGUGAAUAUCUUAACUUAACCACAUGAAAAGCUCCUAAGGGUCUACACAGCUCGAUCAAACUCAAUGUGAAUGUAAGUAGCAAAAGAUGUUAUAGCAAGUAUGGGCUGUGGUAGGAAUUUUGUCAUGCUAGGAACUCAUCAUGUGAUUUGCAAGUUUUCAAAAUAAAUCUCCAAAACUUAGUGUAGUAGGAACAAGAUAAACAGUAGCUCAAACUUUAUAUCAUGUCCUUCUCUUAGACUCUAGUUUUAGAUUAAUGCUUCCCAUAGAUAGUAAAUUUUAGUUUUAGUAAUUCCUGGAAGAACUCUAAUAUAAAAGCUAGGUACUUGAAAGUAAGCAAACAGAGCAACUGUUCAUCAUUUCCAUCAUGCAUCUUUUUGGUCUUUUUUUUUCUAGAGAUUAAAAUUUAGCAGGAAAAUAAAGCACACUUAUCUACACACUCUUUUUAUUUUGUUUUCAUGUUUAUAGAAUGCAGUAAAUUAAAGCAAGAAAAUAUUUGUUGGGUUUUCUAAGUUUUUUUCUCUUUAAGAUAAAUAAAACACUAAAAUAGAAAGGAAUAAAUAAGAAGGGCAAAUAAAAACUUACUUGAUAAAACGGGGAGAAACUCCCCCAAGCUGGAUGUGGUUGUCGGUCUUAGCCAAUGUUCUAGAAUCGCAUCAUGGUGGUGAUGUUGUCGUUCAUCGUUGUGGUAUCUUGUCUCAGUUCUUGUACUGUAAUGGUGUGGUCCUGGUUCCACUUUUGUUGCUGUUCUAGGAGUCGUCCAUGUUCCGCUUGCGUAUUCUAGAUGUCGAGGAGGGUGUUGUCGGUACGGGUGAAGAAGGUGCCGGCCUCUUGGUAGUAGUCGUUCGUGAAAGCAUAAGAGGCAUCAGAGUAUCGUCCUGCAUCGAAUUGGGGCUGGGAUCUUGACCCUGAAGCUCCAAACGGAUCAGUGGAGUGCCUGCCCGUAUGGAAAGGCGGGUUUGUCCACUAGUGAUCUUGGCCCUCCGGCCAUGUCUCCUGUGUUGGCUCUUGUGGUUGAGCAUGUCUAACCCAUGGGCCCCGAAGGACUCAGGGGUUGUAGUCACAAUAAUGCAGGUGCAUUGCUUCUUCCGGCCCGGGAUCAGCUCCAUACCAGGUGCGUUCUUGAAGGGUGGUCAUCCUUUCAGAUGCCACUCGUUGUGGAGCUCUCUGGUUUACCGGUGUCACUGCAAUCUCAAUCAAAUAAUUUUGAACAACAUAGAGGCCAAGGUUCGGGUUAGGUAACCGAAUCUUGCCUUUAUUAUCGUAUAAUAUAUACAUUACGUUCCCCUCUUUUUUCAACAUCCGAGCUUGCCUAAAUGUGUCAUAGCCAUGAUAAAUUCGUAACUCGUCAAUGAAUUCCAGUGAUGAGUUUUUUAGCAAUUGAAGAUUAGAGGCUAGACGAGUGAUAAGUGAAGUACAACCGACAGGUCCCUGAAGACAAGGUAUACUAAGCCAAUGAGAAACCAAAAGUGUAACAGGUGAAGUGGGUAUUUUAUUUAUAGCAGCAUAUAGAAGUUGCAAAUCUCCUAUUCUUACUUUUCUAAUAUCAUCACGAUGGAAAAGAUUGUACCCGAGCCAUUUGUGGAACAUCCUAAAAGUGGAGUGUUCCAUGUCGCUGGUUCGAGCUUAGCUAUAAAACUCAUCUCUAGAUAUCUCUCUCCAGAACUGGUGUCUCUCAAAAUUGGGUAAGUCGGAGUUAAUGUCCAGGAUGCGUCUUGAAGAGAAACUGAGAUGGUCGCUUAGUUCUCUCCAAGACAACAUAAUGUCCUGUUUGAACAUCCGAAAAGCGAUUCCCCCUCAUAAUAUUGUAAAGUGCAAAGAAAUUCAAGGGUGAGAAGACGGGAACCCAGCUCAGUUAUGUUCCAAAAAUUUGUCCAUCCCACCAUCUGGAAAAUCAAGUCAAAUUCAGUAUCCAUACCUAUUUCUUGUAGCAGGAUAGGAUCAAGAGUGGGGGUGUGAAUGAAAUCCUUGUUCUUUAGCUGCUGGUAAACUUCCUUCUCCCUACGGGUCUUCAGUCCAAGGUCUCCUGUCUUGAGGAGGACCUUGACUUGUGGACCUGAUGAAGAUGACGGAGCUUGCGGGGGCGUUGGGUCGAUGCUCAUCUCUGACUGGUGCGAGGAGUGUCGGGACGAACUCCUCAUACUAAUGUUCUUGAGAACCUUGCCCGCGUUCUUUACCUUUUUGAACAUCCUGCAAACAAAAGUUGACACAAACACAACUAGUGGAAAAUGUGAGAGAAAUUGUUAGUGGUCAGCUGUCCAAAAUGUCAGUAGUCCAGGGGUUAGUCGUUCAAGACAAGUUUUUAUUUUGGCAGUACCUCCCCCUAAACAACUUUUACUUCCGCUCUGGACAGCGGGAUCACUACUUACUAGGUGAACCUUACUCUCUCACUCAAAGACUACGAACCUCUCUUCCACUCUUCUCUUCCUCUCUACUCUCCUUCUUACUUCACUACAAGAGCUCCUUCUCUGGAAACUGAAACUUGCGUGGUUUUCUGGGAGGCUUGUGUGAUGGAGAUGGAGGCAGGUGGUGGCAAUUUAUAGGAGUAAGGGGGGACAGGGCGGGCGCCCUCUGUAGGUGGGCGGGCGCCCACCUUUGGUGGCCAUCCUGGCUGCAACUUUUCUAUUCCCUCCUUUGCUUAACACUUACGCAAAAUAAUAGUUCAUGGGUGGUGGUUGGUCGAUGGAAAAGUGCAGGUGAGUGGAGUUAUGUUGGUGGAUCAAAUAAUGUGAUGGUAUGUGUGUGUAUGACAUGUGGGACCCAAGGAGUGUGGGUCAUGCUUCUAGAAGGUUGCUAUAAUUAAAUAUAAUGCAGGAAAAUCUAUGAGAAUUGAAACUUAUUGAAAUGAUAAUGGAAAAUAUUUUUUUGUGCCUCCACACUAAUUAAUAAAUAUGGGUUGUCACACACCAUAAAUAUUAUUUAUAUGGGGCUUUUUUAUUAUUAUAAUAAUGCUAUGAAUAAAUAUGGAUAAUGCAGGAAUUAAAUAUGAGAGAAUUAAUGAUGCGGAUAAAUACCGAUUUACCUCCUGGCGAGGGUUUGGGAUUUUUAGGUCCCCCAAGCUGGACCUCCAAAUCUUUUAAUCUUCUGAAUUACCUUCUUCUGGAGAUGGUGUCUCCAGUGGUUCUUCUUCAUGAACUUCCUUCACUGUAGAGUCUCUCUCUAGUCUGGGCUUGAAUGUGAAGUGUUUUUCUUGUCCGUUUAUGUUGAAUUUGAUUUCUCCCUUUCCAACAUCGAUGUGGGCAUUGGCAGUGCUCAGAAAUAGCCUUCCAAGGAUAAUGGACACUUUUGAGUCGGGACUCAUGUCUAGUACCACGAAGUCUACAAGCAUAAGGAAAUCUCUGAUCUUGACUAGGAUGUUGUUGACACCGUUUUUGGGCACGUGUCCAGGCCGGCAGGAUAAGACGGCAGUGUUUGUUUACAGGAUGAGUUGCCGAUGAGGAUGGUUGCCGAUGAAGGAGAGGUUGAACGUGACUAAGUCUACAGGCGGUGAUGUGUCUGUGCCGAUGGCUAUGAUGAGGAAGUCUGCCGAUGACUAUGGCAAGGGAGUCUGCCGAUGAUACGAAGGGAGAGUUCGGGAGCCGCCGAUGGUUUGUGGAAGAGUUUCAGUUUGUCACGGGGGAUAGUUUUGUUAUUUCCUUAAUUAUUUAAAUCGUUUUGUAUACGGAUUCCGUGUAAUUUGGAAUUCGAAUUCUAAUCGUGUCUGGCUGUAGCUCUUUGAGCAGGGUAUAAAUAUAGACCCUAGGACCUUAUAAUGAGACAUCUAUCAAUCAAUCAAACACACGUUUUUACUCAUAUUCCAGCAUCUACUUUUUUUCGACGACUUCGUCAUACUUUUUUUCCCUUUCAUUACGAGUUCUUAGGAAUUCGUCGACUCAAGCUCGGCGUAUUCUCAAAUUCCGCAUGAGUACCUCUUAGCCGUGACAUCCGGGCGCAUCGCUGUUGUCAGGACUAAAGUAUUCGAGUUAUCACCUUUGCCGAUAGUAAGGUCAAAUCGGCUGGCACACCUUAACAUUUGAAUCGGGUAUUAGCCCUUUAUGUUUGCAGACCAGUUUUUGCACCAACACAUCUUUUGGCACGCCCAGUGGGACAGAUCCAAGAUCAAGAUCAACAUGUCGACUUCUGAGUUUGAUCAAGAGAACGUCAUCCCCGUGACAGAAGCCAAUCUCAAGGAUGAGCAGAAGCAAGCUAUUGCUAAAGCCAUGGAGGAUUACAAGCAGCAAUGCCUGAGGUCCUUCAGCAUGAACAGGAGCGGUGAGGUAAUUCAGAAGGAUGCACUACCGGCUCCUCGGCAGGUUACUUUUGAGUCCAAUCCUGGCAAGCUUCAAGAGAUGGUUGACAGUGCGAUCAACCGCGCUUUGAUAAAUCAAGCUGGUGUACUGUCUAAUACGGUUUUCAAUGCCGUGGCGAGAACUUUCAAGGAGGGACAACUGCCACCAGAUUAUGUGGGCCCCACUUAUCACCAGCCAAAGUCACCAGUGGUCACAGCUCCAUCGGCUGUUACGGCCGCUGUGGGUAUGGAGAUUCCUGUUCCACCAAGCACGUUAGGAGUCACCAAUGGACAGUCUAUGCCGAUGACAACUAAUCCACAAACUUCAGAUAGGCAGAUUAAACUUGCCACAGAUCUGUUAGCAUCAGCAAUGACAGGGUUAACCCCUCCUCCCAACUGGUGGGUUUAUGGCAUGCCUCCAGAGUUAACGCCAGGUACAUCACAGACGACUGAUAUGAGAGGCAAGACUCCUAUGGCAUCGACACCUCCCAAUAUGCCGAUGAACCAGAGUCCGCAGUAUACUACAACUACUACUGCAAGACCUCACACUGGGAAUUCUCAAGCUCUAAUGUUCCAGAUGCCUAACGCAUCGGCAGACUCGAUGCUGAUGCAAUAGAGGUCUAUGGCUCAGUCAGGGUAUGUCAAUUCAAUGAUAAUGCCCAAUUAUCAGUCAUCGGCAGGGCCUAUGCCGAUGAACGCUAAUAAUGGAUGGCUUGGGCAGCAAGUCUUUCCGCAAACACCCCAACAGAGUCACCAGGCUACAGGGUUCCAGCAAGAACAGAUCUAUCCCGGGUUUCUGAAUCAGGGGAUCCCUAACCAGCCAGUGAAUCCCGGGCAGCAGUUCGUCGGACAGCAGAUUGGCGGGCAACAGCGUAGUGGUCCACCGGUCGGAGACCAGAUGAUCAACCCAAUGUUCCGUGCAGAUCGCGCACCGAACAGACACGUGGAGGCCUACCAGCAGGCACCUGAUCCGCAACCGCCCCAUCGGCAAGAUGCCGAUGCAUACUGGGCCGAUAAGAUUGCUGAAGUAAUGAGAGACCAAUUCGGGAUAAAACCCAAAGUCAAUACUUACUCUUAUCGGACACCGUAUCCUCCUGCAUACGACUUGAUCCCGCUUCCACAUCGGUACAAGGUACCGGAUUUCACUAAGUUUUCUGGGCAGGAUGAUACGUCAACCAUGGAGCACGUCAACAGAUUCAUUAUUCAGUGCGGUGAAGCUGGUAACAGGGACGAAUUGAGGGUUCGUUUAUUUUCAUCAUCAUUGUCUGGGUCGGCUUUUACCUGGUUCAUAUCACUACCUCCCAACUCAGUGAUUACUUGGGCCGAUCUGGAAAAACCAUUCCACAAAUACUUCUUUUCUGGGGUCCAUGAGAAGAAGAUCACCGAUUUGGUCAAAUUAAGGCAGCGUAAUGAUGAAUCAGUUGAGGGUUUUGUGCAGAGGAUACGGGAAGUCAAAAAUAAAUGUUAUAGUCUGGUCCUAGAUGAUCGGCAGCUAGCCGAUUUGGCUUUCCAGGGUUUAUUGCCACACAUCAGGGAUAAGUAUGCUUCUCAGGAGUUUGAAAGCUUAAGUCAUUUGGUGCAGAGGAUUUCUAAUCAAGACAUCAAGCCUUUCGAGCCCAAAAGAGCAUGGAACAAGAAGGUAUCAUUUGUUGAUGAGGCAACAGGCUCAGAUUCUGAGGAGGAACCAGUCAUCGGCUUGGCAGAGUGGGUAAAGAACAAGAAGCCGAUGUCUUGCCCUUUUGGGCAGAAGGAACCAGAGAAGUUCGCUUUUGACACCGCUAAGGCUGAUAGGAUAUUUGAUUUUCUACUUCAGGAAGGUCAGAUCAAGCUGUCUCCUAAUCAUGUGAUCCCAUCGGCUGAGGAAUUAAAGAGGAUGAAAUAUUGCAAGUGGCAUAAUGCAACUUCUCAUGACACCAAUGAGUGCAAGGUUUUCAGACAGCAGCUGCAAUCAGCUAUAGAGUCUGGGAGAAUCAAGUUUGACAGUUCCAAGACUCAGAAGCCGAUGAAGAUAGACCAACAUCCUUUCCCAACAAACAUGUUGGAUGCUAAGGGAAAGGCUAAGGUCUUAACAUCAGAAGCAGCCGAGAGGAGUGCAUCGGUAGAUCCUCAACAUCAAGUUACUACUACCGAUGCAAGAGGUAGGGGCUUGGUUCAGGAAGGAACCAGCUCAGGUAGGCCUCCCCGGUCUGGCAUCGUUAUAACUCAUAGAAGGCCUCGAGAUAACUGGCAACAACGGGUAGAUCGGUAUCGGCGCUAGCAAGAAGAUUAUCGUCGGGAGGAAGAGAGACGCCGACAGGAGUGGGAUCGGCAUAGAGAUCACUGGAACUGUCCGUUCUUCAUCCAUUGUUGGGAGGAGAAUAUUAAGCUUCCCACUGUCAGAGACUGCCCUGAGUGCAAUGGUUAUGAUCGGUAUGAUAGGAUCGAUCGGCGUUAUCAUGAUGACAAUCGGCGAUUUAAUGGGCCGAUCAGAGGAAGAGCAUCAGUUCAUGAUCGGCUGGGGGGCAGGCUCAAUGUGCAUGAUAGGCUUGGUGAUCGUGUCCAAUAUUUUCCCAGGAACCAGGAAGAGUUCGAGGAGAUGGCUAAUGCACGAGUUCCCGAUGAGUUCAUAUUUUGCAGAGAUGCUAAUACGCAUCGGAUGGAGUCGAGAGAGAAUCGACGCCCAGCAGCAAGGCAGAAGCCACUUCCUCCAUGGUGUCCAGAAGGGCUGACCAAGACACAGAAGAGGAGGUUGCAGCGUGAAAGGCAAGAAGGGCUAAGCAAGGGCGAAAGCUCUGGAAAACCUGAGGAUCGACAACAACCCGAUCCUAAGGGGGAAGGUCCAUCGGCAGGUGUCAACAUGGUCUUUAUGUUGCCGAUGGAAUUCCUUGCACCAUCCAGUGAUGAUGAGGUGGAGUUUUCCGAUCAAAUAACUCAGUUGGCUCUAGAUCCGAUGACGGAUAUCUUCGAGAAGCCUGCCGAUGAUGAAAAACAGCAUCUCAAGGCUCUGUUUGUCAAAGGAAGGGUUGAUGGGCAGCCGAUGACUAAGAUCUUAAUUGAUGGAGGAGCUGCUAUCAAUAUCAUGCCAUAUACGGUGUAUCGGAAGCUUGGAAAAGGAGAUCAAGAUUUAACCAAGACCGAUAUGAUGCUCAAAGACUUUGAAGGGAAUGUGUCUCCGGUCAAGGGGGCAGUAUGCGUAGAGUUGACUAUCGGCAGCAAAACCUUGCCGACAACCUUCUUCGUGAUCAGUGGAAAGGGUGCUUACAACUUGCUAUUGGGAAGAGAUUGGAUUCAUGCUAAUUGUUGCAUCCCAUCUACAAUGCACCAAUGUUUGGUUCAGUGGGUAGGUGACAAAAUUGAGAUUGUCCCGGGAGAUUCUUCUUAUGUCAUUGCGUCGGCCGAGGCAGAUACCUAUGAGAGGACCAGGUGCAUUUCAGGAGAAGUUUGGGAGAAAGAUUUUCUCAAGGUUGCCGAUUACGAGAUUCCACCGAUCCAAGCAGUCGGUUCUGACGACGGUUUUUAAUGGAUAGGUUCGCCGAUGAUGGAAAGUUAGGCCAGGGAUUCACAUCGGCCGAUGAUUUGGUAGAAGUAGAUAUCGGUAGUGGUGAUAAGCCUAGACCUACUUUUAUUAGUGCUAAGUUAAAUCCUGAGUGUAAGCAGCAAUUAACCAAUUUGUUAAAGGAAUAUAAAGAUUGCUUUGCUUGGGAUUAUACCGAGAUGCCUGGUUUAGACCGAUCAAUUGUUGAACAUCGGUUGCCUAUCAAAUCUGGAUUUCGGCCACAUCAGCAACCAGCUCGCCGAUGUAAUCCUAAUAUUCUUCCUGACAUCAAAGCCGAAAUAACCAAACUUAUUGAAGCUAAAUAUAUUCGGCAGUGUCGGUAUGCCGAAUGGAUUUCCAAUGUUGUUCCGGUCUACAAGAAGAACGGGAAACUUCGGGUCUGUAUUGAUUUCAGGAACCUUAACAAAGCUACGCCGAAGGAUGGAUACCCAAUGCCAGUUGCCGAUCUGUUGGUUGACGCUGCGGCUGGGCAUCGAAUUAUUAGCUUUAUGGAUGGUAAUGCAGGGUACAAUCAAAUAUUCAUGGCUGAAGAAGAUAUUCCAAAGACUGCAUUCAGAUGUCCUGGUCAUGUUGGAUUGUUCGAGUGGAUAGUUAUGACUUUUGGCCUCAAGAAUGCUGGUGCUACUUAUCAGAGGGCCAUGAAUUUUAUAUUUCAUGAGUUCAUCAGCAAACUGGUAGAAAUUUAUAUUGAUGAUGUGGUGGUCAAGCCCAGGGACUUCACAGAGCAUCUUGCCGAUCUACGAAAGGUAUUGGAGUGCACAAGGAAGCACGGAUUGAAGAUGAAUCCCAAUAAGUGUGCAUUUGGUGUAUCGGCAGGGCAGUUUCUCGGUUUCAUGGUGCAUCAAAGGGGGAUUGAAAUUAGUCGAAGAUCUAUUGAUGCCAUCAAUAAAAUAGUAGCCCCUACAAACAAGACUGAGCUCCAGUCCUUGAUCGGCAAGGUAAAUUUUAUCAGGAGAUUUAUAUCUAAUUUGUCUGGUAAAAUUCGUGCUUUCAGUCCUCUUCUUAAGCUAAAAGCCGAUCAAGAAUUUAUUUGGGGGAAAGAACAGCAGUUAGCUCUGGAUGAAAUCAAGGAGUUUCUAGUAAAUCCUCUAGUUCUAAUUCCACCUCAGCAAGGAAAGCCCUUCAGAUUGUAUUUGUCUACCGAUGGGAUGGUUAUCGGUUCAGCUUUGAUUCAAGAAUUUGAAGGGAAAGAGCGUGUAAUUUAUUACUUAAGCAGGAGGUUGAUUGAUGCUGAGACCAGGUAUUCGGCCAUUGAAAAACUAUGCCUAUGCUUAUAUUUUUUGUGUAUCAAGUUAAGGCACUACUUGUUAUCGGCCGAAUGCACUGUUGUUUGCAAAGAUGAUGUGAUCCGGUACAUGCUAUCUAUGCCGAUUAUGAGUGGCAGGAUCGGUAAAUGGAUUUUGGCGCUGUCGGAAUUCGAUCUGCGUUAUGAAUCGGCUAAGGCAGUUAAAGGGCAGAUUAUGGCCGAUUUUGUGACUCAACAUUGCGGUGCAGUGAAGGCUUUGGAAAUUGUGCCCUGGACGCUUUUCUUUGAUGGAUCUACAUGUGACCGGGGGGCAGGGAUCGGCGUAGUAUUAGUUUCCCCUAAGGGGAGGAAGUAUGAAUUUUCCUUGCCGAUUGUUGCUACAUCAACAAAUAAUCAGGCUGAGUAUCAGGCUUUGAUAAAAGGAUUGGAGUUGUUAAGGGAAGUUCAUGCGGACGCUGUCGAAGUCUUCGGGGAUUCUAUGUUGGUUAUAAAUCAAUUGGCCGGGAACUAUGAAUGCCGAAGUGAAGUUCUCAUAACUUAUUACGAGAGGAGUAUGCAACUGUUAAAGGAAUUCAAAGAUUUCCAUUUAGAGCAUGUUCCCCGAUUGCAUAAUGAAGAGGCCAAUCGGUUAGCUCAGCAUGCCUCAAGAUAUCAGCCUAUAAUUAAUACAGUAUCGGCAAUCGAUGCCGAUGAUUGGAGGAAAGAAAUUAUUGAUUAUUUGAAAGAUCCAUCUAAGAAAGUUGAAAGACGAGUUCGAUUUCAAGCGACCAAGUGAUGAUGAAGCUAGGAGUUUGGUGGGAGAAAUUCAUGAAGGGGUGUGUGGAGCGCAUCAGUCAGCUUUUAAGAUGAAGUGGAUGAUUAGGAGGAAUGGAUAUUAUUGGCCGACUAUACUUGAGGAUUGCUUUAAGUAUUUCCAAGGGUGUCAGAAGUUUGGUAACAUUCAAAGGGCACCUGCAUCGGCUAUGAAUCCUAUCAUAAAGCCUUGGCCGUUCCGAGGAUGGGCUAUUGAUCUGAUCGGCCAGAUUUAUCCACCAUCUAGCAAAGGGCAUAAGUUUAUUCUAGUUGCCACUGAUUAUUUCACUAAGUGGGUCGAGGCUAUUCCUUUAAAGAAAGUCACAUCGGCCAAUAUGAUUGAUUUUGUGAAGGAGCAUAUCAUUUAUCGAUUUGGAAUUCCUCAAACAAUUACUACCGAUCAGGGCACUAUGUUUACAUCAGGGGAGUUUGAUGAAUUUGCAAUCGGUAUGGGGAUUAAAGUGUUGAAUUCUUCUCCUUAUUAUGCUCAAGCCAAUGGGCAGGCCGAGGCGUCUAACAAAGGAAUUAUCAAGCUUAUCAAACGAAAGAUUGAAGACAAUCCUAGGCGGUGGCAUACAUUAUUAAAUGAAGCGUUGUGGUCCUAUCGGAUGGCUUGUCAUGGAUCAACCAAAGUGUCACCCUAUCAAUUGGUAUAUGGACAUGAUGCAGUGUUACCUUGGGAGAUUAAGGCUGGAUCUAGGUGAUUAUCUUUUCAAGAUCAAUUAGCUGCCGAUGAUUAUGCCACUUUGAUGACCGAUGAGUUAGAUGAUCUAGCGGGACAUCGGUUAAAGGCUUUAAUGAGUAUAGAAGAAAAUAAGAAAAGAGUUGCUAGAUGGUAUGACAAGAAAGUAAAGGCUAAGGAGUUUGCCGAUGGGGACUUGGUAUGGAAAUUAAUUUUACCAAUCGGGACUAAAAGUUCAAAGUUUGGAAAGUGGUCUCCUAAUUGGAAAGGUCCUUAUCGGAUAAGUCGAUCGGCUCCUGGAAAUGCCUAUAUUCUAGAAACUCUCGAAGGAGUUGAAUUUCCCAGAGCAUUAAAUGGCAAAUAUUUAAAGAAGUACUACCCCAGCAUAUGGGUCGAUGCAUAAAAGUUUAAGUGCCGAUAACACUCCUAUCGGCUGGAUUUAAAUGUUUGGGGGCAGGACUUAAUGUUUCAAAAGAUGCCGAUAACAGUCCUUUCAGCUAGACUAAAAGCUAAAAGAGCAGGAAAACACAGAUGUGUCGCCGAUGAGAGCUUCAUGUGUUCAGCAGCGCCUGGAUCGCCGAUAUGGCGCGUAGCCGGAUUUGGUUGGCUGCUUCUAUCUCCUUGAUAUCGUCAUCGGCAGAGCCUUCUAUCGGCUUCAGCUUCUUCUUCAACUGUAGUGCCUUGCGACCGUGGAUGUUCCGCUCAUGCUCAAGAAGCUUGAUGGUCUCUGGCAGUUGACUCUCUUCCUGUUGGGCUUGGGACAAGGCGUCCUCCACUUGUUUGAGUUCUGCCAACAGGGAUUCCCUUUUUCCCAAUAAGUCAGAUAUCUUCUGCUUCAGCGUGUCUCCUGAAGAUCUCAAGAUGCCGAUGUUCUUGUGCUUCUCAUCGGUCACGAGCUUCUCUUUCCUCAUCUCUUCAGAAAGCUGAGUCUGAGCUGCUCUAUCGGCAAGACGCCGAGAAGCCCUCUGGUACUGCAGCUGACGACUCUCCAAAUGUGCAGCUUGGAAAAGGAUUUCUUCGACAUCGGCUAGGAUCUGGCCUCUGAGAGUCCUGAAUAGAAUCUUGGCUGGGUCGGAGUCAUCGACCAAUUGCGCCGUGUCCUGGUGAAGGAGGGCCGACAGUUCUUCCAGCCUGGCCCUGAUCUCUGCCGAUGUAAUGCCAACUGUCUGGGAAGAGCAUGCUUCUUCACCUUCUUCUUCAGAGAGGUCGAUGGCGAAGGAGAAUAAGCUGUCGGGGGAAUCUUGUUCCUGUGAGGGAGAGCAAAGUUAGUUCAUAUUCGGAGAAUCGGCAAGUAAUGUUGAUAAAGAUUGGGUGACUUACUUGUUUCAAGGCUAUUUCCUGCCUUUGACUGGAAGAUGCCGAUGGAGCCGUAGGUUGAUCGGCCAGAGUUGCCGAUGGAACGACAUCAACUGAAAGAAGACAGGAAGAGUUAUGAGGCUGAAUGAGAAUAAGUUCAUCGGUGGUAGUAUUAUUAAAAUAUGUUACCCGGAGGAGGAAUGAUGAUUGUUUGAGUCGGGGGAACUGCCGAUGAUGUAAUUGGACCUACCGGGCCAGUUGUUUGUCCACCCACGUCAGCUGAAGUACCUUCUGCUUGGGGUUUUUCCUGCUGGGGUUCGUCUGCUUCUGGUGCUUCCUGCGGAUGAGGGGGAGAUGGUGCUUGCUGGAUCUCUACAUCUGGAGGGGAGGGAGAAGAUUCCACCGGAAUAGGAGAUACCAGAGGAGGAGGAGGAGUCGCCACUUUCUGGCGUUUUGUUCCAGCCCUGGUACCCUUGGUGCCCUUCCUCUUUGGCUGGCUGGACUGGGGGGCAUCGGCACCUUGACAUUUGGCUUUUGCCGAUGCACCAGUUUGCUGCAGCAACAAAAAGGAGUUUCUAAAUACAAAUGUAGCCGAUGUAAAGGUAAUCGGUAUAAGUAAAAGGGGUUUGACGAAUUGCUUUGAAAGCCUGGGCUAGAGUGGAAGCAGCUACCGUUGGUGAUGUCAAAGUUCUCUUGGUGGUGACUUUCUUAAGGCGCACGCCUCGGUGCACAAUGGUAGCCAAAGUAGGAGCAUUGUGGCCGAUUGAAGAGAUUGGGCCUGGUGGAAACAGGUCAAUCGGCCUACCACUUCUGCUAACCGAUGGGGGGAUGUUGUCAACCUGCAAAAGGGACACAAAGGUGAGUUACCGAUGGAAAUAGGAUUGAAAAAAUUGGAAUACCGGUUCGAGAUACUUACAACGUCAUCGGGGACUUUGUACUCGCGGUCGAUCAUGCCGCGGUACGAGAGGACUGAUUUGCAGAAUAGAUGCUCCUUCUAUUCUGCCCACCAUAGCUUGUAUGCCUGAGUAAUGAAAGCGGCUGGAACCCACUCUGACAAAUCUGCAUCUGUAUCGGCAUUCGGUGGUAGUUGAGCUACUCGAAUCCACUCAAGAAAGUUGGUGAUGGGUUCCCUGGGUUUUAUCACAUCGUCAUAACAGAGUGCAAUCGGCAGCUGGCCGAAAGCUAAUUGACGAGCUAAUGCCGACGGGUUGUAGAAUUCAUAAGUCUGGGGAGAGGUUUUUGUGCUACCAAAGGAAUUCACGGGUAUGGCUCUAGGAGUCACAAUUGCCAUCAUCACCUCAUUAUCCCUGUCAAGAGCUUCAUCAAAUGGAUUGAAAACCAGAGGGAGCAUACUGUCUGGGUCAUCAUAGGCCAACCAUGGUCGUUCAUCUCUGGCCAAGCCCUCAUACAAAGUCUGGAAGAAUCGGCUGAUCUGAUCUGGAUUACCCCCUUAACCAGGCAAGACUAUGACGGCUUCGCCAAAGUUUUGGGGAGCGCGUGUUGCCGAUUCUUCUUCACCCAACACAUGAUUUUCAGUUAUAUCUCUUGGGAAACGCUGUGUAAAUAAGUUAAAGUUGAGGCGCUUGUGCAGAUGCAGAUUAGGCCACAUAUUGAUAAACCACCAGGGGCCGCCUAAGUUGCCAGUAGACUGGCCGAGCAGGAGUUUCUUGGCCACCUGAUGGAGGAGAUGGUAAGCAGUGCCAAGCAAGUAUCGGCCGAGAGGGAAUCGGCCACCGUUAGCCAGUCUCUCUGCUGUCGAUAGAUAGACGGAAGUCGGUCCUGCCGAUCGACCACAGAACACAAACUUGUCCAGCCACAUGUUCAGAAAGGUGGUUUGUUCCUUUAUGCUGACAGGCCCCGUCCCACGAUACUUCUGAAUGUACCCUGACCAGCCGCCGAUGGAGCGAGUUUCCACUUUGGCACUAGGAGCGGUGUCAAAAAAGUGGGUGCUAUCGGCAGAAGAUAUAUCUAGACCGGUGAGCAUGGCUACAUAGGCAAGAGUAGGAGAAGCAGGGCCGUGGCCAAAGACAAAAGCGUUGAGGGUGUCUGACCAAAAGUAAGAUGCAGCUAUCAACAGUGACUCAUUCCUGUGCAUAUCGGCAAUGGACAAUCUAAUGCAUUGAUCUAGCUUUCUCUCACCCCACUGGACUUCAUUGGAGUUGCUGACCCUCAAGAACCAGUCUUUCCACCCUACAGUAGGGCUGGGCCAAGAACAGAAGGUGUCUUUCCACAGAUCUAAAGAAAAAUUUUCGGUUCUGAAAGGGAUCCUGUUGGUUUCUGUGUUAAUAAGAUCGGUUGGAUCUGGAUCCCCUAGGGGGCCGAGGCAUUGGAGGUGUGGUUGAUCGGUAGGGAUGACAAUUUUGUUGGACAAUUCCUGGUGGUUUUGGAAAUAAAGAAAAGGAACACAAAGAAAAGAAAAAAAUAUACAGUAAAAUGGAUUGCGGAUGAAUGGGGAUGUGAGGAAAAGUACAGGAGAUGGAAUGAAGAACUGACCUCAGGGACGAUGAAGCUAAUGGCCAUCUUGCGACGAGGAGGGUCUCUGAGGGCUCCGAGGUUGGUGAGGAAGAGUCUUUGUAGGAGGUCUUGGAGAUUUUGAAUGGCGCCGCCGCUAGGAAAGUAAAGUUCGGAUGGUGGAAUGAUGUGAUGGAGAAGGAGUACCCGAGAAGGAACUAUUUAUAGGACAAAAUGGGCAAGGGCAAAUCUGACUUAUCUCCUUGCCGCAUCUGAGAAAUCCGAGGGUGCUCAGGUAGAUAUGGUAACUGCUCGCACGAUAAUCAAGGGAUUGUGCAGGUGAUUUGACGGGAAGCGGUCAUUAUCUGGAGAUAUUUUACUGUGCGGGAUCUCCUGGUCGGUCCAUCGGCAGCGUCCUGUAACGGUCAUAUUGCCGAUGGGCGAGUAAAGUGAAGAUAGCCGUUUGUACGAACGUCCUGAUCAGUUCAUCGGCAGAUCUUUGUAACGGUAAUAUUGCCGAUGUGCGGUUGAGACGGAAAUGCCCGUUUAGGAAGUUGAGGAUUUCGAGGAAUAUGCAGAAGAAUAGGAUCAAAGUUGUUCAGAUUGAGGUUGUCGGUUACCAGAUUAGGAGCAUUAAUUGCGGGAAAAGGCAUCAUUACUGCAGAGAAUUUCGGAGCAUUGAUGAUUUCAUACUCCGUAAUUGGGGAGCAUGUGUUGACACCGUUUUUGGGCACGUGUCCAGGCCGGCAGGAUAAGAUGGCAGUGUUUGUUUACAGGAUGAGUUGCCGAUGAGGAUGGUUGCCGAUGAAGGAGAGGUUGAACGUGACUAAGUCUACAGGCGGUGAUGUGUCUGUGCCGAUGGCUAUGAUGAGGAAGUCUGCCGAUGACUAUGGCAAGGGAGUCUGCCGAUGAUAUGAAGGGAGAGUUCGGGAGCCGCCGAUGGUUUGUGGAAGAGUUUCAGUUUGUCACGGGGGAUAGUUUUGUUAUUUCAUUAAUUAUUUAAAUCGUUUUGUAUACGGAUUCCGUGUAAUUUGGAAUUCGAAUUCUAAUCGUGUCUGGCUGUAGCUCUUUGAGCAGGGUAUAAAUAUAGACCCUAGGACCUUGUAAUGAGACAUCUAUCAAUCAAUCAAACACACGUUUUUACUCAUAUUCCAGCAUCUACUUUUUUUUUCGACGACUUCGUCAUACUUUUUUUCCCUUUCAUUACGAGUUCUUAGGAAUUCGUCGACUCAAGCUCGGCGUAUUCUCAAGUUCCGCAUGAGUACCUCUUAGCCGUGACAUCCGGGCGCAUCGCUGUUGUCAGGACUAGAGUAUUCGAGUUAUCACCUUUGCCGAUAGUAAGGUCAAAUCGGCUGGCACGCCUUAACAUUUGAAUCGGGUAUUAGCCCUUUCUGUUUGCAGACCAGUUUUUGCACCAACAGAUGUUUUCGGCGAUGCCCAACGGGUGUCGAACUGAUUGAUCUGCUAGUUGUAGGCACAUUGAUGUUGGUUCUAGGGUCGUAUGCUCAAGCUUCUUGUAGACUGAUGCUGGCAUCACACUGACACUUGCUCCGAGAUCACAAAGUGCAUUGCUGAAGUGUUGGUCUCCGAUCGAGCAAUCAAUAGUGGGGCAUCCUUGAUCCUUCUUCUUCCUUGGUGGUUUAUUGAGGAUGGCCGCACUACAUUCUUCUGUCUGCUUGAUAACCUCAAUGGUGGGCAGUGGUCUCUUUUUGUUAAGAAUAUCUCUGAUGUACUUUGCAUAUGUUGGUACCUGUAUGGCUUCAAGUAGAGGUAUGUUGACAUAUAAUUUCUGAAUGACCUCUACAAACUUACCAAACUGCUCAUCCGACUGCAGUCCUCUGUUUCUUCUGGGAAAUGGCAAAUAGUUGGUGUCGUAAAAAUCUUUCCUCAUUUCUCCAGUACUUGGUGGUUGUAGCAGAUCUUCUCCUUCAACUGGGCUUUCUUCUUCCAUCACUGCUGGUUGCACUAGUGCUGAUGUUCUCUGUUUUGGGUAUGGGGGAUCCCUGGUGGCUUUGCCUCCUCUAGUAGUUAUGUUCAUUACCUACUCAAUGUUAGUGGCAAGAGGCAAUGCAGCAGCUAGCUUUAUUAAUUUAAGCUCUACCCUUUUAGAGAUGAUUCAUUUGUAUCUAGCCUUUAUUUAACUUCAUCAUUAGUUUUGGUUUGUUGAGCAAUUAUCUCUUUUAAUGAAAGUUGCUUUAAAGUGUUACCUGAAUUCAUACCUUUGCUAUUGGGUUGACUCGAAGUGGGUUGAUAUUUGUAUGCUGUCUCAAUGGCCCUUUGAUCUUCAUUGAACUUGGCCCUCUGGUCAAUCCAAUGGAGCAAAUUUUCCAUCUUGGUUGAUAGUGCAUUUACUUCUUCUCGUAUUUCUUCAGUUUGAUGACAUUGUUGAGCUUCAUCUUGGAACCAGCUUUGGUUUUCUGCUAUCUUAUCCAAAAGUAUCUCCACUUUUCCAAUUGUGAGCUCCAAGAAUGAACCUUUAGCAAAUGCAUCUAGACACUCAUGAGCCUUCUGGGUUAAUCCAUGGUAGAAGGUCUGCAUAAGUAACCAUGUGGCCAUUCCAUGGUGAGGACAAUCUGAUAUGUAUCCUUGAAAAUGCUCCCAUGCUUCUGGAAUGGUUUGUGUCUUCUGUUGUUGGAAACUGACAAUAUUUCCUCUUAAGGAAGCUGUCUUGCCUAUAGGGAAAAACAUUGAUAGAAAGGCAUCUGACAAGUUCAUCCAGUUGUUGAUGUUAUCUUGAUGGGUGUAGAACCACUUCCUUGCUUUCCCUUCUAGUGAGAAUGGAAAGAGGCGAAGCAGUUUGACGUCUUUGUCAACUCCGUUGAUGCGGAUUGUGCUUCUAAUCUCUAAGAAAUUCUACAAGUGUGUACUAGCAUCUUCAUGUGCCUUUCCACUGAAUUGUGUAGCUUGCACCAAAUUGAUGAGGCUUGACUUGAGCUCCAACUCGGGUGCUCCUUCUUCUACUGCAAAUCUUGGACCAGUUGGAAUGUUCUCAAGACUUGGAGCAGAGAAUUCUUGCAAGGUCUUCUGUGUCAUAGCUUCAGCAAUUGGUAGGUAGCUUCUUCUUUCUUUCUUGAUUGCUUUGGUUCUAAUGAUGAAGAGUUGAAUGUACCAAAGUCAAUCCUGAUAUACCCUGUAUAAAAAUAUAAACAUAGAAAAACAACAGGGUGAACCUGCCAAAGCAGAGGUGCCUUGUUAUGAUUUCUCACUUAGUAGCUGUUUUAUGCAAUUAUUUCUCCAUAGUCUAGUCUAAUAUUUUAUGUGAAUAACCUUGACUGAUUUCCUGACUUUCCUUACCGUUCCUAUGUGUUUCCCUUUUGAUUCCCUGGCAACGGCGCCAGAAAUGCUUGUUGACACUAGCUAACACCACUUGAAUACAAGGUUGUCAUCCCCAGCAUGGUGCCAGAGUGUACAAUGGUAUUUAUGAAUGUAAAGGCUCUCUAGAAAAUAAUCUAUUCUAUCUGCAAGCGCACAGAUAAAACACCACAUUGUAGCAUUUCACCAGGAAAGUAUUCCAGGUAUCGUUAUUUAUAAUUUUGCUUAAGAGAACAAUGGAGAUGAAGAUAAGGAUAAAAUCUAUCAAGGCAUAGACUAGAGAUAAACUUGCAAGAACAUGAUUACUAAUGAGGAACUCGUCACACAGUCACUUACUUUGGCAGGGGGUAAGCCAUAAUAAUGAUGAUAAUGAUAUAUAAGCUCAUGGGUGAAUAACACAACGAUUAGAAAAUAGACUACUCCUCAUAUAUGUAAGGUGACGUCAGAUUAGCUAGAGAAUGGAUUCUAAGUUAUCUACUAUCUACUAAGUCACAAUCUACUCUAGUUAUCUACAAGAUCAUGUAUAGCAUAAAAGACUCUUCAUUCAUGUAUAAGGAACAUUGCUAAAGUAAAUCAGAGCAUCGCAAGACUUACUCGGCAAUACAAAUUUUGCCUGUCCUAUCAAUGGAGGGUGGACUAUAUAAGAAUCAACGAAGUUGUCACUAUCGCGAACUACGACACGACCCAGCCAAUAGGAUACAUUUGCAGGUAAAUAAUAUCUAAGCACCACACCCACAUAUGAUCUAACACUUAACUCCUGCGCGUGAAGAGCUAAUUGCUUUGCAAACUUAUACAUAAACUCAUUAUCAAUCAUAACUAUAUCAAUAUAGAACUAGAGCAAACUAAUAUCAUAAUAAAUAGAGACAUAAUGCAAUUAGAAUAAAGUAGUAGAGAAAGAUAUGAAAUAAUACCAAUCUUAUUAACGAAGAUCCGAAUCCAGAGCGCUAGGCUCUACUUCUCUAAUUCUAUCUAAUCAAUCCUCUAAAACUUGAAGGAUUAGGGAGUAGCUAAUUCUAAUUCUAUGUGGGAGAGAAGUUCUAAAACCCUAACUUUUAUGGCUUCCUCUGAUAAUGAUUUCUCCUCUCUCCCUGGGGUGGAGAGGCCUUGCUUAUAUAGACCCCUCAAGUGAAUUUGGGCCGUCCGAUCAAACAGACAUUGAUCGCACGGUUUUCCUUGAUUCUUUAGGUCGGUGGAGCAUAAUCCGCGAAGUUGAACGUGAUUGGCCCCGAGGCCAGGGCGGGCGCCCAAGGGGGGAGGGCCGACACCUUGCCCCCGAGCCCGUCCGGUCUCCCGUUCGUUCCUGUGGCUUCAGGACUCUUCUCGAUUAAGGAAAAUUGCACGGCACGUAAUUAUGUCGUUGUAAACAUGACAUAUGGGCCUUCUCUCCAGAUUUUCUGAUAACCCCCUACAGAAAUAGACAAACACCAAAGCUCAUGGAAUUCUGUCAGAUAAAACCCUAAUUCUAGAUGUUUGGUGCAUAUUGAUCCUUUUCCAUGUUUAGUUGAUGGUUAAAUUUAGUACUUAAGGACCGUCAACAAUCGCCACUCUCAACACUAAAAAUGAUCAUAUGCUACCCAAGCCAUGUCCGACCAAGAGAGAGGUGAUCCAGAAGUUUCAAUCAUUGAAUGCACAAUCAACAACACCACCUUCCCUUACACCGUCUGCGACACUGGAUCAGGCUACAACAUAAUGUCAAAACAGGUAUAUGAUGAAUUAUUUGAUUUACCUUUAUAUCCAACACAUAUUCAGUUGCAGAUGGUGGAUCAACCACUAAGAUUCCCGGAAGGAAUAGUCAAGGAUGUAAUAGUAAGAAUUCAAGCAUAUUAUAUACCUAUAGAUUUUCUAGUGCUUGACAUGCAGGGAGACAAUGAGAUCCUAAUUGUAACAGAACCAUCCAAUUUAUAAGAAUUCAAGUGAAUUAGUGACCACGGAGGCAGUCAAGCCAAUGGACUUGAACCCAUAUAAACCCGGUAGUCCGACGAAAUCUCAAAAGACCUCGAUUCAACCAACAUACAACCAAGAUCGUACAUGAUCAAGCAUCACCAUCACAGAUUACAACAUUCAUCACAGAACAUAGUUUUACAUCACAUCAGAGUUUAAAAGUGGUUAUUACAAACCAAAGCAGUAGCGGCAACAAAGUAGUUUUGAAACAACACCAACUCAGUUUAUAUUACAUGCCAGUUUCAUGGUCAAGUCCCAACAAAAGCACAACUGAAGGUAGAGAAGUGAUCACGCCCAUGAUCUAUUCAUCAUCCGCAGCCGGGUGAUGGCAGUUAGCGCAAUAGCCGUGAUAAAAGACAUCAUCUGCAACAGGGGUAAAUAAAACCCUGAGUACGAGAAUGUACUCAGCUAGACUUACCCGUCAUAAACCAAAAAUAAAGUGACACCAAGGAGUAUGCAAGGCUGAUCUUUGUGGACUGGUUCGACUCACCUUUUUGCAUAAAAAGCUUUAGUAGAAAGUAACCCAUUUAUCAAAUUUCAGCAGCAGGUUUAUUACUUACAACUAUCCACUAGAUUAGCACCUGAUCUAAGCAUACACUUGAGUAUUUAAACAUCACAAUAAUAACCAUAUCCAGAUUUUCACAUAGCCAUCAUCAUUCUCAUCAUAACCAUUAAGUUUAUUUAGUGAAUUCUAUGUUGCCGCUGCCCAAGUCAAGUUCUCACUAUCCGGGAGAGACGGCGAUUCGAAUCGAUUCCUAUCCAGCUGGAGGGGUAUUCCUAACAUUCACCCAAGCAUACUUCAUGACGGCAGCUCGGAUCACCUUUAGCACAACUUCGGACCAAUUCCCGGGUCCGUACGGCGCCGCACACCCAGGGUUACCGCCAAUCUGCCAGGGUCAGGACUCUAACCUGACACCUCAGUCUUACGCCAUUGACUCCCCGCACAUCCUUACUACCAACCGGGGUGCGCACUUUAACCAGAUCGGGGUAUCCGGCCGGAGUUGCACUCGUAGGCUUCGUGGUCGGAACGACUUAUCCGGCCAACUAAGUGAUAGGCAUGCGUUCAACAUGACACGAGGACGUAUAUCGAUUCGGUCCUUAAACGACACAGACGGGGAUAGAUUCACACCCAAGACCUCCAUGCCUUGUUGCUGCACUAUCGUCAUCCCGCCCGGUCUCAAGUUCAUUAUUAGCAUCUGGUUAUUUCCACGAUAGCAAUAUAGCCAACCGUGAUCAUCAUCCACCUAACUCUCGCAAGUGACAGGAAAUCACCCGGCUUCUACCGAGCUAAGCAUGGCUAAGCAUCACUUCGAUCCUGGACCUACUUAGGUGAGAUGUGAGGUGGACAAGGUAGUCAUUAUGCAGCAAGGGUGUCAUAUCAACGCCUACCACUUAAUGCAGCAAUAUAUAUAACCAUAGUCAAAUGAUAGCUGAACACGACUAAUAAAAUAGUAGGAGGCUUAUAAUGCUCCGGGGCUUGCCUUCGACGUAAGUAGAGGGACGGUGAUCAGGGCACUCCGGCAAGUCCUCCUCCUCCUCAGCUCAUUGAGGUAGCUCCCCUUGCUGUCCUUCCGACGCCGGCAGCUCGAACUCCAAAACAGUCACGCCCUUGGGUACACCUAUGUAUGCAUGACAAGGACAAGAAUAUCGAGAAUGCACAUAUGAUGCAUGAUGUCAUGGUGAAGAGCCAAAGGGACAUAAAACAAGGUAUAACAUGAGCAUAAACUUCUGAGAGUAAGCGAAUCAUGGAAUAACAAGUAAGUGCAUACUUCUUCUCUGGUAGAGAGACUAACUAGACAAGUUAAACAAAUCCUAGCUACUCCUACUCAGUCACUGGUUUAGUAGACAAACCAAUCUGUCACAAGUUUCAGCCAUAACUUAAGCAUCAGUUAGCCAAACUAAGCAAGUAAGCACUUUAUGGAAAGCAUAGAACAUUGUCUACAAUUCACUUUUAGACAUCCCAGAGUGAUUCCCAACUGAAAUAUGCUAAAACAUACAAAGUUGGCUGGCUGCUCUGGAAAAUCCAGAGAGCAAGCACUUCACAGCAGCUACUUGCAACAUACAUAACUUUUAAACUACUCAACCAAAUGUCAUGAAAUUUGGACACGAAGUAGACAAGCAAGUUAGAUACAAGUUUGUUGUAGACAAGUUUCCCAGAAAACAUCAUCUUAAAUCAGUUCUUAAGCAAUUGCUAUUAGCUACACAGGAUCACUCUAGGAAAGACAAAUAGCAAAAAUAAUAUUUUGCACAUAUUGAGAAUGUAUCAAAGGGACAAUCCAAUUGCACCAGUAGGUAGAACAUAUCUAAGAAACACCAGAAAACAUCAUGGCAAGGUCUAAACCCAUUUCUAUCAUCACCUUUUCUAUUUAUUUAAUUAUUAAGGUGAUUUAAUGAACCUGUAUUCCAAUUGUUCCAAAAAUCCUACGAAAAUUACAGCAAGCUACUUAUGCUAAUAUAAGAUUACUGUAAAAUUUUCAGAACAUUUGCACAUACAUAUUGGGAGAUACAAAAACAACAAGCUAGUAAAGACAUGCAAGGCAUAAAUGUGAAACCCUAUCAAAAAGUGUCAAACAACAGAUUUCAGAUUUUUCCUAGCUUUGUCUACAUGUGAGUAUAGCACUCAGCAAGUUUCACCACAAAAGGAGCUAUAACUUAUUUAUUAAAAAUACCACAAGAAACAACUAUUUAAGCAAGAUUUAUUUUUAACUUUACAACUAGGCUGCCAAAAAUCAUGAUAAAUUUAUCAGAGCCUAUUCAUAACCUUAGUAACAACAUCCUAAAUUUGCAUGACCAGCAGAUCAAUAGAUUUCAAGAUAUAAUUACCUCCUAAAAAUCCAAGAUUAAUUUAUAUCUAAUUAUUUCCACAAAAACAUGGCAUGUCUCAUAUUUUUAUUAAAAACUAGACUCAUACUGGAACCUAGCAAAAUUGGAACCCUGUCAUUUGGAACUAUAAAACUCGAGAUAUGAAUUUUUCAAAAUCAGCUCAGGAUCUGCAAAACAGUGAAUCAGAGAGGUGAGAGGGAGAGGCUGACACCCGGGACCCGCGCGUCAGAGAGACAGAGACAGGGGAGAUGCUCGUCGCCGGCGAAGCUCAACGACGACGAGGUCUCGGCCGGAUACAAGGGCAUCUACAUGUUCCUCUCAUCAAGGCGACUCGGUUGACCUACUUUACCCGCGCUCUACUGGACUCUAGGGUGCUCGCCGUCGGGAAUGGCGGAGCGGCGGCGAUACGCGGCGUUACGCCGGUGGAUCCAGGCAAUGGCGACGCGGUAGAGCUUCAUGCCGAGCAUCAGUGAAUCAAGGGGAAGCGAUAGGAACAAGAAUGAAGGAGAAAUGGUCGAGCAGAGAGGCCUGGCCACGUUGCCGGUGAGCUCGGGCGGAACUCCGGCGAGGGAGAACGGCUCGGAGCUCGGCAAUGGCGCCAUACCCGUGCUCGACAGUGGCCAAGGAGGUGACGCCGAGGUAGAGGACGUCGAGGCAGAGCUCUGGGCGGGUUGGCUUGGCCGGAGGCGCGGUGGAACGGCCGGAGAAGCUCGCCGAAACGCGGUGGAGCUCCCUGAGGCGACGGUGGAGCGAAAUGGGAGGCGUUGAGCGAGUGGAGGGCGCGUCUGAGGCGUCCACUCAGUGCGUGGCGUCUUGUGGACGACGUCGGGGCUGACAGGCGGGGUCGCCGUCGACGUACGGCCACCAGGUGGCCGGACACGCGGCGGCGGGUGAGCUCUGUCCAACUGAAUCGUUUUUCUGAAUCGGCCGAUUGCAGUGACUGAAUCCCGAAGUUCGUCGACGUUUUACUCUCAGCUCACUCGGUGGUUUUGGCUGGGAUUUGAUCCUCUGGAUAGAGCUACACGAGUUCUACAACUUUGAUUACACGAGCUCAGUCUAAAUCGGUCUGGAUUUCAAACUACAAGGCUCCCAACAACCCUACCUCGAAACUGUGUAAACCAAGACUUAGCCAAAUUCGGCUAAGUGUGAAAUCAGCCCUGAUUUUUGGCUUGUGAGCAAAUUUUGGAGGUGUUCCAAGCUUUUUCAUAAAAAGUCAUCAACAUAACUUUUGUAGCUUAGGGAAUUCUCUACAACUUUGUUUCAGGGGUCACAGACAUGCAAGGUAUCUAACAUUACUUUCAUAAAACAUCUUUGAAAGGAGGUUUAGGGGGUCAAAUAAGCCAUUCUAGGGUUAACCAUGACUUGGAAACAUUUUUAAACAAAACCUCCAACAGGAACUUUGUUCCAAAAGAUGUUCUAAACAUGAUUAAAGUAUUUUGGAAAGGAUUGCACACUCACAUGUAUUGGACACCCACUAAAGUCACUCAAAACAAGUCACACAAGCAAUUUAAUCACAUGGUACAUGUAGUAAAUGGCAUGUGAUCAUGGUAUGAUGCUCAUGAGUGAUCAUGAUGAUGCUUAUGUUGAUGCAAUGCUCAUGGGUAACAUGCAAGCUAACACUAGGAGUGUUACACUAAUCCUCUUGGGAAGACCAUUCCUCUAUACAGCUAAAGCCAACAUCUACAUUGUAUCAGGGCAUAUCUUCAACCUACCCACCGGAAAGGUACACUGUCAAUUUAGAACACUAUGUAACCGUGAGCAAUCCAGAAAGCAAUGCAAUAGGAGAAGACGUCAAGCCCGUCAUCAGGCUUCCUAGCCUCACUGCGGAUGGGAAGACUUCCCUGGCAAGAUUGUGAAAUAUGAAGAUUGCUUCACGGAACAAGAAGAGAACACACAAGAACCUCGAUGGAGUGAGUGGGCCGAAGAAGAUGAAAGGAUGGACCAGAUCGCCAAGAAAGAGAAAGACGAGAUCUUAGCCCGAUUAGAAGCCUAGGAAAAGGAGAACAAAGCUGAAGAGUUGGAACUAGAGAAGGAAGAAGCAAAAGAAACAGAAGCAAGAUGGGAGGAAGAUGCAUGUUGACGGUCCUUAAGUACUAAAAUUAACAAUCAAAUAAACAUGGAAAAGGAUCAACAUGAAACAAACGUCUAGAAUUAGGGUUUUAUCUGACAGAAUUUCACAAGCUUUGGUGUUUAUCUAUUUUUGCAGGAGGUUAUCAGAGAAUAUGGAGAGAAUGCCCACAUGUCAUGUUUACAAUGAGAUAAUUACGUGCCGCGCAAUUUUCCUCAAUCUAGAAGAGUCUAGAAGCCACGGGAACGAACGAGAACACGAUCGGGCUCGGGGGCAGGGCGCCUGCCCACCCCCCUUGGGCGCCCGCCCUGGCCAGGAGUUGGAUCAGGACUCUGUUUCUGGACUAAACUCCACUGACCUAAAGGAUGAAUCUAAACCAUACAAUCAAUGUCGGUUUGAUCCAACGGCCCAAAUUCACUUGAAAGGACUAUAAAACCAAGGCCUCUCCACCCCUGCAGGAGAGAGGAGAAGAGAAGAAAUCAUUAUUCAGAGGUAGCCAUCAAAGUUAGGGUUUAGAGCUUCUGUCCCACAGAGAAUUAGAAUUAGCUACUCCCUAAUCCUUCAAGUUUAGAGGUUUGAUUAGAUAGAAAUUAGAGAAGUAGAGCAAUACGCUCUGGAUUCGGAUCUUUGGUAAUAAAGAUUGGUAUUGUUCAUAUCUUUCUCUAAUUCUUUGUUCUAAUUCCAUUAUGUCUCUAAUUAUUAUGUUCUUAGUUUGCUCUAGUUCUAUAUUUGAUAUAGUUAUGAUUGAUAAUGAGUUUAUGUAUAAGUUUGCAAAGCGCUUAGCUCUUGACGCGAGGGAGUUAGGUGAUAGAUCACAUGUGAGCGUGGUGCUUAGAUGUUAUUUAUCUGCAAAUGUAUCCUAUUGGCCGGGUUGUGUGGUAGUUCGCGAGUGACAGCUUCGUUGAUUCUUAUAUACUCCACCCUCCGUUGAUAGGACAGGCAGAACCGGUAUUGUGGAGUAAGUCUUGCGAUGCUCUAAUUUACUUUAGCAAUGUUCCUUAUACAUGAAUGAAGAGUGUUUUAUGCUAUACAUGAUCUUGUAGAUAACUAGAGUAGAUUAUGACUUAGUAGAUAGUAGAUAAUUUAGAAUCCAUUCUCUAGCUAAUCCAAUGUCACCUACAUAUAUGAGGAGUAGUCUAUUUUCUAAUCGCUGUGUUAUCCCUUGAACUUAUAAUUCAUUAUCAUUAUCUUUAUGGUUUACCCCCUGCUAAAGUAAGUGACUGUGUGACGAGUUUCUCAUUAGUAAUCAUGUUCUUGCAAGUUUAUCUCUAGUCUAUGCCUUGAUAGGUUCUGUCCUUAUUUUAAUUUCAUCCCUUUUGUUCUCUUAAACAAAAUUAUAACUAACGAUACCUGGAAUACUUAUCCUGGUGAAAUGCUACAAUGAGGUGUUUUAUCUGUGCGCUUGCGGAUAGAAUAGAUUAUUUUCUAGAGAGCCUUUAUAUUUAUAAAUACCUUUGUACACUCUAGCACCAUGCUGGGGAUGACAACCUAGUAUCUAAGUGGUGUUAGCUAGUGUCAACAAGCAUUUCUGGCGCCGUUGCUGGGGAUCAAAAGGGUAACACAUAGGAACGGUACGAAAGUCAGGAAAACAGUCAAGGUUAUUCAUAUAAAAUAUUGGACUAGACUAUAGAGAAAUAAUUGCAUAAAACAGCUACUAAGUGAGAAAUCAUAACAAGGCACCUCUUCUUUGGCAGGUUCACCCUGUUGUUUUUCUAUGUUUAUAUUUUUAUACAGCGUAUACCAGGAUUGACUUUGGGUACAUUCAACUCUUCAUCAUCAAGACCAAAGCAAUCAAGAGAAGAAGCAGCUAGAAAUGUGUUCAUCAAUGACGAAUCACUAAUGACGCUUACUAUUUUCGUCACAAAACUAGGUCAUUCGAUGACGAAAUUAGUAGCUUCGUCAUGGUUGACAAGUGACAGAGCUUUGGCACGUAGAACAGUGAUGAAAAUGGAAACAACGUCACUCAUCAUCGAAACUAAAUCGUCAUAGAUUGUCUGGCCAGUGUCACUACCCUGAGGAGGGGUUGUGGUCCCACCAGUGGGUCCCAUGUUCAUGACAUGGCGCCUUGGUCCCACCUUUGUGUCCCACGUCGUUGACACAGGCACCACGGUCCCACCAGCAGGUCCCACCUCUAGUGACGUGGCGCCAUGGUCCCAUCGGCGGGUCCCACAAUCAUGAUGUGGGGCAUGGUCCUACCAAUGGGUCCCACGGGCAUGACGUGCCUUGCUAGCGAGCCGAUUCUACUGCACAGAGUUCCCCCUCUAGUUUUUAUUUUAUUUGGCAAAAAAACUAGCUCCAUGGGAGCUUGGAUCCCACGACCUAUUGCUUUGGGCACAAGUGAGUCACCACCAGACCACUCAGUCGUUUGUGUUGUAGUCUUGUAUGUUAAUUUAUUUGUUUAGUUAUUAAACCCAACUUCCUUUUUUAUUUCCAAAAAAUUUAAAAAACCUCUCCAAAGAGGUUCGAACCUAUGACCUGUUGGUUUAGAGGUUGCUACCUUUACCACCAGACCGAUAAAGCUUUUAUGCUCCUAUGACAAAUGUUAUUUGUACACUGAUUAUUUUUUUAAUCUGACCGAUGGGCCCUAUACCCAUGAUCCGUCAUCGGUGGAACACUUCUACGUAUGCGCGAGGUGCAGAGGAACCCUCGCGCGAGUUCAUUCCUGGUGGCUACACACUUGUAUUGGGUCCCCAGGUGAUCGCCGCCGACGCCGUGCAUCCCCAGCAAGUGAUCGUCACUGACAUCAUGCGUCCCAGGUGAUCGUCACGUGCGUCCUAGCUGAUUGCCGCUGUGUGUCUCCAUGUGAUCGAUGCCGUGCGGACCAGCUUGAAUUCUCGCAUGCGUCUCCUGGUAUUUUUCUUUUGUACAUGCAUGUAUAUAGGAAGAAUCUUUUACCUUUUCUAUUUUUUCCUAAAUGGCUAAAUUUAUGCCGAGUACAAGCAUAUGUGUGAUUAGUUUUAAAAUUUUAUUUUUGUGUAUAUAUAUGCAUGUGUAUGUGUGAUUUGUUUUGAUUUUUUUACAUAUAUACAUAUAUGCAGCAGCGGGCGUGCGUGGGAGAGUGUUCCGCCAGCUAGCGUGGCAGUGUAGCGACCUAUCAUGGCGGUGCAGCGGCGGCAUGCGUGGGAGUUGCUAGUGUGGCACACUAUAAGAAAUUGGAAUUGCCUUGGGGGCCCCAAAUUUCCUUGAGGGCCAAAAACAAACCGCCAAGAAAAUUACAGAUUCCUUGGCGGUGCUACUCCAAACUUAAGGAAACAUAUAUUCCUUGGAGGUUUACAUCUCUCAUAUAGUUACAAAACUAUGUGAGAGACGUAUCCAUUUUCAAUACACCACAGCCCAACAUUAGCGUCGGUUGGGCGACGUUAAAAAUGCCAAUAUAACGUCGGAAGGUCGGACGUUAAAGAUUACUCACGAACUGUCCGACGUUAUAUCUCAUUUUGGCGAUACACCAUCCGACGUUAAAUAUAUUUGGCUUUAACGUCGGACGGUUUGUCCCUAUAUCCUACUUUUAACGACCCACUAAGCAUCGCCACAAAUUGACAGCCCUCUCGCGUGCGGCAUUUUGGCCCACUUCCCACCCAACUUAUAUGUCACUAGUACACAUAUGAUUUCUCUUGGCGGUGGCCUUUUAUUUCUAUAGGCAAUUUCUCUUGACGUUGGCGAGUAGAAAUCAAACGGUUCUGAACUGCCACUAAAAUUAAUUUUUUUCAAGUGGCGGUCCCAUAGAAAUAAUUUAAAAUUGAUUUUUUUUUGAAUUUUUCAAAUGGCCUCGUAUGAAAAAACCAACAAAAUGAAAGUUAUAGAUCUUGAAAAGUUAUAAAACUUUAUAGUUGACAUCUUUUUCUUUGGAAUUCAUUUAGGGUCUCAAAUUGAUUUAUGCUCGAUUUUGGAUAAUAUAUGGGGCCUCAAAUUGAUUUAUGCUCAAUUUUACGUGACUAGUGUGUCAGAAUUUUUUUUCUUAUUUUUACAAACCGAUUUACAUUUUGCUAGAGUGUGGCCCAUGUGUCAGAACAAAAAAAAGGAAGCCCACCAUUCCAGCCUGCCGUUCCUGCAGCCCAUUUGGUUAGCCGCUCAUCCCUUUCCCAAACCAGACACGCACAGACCACACAGCGCCGCCAAUCCACCCUGCUCGACCGAUUUCACGAAGAGGAAAAGAAACAUGCCGUUGUCAGGCGCGAGCUGCGUCCCCUGCCGCCGCUGCGACGAACCGAGCCAUGCAGCCGCGCCCUCCACCGCCCUGCAAACUUGCUGUGCCCUCAACUGGACUUCUCCAUCCCAACAGGCGAUCUAGGCUUGCUUCUCCCUGUCGGCAAACCCUAACGACGCUGGUGACCUCACCUCUCCCCUUCCUUCGUCCCCCGUAAGUGACCUUGGUCUCCAUCUUGUGCAGUGCCCCCACCUCCUCUGAGUUCAUGCGGAUGGUGCUCCAUCCCCUCUGGUUCCUCCAUUUUACUAAUUGAAUCAUGGAUUAUAAUUUCCUCUAUUGCAGCAGCAGGUUGUAGUCGUGGUUGCCUGAGGUGCACAAGAAGAAGGUGCUCCUUGGAUCUUUGCCCUAAGAAAAUCCGUAGCAGUUACAGGCGCCUCCUCACCAAACUCGUGGAUUAGACUGAGCAGUAUCAGGUAAAGCUCUCAACCACUUCACUGAAGUUGUUGUUGUUUGUCUUGCAUGGAAACUUAUGCUGAAUACAAUUGACGAUAUGUAUGCACAAUGUGGUUGAAUUUGAUGUCAUGAUCUAUUAUUGUGUUUAUAUUUUUAGAGUCUGUUUGGUCAGCUUCUGGUCCCCCCUAGUAAAGUCUGAUGGAUAUCUGAUGUAUGCACCUCUCGGUUGGUUUUUUUUUCUGAACAUGCCUUGGCACAUAUUUUUUAGUGCUUUACAGUGACUAUUUAUUCGGACAGAUGUCAAUUGAUUGAAAGCUACUUAAGAGGUAAGUCCAAAUUCAGUUCCUUUCCCCUGACGACAAGAGUCUGUUCAAAGAACAGUGAAUGAGAUAGCAAACUCUGUUUGUUGAGUGCUUUCACUUGAAUACCAUUCAAAGGAAAGUUCAUUUAGUUCAGAAAAAAUAAGAAUCUAUAAUCAGAAUAAAAGAAGAAAUAUCUCUCUUAACAAUGUCCUCUUUUAUUAUAAUCCAAUUUGAUCAGCCCACACAACAUGAUUAAAACAGUAGCCAUCAACAGCUAAAGUUGUCUAAUAAUAUCUAAAGUGGCCUAUGUCUGUCGUUAUAUCUUUUAUAUAACGUCGAGUGGUCUGACGUUAAAGUUUUUUAGCGUCGCCAGUAUCCAUGUCUGAUAUAUCUGUCCUUAUAAGUUUAUAACGUCAGACCGUAAGUCGUUGAAACAGCUUAUAACAACCCACCAUUCGACGCUAUAUUUAGGCUGUGGUGUAGUCUUUAUUAACAAUGUAUAUUACCACUUUGUUUAAAUCAUUUAAUUUUUUUACAAAUAUUAUACAUCAAUACCAUCCUGUCAUGCAAGUUUGCAGAAUUUUCUAACAAAGUUUAGAUAUUAUUAUAUAUUAUCUUAUGGUAGUUUGGAGACACGACUAUGAAUUAUCCCAAGCAAACAAAUAAUUUUUUUGUCUAUGUCCAAUAUAUUGUCUUCAAUGAAACAUAUGAUCUGCAGGAGAUGUAUCAUUAGUGCUUCCCUGUGUGACGUUGCUGGCAAUUUACUCAGGGUAUAUGUAUUAUCUAUGUGACUGUUGCAUAAUCUAUUCAUAUUAAAUCUUUAGCUCUAUUGUUAUGUAAAACAUGCAGUCCUUUUGUCUGUGCUUCCACCACACUAUCUUUAAAUAUCUGUAUAACUUAUUUUUUUUAUAGAGAUGCUCAUGUUAGAAGCAGCUAAAGCUACAACAGUGACUCAGAAAAUGUGAGCAGAUCUCAGAAAAUAUAUUCCUCUCAUGUUUACCUCUUAGUAAAUAAAUUUGAACUGAUCUGACUCAGUAUACAUAAGGAUCUUUGGUUCGAUCUAUGUGAUUAUAUAGUUGAACUGAUCCUCUCAGUAUACAUAAGGACCAUUGUUCUCUGAAGUUUGAACUCUGAACCAAGCAUGACUUAUGGUCAGUAGAAGUACUCAUUCAGAGUUCAAAAUAAACUUCAAUUCAUUCUCAAAUUAGCUACAAGUAUUAAGCCACUAAUUAAUCUAUUGCUCAUUACAAUUAGUUAUUAAUUUUGAUAUUUUCUUGCCAGAUUACUUUUCUGUCUAUUGGUAGCAGUAGUAUCGUUAGUUGUUAUAUUCUUUCAAGUACAUGUUGUCUGAUAUUUCCUCCUCAGAUUCAUGCAACAAUUAACAACUAAUUGGUGUUUUAGGUCAAUAUGGAAGCUUUGAGAGCAGAACCUGUUGGUGAAGGUGAGACAGAAGUAUCUAGUCUGUAGGUUGUGUCCCAAGUGCUCUCUAAAAAUAGCUCAAAUGUUUUUCUCAGAGUGUUGGCAUCAAACCAGUGUCAUCCUCCAAAUCAUUCACAUCAAAUGAAAGUGAGCUUCAGGAGCAACUAGCAGCUGAAGCUAAGGCUGCUGUACAAGGUGAGCUCGACGAUCUCAAGAGAAGAAGUGAAGAAGCUGAGGAACGGCUGGCGAGGACAUAGACAGAGAUGGAGGAGAUAAAGUAGCUGGCAGAGAUGAACAACAAGGUAAUGGAGAAGAACAAUGCGCUGCUCAAGCAUAUCUUGUCCAUCAACAAUGCUUCUUCGACAUGAGAGCUGCUCAGCUGCUGGUAGUAGGACUGACUAGGACUAUAGCUGCUGCUGCUUGGCAUCCUGUUGAUUUUGAUUUUGCAAUGACUUGUAUUUUGGUGGUUUGCAAAUGUUCUAUUUAAACCAAGUGUGGUGAACUAAGUUUAUGCACUUAUGUUGCUAGUGAACUGAGUGUAGUAGUGAUAAUUAAGUUAUGAGUAAUGGAUCUUUAGUUUUAUGCAUGUUUUCGGUGAAUUCAAUAUUUCUUGCAUUUUGAAAUAAAAUCAGCAGCUGCCACUGUGAUGAAAUAAUUAUUUUGUGAUGAUAUUAUAAUUCAGUCAGUGACGAAUUUAUAUUUUAAUCUAUGACGAAAAAUAUAUGCAAUCAGACCUGGACACGUGGACUAACCAGAGAAUGCCACGUCAGCAUGCCACAUGGAAGCCAUCGCAACACGACACGUAGCAGUCAGUCAGCACGCAACAUGGCAGCCACAUUAGCACGCCACGUGCAGCCAUGUCACCACGCCACGUGGCGGCCACGUCAGCAUGCCACGUGGCGGCCAUGUCAGCUGCCAGCAUGUCAAACGCCGUUUGGUAGCCUAACGGAUUGCCAUGCUAUGAUGAAAAGUUGGGCACAACAAUGACGAAAACGUUUUGUCAUGUAAUAAAAUCUCUUCAGUGACAACGGUAUUUUCGUCAUAGAAUGGGUCCUCAUCUAUGACAAAAAUUGCCAUUUCGUCACCGUUGUCAAUCAAUGACGCUCAUUCCAUGACGAACACUAAUUCGUCACUAAUUCGUCACAGAAGAAACUCUAUGAUGAUUUUGGUAUCUUCAGUGACGAAAGAGUAGUGUCAUUAAUAAGCACAUACCUAGUAGUGCAAUUGUUGAAGCUAUGGCACAGAAGACCCUACAAGAAUUCUCUGCUCCAAGCCUUGAGAACAUUCCAACUGGUCCAAGAUUUGCAGUAGAAGAAGGAGUACCCGAGUUCGAGCUCAAGUCAAGCCUCAUCAAUUUGGUACAAGCUACACAAUUCAGUGGAAAGGCACAUGAAGAUGCUAGUGCACACUUGCACAAUUUCUUAGAGAUUGGAAGCACAAUCCACAUCAACGGAGUUGACAAAGACGUCAUACUACUUCGCCUUUUUCCAUUCUCACUAGAAGGAAAACCGAGGAAGUGGUUCUAUAGUCAUCAAGAUAACAUCAACAACUGGACGAACUUGUCAAAUGCCUUUCUAUCAAAGUUUUUCCUUAUAGGCAAAACAACUACCUUAAGAGGAAAUAUUGUCAGUUUCCAACAGCAGAAGAUAGAAACCAUUUCAGAAGCAUGGGAGCAUUUUCAAGGAUACAUAUCAGAUUGUCCUCACCAUGGAAUGGUCACAUGGUUACUUAUGCAGACCUUCUACCAUGGAUUAACACAGAAAACCAAAGCUGGUUCCAAGAUGAAGCUCAACAAUGUCAUCAAACUGAAGAAAUACCAGAAGAAGUAAAUGUAUUAUCAACUAAGAUGGAAAAUUUGCUCCAUUGGAUUGACCAGAGGGCCAAGUUCAAAGAAGAUCAAAGGGCCAUUGAGACAGCAUACAAAUAUCAACCAACUUCGAGUCAACCCAAUAGCAAUGGUAUGAAUUGAGGUAACACUUUCAAGCAACUUUCAUUAAAAGAGAUAAUUGCUCAACAAACCAAAAUUAAUGAUGAAGUUAAACAAAGGUUAGAUACAAAUGAAUCAUCUCUAAAAGAUAUACACAAUAAAAUGGAUUUUCUACUAACUGCCUUUGAUGAGCAAAACAAUCUUAAUAAAAGGGUAGAGCUUAAAUUAAUAAAGCUAGCUGCUGCACUGCCUGUUGCUACUAACAUUGAGCAGGUAAAGAACAUAACUACUAGAGGAGGAAAAGCCACCAGAGAUCCCCCAUACCCAAAAGAGAAACAAAGAACAUCAGCACCAAUGCAACCAGCAGUGAUAGAAGAAGAAAGCCCAGUUGAAGCAGAAGAUCUGCUGCAACCACCAAGAACUGGAGAAAUGAGGCAAGAUUUUUACGACACCAACUAUUUGCCAUUUCCCAGAAGAAACAGAGGACUGCAGUCGGAUGAGCAGUUUGGUAAGUUUGUAGAGGUCAUUCAAAAAUUAUAUGUCAACAUACCUCUACUUGAUGCCAUACAGGUACCUACAUAUGCAAAGUACAUCAGAGAUAUUCUUAACAAGAAGAGACCACUGCCCACCACUGAGGUUAUCAAGCUGAUAGAAGAUUGUAGUGCGGCCAUCCUCAACAAACCUCCAAAGAAGAAGGAAGAUCCCGGAUGUCCCACUAUUGAUUGCUCGAUCGGAAACCAACACUUCAACAAUACACUUUGUGAUCUCGGAGCAAGUGUCAGUGUGAUGCCAGCAUCAGUCUACAAAAAGCUUGAGCAUGUGACCCUAGAACCAACAUCAAUGUGUAGCAGAACAAUGGGUUCGACACCCGUUGGGUAUCGCCGAGAACAUUCCAGUCAAGAUUAGAGAUUUCCUGGUGCCAGUAGACUUCGUGGUACUGGACAUGAGUCCUGACUCAAAAGUGUCCAUCAUCCUUGGAAGGCCAUUUCUGUGCACUGCCAAUGCCCACAUUGAUGUCGGGAAAGGAUAAUUCAAAUUCAACAUAAACGGACAAGAAGAACACUUCACAUUCAAACCCAGACCAGAGAGAGACUCUACAGUGAAGGAAGUUCAUGAAGAAGAACCACUAGAGACACUAUCUCCGGAGGAAGGUAAUUCAGAAGAUUAAAAGAUUUGGAGGUCCAGCUUGGGGGACCUAAAAAAAUCUCAAACCCUCACCGGGAGCUAAAUCGGUAUUUAUCCGCAUCGUUAAUUCUUGCAUAAUUAAUUCUUGCAUUAGUCAUAUUUAUCCAUAGCAUUAUUAUAAUAAUAAUAAGCCCCAUAUAAAAAAUAUUUAUGGUGUGUAACAACCCAUGUUUAUUAAUUAUUGUGUAGGCACAAAAAUAUUUUCCAUUAUCAUUAAGUUUCAAUUCUCAUAGAUUUUCCUGCAUUAUAUUUAAUUAUAUUAAUCUUCUAGAAGCAUGACCCACACUCCUUUUGUACUACAUGUCAUACACCACACCUCACAUACAUCCCAUCACAUUAUUUCAUCCACCAACAUAUCUCCACUAACCAGCACUUUUCCACCGGCCAACCACCACCCAUGAUCCAUUAUUUUGCGUGAGAAUUAAGCAAAGGAAGGAGUGGAGAAAGGGCAGCCAGAAUGGGCACCACAAGUGGGCGCCCGCCCACCUACCAAGGGUGCCCGCCCUGCCCCCUCUUCCUCCUAUAAAUAGCCACCUUCUACCUCCAUCUUCUUCACACAAACACUCCAGAAAACCACACAAGUUUCAUUUUCCAGAGAAGGAGCUCUUGUAGUGAAGUGAGAAGAGAGUAGAGAAAAAAAGAGUGGGAAAGAAGUUGGUAGUUUUUGAGUGAGAGAGUGAGUUUCACCUAGUAAGUAGUGAUCCCGCUGUCCAAAGCGGAAGUAAAAGUUAUUGAGGGGGAGGUUCUGCCAAAAUAGAAACUUGUCUUGAACGACUAACCCCUGGACUACUGACAUUCCGGACAGCUGACCACUAACAUUUUCUCUCAUAUUUUCCACUAGUUGUGUUUUUGCCAACUUUUGUUUACAGGAUGUUUAAGAAGGUAAAGAACGCAGGGAAGGCUCUCAAGAACAUUGGUACAAGGAGUUCAUCCCGGCACUCCUCACACCCAUCAGAGAUGAGCGUCGACCCGACACCCACACAAGCUCCGUCAUCUUCAUCUAAUCAGCAAGUCAAGGUCCUUCUCAAGAUAGGAGACCUAGGACUAAAGACCCGAAGGGAGAAGGAAGUCUAUCAGCAACUGAAGAACAAAGAUUUCAUUCACACCCCUACUCUUGGUCCAAUCUUACUACAAGAAAUAGGUAUGGACACUGAAUUCGACUUAAUUUUCCAGAUGUUAGGUUGGACAAAUUUUUGGAAUAUAACUGAGCUGGGUUCUCAUCUUCUCACCCUCGAAUUUCUUUGCACCUUACAAUAUUAUGAAGGGGGAAUUGUUUUUCGGAUGUUCAAAUAGGAGAUUAUGUUGUCUUGGAGAGAACUAAGCGACCAUCUCGGUUUCUCUUCAAGAUGCAUCCUGAACAUUGACUCCGAUUUACCCAACUUUGAGAGACACCAAUUUUGGAGAGAAAUAUCUAGAGAUAAUUUUUAUAGUCAAGACCGAACCAGUGACAUGGAACACCCCACUGUCAGGAUGUUCCACAAAUGGCUUGGGUACGAUCUUUUCUAUCGUGAUGAUAUUAGGAAAGUAAGAGUAGGAGAUUUGCAACUUUUAUAUGCUGCUAUUAAUAAAGUACCCACUUCACCUGUUACACUUUUAGUUUCUCAUUGGCUUAGUGUACCUAGUCUUCAGGGACCAGUAGGAUGUACUUCACUUAUCACUCGUCUAGCCUUUAAUCUUCAUCUGCUAGAAAACUCAUCGUUGGACUUCAUAGAUGAGUUAAGAAUCUAUCAUGGUUAUGACACAUUUAGACAAGCUCAGAUGCUAAAGAAAGAGGGGAAUAUAAUGUAUAUGCUAUAUGAUGAUAAAGGCAAGAUUCGGUUACCUAACCCGAACCUUGGCCUCUACGUUGUUCAAAAUUUUUUGAUUGAGAUUACAGCAACACCGGUGAAUCAAAGAGCUCCACAACGAGUGGCAUCUGAAAGGAUGACCACCCAUCGAGAACGCACCUGGUAUGGAGCUGAUCUCGGACCGGAAGAAGCAGCACACCUGCAUUAUAGCGACUACAACCCCCGAGUCCUUCGAGACCCAUGGGUUCGACAUGCGCAACCACAAGAGCCAACAGAGGAGACACGGCCCGAGAGCCAAGAUCACCAGUGGACAAACCCGCCUUUUCAAACGGGCAGGUACUCCACUGAUCCAUAUGGAGCUUCAGGAUCCAGACCUCCACCCCAAUUUGAUGCAGGAUGAUACUCCGACGCCUCCUACGCUUUCACGAAUGACUACUACCAAGAGGCCGGUGCUUUCUUCACCCGUACUGACAAAACUCUCCUCGACAUACAGAACACGCAAGCAGAACAUGGACGACUCCUAGAAGAGCCACAAAAAUGGAACCAGGACCACGCCACUGCAGUACAAGAGUGAGACGAGAGGUAAAAAUGGACAAGUGUCCGGAGUAGAAUUAGGGGUACAAAGAUGCCCACUUGAGUGGAAAAAAUGGACAUGUGUCCGACAGUAGAAUUAGGGGUAUCUACUACCCACCUGAAAAAAAGAGAAAAGAAAAGAAAAAGAUAGCCCAUGUCCUCUCAAAGCAAAGAUCAAAGAAGAGGAGAAAUAGCAAUAUGAGGAGCAAUGAGAACUAAGUUUUAUUAUCACUUAUAUAUUUUCACCAUCACUAUCAUUUACUCCACACAAAUGCACAUCUUGAUUUAAUUAUAUGCUGAGUUCCUUUGGAUCCAUGGCUCGAUUAGACAACAUUUGUAUGAGCUGUUUUUCACUCCUAUGAGCUCCACUUAAACAUUCCAUUAGUUAUAGGUAAGUGACAUUUUUGGUAAGGAUCCACAAAUACCAUAUAUAGAGAGACUUGAGAGAAUCAUUGUUGGGAACUCUGAGUUUUAUUUUUAACUUAUGGAAAAAAACUCUGGAACAAAGGUGAAGUAUAAAAAGGAGGAAUAGUGCUUGACUUAAUUAUUUUUCAAUUACUUAAGACUUAAGUGCAGGCACUAAGCUCCAUAACACUUCACUCUAAUCUGGAAGAAUUUGUAUAAAAGCAUGUGUGCCUGUCAGGAAAGAAAACAUCGAAGCAACUUCUGAUCCGUAUAAGUUUAGCUAUUUGCUCAGGGACGAGCAAAGGGUAAGCUUGGGGGAGUUUGUUGACGGUCCUUAAGUACUAAAAUUAAUAAUCAAAUACAAUCAAUGUCGGUUUGAUCCAACGGCCCAAAUUCACUUGAAAGGACUAUAAAACCAAGGCCUCUCCACCCCUGCAGGAGAGAGGAGAAGAGAAGAAAUCAUUAUUCAGAGGUAGCCAUCAAAGUUAGGGUUUAGAGCUUCUCUCCCAUAGAGAAUUAGAAUUAGCUACUCCCUAAUCCUUCAUGUUUAGAGGUUUGAUUAGAUAGCAAUUAGAGAAGUAAAGCAAUACGCUCUGGAUUCGGAUCUUCGGUAAUAAAGAUUGGUAUUAUUCAUAUCAUUCUCUACUUCUUUGUUCUAAUUGCAUUAUGUCUCUAAUUAUUAUAUUCUUAGUUUGCUCUAGUUCUAUAUUUGAUAUAGUUAUGAUUGAUAAUGAGUUUAUGUAUAAGUUUGCAAAGCGCUUAGCUCUUGGCGCGAGGGAGUUAGGUGAUAGAUCACAUGUGAGCGUGGUGCUUAGAUGUUAUUUAUCUGCAAAUGUAUCCUAUUGGCCGGGUUGUGCGGUAGUUCGCGAUAGUGACAGCUUCGUUGAUUCUUAUAUAGUCCACCCUCCGUUGAUAGGACAGGCAGAACCGGUAUUGUGGAGUAAGUCUUGCGAUGCUCUGAUUUACUUUAGCAAUGUUCCUUAUACAUGAAUGAAGAGUCUUUUAUGCUAUAUAUGAUCUUGUAGAUAACUAGAGUAGAUUAUGACUUAGUAGAUAGUAGAUAACUUAGAAUCCAUUCUCUAGCUAAUCCGACUUCACCUACAUAUAUGAGGAGUAGUCAAUUUUCUAAUCGCUGUGUUAUCCCUUGAACUUAUAAUUCAUUAUCAUUAUCUUUAUGGUUUACCCCCUGCUAAAGUAAGUGACUGUGUGACGAGUUUUUCAUUAGUAAUCAUGUUCUUGCAAGUUUAUCUCUAGUCUAUGCCUUGAUAGGUUCUGUCCUUAUUUUAAUUUCAUCCCUUUUGUUCUCUUAAGCAAAAUUAUAAAUAACGAUACCUGGAAUACUUAUCCUGGUAAAAUGCUACAAUGAGGUGUUUUAUCUGUGCGCUUGCAGAUAGAAUAGAUUAUUUUCUAGAGAGCCUUUACAUUUAUAAAUACCUUUGUACACUCUGGCACCAUGCUGGGGAUGACAACCUAGUAUCUAAGUGGUGUUAGCUAGUGUCAACAAUGCACUUACCGCAUCACCGCAAGACUGGGAGUUGACUGAGGUUACCUCAGAUAAUGAACCCACUGAGUAAGUCCUCUCUACUAUCUAAGUCCUAUUGGUAGACUUUAAAUUCCGUAUCCAAGCCAUAAGGUCAGAAUGGUAGUUAAGUUAGCAUGCAUUAGUAAUUUUGCUUUAAUACUCUUAGUAGCAUAUUUAAUUCUCUUAGCAUAUUAAUACAAAAUACAAACAAACAUUUACUGCUUUAAUUACUGCAUCAUAAAUACCAAAGCCCCAUGUAAAUAAACUUAUGUUUAGGAAUAUUUACUGUGGUGGCAUAAAAAAAUAUAAAAUAAAUAGCAUUCAUAUUUAAUUUCUGCAUCAUAAAUAGAAAAUUCAAAAAAUAGGAAUGUGAAAUCCUACUUAAUCAGACAACAUUAAAAUUAGCUCAUAAGAAUAAUCAAUUUCUCAUUGGUUGACCGCUAACUCAUUAUUAAAUUCAAGCCUCGAGUUUUGGUUUUCUUGUUGGAGUACUACUAUGCAGGAAUGACAUCAUAGCAAGGGGAGAGUCUAUCGGUGGCACCCAACAGGUUCAGCUCUAGUUAGCUCACUCUAAAGUACAUCUACACCAAGUAUUGCAAACAUCCAGCUUGGGGGAGGAGCAUCCCCUAGUUAUCAGGUAAUUAUACCUAAAUGAUUAUCGAGUCUAUAUAGUUAUAAAAAUAUCAAAAUAUGUGGGCACAUGAAGGUCCACAAGUCAUAGAGUCUUUUGUGAGUUUAUAAUUAGUUAAAUAUUAGAGUUUGUUUAGAAUCAGUCUAAGCUAGAACCAAAUAAAAAAUUGAUGAACAUUUGAAUUUUAUCUUGGAAAUGAUGAAUAGUUGCUCUAUUCUUUACAAGUACCUAGAUUCCAACAUUAAAUUUUCUUGAGUUUUAGGCAUUAUUGUUUUAAUUCGAAGAUUUACUUUAAACCUACAAUUUUUGGAAGCACAAGUUUGAGCUAAGUUUAGGUAAUUGGUUAUAUGAUCAUUGAAAGUUUGAGCUACUAUUUAUCUUAUUCCUAGCAUUACUAAGUUAUGGAGAUUUUUUUUGAAAACCUAAAAACCUACAUGAUGAGCUCUUGUAUGACAAAGUGUUAAUCCCUACCAAAGCCAUAUAUAAUAUACAUUUAGAAUUAGGAAAACAUUUGCAUGUUUAUGCUUCUUGCUUUGCAUUGAGUUCAGUCAACCUUUGUCGUAUACCUUAUGAGAGUCUUGUCAUGCUUUCUAAUCAAGACCACAUACACACUCCAGUUCAUAUAUGCAUUAUUCCUACACUGGGAGUAAACACCAGCAAACACCCCAUAGGAUAACCCUUGUCUUUAAAGUUCUUGUUGUUACCUCUCUAAUCAUUUAUUGUAUUCAAAGGAUACAUGUGGCUAUGCAAAAAUAUAAAAGAAGAAAAGGGAGUAAAAGAUGGACAAGUGUCCCAAUAAUUAAAACAAUGGGUACUAGGUGCCCACCUCCCUGUAUAAAAUAGUAAUAUUAAUAAUAAAGAUAGCCCAUGUCUUUCCUAAAAAAGUUUCAAUAGAGAGUUAUUCCCAAAGAAAUAUAAAUUAGCCACAAAUACCACAAAAACGCCAAUCCACCAUAUUCCAUACACAUGCACACUUUGGUUUGAUUGUAUGCCUCGAUUCUCUACGGAUCCAUUAGUUGACUUUACAAUACAUGCAUUGCAAGUAUGCUCAUCCUUGUUAUUAGCACUCCUAUAAGCUCCACCAUAUAUAUAUCUUUAGCUAUAGGAGGUAUAAAUGCCUCAAGAGAGAACCAUAAAUACCAUAUACAUCGAGAGACUAGAGGGUGUCAUACAAUUAAGCUCUGAGUUUUAUUCUGAAAACUUAUAAAAACUCUAGAAUAAUGGUUUGGAAAGAGUUUGAGACAUUGUGCUUGACCUGAUUGUUCUGUCUUUUGAUUGCUCAAGACUCAUGCAAAAGCUAUAAAGCCCCAUGGUUAAAGGUAAAAUGGGUAAGUUUGAAGAUUAGAGCAAGUAUUGACUAAUCCGGAGGAGAAUCUUUAUUUGGGAGCAUGUGUACUGGGAAAGAAUGAAAACAUUAUAGCAACUCUUGAUCCAAAUACAUAUACUGCUUAGGCUAAGUUUGCCAAGGGACUGGCAAAAGGUAAGCUUGGGUGAGUUGUUGACGAUCGAUAACGUCAACUUUUAUUAUAACUUUAAACAUGAAGGGGAUCAUGAAUACACACUAGUAUAGUGUUUAAACUAACAAUUUCCACAAGUUUGGUAUAUUCUAUAUUUUCCAGGGUGAAUUUCAGGAAAGCUGCAAAAGAGGGACUCUAAUGAAAAUCAAACAUGGAAACGUAUCCACCACGGGAAACAGCACUAGAGGAUUCAGCAAUACUCCGAAAGACACCCAACGCGAGGGGGGAGCCAGCGGUCACCAAGUGGGGCCGGCCAGCCCCACCCUAGCGUUGGCUGGCCCCCUGCUCUAGGGUUUGGUGCCCCCCUUCUAGAAGCUUCCUCCACCGCCUUUGGUUAAGUCGGUUUGCUCCGACGACGCACGCGACUCCCACUAGACUAUAAAUACGUGGGCAGACCCCUCCUAGAUAGACACCUCAUUAUUCAUCAAGGCCUCAAGCCAUCAAGCAUCAAGCCCCUUCAAGUUCAUCAAGAGCCUUCUAGUUCAUAGUUCUAGUUAGUUAGAUUAGAAGUAUAGGAGAUAUAGUUCUAAUCGAUCGUUGGGUAGAUGAUAGACAAUAUGUAGAUGUGGUGCCUAGAUAUCUUGUUUAUCUGCGAGUGCCCCCUGACGUGUCGGGUCGUGUCAUAGUCCGCGUAGGUGACAACUAUGUUGGUUCCUCUAUAGUCCACCUUCCGUACGUAAGGCUAGCAUGGGCACGGUCACAAAGGAGGUGACGGUUGCGUCUUAAAACCCUCAUUAGUUCAUGUCUCUUUAGAUGUAAUUGUGAUAUAGAGUUGACUUAACAAUGAUUUCUCAAUGUAAUUGCACUAAUUAGAGUUAUUCAUUGGCGUAGUUAUAGAAUUACCUUAGAUCCAAGUCCCUAGUUUAUCCAUUGGCUAACUAUGAUUUAUGACUAGUAGAUGCUCGGAUGAUUAUUCUUAUUUAUGAUACUUGAUGAGUAUGCUAUCACUAUUAUUUAUUAUUAUUUAUCUUGUGACCUCUGCCUGUUAUGAGUAGAUUAUAGGAAUUAGGUAAUGUCAUUUAUUUAUUCUUUUUAAUAUAAUAGAUAUAGUUUAACACCUAGCCUUCCUAAUGGUAUAAAUAUAAAUCGACAACCUGGAUACUUCCCUAGGUAAAAUGCUACUACGGUAUAAUUAUCUAUCUGCUUGUAGAACCCAUUUAGUUUACAAUUAUAAUCAUAUCUUUUAUUUCUACCUAGUCACAAUAGUACAUAUGAAUCUAUAAAUUCCUAGCAAUAUAAUUAGGGAUGACAACCUACUUCAUGUUUAGGAAUAUUAAUAAAGGAAGUGGCUAGUUGCUAAUUGACAAGUUAAUUAUAUACCGUGCAUUUCUGGUGUUGUUACUAUGAGUAGAGUUUAUCUCUGUUUUUAGUGAUGACGGUAGUAAAUGUCAACAACCACAUAUGAGAGAUGGGAAAGGGUCAUACAAGGAAUCUAUAAGUUUAAUUUGAAAAUCUUGCAAAAACUCUAGAGUAAUAGUUGAUCAAAGAGCGAGUGGCAUAGUGCUUGACUUAACUAUUCUGUCUUUCAACUGAUCAAGACCUAAAUGAUAGCUAUAAGCUCCAUGGUAAAAGCUAAUAUAGGUGAGUCUUGAGUUAGAAUAGUUCACUCUAAUCUAGAGGAGAGUCCUUGUUUGAACGCAUGUGUACUUGUGAGGCAUAAAAGUAUUGUAGCAACUCCUGAUCCAUCACUGAGUCUAUCUUUGCUCAAGGAUGAGCAAAAGGUAAGCUUGGGGGAGUUUGUUUACGGUAGAUAAGUACUCUUUUUAACCAUCGACUUAGCAAAAUAAAGGACUAAAAUCAAAAUAUCAUAUAGCUAACAGAAUUCCACAAGUUUUGGUGACUGUCUAUUUCUGUAUGGGUUUAUCGGAAUAAAGACAAAAGGAGGUCCACAUGUCAGAUUUACAUAGAGAGAAUACAUGAAACGUCAACUCAGGAAUACUCUAGAAGACUUGGGAAGACACCACCUGAAAGGUGGGGCCCACCUGCCAUAGGGCAGGGGUGGGUGCACCACCUUGUCAUGGGCGGCCGCCCGGAGGGUUCAGCCAAUGAGGGUGAACCUCGCGGAUCCUGCCUCCACCGACUUUGAUGAUUAAUCAUGAGCGCAUGUUUAAGUUGGUUUGAUCCAACGGCUGCGGUGCUUCCUAGGAGGCUAUAAAUACAAGCCUAACCCCCCUAGAAACCCUAAUUCAUAUAGAAGAAGUCAUUUAGACAGAGAGGGGUCCCUCGAAUAGAUCUGUCUCUUUAGAGCCACAUCUCAAUUAGAGCUCUAUAGUUUUAUAGCAUAGGUACAUAGGAAUAGAUCUAGAAGGAGUCAAGUUAAUCUUAGAGUCCGGAUCUAUCUUCAGUUCUUGGUAAACGCUUAUUCUUCUUUGUUAUAUUUAUAUUAAUUCUUGCUACUAUGAAUAUGACUUUGAUCUACUUGAUUAUACCAGAAUUGACUUUAUUCUAUUUGCUUAUGUUCUCAAUUAUAUUGUUAUUAGUCUACUUUGAUUAUAUGCUUAGUGUAGUUAGAUUAGAAUUAUGUUUAUGCAUAGGAUCAUAUAGCGCCUACUCAUUAGAUCAAUGGGUAAGUGGUAAAUAUUGUGUAGGUGAGGUGCCUAGACCGUAUUUAUCUACGAUUACCCCUUAUAGUCCGGAGCUUGAGGUAGAUCGUGGGAGUGAUAGUCCUAUUGAGUCCUCUAUAUUCCUUCUCCCGAUUAUAAGGAUUGUUGUCGGUGUUUUGACCCCAGGGGGUGACACCAACGAGUGAAUUUGUGUGCGUGCUCCCUUUUCCAGAUGGCGAUGCAAGAUUGACAUAGAGAUUUAUCCUGGUUCGGGCAAGAGAAGGCCCUACGUCCAGCGGGGGUGAAGACUUCGUAUUAUCUUACACAUAAGUGCUUGUAUAGGGGUGAAUACAAGUGGAUGUGGCCAAGGGUUCUAAGUCCUAGCCGAUGGUGGUGUGCGGAUCGUAUUCUACGAGUUGUGUGUUGGAUCUCUCCUUUUUUUGUGUGUCGUCCUUAGCGUCCCCUUUUAUAGUUCCAAGGGGAGACCUAAGUUACAGGGUGUAGGGAUUAGAAUAAGCCUCGAUAGGGCUAUGGCGCGCUGACCUACUCGAGGCCUCCGUACCGGCGUGGCCUCGAGCCGUCUUGUUACAGGGUACUUUGGUGAUGAUGGCGCGUGCGCUCCUGAAUUCAGCUCCUGUACAUCGUCUUGGAUUGGCUUAGGUGCAUGCACGCUUGCACGUUGUGGCAGUAGUCACGUCUGGGGUGGUUGAAGCACUGACUUCAAUCGCCUGAUCCUUUCCAGGGAAGGAACGCAUCUGCUCGAGGGUCGGGUCGCACGAGCGGCCUUGCUGUGUGGGAUCGCUGACUUCAUGCAUCUCGAGGGGUGCCGUGAUGGGAUAUCACGUCUGCCAUACUGUGUCGGGUCGUACCUUUAUCCAUCUGGGGGACAAAGCUGGAAAAAGUGGAGAUUUGACGGGUGCUUGCUCCUCUAUCACGCUUCCCAUGACUGUCGGGUUAGGUGGGAGCUUGGCAGACACAUUAAAUGCCCUGGCUUCCGUACCCAUGACAGGCAGCAGAGGACACUUUUGCGCUUGAGGCUCAUUGAUUUGCUCGAGCUACUCCAUUAUUUGAUGGUUGCUGGCUAUCGAGCCCCUAUCAAUUCGUAGGACCCUAUUUCCGUGUUCGAGGCCACGAUCGACAUCGAGCCCUGGUGAUUGCGUAUUUAUGUCGGAGCGUCGAGUCAGAGCCUCGAUUUGUUUUUGAAUCCUCUCGUUAUGAGUAUUGGCUGGGAUACCCCUAUUGACAUCCUCGACAGUAGCCCCCGAGCCUCUGUUCGAGCACUUGUGUUCGAGCAGAGGCUAUUCUGAUGGUCGAGUUUCCGUGGGGGUCACACGAGUGACCCCCGCAGGGGUAGCCUCCGAGCCCUUGGAGGAGUCUUGGACUUCUUUGAGGGCUGUAUUGCUUUUUUAGAUGCGACUGCUCUUGAUGUUCCUUUUCACCAAAGGGCGUUUGUUCCAGAAGGGAGCCUCCGACCCUCGUUGGUCGGACUUACCUUAUCAAGGCUAGGAGCGUGACGUACUCCUAGUGGAGCGAGUGUCAUUGUCCUGGGUGAGCUCCUAUCGGGUAAUCUAAGCGCGAACCCACGCCCCGUUCGAGGGGGUUGGCUGCAGCCCGGGGCGUUCUCAUUAAAGCUAGGCUAGCGUGGUCGGGGAUACCGGUCUCGUUCGAUAGAGUCCAGCGGCUCGACGCCUCCCUCCGUGGGGAUUCCUCUCGACCUUCUUGCCCCUGCCUUGGAUACCCCUAGCGAGUUCUCGAGGCAGGCCUCGUUUUCGACCCCUUGCUGGGCGCCCUUGACUCUGGUACUCGAGGGCGACCGUCGAAGCCGUCCGGUGGGUCGGUCUGCGCUCCCUCGAGAUUCUUAUGGCGGCGCGCGCUUGCCUUACCUUGCAACGGAAGGAAGUGUCAUGGCAGUUCUUUUUCUUGCCUGUUGGGUGCACCUUUUUAGGAGGGAGUCAUUGCGGCACAGUUCCGUUUGUGGAAUCCGUAACGUCCUGUCAGGGAGAGAAACAAGACCGUUAGGUGGCGCAUUUAUUGAGGAAGUUACCGCAUUUAUCGGAUCCGCUCGUUGGGGGGCGUCUAUAAAUAUUGAGGCAUUGCCUGGCUGUUGUUUCUUCUGCAUCCUGCCAUUGCACUCGCCCCUACUUACUUUGCAUUUUCUCGCACACUUGAAGCACGAUACACCCUCGAGCGGAGCGAUCCAUAGAGCCGCCCUCCACCUUCCGCCAAGAUGCCUAUGAGACUCAUCGCCGCUGACGAUUAGCGCCCGUCGACCAUGAUGGAGCACUGACUGAGGGAUCUGGAGAAGGAGGGGCUCCUGCGCCCCCGUGCUUCCUCGAUGCGGCCCGAGUGGAUCGCGCCGCCGGCGGAUCAUCGGGAGCCGAACCCACUUGCCAAGGUUACCGGGAUCGCCGGCCGCUAAAGUCGGGCUUUAUUCAUGCGACAAGAGGUGGCUGGUAGUAGAUUCCUCUCCUCAAGGGAGUCAUAGGAGAAGCUCCUUAAGGCAUACAAGGAUCUUACCGUAGCUCUGGAGGAGAAGAAGGAGAAGGAGGACGCUCUAACUGAUGCUCGGAAGACCCUGUCUAGUAUGAACGGCAAGGUCUCCUGGGCGGAGGAAGAUGCUCAAGUCGCUCGAGAGGCCUCAGAGAAGGCAAAGGAGGAGGCUACCCGGUCAAGGGAGUAGGCCGUCUCGGCCGAGGAGGCGGCCGCUAAGGCAUAGUAGGAAGGUGCACAAUAUAAGGAUGGAGCCGCCGAGCUAGACAAGGAGAAGAGGCUCGUGUAGUCGGACCUUGCCGCCGCUCAGAGCGCUUAUGGUGGGGUGAAGGAGGUACUCCUAAUGAGCGAGAUCACUCGAGGCGCCGCGGAGGAGGCCAAGAAGAAGGCCCGUGAGGACCUCGAGGCAGUGCAGGCCAGCUCUCACAGGCUUUCCAUCGACAUUGAUCGUCUAAAGAAAACACUUCGAGAGAAAGAGGAGGCUAUCCUUCAAUUGAGCAAGAUGAUUGAGGACCUGCGGGUCAAAGAGAUGGAGCUGGCUCACUCCUACAAGGAGAUCGAGAGGGCCAACACCAACCUGGUUGGUGAGAAUACAGCUCUCGAGGAGAAGAUCCGUGGAAAGUCUUCUGUGCCCUUGUGCUUCUUUUGUUUCUAUGACGUAGCUUUUCUCUCGUCUGACUCCUUAUCUCAAUUCUGCAGGGCUUAAGGACGAUCUGCUAGCCGCCUAGGUCGACGCCCAGUCUUCUAAGGCAUGGCUUGAGGGGGAGGUCGCCCUAACUGGCCGACUAAGGACUAUGAUAAACGACCUCUCGACCUCCUGGGAGCUCGAGCCUGCAGAUGAGGCGAGGGAGGCAGCUCGAGGCGACACCCUGGUCAACUAGCUGUGCUACCUAGGCGCCACCCUAAGGGACCGGGUGCAGGACGCGCUCCAUACUGGGGUGAAGCGGGCAAUGGUGGUUGUCUGCUCGGGCUUCUCCUAUGACAUGGAUGUAGUGUCCCAUGGUUUCAUCACUGACCUCCAAGACCGACGCUGAAAACGAGGAGAGGCUCCAUGCCUUGAUCGACGAUGUGGAGGUUCCUGGUGAAAGGUUGGCGAAGCUGUUCGAGCCAGAGGUACUACCUCCGGAGACCAGCGCGGGCGCAGAAGACGGUGGUGAGAGUAGAGAUGAGGACUAAGGCCUGCGAGCCUAAUUUGGGUACUUAGACCCAUUGUAAUAUACUUUAGCGUUUAAACAUUGUGGCCUUUGUGGCCUUAAGAUUCGUAUUUUCUGUAUGUUCUUGUUACUUUUAUGCUCAAGUUUCCUUUGUUUCAUUUGCUGCCUAAGUUUGUAUUCCUCGAUCGAUCUUUUGUUAGGACAACCUCGACUGCCUCGAGGGUAAGGGAGUGAGUAGAGUUACCAUAGCCCGGGGGUGUAGGGGUUCUCAGGCUCGACGUCCCUCGGCCCUUAAGGGGCUUGAGGUGCCUUUACUACUCGAUCGUGUGAGGUUUCUUUAGUUCUUAAAAGGAAAAAGGUAGCGUUGAGUUUUUGAAGAAACCAUUCAGUUUUUAAGAGCUUGUGGGGGGGGUCCCCUGUUAGCCCUCGAGGGAGUGUCAACUAUUGUAACAGAACCAUCAAAUUUAUAAGAAUUCAAGUGAAUUAGCGACCAUGGAGGCAGUCAAGCCAAUGGAAUUGAACCCAUGUAAACCCGGUAGUCCGACGAAAUCUCAGAAGACCUCGAUUCAACCAACAUACAACCAAGAUCGUACAUGAUCAAGCAUCACCAUCACAGAUUACAACAUUCAUCAUAGAACAUAGUUUUACAUCACAUCAGAGCUUAAAAGUGGUUAUUACAAACCAAAGCAGUAGCGGAAACAAAGUAGUUUUUAAACAACACCAACUCAGUUUAUAUUACAUGCCAGUUUCAUGGUCAAGUCCCAACAAAAGCACAACUGAAGGUAGAGAAGUGAUCAUGCCCAUGAUCUAUUCAUCAUCGGCAGCCGGGUGAUGGCAGUUAGCGCAAUAGCCGUGAUAAACGACAUCAUCUACAACAGGGGUAAAUAAAACCCUGAGUACGAGAAUGUACUCAGCUAGACUUACCCGUCAUAAACCAAAAAUAAAGUGACACCAAGGAGUAUGCAAGGCUGAUCUUUGUGGACUGGUUCGACUCACCUUUUUGCAUAAAAAGCUUUAGUAGAAAGAAACCCAUUUAUCAAAUUUCAGCAGCAGGUUUAUUACUUACAACUAUCCACUAGAUUAGCACCUGAUCUAAGCAUACACUUGAGUAUUUAAACAUCACAAUAAUGACCAUAUCCAGAUUUUUACAUAGCUAUCAUCAUUCUCAUCAUAACCAUUAAGUUUAUUUAGUGAAUUCUAGGUUGCCGCUGCCCAAGUCAAGUUCACUAUCCGGGAGAGACGGCGAUUCGAAUCGAUUCCUAUCCAGCUGGAGGAGUAUUCCUAACACUCACCCAAGCAUACUUCAUGACGGCAGCUCGGAUCACCUUUAGCACAACUUCGGACCAAUUCGUGGGUCCGUACGGCGCCGCACCCCCAGGGACCGCCAAUGUGCCAGGGUCAGGACUCUAACCUGACACAUCGGUCUUACGCCAUUGACUCCCCGCACAUCCUUACUACCAACCGGGGUGCGCACUUUAACCAGAUCGGGGUAUCCGGCCGGAGUUGCACUCGUAGGCUUCGCGGUCGGAACGACUUAUCCGUCCAACUAAGUGAUAGGCAUGCGUUCAACAUGACACGGGGACGUACAGCGAUUCGGUCCUUAAACGACACAGACGGGGAUAGAUUCACACCCAAGACCUCCAUGCCUUGUUGCUGCACUAUCGUCAUCCCGCCCGGUCUCAAGUUCAUUAUUAGCAUCUGGUUAUUUCCACGAUAGCAAUAUAGCCAACCGUGAUCAUCAUCCACCUAACUCUCGCAGGUGACAGGAAAUCACCCGGCUUCUACCGAGCUAAACAUGGCUAAGCAUCACUUCGAUCCUGGACCUACUUAGGUGAGGUAUGAGGUGGACAAGGUAGUCAUUAUGCAGCAAGGGUGUCAUAUCAACGCCUACCACUUAAUGCAGCAAUAUAUAUAACAAUAGUCAAAUGAUAGCUGAACACGAAUAAUAAAAUAGUAGGAGGCUUAUAAUGCUCCGGGGCUUGCCUUUGACGUAAGUAGAAGGACGGUGAUCAGGGCACUCCGGCAAGUCCUCCUCCUCCUCAGCUCCUUGAGGUAGCUCCCCUUGCUGUCCUUCCGACGCUGGCAGCUCGAACUCCAAAACAGUCACGCCCUUGGGUACACCUAUGUAUGCAUGACAAGGACAUGAAUAUCGAGAAUGCACAUAUGAUGCAUGAUGUCAUGGUGAAGAGCCAAAGGGACAUAAAACAAGGUAUAACAUGAGCGUAAACUUCUGAGAGUAAGUGAAUCAUGGAAUAACAAGUAAGUGCAUACUUCUUCUCUGGUAGAGAGACUAACUAGACAAGUUAAACAAAUCCUAGCUACUCCUACUCAGUCGCUGGUUUAGUAGACAAACCAACCUGUCACAAGUUUUAGCCAUAACUUAAGCAUCAGUUAGCCAAACUAAGCAAGUAAGCACUUUCUGGAAACCUUAGCAAAUUUUCUACAAUUCACGUUUAGACAUCCCAGAGUGAUUCCCAACCAAAAUAUGCUAAAACAUAAAAAGUUGGCUGGCUGCUCUGGAAAAUCCAGAGAGCAAGCACUUCACAGAAGCUACUUGCAACAUACAUAACUUUUAAAAUACUCAACCAAAUGUUAUGAAAUUUGGACACGAAGUAGAUAAGCAAGUUAGCUACAAGUUUGUUGUAGACAAGUUUCCUAGAAAACAUCAUCUUAAAUCAGUUCUUAAGCAAUUGCUAUCAGCUACACAGGAUCACUCUAGGAAAGACAUAAAUAGCAAAAAUAAUAUUUUGCACAUAUUGAGAAUGUAUCAAAGGGACAAUCCAAUUGCACCAGUAGAUAGAACAUAUCUACGAAACACCAGAAAACAUCAUGGCAAGGUCUAAACCCAUUUCUAUCAUCUCCUUUUCCAUUUAUUUAAUUAUUAAUGUGAUUUAAUGAACCUGCAUUCCAAGUGUUACAAAAAUCCUAAGAAAAUUACAGCAAGCUACUUAUGCUAAUAUAAGAUCACUGUAAAAUUUUCAGAACAUUUGCACAUACAGAUUGUUAGAUACAAAAACAACAAGCUAGUAAAGACAUGCAAGGCAUAAAUGUGAAACCCUAUCAAAAGUGUCAAACAACAGAUUUCAGAUUUUUCCUAGCUUUGUCUACAUGUGAGUAUAACAGUCAGCAAGUUUCACCACAAAAGGAGCUAUAACUUAUUUAUUAAAACUACCACAAGAAACUCCUAUUUAAGCAAGAUUUAUUUUUAACUUUACAACCCAGGCUGCCAAAAAUCAUAAUAAAUUUAUCAGAGCCUAUUCAUAACCUUAGUAACAACACCCUAAAUUUGCAUGGCCAACAGAUCAAUAGAUUUCAAGAUAUAAUUACCUCCUAAAAAUCCAAGAUUAAUUUAUAUCUAAUUAUUUCCACAAAAACAUGGCAUGUCUCAUAUUUUUAUUAAAAACUAGACUCAUACUGGAACCUAGCAAAAUUGGAACCCUGUCAUUUGGAUCUAUAAAACUCGAGAUAUGAAUUUUUCAAAAUUAGCUCAGGAUCUGCAAAACAGUGAAUCAGAGAGGUGAGAGGGAGAGGCUGACACCCGGGACACGCGCGUCAGAGAGACAGAGACAGGGGAGAUGCUCGUCGCCGGCGAAGCUCAACGACGACGAGGUCUCGGCCGGAUCCAAGGGCAUCUAUGUGUUCCUCUCAUCAAGGCGACUCGGUUGACCUACUUUACCCGCGCUCUACUGGACUCUAGGGUGCUCGCCGUCGGGAAUGGCGGAGCGGCGGCGCUGCGCGGUGUUACGCCGGCGGAUCCAGGCAUUGGCGACGCGGUAGAGCUUCAUGCCGAGCAUCAGUGAAUCAAGGGGAAGCGAUAGGAACAAGAAUGAAGGAAAAUGGUGGAGCAGAGAGGCCUGGCCACGUUGCCGGUGAGCUCGGGCGGAACUCCGGCGAGGGAGAACGGCUCGGAGCUCGGCAAUGUCGCCUUACCCGUGCUCGACAGUGGCCAAGGAGAUGACGCCGAGGUAGAGGACGUCGAGGCGGAGCUCUGGACGGGUUGGCUUGGCCGGAGGUGCGGUGGAACGGCCAGAGAAGCUCGCCGAAACGCGGCGGAGCUCCCUGAGGCGACGGUGGAGCGAAAUGGGAGGCGUUGAGCGAGUGGAGGGCGCGUCUGAGGCGUCCACUCGGUGCGUGGCAUCUUGUGGACGACGUCGGGGCUGAUAGGCGGGGUCGCCAUCAAUGUACGGCCGCCAGAUGGCCGGACACGUGGCGGCGGGUGAGCUCUGUCCAACUGAAUCGUUUUUCUGAAUCGGCCGAUUGCAGUGACUGAAUCCCGAAGUUCGUCGACGUUUUACUCUCAGCUCACUCGGUGGUUUUGGCUGGGAUUUGAUCCUCUGGAUAGAGCUACACGAGUUCUACAACUUUGAUUACACGAGCUCAGUCUAAAUCGGUCUGGAUUUUAAACUACAAGGCUCCCAACAACCCUACCUCGAAACUGUGUAAACCAAGACUUAGCCAAAUUCGGCUAAGUGUGAAAUCAGCCCUGAUUUUUGGCUUGUGAGCAAAUUUUGGAGGUGUUCCAAGCUUUUUCAUAAAAAGUUAUCAACAUAACUUUUGUAGCUUAGGGAAUUCUCUACAACUUUGUUUCAGGGGUCACAGACAUGCAAGGUUUCUAACAUUACUUUCAUAAAACAUCUUUGAAAGGAGGUUUAGGGGGUCAAAUAAGCCAUUCUAGGGUUAACCAUGACUUGGAAACAUUUUUAAACAAAACCUCCAACAUGAACUUUGUUCCAAAAGAUGUUCUAAACAUGAUUAAAGUAUUUUGGAAAGGAUUGCACACUCACAUGUAUUGGUCACCCACUAAAGUCACUCAAAACAAGUCACACAAGCAAUUUAAUCACAUGGUACAUGUAGUAAAUGGCAUGUGAUCAUGGUAUGAUGCUCAUGAGUGAUCAUGAUGAUGCUUAUGUUGAUGCAAUGCUCAUGGGUAACAUGCAAGCUAAUACUAGGAGUGUUACAGCCCUCCCCCCUUACAAAAAUCUCGUCCCGAGAUUUGAAAGACGUACCAUUUUUCGUAGAAUGAGGGAUAAGUUACUUGUAAAUAGUCCUCCCUUUCCCAAGUGGCAUCUCUCUCAUUUUUACGGUUCCACAAAACUCUAAAGAGUUUGAUCACCCUCCCAUGAGUAACUCGUUCUUUGACAUUGUUGACACCGUUUUUGGACACGUGACUAGGUUUGGUAGAGUAUGGGCCAGCAAGGUAAGUCAGCGGUGUUUUAUACAGGAUGCGUUGCCGAUGAGGUUGGUUACCGAUGAAGAAGGAGUUGGACGUGAUUUAGUCCAUAGAUGAUGAUGCGUCCGUGCCGAUGACCGCGACAAGGGAGUCUGCCGAUGGAUGCGACAAGGGAAUCUGCCGAUGACCGCGACAAGGGAGUCUGCCGAUGAUGCGGAGGGAUAGUCUGGAAGCUGCCGAUGGGUUCGUGAAGGUGUUCCAGUCUGUCACGGGGAUAGUUUUAUAUUUCCCUUAGUUGUUUAAAUCGUUUUAUAUACGGAUUCUGUGUAAUUUAGAAUUCGAAUUCUAGUCAUGUCUGGUUGUAGCUCUGUGAGCAGGGUAUAAUGAGACAUCUAUCAAUCAAUCAAACACACGUUUUUACUCAUAUUCCAGCAUCUACUUUUUCGACGACUUCGUCAUACUUUUCCUUUUCACUACGAGUUCUUAGGAAUUCGUCGACUUAAGCUCGGCGCGUUCUCAAGUUCCGCGUGAAUACCUCUUAGCCGUGACAUCCGGGCGCAUCGCUGUUGUCAGGACUAAAGUAUUCGAGUUACCACCUUUGCCGGUAGCAAGGUCAAAUCGGCUGGCACGCCUUAACGUUUGGAUCGGGUAUUAGCCUUUUGUGUUUGCAGAUCAGUUUUGCACCAACACAUCUUUUGGCACGCCUGGUGGGACCGAUUCAAGAUCAAAGAUCAACAAGUCAACUUCUGAGUUUGAUCAAGAGAACGUCAUCCCCGUAACAGAAGCCAAUCUCAAGGAUGAGCAGAAGCAAGCUAUUGCUAAAGCCAUGGAGGAUUACAAGCAGCAAUGCCUGAGGUCCUUCAGCAUGAACAGGAGCGGUGAGGUGAUUCAGAAGGAUGCACUGCCGGCUCCUCGGCAGGUUACUUUUGAGUCCAAUCCUGGCAAGCUUCAAGAGAUGGUUGACAGCGCGAUCAACCGCGCUUUGAUCAAUCAAGCUGGUGUACUGUCUAAUACGGUUUUCAAUGCCGUGGCGACAACUUUCAAGGAGGGACAACUGCCACCAGAUUAUGUGGGCCCCACUUAUCACCAGCCAAAGUCACCAGUGGUCACAGCUCCAUCGGCUGCUACGGCCGCUGCGGGUAUGGAGAUUCCUGUUCCACCAAGCACGUUAGGAGUCACCAAUGGACAGUCUAUGCCGAUGACAACUAAUCCACAGACUUCGGAUGGGCAGAUUAAACUUGCCACAGAUCUGUUAGCAUCGGCAAUGACAGGGUUAACCCCUCGUCCCAACUGGUGGGGUUAUGGCAUGCCUCCAGAGUUAACGCCGGGUACAUCGCAGACGACUGAUAUGAGAGGCAAGACUCCUAUGGCAUCGGCACCUCCCAAUAUGCCGAUGAACCAGAGUCCCCAGUAUACUACAACUACUACUGCAAGACCUCACACUGGGAAUUCUCAAGCUCCAAUGUUCUAGAUGCCUAACGCAUCGGCAGACUCGAUGCUGAUGCAACAGAGGUCUAUGGCUCAGUCAGGGUAUGUCAAUUCAAUGAUGAUGCCCAAUUACCAGUCAUGGAUGGCUUGGACAGCAAGUUUUUCCGCAAACACCCCAACAGAGUCACCAGGCUACAGGGUUCCAGCAAGGACAGAUCUAUCCCAGGUUCCAGAAUCAGGGGAUCCCUAACCAGCCAAUGAAUCCCGGGCAGCAGCUCGUCAGACAGCAGAUUGGCGGGCAACAGCUUGGUGGUCCACAGGUUGGAGGCCAGAUGAUCAACCCAAUGUUCCGUGCAGAUCGCGCACCGAACAGACACGUGGAGGCCUACCAGCAGGCACCUGAUCCGCAACCGCUCCAUCGGCAAGAUGCCGAUGCAUACUGGGCCGAUAAGAUUGCUAAAGUAAUGAGAGACCAAUUCGGGAUAAAACCCAAAGUCAAUACUUACUCUUAUCGGACACCGUAUCCUCCUGCAUACGACUUGAUCCCGCUUCCACAUCGGUACAAGGUACCAGAUUUCACUAAGUUUUCUGGGCAGGAUGAUACGUCAACCAUGGAGCACGUCAACAGAUUCAUUAUUCAGUGCGGUGAAGCUGGUAAUAGGGACGAAUUGAGGGUUUGUUUAUUUUCGUCAUCAUUGUCUGGGUCGGAUUUUACCUGGUUCAUAUCACUACCUCCCAACUCAGUGAUUACUUGGGCCGAUCUGAAAAAACAAUUCCACAAAUACUUCUUUUCUGGGGUCCAUGAGAAGAAGAUCACCGAUUUGGUCAAAUUAAGGCAGCGUAAUGAUGAAUCGGUUGAGGGUUUUGUACAGAGGAUACGGGAAGUCAAGAACAAGUGCUAUAGUCUGGUUCUGGACGAUCGACAGCUAGCCGAUUUGGCUUUCUAGGGUUUGUUGCCGCACAUCAGGGACAAAUAUGCAUCUCAGGAGUUUAAAAGCUUAAGUCAUCUGGUGCAAAGGAUCUCUGAUCAAGACAUCAAGCCGUUUGAACCCAAGAGAGCAUGGAACAAAAAGAUGUCGUUCCUUGAUGAAGCAACAAGCUCGGAUUCUAAUGAGGAACCAGUCAUCGGCUUGGCAGAGUGGGUGAAAAACAAAAAGCCGAUGUCUUGUCCUUUUGGACACAAAGAACCAGAGAAAUUUGCGUUUGACACCGCUAAAGCCGAUAGGAUAUUCGACUUUCUGCUCCAGGAAGGUCAGAUCAAACUGUCACCUAAUCACGUGAUCCCAUCGGCUGAGGAAUUGAAAAGGAUGAAAUAUUGCAAAUGGCACAAUGCAACUUCUCAUGACACUAACGAGUGCAAGGUGUUCAGACAACAACUGCAAUCGGCUAUAGAAUCUGGAAGGAUCAAAUUUGAUAACUCCAAGACCCAGAAGCCGAUGAAGAUUGACCAACAUCCUUUCCCAACGAACAUGUUGGAUGCUAAGGGAAAAGCCAAGGUCUUAACCUCAGAAGCAGCCGAAAGAAGUGCAUCGGUGGAUCCUCAGCAUCAAGUCACUACUGCCGAUGCGAAGGGAAAGGGCUUGGUCCAGGAAGGAACCAGCUCAGGAAGGCCUUCCCGAACUGGAAUUGUAAUAACUCACAGAAGACCUCGAGAAACUUGGCAGCAACGAGAAGAUCGGUACCGGCGCCAGCAAGAAGAUUAUCGUCGGGAAGAGGAAAGACGCCGGCAUGAGUGGAACCGGCAUAGGGAUAACUGGAAUUGCUCGUUCUUCAUCCAUUGCUGGGAAGAGAAUAUCAAGCUUCCUACUGUUAGAGAUUGCCCUGAAUGCAACGGUUACAAUCGGUACGACAGGUCCGAUCGGAACUAUCGUAAUAAUGAUCGGCGCUUCAAUGGGCCGAUUAGAGGGAGAGCAUCCGUCCAUGAUCGGCUGGGGGGCAGACUCAAUGUACACGACAGGCUUGGUGAUCGUGUCCAGUAUUUUCCCAGGAACCAGGAAGAACUUGAGGAGAUGGCUAAUGCACGAGUUCCCGACGAAUUCAUAUUUUGCAGGGAUGCUAAUACGCAUCGGAUGGAGUCGAGGGAAAAUCAUCGCCCAGCAGCAAGGCAAAGACCGCUUCCUCCAUGGUGUCCAGAGGGGUUGACCAAGACACAAAAAAGGACAUUGCAGCAUGAAAGGCAGGAAGGGCUAAGCAAAGGCGAGAACUCUGGUCAGUCUGGAGAUCAGCAGCAAUCAGAUCCCAACGGGAGAGGUCCAUCGGUAGGAGUCAACAUGGUCUUUAUGUUGCCAAUGGAGUUUCUUGCACCAUCUAGCGAUGAUGAGUUGGGAUUUUCUGAUCAAAUAGCUCAAUUGGCUCUGGAUCCGAUGACGGCUAUCUUCGAGAAACCAGCCGAUGAUGAAAGACAACAUCUCAAGGCUCUGUUUGUCAAAGGAAGGGUUGAUGGGCAGCCGAUGACCAAGAUCCUAGUUGAUGGUGGGGCUGCUAUCAACAUCAUGCCGUAUGCAGUAUAUCAGAAGCUUGGGAGAGGGGAUCAGGAUUUGACCAAGACCGAUAUGAUGCUUAAAGACUUUGAAGGGAACGUGUCUCCAGUCAAGGGGGCAAUAUGUGUAGAGUUGACCAUCGGCAGCAAAACCUUGCCGAUAACCUUCUUUGUGAUCAGUGGAAAAGGUGCUUACAACUUGCUGCUAGGGAGAGAUUGGAUUCAUGCUAAUUGUUGCAUCCCGUCUACAAUGCACCAAUGUUUGGUUCAGUGGGUAGGUGACAAAAUUGAGAUUGUCCCGGGAGAUUCUUCUUAUGUCAUUGCGUCGGCAGAGGCGGAUACCUAUGAGAGGACUAGGUGUAUUUCAGGAGAAGUUUGGGAGAAAGAUUUUCUCAAGGUUGCCGAUUACGAAAUUCCACCGAUCCAAGCAGUCGGUUCUGACGAAGGUUUUUAAUGGAUAGAUUCGCCGAUGAUGGAAAGUUAGGCUAGGGAUUCACAUCGACCAAUGAUUUGGUAGAAGUAGACAUAGGUAGUGGUGAUAAGCCUAGACCUACUUUUAUUAGUGCUAAGUUAAGUCCUGAGUGUAAGCAGCGAUUAACCGAUUUGUUAAAAGAAUAUAAAGAUUGCUUUGCUUGGGAUUAUACCGAGAUGCCUGGUUUAGACCGAUCCAUUGUUGAACAUCGGUUGCCUAUGAAGUCUGGAUUUCGGCCACAUCAGCAGCCAGCACGCCGAUGUAACCCUAAUAUUCUUCCUGACAUCAAGGCCGAAAUAACCAAACUUAUUGAAGCUAAAUUGAUUCGGCAGUGUCGGUAUGCCGAGUGGAUUUCCAAUGUUGUUCCGGUCUACAAGAAAAACGGGAAGCUUCGGGUCUGCAUUGAUUUCAGGAAUCUUAAUAAAGCUACACCGAUGGAUGGAUACCCCAUGCCAGUUGCCGAUCUGUUGGUUGACGCCGCGGCUGGACAUCGGAUUAUCAGCUUUAUGGAUGGCAAUGCAGGGUACAAUCAAAUAUUCAUGGCUGAAGUGGAUAUUCCAAAGACUGCGUUCAGGUGCCCUGGUCAUGUUGGAUUGUUUGAGUGGGUAGUCAUGACUUUUGGCCUUAAGAAUGCUGGUGCUACUUAUCAAAGGGCCAUGAAUUUUAUAUUUCAUGAGUUCAUCAGCAAACUGGUAGAGAUUUAUAUUGAUGAUGUGGUGGUCAAAUCUGGGGAUUUCGCAAAGCAUCUUGCCGAUCUGCGAAAGGUAUUGGAGUGCACAAGGAAGCAUGGAUUGAAGAUGAAUCCCAAUAAGUGUGCAUUUGGUGUAUCGGCAGGGCAAUUUCUUGGUUUCAUGGUUCACCAGAGAGGAAUUGAAAUCAGUCGAAGAUCUAUUGAUGCCAUCAAUAAAAUAGUAGCCCCUACCAACAAAACCGAGCUCCAGUCCUUGAUCGGCAAGGUAAAUUUUAUCAGAAGGUUCAUUUCUGACUUGUCUGGUAAGAUCCGUGCUUUUAGCCCUCUUCUUAAGUUAAAGGCCGAUCAAGAGUUUGUUUGGGGGAAAGAACAACAGUUGGCUCUGGAUGAAAUCAAGAAGUAUUUAAUGAAUCCUCCAGUUUUAAUUCCACCUCAGCAAGGGAGGCCCUUCAGAUUGUAUUUAUCCACCGAUGGGGCAGUCAUCGGUUCAGCUUUAAUUCAGGAGUUUGAAGGGAAGGAGCGUGUGAUUUAUUACUUAAGCAGGAGGUUGAUUGAUGCUGAGACCAGGUAUUCGGCUAUCGAGAAGUUGUGCUUGUGUUUAUACUUCCCCUGUAUCAAGUUAAGGCACUACUUGUUAUCAGCCAAACGUACCGUUAUUUGUAAGGAUGAUGUGGUCCGAUACAUGCUAUCCAUGCCGAUUAUGAGUGGCAGAAUCGGUAAGUGGAUUUUGGCACUGUCGGAGUUUGAUCUGCGUUAUGAGUCGGCCAAGGCAGUUAAAGGACAGAUUAUGGCUGAUUUAGUAACUCAACAUUGCGGUAUGGUGGAGGCUUUAGAAAUUGUGCCUUGGACACUCUUCUUUGAUGGAUCCACGUGUGACCGGGGGGCAGGAAUCAGUGUAUUGUUAGUUUCCCCUCUGGGAAAGAAGUAUGAGUUUUCCUUGCCGAUUAUUGCUACAUCAACAAAUAAUCAGGCUGAGUAUCAGGCUUAGAUAAAAGGACUGGAGUUAUUAAGGGAAAUUCGUGCUGAUGCUGUCGAAGUCUUCGGGGAUUCUAUGCUAGUUAUAAAUCAAUUGGCUGGGAGCCAUGAAUGCCGAAGUGAAGUUCUCAUAACUUAUUACGAGCGGAGCAUGCAAUUAUUGAAAGAGUUCAAGGAUUUCCGAUUAGAGUAUGUUCCUCGAUUGCAUAAUGAAGAGGCCAAUCGGUUGGCUCAGCAUGCCUCGGGACAUCAACCUAUGAUUGAUACAAUAUCGGCAAUUGGUGCCGAUGAUUGGAGAAAAGAGAUCAUUGAUUACUUGAAAGAUCCGUCCAAGAAAGUUGAGAGACGAGUUCGGUUUCAAGCCACCAAGUAUGUGCUCCUCGAAGAUGAAUUGUAUUACCGAACUAUUGAUGGAAUUCUUCUUCGAUGCUUGAGUGAUGAUGAAGCUAAAAGUUUGAUGGGUGAGAUUCAAGAAGGGGUAUGUGGAGCACAUCAGUCGGCUUUCAAGAUGAAGUGGAUGAUUAGGAGGAAUGGAUAUUUCUGGCCAACCAUACUUGAGGAUUGCUUUAAGUAUUUCAAAGGGUGUCAAGGUUGUCAAAAGUUUGGUAAUAUUCAAAGAGCACCCGCGUCGGCUAUGAAUCCUAUUAUCAAACCUUGGCCGUUCCGGGGAUGGGCUAUUGAUCUAAUCGGCCAGAUUUAUCCACCAUCUAGCAAGGGGCAUAAAUUUAUUCUGGUUGCCACCGAUUAUUUCACUAAAUGGGUUGAAGCUAUUCCUUUGAAGAAAGUUACAUCGGUCAAUAUGAUUGAUUUUGUGAAGGAACACAUUAUUUACCGAUUUGGAAUUCCUCAGACAAUUACUACCGAUCAGGGCACUAUGUUCACAUCAGGGGAGUUUGAUGAAUUCGCAAUUGGCAUGGGGAUUAAUGUGUUGAAUUCCUCUCCUUAUUAUGCUCGAGCUAAUGGGCAAGCCGAAGCAUCUAACAAAGGAAUCAUUAAACUCAUUAAACGGAAAAUUGAAGAAAAUCCUAGAAGGUGGCACACAUUGUUAAAUGAAGCUUUGUGGUCCUAUCGAAUGGCUUGUCAUGGAUCAACUAAAGUUACACCUUAUCAGUUGGUGUAUGGACAUGAUGCAGUAUUGCCUUGGGAGAUUAAGACUGGGUCUAGGCGACUAUCUUUUCAAGAUCAAUUGGCUGCCGAUGACUAUACUACUUUGAUGACAGACGAAUUAGAUGAUCUAGCAGGACAUCGGCUAAGGGCUUUGAUGAGUAUAGAGGAAAAUAAGAAAAGGGUUGCUAGAUGGUACGACAACAAAGUAAAAAUUAAGGAAUUUGCCGAUGGAGACUUGGUAUGGAAAUUAAUCUUACCGAUCGGGACUAAAAGUUCCAAGUUUGGAAAGUGGUCUCCCAAUUGGGAGGGUCCUUAUCGGAUAAGUCGAUCGGCUCCUGGUAAUGCAUAUAUCCUAGAAACCCUUGAAGGAGUUGAAUUUCCCAGAGCAUUAAAUGGAAAAUAUUUAAAGAAGUACCAUCCCAGUAUAUGGGUCGAUGCAUAAAGAUUUAAGUGCCGAUAACACUCCUAUCGGCUGGAUUAAAAAGUGUAUCUGGGGCCGGACUUAGUGUUUCAAAAGUUGCCGAUAACAAUCCUAUCGGCUAGAUUGAAACGGUAAGAAAACUGGAAGUGCAGGGAAGUAAAGAUGCGUCGCCAAUGAGAUCUUCAUGUGCUCAGCAGCGACUGGAUCACCGAUAUGGUGCGCAACCGGAUGUGGUUGGCUGUUUCUAUCUCUCUGAUAUCAUCAUCGGCGGAGCCUUCUAUCGGCUUCAACUUCUUCUUCAACUGCAGCGCCUUGCGACCGUGGGCAUUUCUUUCUUGCUCGAGGAGCUUGAUGGUCUCCGGCAAUUGGUUCUUCUCCUGUUGGGCUUGAGAUAAAGCAUCCUCCACUUGUUUGAGUUCUGCCAACAGGGCUUCUCUCUUUGCCGAUAGAUCAGAAAUCUUCUGCUCCAGUGCAUCUUCUGAAGACUUCAAAGCACCGAUGUUUUUGUGCUUCUCAUCGGUUAAGAGUUUCUCCUUCCUCAUUUCUUCAGAGAGCUGGGUCUGGGCAGUUCUAUCGGCGAGACGUCGGGCAGCCUUUUGGUACUGCAGCUGACGGCUUUCCAAAUGUGCGGCCUGGAAGAGAAUUUCUUCGGCAUCAGCAGGAAUCUGGCCUCUAAGAGUCUUGAACAGAACCUUGGCCGGAUCAGAGUCAUCGACUAGUUGAGCCGUGUCUUGGUGAAGGAGAGCUGAUAGUUCUUCCAGCUUGGCCCUGAUCUCUGCCGAUGUGAUGCCAACUGUCUAGGAAGAGCUUGCUUCUUCACCUUCUUCUUCAGAAAUGUCGAUGGCGAAGGAGAAUAGGCUGUCGGGAGAAUCUUGCUCCUGAGAAGGAAAACAAAAUAAGUUAGUUUAUACUCGGAGAAUCGGCAAAUAAUACUAAUGGAGAUUGGGUGACUUACUUGCUUCAAAGCAAUUUCUUGCCUUUGACUGGAAGAUACUGUUGAUAUUUGGGAACGCAAUAAGGAAUUGAUCCGCAAGCGCACGGAUAUCGGUGAGCACUUCACCCGGGAAAUUAUCCAGAGUAUCGUAUUUAUUUUUUUACCACUAGGAGAAAGAGUGCAUCUGACUAACCGGUCUAUUACUACUAACCUUUAGGCACAAAGAAUGUCUUUCGAUGUGAGUGAUAAAUAGAGAAGACUGCAACCGUAGUCUCCUUCUAACCUUGGUAAGGAUGAUCUACUGUUCUAAUGGGGAGGCUAACGGAAUCUAGACACCACAAAGGAUGUUCGACCCGCACCUAUAAACCCUACCCUUCCUGCUAACGAGAUGUGAUCUACAAAGGUAGCUCGGAAUUGUCACGUUCCUCACUACUACCACGGUCCAGCUAGUCAGGGAAUAUCUAUGAGUACCCCAGCCUAAACACCACGUCUACGCCAGCAAUGAUUACUCUAAACUCUACGCGAAGAGAUUAAAGUAAACUCAUAAACCAUAAGAACAAUAAAACAAGAACUUACUAGAAUUUAGAAGUCGAAUUAGUGAAGAAUCCUAGGAGCAAGCUUCGGGUUAGGAAAACUUGAUCCCGCAGGUACAAGCUUGGAGUAGACACCGACAGGCCGGGCUUCCUCCACUCUACACCUCCACUCUAUCUCUCUCAAUCUAGUAGAAACUAGAAGAUCUAUUUCUACCUUACAUUGAUUGCUAAGCCUAAAAAGAAAUAUUAAUUAGAGAAGAGGUUUUCCUUUGAGGGCACCCCUCAGUCUCUAUGAUAAUUUCUUCAUGUCUUCUCCAGGGGCCAGGGGGGCCUUGCUUAUAUAGUCCUCCCCUUCUAUACGUUUUUGGGUCGAUAGCCGAGGUGGUACUAUGUUUUUUCUUGAUCCAAUAGGUCGGUGGAAUAUCCCGAACGAAAGAGUCCUGAUUUGGCUCCAGCAGGGGGGCGGGCGCCCAGGCUACCAGGGCGGGCGCCCUGGGCCUGGCCCAGUUUUGCCUCCGCUUCGGUCUCGUGGCUUCUGGAGUCUUCUAGAUGAUGUAAAAUUGCGCGGUGCGUUGAUAUCUCUAUGUAAUCCCGACAUGUAGGCCUUUCUUCCUUAUUUCCUGAUAACUCCCUGCAGAAACAGAUAAACAACAAAACUCGUGGAAUUCUGUUAGAUCAAACCCUAAUUCUAGGUGUUGUUUGCAUAUUGGUCCUUUCUCUUGUUUAUUUGAUAAUUAAAAUUGAUACUUAAGAACCGUCAACAAAUACCCCCAUACUUAGGCUUUUACUCGUCCUCGAGAAAAGGAUGGUUAAGAAAAAUAUCUGGGGUAAAACAUUUAAAACAUUCUCUUUAUAUAAUUGCAGGGUGUUAAAAUUCCACUGUGUACCACAGUCAGGGAUGUUUAUGGUUAAGAGUAAAGAUCCUUUCUUCUCAAUCCUGUCACUUGGAGUUUUUGUUAUAUUUUUGAAAGAAAGUUAGCAUACCUUUUUAUCCUCAUAGGUUCUCUCAGAUCACUCAUUAUCUUUUAUAUAUAUAUCUCACUGAGGUUGUUUUAUUUUUGCAAAAAUUCUCAAGCAUUCUUACUUUGCAUUUAUUGCCUGAUCAAAACGGGAUCCGAGGAGGGGAAUGUCAUACUCUUAGAUCAAAGACUUUGGAAAUUAAAAUCUAUGUCAACUCUUGCUGGCAUAUUGCUUAUUAGAGGGACCAUGGGCUAUCAUUUUCAUUUCAUUUUUUUUAAGUGGAUACCGAGGUACCCCUAAUUCUACUGCCGGACACUUGUCCAUUUUUUCUGCGAGGUUGUCGAGCACUUGCUCCUUUUUAUUUCCUCGAAAUAUUUUUAUUUUUGCAUAGCCCAUGCCUCUAAUGCAAUAAUACUUCGGAAGAGUGAAUCUUUCUGAAAUAAUGUCUUGAUCUUAGGAGCAUGAUAAAUCUCUCAACAAGGGUCUAACUCAUUUUGAACAAACUCAAUACAGAGUAGAUAGCUUUAUAAUCAUCAUUAAUAUUUUUAUUUUUAUCAGGCAUAUAAAACACUGAGGAUGGUAGCUAGAAUUUUGAAUAUUUUGAAAUAAAUUCUCCAAGCAACAAUGAUAUCAAGAAUAAGAAACUCAUACUCUACCAUCACAUAUUCCAUAUUGACUUGAGUAACACAGGGUUUUAAAAUGAUUUUAUAAUAAUUGCAAGUUUUCAGGAAAUAUCACAGAUUGAGAUUAAUCAUGAUUAGAAAUAUUUUAAUCUUUUUAUUUUAUCAUUUCGGAAACAGUAAUCUGCAUAAUCCAAAAUAAAUGUAUGUAUGAAGUAAAGUGUGCAGAGUGUGUACCUGAAUCGUGGAGUGGUGUAGUCGGAGUGUGUUUGGCAUGUUAAGGGAUCUCCCCCAUACUUGUUUUCUGCUUUCUUGCACAAAAAUAAAGUAGAGACACACAAGACAUAAUAAUAAUAGUAAUACUCUUUUUUGAUCUUGAGGCAUUUAGUACAAAAGACUGAUAACAAACUGAUAGCAAACUGAUAAUAAUAGUAAACUGAUGAUAAUAGUAAACCUAAACCGAAUUUAAAGAUAAAUGACUAAGAUGCAUUGCCUCAAGGUCUAAUCUAGAUAACUUAACGGCGCUCUAAUUCCUUGAUCUUCUUGUUGGCACUGGCAAGAUCCUGCCUAAGGCCUAAUAUAACAGUGUUGUGGUUAGAGAGCUGCCUAGUGAGGGAAUUAAUUGAGGACUGGAGGUCUAUGAUAACUCUAUCUAGCCUGCGAACUUCCUCAUCAAUAUCCAUUAUAGUCUUGCGACGCUUGGGAGGUGUCUCAAAAGCAUUGAGAGAUUGCUUCGGGGCUGCCUUUGGAGGGAUGAAGCGGACUUUGGAUGCUCUAAUCCCUUCAAAGUAAGGCCUUUCCUCCUCCGUAGUGUAGCGAACGCUGCUGAUCUCGCCGCUCCGGUUGGUCUUGACUCCAACGACCCUCUCAUUGGGUCUAGGUGGAAGGAUCCUUGUACCGAUUGGUACCUUGAUAGUGGUCUUCGUCUUGGAUGAUGGUCCUUUGAGGAGUACGGGUUGUGGUGGUGCGGUGAGAACUGGUUGAGCAUGGUAGGAUUGGGCGAAGCUGCGUUGGCGUAAUGGCAUGGCUUCUAGUUGUCGCUCUGUGUUGGCCGGGACGAGAGCACGGGCAUCGGGGUCUUCCACCGGCUCCAUGUUGAGGUUGAAGGGGACGACUUCCCAAUCAUCGUGGUACUUCUUGGCCAUUGGAGUAGCAAGGAACUAAUAAAAUUUUAAUUGAAGUAGAGCUAAUUAAGCUCUAAUUGAAGGAGAGAAAGCUUGGUGGCUUGGUGUCUGAAAACUGAGGUCAGGGGUCUGUUUAUAUAGGGGUCAAAAGGAUGCCUCUAUGGGUUGUUCGGGUUGCUCCCGUCGAUGUGCGUGCGAAACUUUCCAUCUGAGGGAUUAUUCGGAUCACCCUAAGUGCAUUUUCCAUAUCAGAGAAAGUCGGGACCGAGGGGGAACAGGGGCUGGGCGCCCGCCCACUUGACCUGGGCGCCCGCCCUCUCUCUAGCUCCUCUGUGGGCCCACUUUUCCGAGCGCGUUUCUAGAUGCGAAAUUAUUUAGAAAAAUAUAUAUGCCCCAAAACCAUCAGACCAAAAGUGUCGGGCUCUAAUUCUCCAUGGGAAGGUAAAAAUGGACUACGUCUAUUUCUUCAAAUUCCUCAUUGGGCUCUAAAAAUAAUUUAAGACGUUGACCAUUUACCUUGAAUAACGUACCUUCGCUAUUUUGAAGUGUGAUGGCUCCGUGGGAUGAUGAAUUGAUUACCUUGAAUGGUCCUUCCCAUUUGCUCCAGAGUUUUCCAUGCCCGAAAAGCUUUACCCUGGAAUUAAAAAGUAAUACCUUAUCUCCGGGUGUGAACUCCUUCUUCUUGAUUCUCUUGUCAUGCCACCUCUUGACUCUUUCUUUGUAGAUUUUUGAAUUGUGAUAUGCCUUCUCUCGCCAUUCUUCCAAUUCUGAUAGUUGCAUUCUUCUAUAAUCUCCAGCAACAUCUAGGUCCAUAUUCCAUCUCUUUAUGGCCCAGUGUGCUUUGAACUCUAGUUCAACAGGUAGAUGGCAAGUCUUCCCGUACACCAAUUGGUAUGGAGACAUUCUAAUUGGGGUCUUGUAUGCUGUCCGGUAUGCCCAGAGUGCAUCGGGUAACUUGUCUUUCCACGCCGUUCCCAUUUCAUUUACUGUCUUCUGAAGAAUAUUCUUGAUUUGUUUGUUGGAAGUCUCUGCUUGGCCACUUGUCUGAGGAUGAUAGGGGGUAGCGACGUUGUGACGGAUUCCAUGUCUUGAUAGAUAUUGCUUGAAGCGUUUGUCGAUGAAGUGUGCUCCUCCAUCACUUAUCACUAUUCUGGGAACUCCAAAUCUUGGAAAUAUAAUUUCUUCAAACAUCCUCUUUGAACUGAUGUUGUCGGCAUGCUUGCAAGGUAAUGCUUCUACCCACUUGGAGACAUAGUCAAUCGCCACCAAAAUGUACUCACACUUCUUUGAUGGAGGAAAUGGACCCAUGUAGUCUAUUCCCCAGACAUCAAAGAGCUCAAUCUGAAGGUUGUUAGUGAGUGGCAUUGCAUCCCUUGUAUUUAUGUUUCCGUGCCUUUGACAUGGCCCACAUCUCCUGAUAUAUUGCUUCGUGUCUUCAUACAUUGUAGGCCAGUAGAAUCCACACUGCCAGAUCUUUGAAUGUGUACGGAAUGCUCCAUAGUGACCUCCAUAUGGUGAUGAAUGACAUCUGUCGAUGAUCUUCCAUCCUUCCUCAGUGGUCACACAUCUCCUGAGUAAGCCAUCAGAGCAUACUCGGAAGAGGUAUGGCUCAUCCCAUAUAUGUGAACGACUUUCUUGAAUAAGCUUCUUCUUGUUUGCUCCUGGUGGUACAUACCCUGAAACCAUAAAAUUAACAAUAUCUGCAUACCAGGGGUCAGACCUGUUAAUCCCGUAGAGCAUGUCGUCCCGGAGUGAAUCAUUGAUUGGGGUUUCCUUUGGACUCUUAAAAUACAUUCUAGACAGGUGAUCAGCAACAGAAUUUUCUACUCCCUUUUUAUCUUUUAUUUCUAAGUCAAAUUCUUGGAGUAAUAAAAUCCAUCUAAUCAGGCGAGGUUUAGCAUCUUUUUUAGUGAGCAAAUAUUUUAGUGCAGCAUGAUCAGUGUAAACAAUUAUUUUAGCUCCAACUAAAUAAGAUCUAAAUUUAUCAAGGGCAAAGACAACAGCCAGAAGCUCUUUUUCAGUGGUUGCAUAAUUAAGUUGAGCUCCUGUCAAAGUUUUACUGGCAUAAGCAAUUGCAUGAUGCUUCUUAUCUUUAGUUUGUCCCAAUACUGCCCCCACAGCAUAAUCACUAGCAUCACACAUAAUUUCAAAAGGUAACGACCAAUCAGGGGGUUGAAUGAUUGGUGCAGAGAUGAGUGCUUUCUUUAAUAAAUUGAAAGAUGUUAGACAUGCAUCAUCAAAUUCGAAAGGAGCAUCCUUGGCUAGCAAAAGAGUAAGUGGUCUAGCAAUGAAUGAAAAAUCUUUUAUGAAUCUACGAUGAAAACCAGCAUGGCCAAGAAAGCUUCGAAUUCCUUUUAUAUUCACAGGUGGAGGUAGUUGUUCAAUUACUUCAAUUUUAGCUUUGUCUACCUCAAUUCCUCUUUCAGACACUAAGUGUCCCAGCACUAUUCCUUCCCUAACCAUAAAAUGACAUUUUUCCCAAUUAAGGAUUAAGUGCUUUUCUUCACAUCUUUGCAAAACCUUAUCUAAGUUUUCAAGACAACUAUCAAAAGUUUUUCCAUAAACAGAGAAAUCAUCCAUGAAAACUUCCAUAAUCUCUUCAAUCAUAUCAGAAAAUAUAGACAUCAUGUAUCUUUGAAAAGAAGCUGGUGCAUUACAUAACCCAAAAGACAUUCUACGGUAAGCAUAAGUUCCAUAAGGGCAUGUAAAAGUGGUUUUGCUUUGAUCAUCGGGAUGGAUCGGGAUUUGAUGAUACCCUAAAUAUCCAUCUAAGAAACAAAAGAAUGAAUGGUUUGCUAACCGCUCUAGCAUCUCAUCUAUAAAAGGUAAAGGAAAGUGAUCCUUUCUCGUGGCUUUAUUUAGUUUUCUAUAGUCUAUGCACAUCCGCCAUCCUGUGACGGUGCGUUGCGGAAUUAGCUCGUUCUUUUCAUUCAUAAUAACUGUCAUGCCUCCCUUUUUGGGCACAACUUGGACUGGGCUCACCCACUCACUGUGCGGCACAGGAUAUAUAAUCCCUGCAUGCAGCAACUUAAUAACUUCCUUUUUAACUACCUCUCUCAUAGUGUUGUUAAGUCUACGUUGGGGUUCUCGAGAGGGUGUAACAGAAGGAUCUCUUGGAAUACGAUGGGUACAAAUUAUAGGACUGAUUCCUGUAAGAUCUUGAAGUGAGUAGCCAAAUACUGAGUGAUGUUUCUUAAGAAUGGUCAUUAAUCACAGAGUUUGAUCCUGAGUGAAUUUAUCGCUAAUGAUCACAGGAAACUUUGGAUUAUUGUUUAGGAAAGCAUAGGUAAGACCGGGUGGUAAAGUUUUAAGCUCUAUGGGGGGUCUAGGUGUUUCUGCAAACUCAUCUAAGGGUUCAGGCUCAGAAGGUUCGUCUUCUUCUUCUGUGAAGAAAGGAGUUUCGUCUUCUAAGUCUGGUUCAUCUAAAAGCUCUAGAGAUGCAGCCUUUACUUCCUCCAUAGGAUCAGGCAAAAGAUAUGACUCGGCCUUAUUGUUUAAGGAGUGAAAUUAUUAUUGAGAAUUUAAAGGUUUUUCCAAAAGAAAUGUGUAGCUUUCCAGUAUGACCUUCAUAAAGGAGUCUUCUAAAAGGUUGUCCUAUCAAUAGGUCGAAGUCCCAUGUAUCAAAGAUAUAGAAGUUCAAAUGAACCAUGGAGCCUUCUACCGUAAGAGGUAGGACAUUUAUAAUUCCAAGACUGGGGACUAAUCGUCCCGAAGAUUCCUUUAUGACCUUUGUUGUGGGGGUUAAGAUAAGAUUUUUAAAUAGUUUAAGUGCAAAGGAUUCAGACAUAAUGUUGAUCCCCACAACAGGAUUAUAAAGAGCAUUAAAUCGAUCAGAAUUAUAAACACAGCGUAUAGUUAUAGAGGGUGUGUCCAAACGGAUCACAUCAGAGGAAAGCUCUGAUUCCUCCAACCAUUCGCUACUCAUGACUGAGAUAAGCUCUCUCAAUUGAUAUUCACUUGGUAAAUAAAUGCUAAAUUGACCGUUUUGGGGUUUGUCAAUAGAAUGGUAGUUUGAAAUAUUUCCAAAAUCGGCAAAAAGAUCGGAUUCUAUAUCCAGCAUGAAGUCCGGUAGUGGAAUUUCUUCCUCUUGAGGCUCAGAACUUGGGAUAGCUAAAGUAGAUGAAGAAUUUGGCAGAGUGUCUACUUCGGCUUCGUAGGUUUCAUCAUGAAGGGUAUUAUCCAUCUCAGCUUCUAGGAUUCUAUCUAGGAUCACUCUUGCUUCAUCAGCAGGGAUGCGAAAGAAAGAACCUCUAGACAUUGUGUGUAGCAUUUGUUUGUGAUUUCUAUGAAGACCUCAAAAAAAGUGAAAUAAAAGAACAGGGUCUUCAAGAUUAAGGUUUGGACCAGAUUCUAAAAGAUCAGAAAAACGUUUCCAGGAUUUUCCCAAAGUUUCAUUAUCUUUUUGUUUAAAAGAUAGGACUUCGAGUCUAAGGUCGGCUAUACGGUCAAGGGAAUAGAAAUCUAGACAAAAGUUGGCUCAUAAAACUCCCCAUUCACCUUGUUGUUGACUUACCUUCUGACUGUACCAUUGUCUAGCUUCUCCCCUUAGAGAAAAAGGAAAAAGCUUCCAACGUAAAGUCUUAUCAGAAAUGCCUUCAAUGCGAAGACAAUCACAUGUUUGCUCAAAAUCUCUAAUAUGAAGGUAAGGGUUUUCGUCUUCCUUUCCCGAAAAAGAUAGGUUUUGAAUCAUGGCAAUCAACCUAGAACUUAACUUAUACUGGGGUGUUUGGAUAGGCUGUGAUGAUUCCCAUGGUAAAAGGUCAGUUGCUAAAGGGAUUGCAGACUCAUGGAUCGAUUUAGAAUUUUGGUUUUCCAUAAGGUAAGAAUAAAGAAAAUAAAUAAAGGAUAUAAAAGAUAAGAAAAGAUAAAAGUAUAGAUACAAGCUAGUAGCAAGACUCAAGUUAUCUCAGCAACCGUCUUUCUCCCCGACAACGGCGCCAGAAAUGCUUGUUGAUAUUUGGGAACGCAAUAAGGAAUUGAUCCGCAAGCGCACGGAUAUCGGUGAGCACUUCACACGGGAAAUUAUCCAGAGUAUCGUAUUUAUUUUUUUACCACUAGGAGAAAGAGUGCAUCUGACUAACCGGUCUAUUACUACUAACCUUUAGGCACAAAGAAUGUCUUUCGAUGUGAGUGAUAAAUAGAGAAGACUGCAACCGUAGUCAACUUCUAACCUUGGUAAGGAUGAUCUACUGUUCUAAUGGGGAGGCUAACGGAAUCUAGACACCACAAAGGAUGCUCGACCCGCACCUAUAAACCCUACCCUUCCUGCUAACGAGAUGUGAUCUACAAAGGUAGCUCGGAAUUGUCACGUUCCUCACUACUACCACGGUCCAGCUAGUCAGGGAAUAUCUAUGAGUACCCCAGCCUAAACACCACGUUUACGCCAGCAAUGAUUACUCUAAACUCUACGCGAAGAGAUUAAAGUAAACUCAUAAACCAUAAGAACAAUAAAACAAGAACUUACUAGAAUUUAGAAGUCGAAUUACUGAAGAAUCCUAGGAGCAAGCUUCGGGUUAGGAAAACUUGAUCCCGCAGGUACAAGCUUGGAGUAGACACCGACAGGCCGGGCUUCCUCCACUCUACACCUCCACUCUAUCUCUCUCAAUCUAGUAGAAACUAGAAGAUCUAUUUCUACCUUACAUUGAUUGCUAAGCCUGAAAAGAAAUAUUAAUUAGAGAAGAGGUUUUCCUUCGAGGGCACCCCUUAGUCUCUAUGAUAAUUUCUUCAUGUCUUCUCCAGGGGCCAGGGGGGCCUUGCUUAUAUAGUCCUCCCCUUCUAUGCAUUUUUGGGUCGAUAGCCGAGGUGGUACUAUGUUUUUCUUGAUCCAAUAGGUCGGUGGAAUAUCCCGAACGAAAGAGUCCUGAUUUGGCUCCAGCAGGGGGGCGGGCGCCCAGGCUACCAGGGCGGGCGCCCUGGGCCUGGCCCAGUUUUGCCUCCGCUUCGGUCUCUUGGCUUCUGGAGUCUUCUAGAUGAUGUAAAAUUGCGCGGUGCGUUGAUAUCUCUAUGUAAUCCCGACAUGUAGGCCUUUCUUCCUUAUUUCCUGAUAACCCCCUACAGAAACAGAUAAACAACAAAACUCGUGGAAUUCUGUUAGAUCAAACCCUAAUUCUAGGUGUUGUUUGCAUAUUGGUCCUUUCUCUUGUUUAUUUGAUAAUUAAAAUUGAUACUUAAGAACCGUCAACAGAUACCGGUGGAGCCGUAGGUUGAUCGGCCAGGGUUGCCGAUGGAACGACAUUGACUGAAAGGAGACAGAAAGAGUUAUGAGGCUGAAUAAGAAUAAGUUCAUCGGUGGCAAUAUUAUAAAAAUAUGUUACCUUGAGGAAGGACGAUGCUUGUCUGAAUUGGGGGAACUGCCGAUGACAUGAUUGCACCUGCUAGGCCAGUUGUUUGCUCACCUACAUCAGUUGAUGUACUUUCUGCUUGGGGUUCUUCCUGCUGGGGUUUGUCUACUUCUGGUGCUUGCUGGAUCUCUACAUCUGGAGGGGAAGGAGAAGAUUCCACUGGAAUAGGAGAUGCCGGAGGAGGAGUUGCCACUUUCUGGCGCUUUGUUCCAGCCCUGGUUCCCUUGGCGCCCUUCCUCUUUGGCUGACUGGACUGGGGGGCAUCGGCACCUUGACUUUUGGCUUUUGCCGAUGCACUGGUUUGCUGCAGCAACAAAAAGGAAUUUAUGAAUACAAAUGCAGCCGAUGUAAAGGUGAUCGGUAUAAAUGAAGAGGGUUAGCAGUUACCUUAAAAGCCUAUGCUAGGGCAGAAGCAGCUACCGAUGGUGAAGUCUGGGUCUUCCUGGUGGUGACCUUCCUCAGGCGUAUACCUCGAUGCACGAUGGAAGCCAAGGUAGGGGCGUUGUGGCCAAUUGAAGAGAUUGGGCCUGGUGCAAAUAGAUCAAUCGGUUUGCCACUUUUGCUGACCGAUGGAGGGGUAUUAUCAACCUGCAGAAAAGUUCAAAAGUAAUUUGCCAAUAGAAACAGGAUUGAAAGAAUUAAAACAUUGGUUCGAAAACACUUAAAGUGUCAUUGGGAACUUCGUACUCGGGGUCAAUCAUGCCACGGUACGUGAGGGCUGAUUUACAGAACAGAUGCUCCUUCCAUUCUGCCCACCACUGUUUGUAUGCCUGAGUGAUGAAAGCGGCUGGAACCCACUCUGAUAAAUCCACGUCUGUAUCGGCACUCGAUGGCAGUUGGGCUACUCGGAUCCAUUCAAGGAGACUGUUGAUGGUUUCCCUAGGCUUUAUCACAUCGCGUAGCAGAGCGCGAUCGGCAGCUGACCGAAAGCUAACUGACGGGCUAGUGCCGAUGGGUUGUAAAAUUCAUAAGUCUGAGGGGAGGUUUUUCCACUACCAAAGAAAUUCACUGGUAUGGCUCUAGGAGUCACUAUUGCCAUCAUCAUUUCAUUAUCCCGGUCAAGAGCUUCAUCAAAUGGGUUGAAAACCAGGGGAAGCAUACUGUCUGGGUCAUCAUAGGCUAACCAUGCUCGCUCAUCUCUGGCCAAGCCCUCAUACAGAGUUUGGAAGAAUCGGCUGACCUGAUCUGGAUUACCCCCUGAACCAGGCAAAACUAUGACAGCCUCACCGAAGUUUAAGGGAGCACGUGUUGCCGAUUCCUCCUCACCCAACACAUGAUUUUCAGUUAUGUGCCUUGGGAAACGCUGUGUGAAUAGGUUAAAGUCAAGGCGCUUGUGCAGAUGUAGAUUGAGCCACAUAUUGAUAAACCACCAGGGGCCUCCCAAGUUGCCGAUAGACUGACCAAGCAAGAGCUUCUUAGUUACUUGAUGGAGGAGGUGAUAGGCCGCUCCAAGCAGGUAUCGGCUAAGGGGAAAUCGGCCACCAUUGGCUAGAUUUUCCGCUGCUGCUAGAUGAACAGAAGUUGGUCCUGCUGAUCGGCCACAAAACACGAAUUUGUCUAGCCACAUGUUCAAGAAGCAGGUCUGAUCUUUUGCGUCAACAGGGCCUGUUUUGCGGUAUUUCUGGAUAUACCCUGACCAGCCGCCGAUGGCGCGGGUUUCUACCUUAGCACUGGGUUUAGUAUCGAAGAAGUGGGUGCUAUCGGCAGAAGAAAUAUCUAACCCGGUGAGCAUAGCCACAUCGGCAAGAGUGGGGGAAACAGGGCCAUGGCCAAAGACAAAGGCAUUGAGCGUGUCUGACCAGAAGUAUGAUGCAGCUAUCAGUAGUGACUCGUUCCUAUGCAUAUCGGCAAUAGACAACCUAAUGCAUUGGGCUAGAUUUCUUUCACCCCAUUGGACUUCAUUUGAGUUGCUGACUCUCAGAAACCAAUCUGUCCACCCCGCGGUAGGGCUGGGCCAGGAAGAAAAAGUGUCCUUCCACAGAUCCAAGGAAAAAUUCUCUGCCCUGAAAGGGAUCCUGUUGGUUUCUGCGUUUAUGAGAUCGGUUGGAUCUGGAUCCCCUAACAGGCCAAGGCAUUGGAGAUGUGGUCGAUCAGUGGGGAUGACAAUUUUGUUAGCCGAUUCCUAAUGGUUUUGGAGGUAUAAAAAACACAAAAAAAAGGGGAGAAGGGAAAAAAUAUUCAGUACGGCGGAUUGCAGAUGAACGAGGGUGCGAGAAAAGUACAAGAGAUGGUGCGAAGAACUGACCUCGGGGAUGAUGAAGUUUACGACCAUUUUGUCACAGAGGAGAAGAUUGAGAGUUUUGGAGUUGGUGAGGAAGGAGCCUCGUCGGAGAUCUUGGGGCUUUUUGGAACAGCGCCGCCGCCGGAAAAGUUGUGGUUGGAGUUGUAGAAUGAUGUGAUGGAGAAGGAGUACCCGAGAAGGAACUACUUAUAAGACAAAACGGGCAGGGGCAAAUCUGGCUUAUCUCUUUGCUGCAUCCGUGAAAUCCGAGGAUACUCAGGUAGAUAUGGUAACUGUUCGCACGGUAAUCAAGGGAUUGUGCAGGUGAUUUGAAAGGAAGCGAUCAUUAUCCAAAGAUAUUUUACUGUGCGGGAUCUCCUGGUCGGCCCAUCGGCAGCGCCUGGUAACGGUCAUAUUGCCGAUAGGAAAGAAAUGAGGAUAUAGCCGUUUGGAAAGAUAAGAUUCGGGUGUCCUGGUCAAUACAUCGGCAAAUCUCUGUAACGAUAUGUUACCGAUACGCGACUAAGAUGGAAAUAUCCGUUUAGGGAAGUUGAAGAUGUCGAGGGAUCUGCGGAAGGAUAGGGUCAAAGUUGUUCAGAGUAAGGCUGACGGUUGCCAGAUUAGGAGCAUUGAUUGUGGAAAAGGGUAUCAUUACUGCAGAGAAUUUCAGAGCAUUGAUGAUUUCAUACUCCGAAAUUGGGGGGCAUGUGUUGACACCAUUUUUAGACACGUGACUAGGUUUGGUAGAGUAUGGGCCAGCAAGGUAAGUCAGCGGUGUUUUAUACAGGAUGCGUUGCCGAUGAGGUUGGUUGCCGAUGAAGAAGGAGUUGGACGUGAUUUAGUCCAUAGAUGAUGAUGCGUCCGUGCCGAUGACCGCGACAAGGGAGUCUGCCGAUGGAUGCGACAAGGGAAUCUGCCGAUGACCGCGACAAGGGAGUCUGCCGAUGAUGCGGAGGGAUAGUCUGGAAGCUGCCGAUGGGUUUGUGAAGGUGUUCCAGUCUGUCACGGGGAUAGUUUUAUGUUUCCCUUAGUUGUUUAAAUCGUUUUAUAUACAGAUUCUGUGUAAUUUGGAAUUCGAAUUCUAGUCAUGUCUGGUUGUAGCUCUGUGAGCAGGGUAUAAAUAUAGACCCUAGGGCCAUGUAAUGAGACAUCUAUCAAUCAAUCAAACACACGUUUUUACUCAUAUUCCAGCAUCUACUUUUUCGACGACUUCGUCAUACUUUUUCCUUUUCACUACGAGUUCUUAGGAAUUCGUCGACUUAAGCUCGGCGCGUUCUCAAGUUCCGCGUGAAUACCUCUUAGCCGUGACAUCCGGGCGCAUCGCUGUUGUCAGGACUAAAGUAUUCGAGUUACCACCUUUGCCGGUAGCAAGGUCAAAUCGGCUGGCACGCCUUAACGUUUGGAUCGGGUAUUAGCCUUUUGUGUUUGCAGAUCAGUUUUGCACCAACAGACAUCAAGAACUUGUACAGGCUUUUCUUCAUAGGAUAGGUCGGACUGCAACUUGAUAUCUCUUGUUUCAACUCUCUCUUCGGGCACACGAAGACACUUCUUGAGUUGAGACACGUGGAACACGGGGAAAAUAGAACUCAUUUCGGGAGGUAGUUGCACUUUAUAAGCUACCUUGCCACUUUUCUCGAUGAUUUGGUAGGGACCCACAUACCUAGGGGCAAGCUUUCUUUUAACGCCGAAGCGAUUUACUCCUUUCAUGGGCGACACCUUUAGGUACACAAAGUCACCUACUUCGAACUCGAUUGGUUUUCUUCUUCGGUCAGCAUAGCUUUUCUGUCUAGCCUGGGCGGCUCUCAUGUGCUGUUGGAUAACGAGAACUUGCUUCUCGGCUUCUUUGACAAAGUCAAUUCCGUAGUACCUCCUUUCACUAGGUUCGACCCAGUUUAGAGGAGUUCUACACUUGCGGCCAUACAAAGCUUCAAAAGGAGCCAUUUGGAUGCUUUCUUGAUAACUAUUAUUGUAAGAGAAUUCAGCUAAUGGUAGCCACUUCUCCCAUGCACCCUUGGAAGAUAUAACACAUGCCCUCAACAUAUCCUCUAAAAUUUGAUUCACACGCUCAGUCUGACCGGAGGUUUGAGGGUGGUAGGCUCAACUGCAAACCAACUUUGUACCAAGGAGUGAAUGCAGAUGCUCCCAAAAGCGAGCAGUGAAUUGAGGACCUCAGUCAGAAAUAAUAGUGCGAGGCACUCCGUGCAAUUUAACUAUCUGAGAGAAUUACAACUCAGCAUAGUCGGAUGGUCGGUAUGUAGAGUGUACAGGAAUAAAAUGAGCUGACUUGGUCAAACGGUCAACAAUCACCCAUAUGGAAUUGUGUCCUUUCUGAGUAAGGGGAAGUCCAACAAUGAAAUCUAUGCUGAUUUCUUCCCACAUCCAACCUGGAAUCGACAAGGGUUGCAAUAAACCUGCAGGUUUGAGGUGAACUGCCUUUACCCUGCAGCAAGUAUCACACCUAGCAACAUAAGCUGCUAUCUCCUUCUUCAUUUUGGUCCACCAGAAACGAGAUUUCAAGUCUUGGUACAUUUUGCUACUCCCCGGAUGAAUGGACAAUUUGGAAGAAUGAGCUUCGUCUAGAAUUUUGUUGCGUAGGUCACGGUCUUUAGGUACAACUAGCCGAUUGUCAAACCACAGUACACCCUUCUCAUCCACCCUGAAAUGCUUGGUGUCUUGCUCUUGCAUUUUUCUUUUGAUAUUAAAAAUACCAGGAUCAGUCUUUUGGAGCUCUAUAAUUUGACUCUCUAGCGAGCAACUGACUACAAUGUUGUGCAAGACCACCGGAUGCAAUAAAUUGAAGCCUUCCUCUAGAAGAGGGUUCACAUGUUGUUUCCGACUGAGAGCAUCGGCUACAACAUUGGCCUUGCCUGGAUGAUAGUGCACUUCUAAAUUGUAGUCUUUUAUCAAUUCCAACCACCUUCUUUGUCUCAUAUUCAGCUCAGGUUGUGUGAAGAUAUAUUUGAGGCUCUUAUGGUCAGUGUAAAUGUGACAUAGAUUACCCAACAGAUAAUGCCUCCAGAGUUUCAAUGCGUGUACCACUGCUGCUAAUUCUAAAUCAUGGGUCGGGUAGUUGGUUUCAUGUUUUCUCAGCUGCCGAGAGGCAUAGGCAAUAACUCGGCCUUCUUGCAUAAGUACACAGCCUAGGCCAGUGCCAGAUGCAUCACAAAAGACAUCAAAUGGCUUUUCAAUGUCAGGCUGCGCUAGAACAGGAGCGGUGGUCAGCAAAUGGCGUAAAGUGGUGAAAGCGACUUCACACUCUUGGCACCACACAAACUUCACAUCUUUUUGCAGUAGCUUGGUCAUAGGCUUAGCUAUUUUGGAGAAGUCUGGAAUAAAGCACCGAUAAUAACCAGCUAGACCAAGAAAACUCCAGACCUCGUACACUGAAGUCGGGGCCUUCCAGUCUAGAACCUCCUGCACCUUUGAUGGGUCAACAGAAAUACCCUCUUCGGAUAAAAUAUGGCCUACGAAAGGCACUUUCUUCAGCCAAAACUCACACUUGCUGAACUUGGCAUAGAGAUGAUGUUCCCGCAAUCUAGUGAGUACAAUUCGAAGGUGCUCCUCAUGUUCUUGUGCAUUUUCAGAAUACACAAAUAUAUCAUCGAUGAACACCACCACAAACUUAUCAAGUUCAGGCAUGAACACCGAAUUCAUCAGGUACAUGAAAUGAGCAGGGGCAUUAGUCAGACCAAAGGACAUGACUAAAUAUUCAUACAACCCAUACCUGGUAGAAAAAGCCGUUUUAGGAAUGUCUUCUGGUCGGAUCUUGAUUUGAUGAUACCCAGAUCUCAGAUCAAUCUUGGAGAAUACUUUGGCCUUGGCUAAUUGAUCAAACAGGAUAUCAAUGCGAGGCAGUGGAUACUUAUUUUUAAUAGUCACAGCAUUGAGUGGACGAUAGUCUACACACAUACGUAGAGACUUGUCCUUCUUCUUGACAAAGAGAGCUGGACAACCCCAUGGAGAAGAACUAGGCCGAAUAAGACCCUUCUCUAGGAGUUCUUGCAAUUGCUUUUUCAACUCUGCCAAUUCAUUGGGUGGCAUUCGGUAUGGCCUUCUAGAGAUAGGUGCGGUACCCGGAAUUAGAUCAAUUUUAAACUCAAUGUCUCUGUCCGGCGGCAACCCGGGCAGAUCCUCUGGAAAGACGUCCGGAAACUCACAUACUACCGGGAUCUCUGCCAAAGCGAGUGGUUGAAUAGCAUUGGUACUGUGACGGAUGUCAUCAUUCUUGGGAAGCUGGACUAAGAAGGCUUCUUUGCUAUCAGGCUCUCGCAACAUGACUACUCUCGUGGAGGUAUCUAUUAACACCCCAUGCUUGCUCAUCCAAUUCAUUCCUAGAAUAACAUCUAUCCCUAAGCCUGGCAAUACUACUAAAUCUGCUGCAUAAUUACACCCUUCUAUGGCAAUAUGUACAUCCCUCACUACUUGAUUUGUAGCAAUUUGAUUACCAGCAGCACUAAUGCAAAAUUUUCCACUAUCAAGGUCAAUGACAUGUUGCCCAUACUUAGAUGCGAAUGCUUGACUCAUAAAAUGAAUGCUAAGCUCCAGAAUCAAACAAGACAACUGCAGGGUGUUGAUUUACAAGGAACAUACCAGCGGUGACUGCUUCACCCUCAGGGAUUUCUUCAACCGUAGUGUAGUGCACACGACCAAUACGGUUAUUGCCUCCAGCUGCAGAAUUUCUCUUAGGAUAAGGGCAAUCUCUCGCCCAGUGACUAACUUGCUUACAAUUGAUGCAGGGACGGUUAUCAGGAGGAGUCUUGGGACCUCCUUGACCCGUGGCACCUCUUGGGAGAGCAACUAUGAAGGACUUGCGAACUCCCGUCUUCACAUUUGACUUCUUCUGCGGUGGCCUGUACCUUGUCACAGCAUUGGGUGGGCGAUAGGCCGGUUUGCUUGUCACUGGAGCCUUAGACUGUGAAGCACCUGCCUCAUAGGCCCUCUUGCGGUUCUUGGACGUGGCAUACACAGCAUUAGAGUUCUCCUGAGUCAAUGCAUCACUCACGAACUCAUUAAAAGUGGUACUCUUGUUACCAGCCAUGUUCUUGGACAACUUGGGUCCCAACCCUCUCUUAAAACUAGCGAGCUUCUUGACUUCGGUGUCAACCAUCUUAGGAGCAUAGCAAGACAAAUUGUUGAAAGCAUGAAGAUAUUCAGUCAAGCUUUUAGUUCCCUGUGUCAGGUGCAUGAACUCAUUGUGCUUGAUAGUCAUUAAGCCCUGGGGAAUAUAGGUAUUUCUGAAAGCAGUUUUGAACUGAUCCCAGGUCACCUCAGCAUUGGCAGGUAAGCUGGUCCUGUAAUGACUCCACCAGACACCCGCUUUGCCCUCCAACUGGUGGGCUGCGUAUUCCGCCUUUGGCUCUUCGGUUACCCUCAGCAAUCUGAAUUUCUGCUCAAGAGUGUUGAGCCAUUCAUCAGCUUCUAGAGGUUCAAUAGCCUCCUUGAAAAGCGGCGGCUUGGUGUCCUGGAAAUCCUUGAAACUACUGUGCUGGUUUGCCUCUCCACCUUGACAGACAUGGCGACCACCCCGGUUGUGCUGCGCCAUAGCUUGCAUAGCCUCAUUGAGCAUGCGCUGGCCCUCAACAAGAGUUGCCAAGAGCUCAGCAGGCGUAGGCGGGGGAGGAGGUGGUGGCGGCGGCACCUCAUUGUGACCGGAGCGAGUAUUGCGAGCCAUCUGCACAAGGCAUACCAAGUGUCUGUUUAAGGCAACAGAUAUAAUUGUCAUGAACUUCGAUUGAUGCCAUACGGAAUUUAAUGAAGUAAAUUCACAUAAAUUACGGCACAACAAUCCAUGUACAAUAAGAGAAUAUCUUCCAUGACACUUGGUUAUUCUCGCGAUCAUUCACAGCCACAAUUCCUCAAGGAUUAAAGAUAUUGCAGAGAUUUAUUUAAGCUCAACAUAAACAUGGAGCAUCACAAAUAAGUGCAUAAGGUUACACAGAGUCAUCGCCACAACUUAAGUUUUACAGAAGGGGCACCAUGGCCAAAUACAUAGAGUCUCCAAUAAAUUCAGAUUACAUGUCUAUUACACAAAGAGAUGGAAACUGAUACAUGAUCAUGGAAUUAUUGCUAGGCUACAUAUCUUCAUCAGAUUCUCUAUUAGAAAUGAUGCCAUCAUCCUGAUCUUCCUCACUAGGAGCUUCCUCAUGAUUAAAAGGACUAGAUGUGGAAUAGGAUUUAUGAUAUUAUUUAAGUGGUGGACAUCUAACUGUAGCUCAGCAAUCCUAGUAAUCAGCUCUUCCUCUCUCAUUUCAGCAUGGAACAAGGCUCUAACUCUAGCAGCUCGGGUGGAACUCCGGCGAGGGAACAAGGCUCUAAUUCUAGCAGCUCGGGCGGAAAAUGGUGGAGUAGAGAGGCCUGGCCACGUUGCCAGUGAGCUCGGGCGGAACUCCGGCGAGGGAGAACGACUCGGAGCUCGGCAAUGCCGCCUUACCCAUGCUCGACAGUGGCCAAGGAGGUGAUGCCGAGGUAGAGGACGUCGAGGCGGAGCUCUGGGCGGGUUGGCUUGGCCGGAGGCGCGGUGGAACGGCCAGAGAAGCUCGCCGAAACGCGGCGGAGCUCCCUGAGGCGACGGUGGAGCGAAAUGGGAGGCGUUGAGCGAGUGGAGGGCGCGUCUGAGGCGUCCACUCGGUGCGUGGCGUCUUGUGGACGACGUCGGGGCUGACAGGCGGGGUCGCCGUCGAUGUACGGCCGCCAAGUGGCCGGACACGCGGCGGCGGGUGAGCUCUGUCCAACUGAAUCGUUUUUCUAAAUCGGCCGAUUGCAGUGACUGAAUCCCGAAGUUCGUCGACGUUUUUCUCUCAGCUCACUCGGUGGUUUUGGCUGGGAUUUGAUCCCCUGGGUAGAGCUACACGAGUUCUACAACUUUGAUUACACGAGUUCAGUCUAAAUCGGUCUGGAUUUCAAACUACAAGGCUCCCAACAACCCUACCUCGAAACUGUGUAAACCAAGACUUAGCCAAAUUCGGCUAAGUGUGAAAUCAGCCCUGAUUUUUGGCUUGUGAGCAAAUUUUGGAGGUGUUCCAAGCCUUUUCAUAAAAAGUCAUCAACAUAACUUUUGUAGCUUAGGGAAUUCUCUACAAAUUUGUUUCAGGGGUCACAGACAUGCAAGGUUUCUAACAUUACUUUCGUAAAACAUCUUUGAAAGGAGGUUUAGGGCGUCAAAUAAGCCAUUCUAGGGUUAACCAUGACUUGGAAACAUUUUUAAACAAAACCUCCAACAUGAACUUUGUUCCAAAAGAUGUUCUAAACAUGAUUAAAGUAUUUUGGAAAGGAUUGCACACUCACAUGUAUUGGUCACCCACUAAAGUCACUCAAAACAAGUCAGACAAGCAAUUUAAUCACAUGGUACAUGUAGUAAAUGGCAUGUGAUCAUGGUAUGAUGCUCAUGAGUGAUCAUGAUGAUGCUUAUGUUGAUGCAAUGCUCAUGGGUAACAUGCAAACUAACACUAGGAGUGUUACAACUAUGAUCUGUCAUAGUCGAGACUUCCUCCUAACGUUGAGGUUUAACCGGUAAUAACGUAUAUUACUUGAAAAAGUACUUUCGUUUAUUCACAUAUUCAUUCACGGGGUCUCGGUACAAGAUGUGCAUGAAAAUGUAAAGCCUUGAAGCUCUAAGGGUAGAAGCGACAUAGCUGUUCGAUGUUCCAUGCGUUGGUGAAGACCGCCCCCUUUUCGUCCAUGAGCUUGUACGUCCCUGGCUUCAAGACCUCGGCCACUACGUAUGGGCCCUCCCAAGGUGUAGUCAGCUUGUGGCGUCCUUGAUUGCUUUGUCGUCGAUGUAGGACGAGGUCGCCCAUGUUUAGAUCCCUUUUGUGCACAUGUUUGUUGUGGUAGCAUCGAAGCUUCUACUGGUACCUUGCUGAGUUGAGGAGGGCCGUGUCUCGAGCUUCCUCGAGUUGGUCGACCGUGUUCUCCCAGGUUUCCUUAUUUGUCUGCUCGUUGUAAGCCUUGAGUGGAGGUGACCCACGCUCGAGGUCUAUUGGGAGCAUAGCCUUGGAGCCGUAGACCAUGAAGAAUGGGGUAUAUUUUGUGGCGCUGCUUAGCAUCGUUCUUAAGAUCCAUAGGACCGAGGAGAGUUCCUCGACCCAUUUUUUGCCGAAUUUCAUCAACCGGUUGUAGAUUCUCAGUUUGAGCCCUUGUAAAAUCAUGCCAUUGGCACGCUCGACCUGGCCGUUAGUUUGAGGGUGAGCUACUGCAGACUAGUUCACACAGAUGUGAUAACGGUCGCAGAAGUCCAAGAACUUUUUGCCGGUGAACUGUGUGCCAUUGUCGGUGAUGAUGACAUUGGAUAUCCCGAACCGAUGGAUUAUGUCGGUGAAGAAGAGGACAGCCUGCUCGGAGUGGAUGUUUGUGAUGGGUUGAGCCUCGAUCCAUUUGGACAACUUGUCGAUGGCCACCAGCAAAUGGGUGUACCCACCCGCUGCCCUUUGUAGAGGACCCACGAGGUCGAGGCCCCAUACCGUGAACGGCCAAGUGAUGGGGAUCAUCUUUAGAGCAUGAGCGGGGAGGUGGGUUUGCUUGGUGUAGAAUUGGCACCUGUGGCAUGAGCGAACGAGCUCGAUUGCAUCAGCGACGGCCGUUGGCCAGUAGAAGCCUUGUCGGAAGGCGUUGCCUACAAGGGUUUUUGGAGCCGCAUGGUGGCCACAAGCCCCAAAGUGUAGAUACUGGAGGAGCUUUUGACUUUCUUCCACAGUGAUGCAGCGCUGCAAGAUCCCGGUCGGGCUUCGUCGGUACAGCUCUUUGCCUUCACCAUAGAUCACGUAUGAUUUGGCCCAUCGAGCGAUACGACGGGCCUCAGCUUGAUCUUCUGGUAACUUGCCUCAAAUCAUGCAGUCGAGGAAAGGCGUGCGCCAGUUGAAUGGUCGACCGGGGCGUUGGGGAGUUCGCUCGACCUCCAUUAUCUCUACCACUGUCAACAGGGCCUCGAUUGUGUCGGUGGGCUUGGGAGUGGAAGUUUUGAUGCUAGCCCCCAUGCCUAGGUCGACAGAUGGCUCGAGUAGGUCCCUUGAGAAUGCGUCUGGUGGGAUAGUGCCUCGACUGGAUGCAAUCUUGGCAAGCUCGUCGGCUGCUUCAUUGUAUCGCCGUGCGACGUGAAUGAGCUCGAGGCCAUGGAACUUGUCCUCAAGCUUGCUUACUUCCUUGCAGUAAGCCUCCAUCUUUGGGUCAUGGUAGCUCGAGGAUUUCAUGACCUUGUCGAUAGCUGAGAGUCGCCUCGAACAUUGAGGCAUCGGACCCCUAGCUCGAUGGCGAUCCUUAGUCCAUUGACUAGGGCCUCGUAUUGUGCAACGUUGUUGGAUGCGGCAAAAUGUAUUCUGAUGACGUACCUCAUGUGGACGCCGAGAGGUGAGAUGAAUAGCAGGCCUGCCCCAGCCCCUGUCUUCAUGAGUGACCUGUCGAAGUACAUCAUCCACAGUUCUGCUUGAACCUGAGCUAGGGGGAGCUGGGUGUGUGUCCACUCCGUGACGAAAUCCGCCAGCACCUGAGACUUGAUGGCUUUGCGAGGUGCAUAGGUGAGGGUCUCCCCCAUGAGCUCGACUGACCACUUGGUGAUCCUCCCAGUGGCCUCUCGACUCUAGAUGAUCUCGCCCAGCAGGAAGGACAAGACCACCGUGAUCGGGUGGCUCAGAAAAUAAUGCUGCAGCUUGCGUCGAGCGAGAAUUACAGCAUAAAUCAAUUUUUGAACCUAGGGGUAUCGUACCAUUCUAUCCGAGAGUACCUCGCUGAUGAAGUAGACCGGCCGCUGGACUAGUAGUGCAUGCCCUUCCUCUGGUCUUUCGACCACCAUGGCCGCGCUAACGACCUGGGUCGUCGCCGCGACGUAUAGGAGCAGAGUUUCCGCGGGUCGAGGACGCACCAGGAUCGGAGCAGUGGUCAGCAUCCUUUUUAGUUUGUCGAGGGCUUCCUCAGCCUUGAUAGUCCAAGUAAAGCACUCGGCUUUCUUCAGGAGGCGGUAUAAUGGCAAUGCCUCCCCCCAGCCUCGAAAUGAAACGACUUUCUCUACGCCCUUGACGUCUCGAAUAAGCCCCAUCUUGGUGAUGGCCGAGACUUUCUUGGGGUUAGCCUCGAUGCCGCGCUGGGAGACUAUGUACCCUAAUAGCAUGCCUCGAGGCACACCAAAGACACAUUUCUCGAGGUUGAGCUUGAUUUUAUUCGUGCACAAGCAACUAAAGGCGAUCUCGAGGUCCUGAAUUAGGUAAGCCUGUUUCUUUGAUUUGACGACAAUGUCGUCGAUGUAUGCCUCAACCGUCGACCCUAUAUGCUCCCCAAAAACAUGAAGCAUGCACCGUUGGUACGUAGCCUCGGCAUUUUAGAGCCGAAAGGGCAUAGUCACGUAGCAGUACAUUCCAAAAGGCGUGAUGAAAGAGGUCGCGAGCUGGUCGGACUCUUUCAUCUUUAUUUGGUGGUAUCCAGAACAAGCAUCAAGGAACGAAAGGUUCUCACAUCCCGCGGUAGAAUCAACGAUUUGAUCAAUGCGUGGUAAAGGAAAAGGAACUUUCGGACAUGCUUUAUUUAAACUGGUAUAAUCGACACACAUCCUCAUUUUCCCAUUCUUUUUCUUAACUAAUACAGGGUUUGCUAACCAGUCGGCAUGGUGAACCUCCUUGAUGAAUCCAGCCGUCAAAAGCUUGUGGACCUCCUCGCUAAUGAUCUUGCGCUUCUCCUCGUUAAAGCGACGCAAGCAUUGCUUCACUAGCUUGGAACCGGCUCGAAUCUCCAAGGAGUACUCGGCAAUUUCCCUCGGUAUGCCAGGCAUGUCCGAGGGACUCCAUGCAAACAUGUCGGCGUUUGCACAGGUCGACGAGCACGGUUUCCUAUUUGGGGUCGAGGUCAGCGCUGAUCGUCAGCACCUUGUCGUCAGAGCUAUUGGGGUCGAGCGGGGUUUUCUUUGUGCCCUCUACUGGCUCGAAGCUGCCCGCAUGGCAUUUAGGCUCUAGAGCCUCAGCGGCGAGGGCCUCGAGCCUUGAGGCGAGCUCGGUGGAGCUCUCUAUAGCUUCCCCGUAUUCGACGCAUUCGACGUCGUAUUCGUAUGCGUGCUCGUAGGAGGAGCUGACAGUGAUGUCCCCCUUGGGCCCGGGCAUCUUCAGCUUUAAGUAAGUGUAGUUGGGGAUCACCAAGAACUUGGCAUAUCCCGGGCGUCUGAUGAUGGCAUGGUUAGUGCCUCAAAAACCCACUACUUCGAAAGUGAGGGUUUCCUUCCUGAAGUUGGCUGCUAUGCCAAAAUAGACCGGCAGGUCGAUUCGACCCACAUGCAACGCUUUCUUCCCUAGCACAACGCCAUGGAAACCGCCAGCGCUGGAUUGGAGCUGUGCUCUCUCGAUGCCAAGGAGGUUGAGGGUCUUGAGGUAGAUGAUGUUGAGGCUGCUGCCUCUAUCCAUCAACACCUUUGAGAGCCGGGUGUUGACGAUGAUGGGGUCGACGAUGAGCGGGUAGAUGCCGGGAGUGACAACCUUGUCGGGAUGAUCGUCAUGGUCGAAGGUGAUGGGGGUGCUUGACCAGUUUAGGUACUGUGGCACCGCCGUUCUUGCCACGAAGACCUCGCGGCACUCCCUCUUACGCGAUGUGAGCUGCGUCGAGGGUCCGCUGUAGAUCAUGUAACAGUUGUGGACGGCGGGGAACCCCUCUUCUUCUUUGUUUCCACCCUUGUCAUCGCUUUUGUCUUUCCUCUGGUCAUCCUUCUUCAGCCCCAGGCUGUUGAAGUACUUCUUUAGCAUGCGGCAAUCCUCAAGCUUGUUAUUGGCCCCUCCCUUGUGGUAAGGGCAGGGCUCUUUGAGCAUCUUAUCGAAGACGACCACCUCUAGAGCGUCUCGAUUCUUCUUGUGCUCGACUGCGGCAACGAAAUCGUCGUCGAGGGCUUCCCGCUUGAUCUGCCGCGUCUUCUUCUUCUUCUUGUUCUUCUUAGGCCCGCUACUGGGGCCCUCGUCAUUAUUCGCUGGCGCCUUCCCCUUGUCAUUCUCGUGAUUGAAGAAAGCAUUGAUUGCCUCCUCGCCAGCGGUGUAGUUCGCCACCACGUCCAUUGGCUCGUCGAUGGUCUGCGGGCGAUUUUGACCUAACUCUCGCACCAAAUCCUUGCACGUGGUUCCUGAGACAAAGGCCAGAAUGAUGUCGUGGUCGGGGAUGUGUGGGAGCUCCGUGUGCUACUUUGAGAAGCGACGAGUGUACUCUCAGAGAGAUUCUCCCGAUUUCUACUUGCACUUGCUGAGGUCCCAUGAGUUGCCAGGGCGGAUGUAAGUCCCAUUGAAGUUCCCUUAGAAGACCCAGACCAAGUCGGUCCAAUCGUGGAUCAUGUUAGUAGGGAGCUCGUCGAGCCACCUACGAGCCGUGUCAGAGAGGAAGAGCGGUAGCUGCCGGAUGAUGGCUCGAUCGUCCCCUCGGGCGCCUCCCAACUGGCAUGCCAGCUGGAAGUCCGCCAGCCACAGGUCUGGCUUGGUUUGGCCAUUGUACUUGGCGAUGCUGGUCGGGGGUCGAAACGGGCAUGGCAGUGGCGUGCUGUGGAUCGCCCUGCUGAAGACUCGAGGGCCCAACAGCUCUGGAGCCAUUCGGUCCUCAUCACUAUCGUAACGUCCACCGCGGUGAGCGCUGUAGCCACGUUCCUCAGCUUCCCCAUGUUUGCAGCGAUAGUGCUCGUUGAUGCCAUGUCGAGCGUCGUGCUGCCUCGAUUAUCGAUGAGGCGCUCCUAGACAGGCACCAUUUUUUAGCACGAGGUGGUGGCCCCUGAUAAACAGACACCUCCCUCUCGUUCCGGGCUGGCUCUACGCAUUUUUCUGUGGCUGCCCCUCGACAUCGAGAGGCUGAGCUCUCAGCUUGUUGUGCUACCACCACGUGGAGCAGACCCUGUACCUCGUCUCAAAUGCAUCGUGCCUGGGAGUUCGAAGGCUCAGGAAUGUUACAUAGCAGCAUGGUUGCUGCCAUGAUGUUCGGGCUGGCUCGAGGGAAGCAGCUGACGAGCGUCUCCGGCUCCUCGUCCCCGACAAUCUGUUGAUACACUUCUCGUGCACGACCACGCGCGCCCCCGUCGUGCGGGUGCAGUUCAUCUCGCUCGAGAGCCUGCUCAAGUUGGAUGAGGCACUCGCGAUCCUCGUCAAACUGGGCCUUGAGCUCUCACAGCUGCGCAAGUUGCACGGCCUUGUCGUCCUGAGGCGGGGGGUGUCACAGAACCGACCAAAUUAUAAGAGUUCAAGUGUCGAAACGAUCGACAAGCAAUCAAGUUUCCAAACUUGAGCCCAUAUAAUCCCGGUAGUCAACUGAAAUCUCGAAGGACUUCAAACCAACUUGCAACAAACCAAGAUCGUAAUAGUUCAACAUAACACAGCGGAUGUUACAUAGUCAUUCAUUGCCGUCGAAGCGGCACCUCAUCGGAGUUACUCAGUUGUUACAACACAUGUUUAAAGUAGCGGAAGCAAAAUAAUUUACAACACAUGUUCCAAAGUUCAGUUCACAAGUUCUUGUUCAGCCAGGGUCUCAUGCCAUCCAUCCAAAAGCAACAGGUACGAAGUAGUUAGAGAACCGUGCCCAACGGUUAGUCCUCAUCCCCAGCGGGAUGGAGACAGGUCUUGCUGAAGCCAUCAUAAAAUAUAUCAUCUGCAACAUGUGGGGAUAAACCCUGAGUACGAGAAUGUACUCAGCUAGUGAAACAUAAAAGACACCAAGGAUCAUGCAAGGCUAAGUAUAAAGUGGAGCUGGUUGACUCACUGUUGCCAAAAGCUUAAUUAAUUACCUUCCAUGUGGUAAUAGCAUCAUAUUUUAUAUUGGUCAUCAUUAACCUACCACUAGAUUAGCACCUGUACUAAAACACAUCACUUGAUUAUUAUAAGCAUUAAUAACCAUAUCAAGUUCAUCAAGUGCUCUUUCUUGCUAUCAUCAUUAUCACGAACCAUUGUUCUUUAGUAGAUGCUACGUUGGCCGCUGCUAUGUCAAGUUCUCACUAUCCGGGAGAGACAGCGAUUCGAAUCGAUUCCUAUUCAGCUGGAGGGUUAUUCCUAGCACUCACCCAAGCAUGCCCCGUCGGAGAGCCAGCGGGUCACCUUUGGUACGACUCAAAAAUCACGGCUCCGAUCAGCGCCGCACUCCCAGGGCUACCACUCUGCCAGGGAGGUUAGGAAUUUUAACUCACCUGCCUUUGGUCUUACGCCAAUGGUCCUCCGCACACCGCACUUCCUCCGGUAGUGCGCACUUUAUACUUGCCGGUCUUCCAGCCUAAGUCAUACUACUAGGCUUCGCGGUCGGAACGAGUAAUCCGGCCAACUAAGUGUUAGGCAUGCGUUCAACAUGACAAGAGGACGUACAACGGUCGGUCCUUAGCUGCCAUAGACGGAGUUACUACAACCUUGCAAAACUACGCCCGGCUUAAGUCAAUUUAAUCAGGUUCCAUCCACGAUAGCACAUAUAGUCAAUCGUGAUCCGAUACAACCCUAUAUCGCGCAGGUGACAGGAUAUCACCCGACUUCUACCGAUUAAAGUAUGGCUAAGCUGCUACUCGAUCCUAACUCUAUAACCAGUUAAAGGUAAGAUAUCUGGACAAGGAUUGAGUAACAUGCAGCAAGGGUUUCAUCACAACUCCUAUACGUAAAUGCAUCAAUAGAUAUAACAUAAUCAAGGAAGCUUUUUGAAAGUAAAGUGGGAGGCUUAAGAUGCUCCGAGGCUUGCCUUUCACGAACGAUGCAGGCUCGUGAUUCGGGCACUCAACCUCCUCUUCGGGCUCCUCGAGUCCGGCUUGCUGGACCUCCGCCUCCGGAUUGCACUCCUGGCCUUCGGGGUUCACCUGAAGCUUGAAUGAAGCUGUCGUGUCCGGUGCACCUAUUGCAUGCAUGAUAAGUAAGAACGGGUGCACGCUGAACAGAAAUGAAUGCUUGACAAUGCAAUUAAGACUUCACUGGACACUCAUUUACUGAGUAAACUUCUAAGAUUAAAUCCCAAAGGAUAACUAAUUAGGUUAGCAAAACUUAACAGGUCCAACUAUAAACAGCAAGCAUUUCAAAACAGAGCAGCUCAGUAAACAGGUCAUAACUAUUGCUCUAAAGAUCCAAAAAAUAUAAAUGAGGACAUUAUGGAAAGCUUAUGAAAUUUUCUACGUUUCAUAUUUAGACAUCACAGCAAGAUUCAUAAGUUAACCAUGUCAAUUAAACAAAGUUCCAGGUUCUGUCCCAGAAAAACAGAAAGCACCUAUUUCUGGAACCCAACUUGGAAAAGCCAUAACUUCUAAACUAUUGGACCAAAUGAUCCCAAAUUUGAACCACAGCUAGUUCAUAAAGUUUACAACAACUUUGAUUUAGACAAGUCUUCCAGAAAACCAAGUUAUUAGUAAGCAAAGAUUGAAUUACUUCCUUGCUGUCCAAAACAGCUUUUAACCCUUUAAUUAAUUAUUUGAUGACAUAGCCAAAACAUAAUCAGUAUCAACCACAUGGCUUAUAAGCACAAGCAUAUCAUAAGACAACCAGAACAGCAUAUGUUAACCCCUAAACAUUUAAUAACAGGCAUUUAUUAAUUUGAUUCUAUAAAGGGACAUAAUUACAAGAUACCAGCAAAAGUGCUCAGAAAAAUCUACAAACAUUACAGAAGCACAAGAAUAGCAUCUUGACAUCACCAUAAAAUUUUCAGGGCAAUUGCACAUGCUAAAUUUAAGAUAAGCAUUUAACAUGUGGCAAGGUGCUUAUUUCACAAAUUAAGAAACAUGGCUUAUAUAGUGUCAAACAAAAGAUUUCAGAUUAUUUACUUGCUACAAAUACCAUAAGCAAGUUUGACACCAGAGUAGAGCAUCAGCAUAAGCACCAAUUAUUUACUAUGGUUUAAAUAAGAAAACAAGCCGUAGAACCAACAUAAAUUACAUAUCACAGAUAUAGUACUCCAAAAAUUAUUAAAUAUUUAUCAUAGCAUUCUCAUACCACUCAGAGCCUAGCAUAAAAGUUUCAGAACAAAAAGAGCAGUAUAUCAAGAGAUAUAAAUUUAUACAUAACUAAAAAGAUUAAAUCCUAAUAAUUAUUUAUCCCAGGAAACAUGAUACAUUUUAUAUUUUUAUUAAAAACUAGCCAUCUCAUGGAACAUCACAAAAUUUGUUUCACAAUUUUUAGAUCUCAGAAACAAAAGAUAUGAUUUUUGCAAUAAAGCCAAAAACCUGGAUUUGAAUAAAAGAAAAGGAGGGAAACGAUGUGUCACUGACAGCGGGUCGCGCAUGUCAGGGUCGUCUUCCUCACAGCCGAGGCGACUCUCACCGGCGAUUUCUCCGCGACGGCGAGGUCUCCGGCCAACCCACGGGCAUCAACGUGAUCCCCAGACCCUUGCGAACCGAUUGACCCCCUUUUCCCCGCGGCGGAGCCACUGGAAAUGGCUUGCCGUCGACCAUGGCGGCUCGGCGGAGGUGCUCGGUGGUACGCCGGAGCUCUCGAGCCGGUAGAGCGCGACCUAGUGUUUCCUACAGCACCAGCGAACUACGGCAAAGCUUCCUAGGUGGCUAGGCUUGAAACGGCGUGGAACGAGAUGGCCACGAGAGAGCCCAACUACGGCGGAAACACGGCGGCGCUGCGCGUCGUGUCCGGCGACGGUGAGCGCGGUAGAGCGUCCACCAGGUGGUGCAAACAUUCGCUAAGGACCUAAGCUACCUCUAGGACCUAACCAGAGAAGACGAGAGGCCCCGAGGAGCUCGGCAUUGAGUUCGCUGGAGAAGAAGGUCACGGUGACCCGAUUUUGGGGAAGUCGGAAAUGUUGGCUCACCGGAGGGUUUCACGGCGAGCUAGCGGGUGGAGGGUGGAGAGCGGUUCAUGGCGGAGCUGUGGGUGAGUUUUGGUGAGCAGCAAUGCAGUGACGAGCGCGAUUGAACUCGCCGGAGUGAGCUCGCGAUGGUGAGCUCACUGCGGCCGCUUUUCUGGCGAGAGAGCGAGAGGAAGGAGAGAAUGGACGCGUCCACUGCGUCCGGGGCGUCGCCGUGGAGGUCAUGCACGCGCUGGGAGCUGACGAGCGGGGCCAAUAGCGACGUACGGGCGCCAAAUGUCGACGAAGCUCUGUCGCCGGUCGGCCACGUCGACGAGCUCGGCUCCGAUUCAGACACGGCGUUGAUCGUCUGACAGAGCAACUUCAACGAUGAUUAACUUCCAAACCAAAGCGAGUUAGGAGAUGGUGUAGUUGACAAAGUUGAAGUACUAGCUGAGUUCUACAACAUUGUCAACUAGAGCAAAAGCCAGAUCGGCCUGGAUUGAGAGAUAUGAGGUUUUCAAAAUCGAUCGAGCAAACUGUUGCGUCCCCAGACUUAGAAAAUUUUUCUAAGUGUUGGAAACAGCCUCAAAUCUGCCUUGUGGGUCACUUUUGAGCUAGAUGUGAUCAUUUUCAUGAGAUGGCUAUAAAACAACUUUUGUUCCUUAUAAAAUUUGCUACAACUUUGCUGUAGAAAGUUUUGACAUGUAGACAUUUUAUGAAACACUUUUUAAAAGCCUAAGCAAAAGAGGUUUCUAGGGCCUAUACAUGGAAACAUGACUUAAGUAAUUAUUUUGGAGAAAUGAUCAACAUGAACAUUGUUCCUAAGGUUGAGUUAAGCAUAGAUAAACUAAUUACCAAGGCUUAACACACAAGCAAGAGCAUGGUUCACACAAACACAAGCAUAGGAGGCAUAAUUAAUCAAGUUAAAGCACACUUAAGCAUAAAAUAACAUGGAUCAAGGUAGAUGAUGAUCAUGAUAUGCUUGAGUAGAUGAUGAUGCUCAUGUUAUGCAUGUGAUUGAUGCAACCAUAACACUGGGGUGUUACGGCCCUCCCCCCUUACAAAAAAUCUCGUCCCGAGAUUUGGAAGCUUACUGAUUUUCAAAGAAGGUUUUAUAAACUUCUUUUAAGUAGUCCUCCGUUUCGAAAGUGGCAUCUUCAUCCCCGUGGUUACUCCACAACACCUUGUAGAACUUAACCACAUGAUUUCGUGUUACCCAUUCCAUGCGGUCAAGAACCGCUACAGGUUUCUCCUCGUACACCAAGUCAGAUUUCAACUUGAUAUCCCGAACUUCUACUCGUUCCUCCGGAACACGAAGGCACUUCUUUAAUUGUGACACGUGGAAGACAGGAAAAAUAGCUCGAAGCUCAACUGGAAGUUGAACUUUGUAUGCUAUGUUUCCUUUCCUUUCGAGAAUCCGAUAAGGUACCACAUAUCGAGGUGCAAGCUUUCGCUUGACUCCGAACCUUUGUACACCCUUCAUCGGAGACACCUUGAUAUACACAUGGUCACCGACUGUAAACUCAAUCGGCUUCCUUCUAUUAUCAGCAUAACUUUUCUAACGAGUUUGAGCAGCUUCCAGAUGUUGCUAGAUGGUACGGACUUGCUGCUACGCUUCGUUCACGAAAUCGAUGCCAUAAUACCUUCGUUCCCCGGAUUCCACCCAAUUCAACGGGGUUCGACACUUUCGACCGUACAGGGCUUCGAAUGGAGCCAUCUUGAUACUCUCUUGAUAACUAUUGUUGUAAGAGAAUUCAGCUAACGGCAAUCACUUAACCCAAGAAACCUUGGAGGAGAGAGCACAUGCCCUCAACAUGUCUUCUAGGAUUUGGUUGACCCGUUCAGUCUGGCCAGCCGUUUGGGGAUGAUAUGCCGAACUACGGACCAAGUGAGUACCAAUCUGCUCAUGUAGACACUCCCAAAAAACGAGCAGUGAACUGUGGUCCAUGAUCUGAGAUGAUAGUUUGAGGCACACCAUACUGACGAACAAUGUGCUCAAAAUACAACUCCGCAUAUUGAUGUGGACGAUAAUCAGUUCGAACUGGAAUAAAACGAGCAACUUUGGUCAAACGGUCUACAAUCACCCAGAUAGACUCGUAACCCUUGACAGAAGUUGGAAGUCCAACAAUGAAAUCCAUGCUGACUUCUUCCCACUUCCAACUAGGAAUUGAUAAGGAUUGAAGUAAGCCUGCUUUCAUGUGAACAGCCUUCACAUGACAACAAUUGUCACAACGAGCAACAAAAGGAGCAAUCUCCUUUUUCAUCUUUGUCCACCAAAAUAGAGGUUUCAGAUCCUGAUACAUCUUGCUACUACCAGGAUGGAUAGACAACUUGGAUGAAUGAGCUUCGGACAGGAUCUGAUUUCGCAGCUCACGGUCUUUUGGGAGCACAAGUCGAUCUUUGAACCAAAGAAUUCCGUUUUCAUCGACCCGGAAGUGUUUGGUUUCUUCUUCUUUCAUUUUCCUCUUUAUAUGGUAGAUGCCUACAUCGGUUCGUUACAAUUCGAUGACUCGAUUGCGAAGAGAACUCUCCAGAGAAAUUUGGUUGAGCACAAGUGGGUGCAUAAGAUGUGACAAUAAUGGAUCUUCCACCUGAACUGAGUGACAAUGUGCUUUCCGACUCAAGGCAUCCGCAACCACGUUUGCCUUGCCCGGAUGAUAGUGCACUGGUAGAUUAUAAUCUUUAAUCAACUCAAGCCACCUUCGCUGACGCAUGUUCAAUUCAGGUUGAGUGAAGAUGUACUUGAGACUCUUAUGAUCAGUGUAGAUAUUACACAGAUUACCCAGCAAAUAGUGCCUCCAGAUUUUCAAAGCAUGGACAACCGCAGCCAAUUCUAAGUCAUGAGUAGGGUAAUUUACCUCAUGCUUUCGAAGUUGGCGUGAGGCAUACGCGAUAACACGACCUUCCUGCAUCAGCACAUAGCCUAGACCAAUACCCGACGCGUCACAGAAGACAUCGAAGGGCUUCUCGAUAUCAGGUUGAGCUAGGACAGGAGCUGAUGUUAGCAGUGUCCUCAACUUGUGGAAUGCCUCUUCACAUUCCAGCGUCCACACAAACUUCUCAUCUUUCUAGAGCAGGCGAGUCAUAGGCUUGGAUAUCUUUGAGAAUUCCGGAAUGAAUCGACGAUAAUACCCAGCCAACCCAGAAAACUCCGAACCUCGUGCACCGAAGUUGGAACUUUCCAAUCCAGCACUUCUUGCACCUUAGCUGGAUCCACCGAUAUUCCUUCUUCAGAUAAGACAUGGCCCAAGAAAGGCACUUUCUUAAGCCAAAACUCGCAUUUGCUGAACUUAGCAUAAAGCUGAUGCUCACGCAAACGUGACAACACCACGCGCAGAUGCUCUGCAUGCUCUUCUUCAUUGCAAGUAUAUACCAGGAUAUCAUCAAUGAAGACCACCACAAACUUGUCCAAUUCGGGCAUGAACACCGAAUUCAUGAGAUACGUGAAGUGAGGAGGUGCAUUGGUAAGACCGAAGGACAUGACGAGAUACUCAUACAAUCCAUACAUCGUCGAGAAAGCUAUCUUAGGUACAUCUUCAGGACGGAUCUUGAUCUGAUGAUACCCAGAUCGCAAAUCAAUCUUGGAGAAUACCUUGGCUUUAGACAACUAGUCAAACAAGAUAUCGAUGCGAGGAAGAGGGUAUUAAUUCUUGAUGGUCACCGCAUUCAGAGGGCGAUAGUCCACACACAUGCGCAAGGACUGAUCCUUCUUCACAAAGAUAGCUGGACAACCCCAAGGAGAAGAACUAGGACGGAUAAGACCCUUCUUCAACAACUCAUUUAACUAGGUCUUAAGCUCAGCUAGCUCAUUUGGUGGCAUUCUAUAAGGUCUUCUAGAGAUAGGAGCGGUACCUGGGAUCAAUUCGAUUUUGAACUCCACAUCCCGAUCUGGAGCAAGCCUGGUGUUGACGGUCCUUAAGUACCAAAUAUAAUCAUCAAAUAAAUAAAGAAAAGGAUCCAAAUGCAACCAACACCCAGACUUAGGGUUUUAUCUGACAGAAUUCCACGAGUUUUGGUGUUUGUCUAUUUCUACAGGGGGUUAUCAGGUAAUAUGGAGGAAAGGCCCACAUGUCGGGUUUACAUAGAGAUAUUAAUGUGCCGUGCAAUUUUCUAUCAUCUAGAAGACUCCAGAAGCCACGGGAACAAAUGGGAAGCUGAGCGGGCUCGGGGAAAGGGCGCCCGCCCUACUAUUUCCACCAAUCACGUUCAAUCUUGCGGAUUAUGCUCCACCGACCUAAAGGAUCAAGGAUAACCGUUCAAUCAAUGUCGGUUUGAUCCGACGGCCUAGAUUCACUUGAGGGGACUAUAUAAGCAGGCCCCCUGGCCCCUGGAGGAGGCAACCCCCUUGAUCCCUAUUCAUUAUUCAUAGACAGAGCAAAAGCUAGGGUUUGGAGAUGAGAGCUCUCCUCUCAUCUCUAAACUAGAGUAGAUCUAGAUAGUAGCGAGAUGGAGAGCGAGGGAGGAUUAGAGGAGAGGCCGGCCUAUCAGUUCUUCCUCUGGUUGUACUUCGCCAUGAUCAAACUCUAAUCAAGCUUGCUUAUGGGAUGACUCUGGUAAUCUACUUCUAUUUCAUUAUGCAAUUACUAUCCAUGUAUGUUCUGGUUCACAACUCUUUUGAGUACUUUAAUCUAUAGGACGCUAUAGGUGAGAGUUGUAGUAUAGGUGUAAGCGUGGUGCUUAGACCUAGAUUACUUGUGGAUAUCCCCUGUCUAGCCGGAUCGUGUGGUAGGCCGCGUAGGUGACAGUUACGUUGGUCCCCUGUAGUCCACCUCCUGUUCGCAGGACUGGUAGGGUUUAUCGGCCUAUGGAUAAGCAUCCUUUGUGGUGUAUUCUUAUCACGUGGUUCGUCCCAGACAUAGACAUACCCCUUUGAAGUAGAUAAACCAUAGUUAUCCUCUCUAUUCUCCUACCAUCGCCCAUAUACUAGAUUGCUCUACUCUCUAUUUCCAUAUUAUCACUCACUAUUAUCUUACCUUUAAUAUUGUUCUUAAUCAUUUCUACCAUCUUUCCUAUUUACACUUAUCUAUCUAUCUUGGUUAAGUUAGAGCGUAGUUGGUUCUCCCGUUUCCCUAUGGAUACGAUAAAACCUUUAACCGGGUAAAAGCUACACGGUAUCCGUGCGCUUGCGGAUUUAUCUGUGUGCGUACAAAUACCAUAGUACACUCUAGUGCUAUGCUGGGGAUGACAACCUUUUAUUCAAGUGGUGUUAGCAAGUGUCAACAAGCAUUUUUCGUGCCCUUGCCGGGGAAACGGUUGCUGAGUUGACUACGAACUAGCUUAAUCAUUUUCUAAAAAAUAAAAAUAUAUAUAUACUUUUCCUUUUAUCUUUUGCCUUAUCUCUGCUAUUCUUUCUUCUUAUCUAAUCCUUGAUCUCUGGUCUAUCAUGAAGGCAAACAUGUCUAUCUAUUAGUUUAAUAGACCUACGUACACACAUCUCGAACCACGAAAAUCUUCAAAGCCUAUCAUAGCAUCUAGUUUUGAGAUAGACCCCGGAUACAUAGAAUUUGUUCAAAAACAACUUUUCUCAGGAGAAGGUGAGGAAAACCCAUACACACACCUAAGAGAGUUUUAUCGAGUCUGUGACCUCCUUCGCAUAGAAGGCAUGUCCGAUGAGACCCUUAAAUGGAAGCUCUUUCCGUUCUCUUUAACAGGAAAAGAUAGACAUUGGUAUAAACUCAAAGUAGGGAGUGUUCAUGGAGAUUGGAAUGAGUUAUAUAAUAGUUUUCUUUUUAAAUAUUUUCCAAUCUCCAAACUGGCGAAACUUCGGCGUGAGAUUAUUUCUUUUAGACAACUGGAAGAAGAAUCUCUUGGGAAAUCAUGGGACCGCUUUAUUAACCUUACUCUCACUGGCCCAAAGCUUUCUAUUCCAGAAGAAGUUCUUCUAAUUCACUUUUUUGAGGGCCUUAGUGGGGAAAAUAAGCAAACCUUGAAUACAACCUCUAGAGGAUCCUUCUAUCACCUACCUGCUAGUGAAGCUAGGGAUUUAAUUGAUUCAUUGAGUGGAAAGUUUCCUAGCAUUUAUAUCCUUGAGAAAGAGAAAGAACCAGUUCCUAGACAAGAAGAAGAAGUUUCGAUAGCCAGAUCACAACCACUUCAAUGCCAAACUUUAGCUAUCGAUCCUAAACCAUCAAUAUCCCAAAAUUCUCCAAGGGAGGAAGGAAUUUCGACCUUAAAUCUUUCAGAUGCUGAUGGUUUAGACUUCUAGUUCCAUAAUAGACUUUCAAGCAUAGAUAAUUCAAAUCCUUGCAAUAAUGGUUCUCUUAGAGAAUGUCCUGGUUCCUAUUAUGAAGAAGUCGAGGAUGACAUAUCAAGUGAAGGAGAGAUAAACCAUAUAGAAGAUUCUAUCUGCUCCCCUUCCAUGUUCACAAAUUCUAAAUCCAUCCUUGACCUUAGAGACCCCUCUUAUCCCUCUCCUUUUAAGUCUCAUGAUGAUCCUAACAAUCCAUCAAGACAUCAAACCAUAGGAGUCAUAAAGACCAUGAGGAUGACAUGUCAAGUAAUGUCAUAGAAGGAGAGCUAAGCCAUAUAGAAAAUUCUAACACCUCCCCUUUCCUGAUCACAAGUUCUAAAUGGCUAGAAUGCGUAGAAUGGAUGGAUAAGGAAGAACCUUAAUGGAUUCUGACCUUGGCUCAAUUUCAAAUGGUGAGUUCUUGACUCCCUUUGAAGAUGAGAUUCAUCCAACUACAGAAGAGGACAUAGGUGAGACCAAUCCAGGAGAAACUCCGAACAUUCAGAUUGGAGACGAAGAUAACAUUAAUGAGCAUGAUAUUUAUUUCAUAGCCACUUCGUUUACUCUAUGCUCAUAUGCAACAUCUUCCCAAUCUAUUGGUCUCUCCAACAUCACCACAUUUGAGAUCUCCAGCCCGCUCUUCCUUUCUAUUUACAAAAACUUUAAAAGGGCGGUUGUCGAUGCAUAUGUCUAUAAUAAAUAUUGCAGAUCUCGUUGAGCUAAUUGUUGGUUUCCCAAGGACAAGCUUAGUGUCCUAAAACAAGCACUUAUCAGAUCGUAACAUGAACUUCUAAUUAUUUGCAACAUUGCCUUGUGUAUUGAGCAUAUAAAGAUAAUUGUAAAAAUAUUCCUUCGGGUAUUCUUUUCACUAAUCUUUCUAGGAUUGGAGCAAGAAGAUCGGAUGAAUGACAAGCACAAGGUAUGUCCAACCAAUCAUCAUACAACAUUGAAUUAAAUUUAUCCAAACAUGAAUUUUGCAAAAUUCAAGCUUUGGGGAGUACUUUACAUAAAAACAUCCUUUGCCAUGUUGCUAUGUUGGUUGUCCCUACCUUUGAUACAUGCUCGAUUUGUUAAAUACUAAUCACACUACUUCAUCUCUACUUGAGUAGAUCUCUAUAAAUGCCAUCAUGCUACCUUUGUCUAUUUACUAGCAAGUGUUGGUUUGGAAGUACUCGACAUACUUCCAUUGGCAUUUAAAUUAAGCAUGGUGCCUAGGUUGAUUUUUGAGCCGAUAGUAUGCUAUAGUAGAUAUUGGAUAUUUUGUUGGACUAACCCCUGUAGGAAAACUUUCAAUAUCGACAUGGGAAGUCCUGAGAUAAACUCACAUUGGAGACAAAGAGAGACACACAUCAAGUUUAACAAUUUACACAAGGAAGACGUAGCUCAUAAGAGAUGAUCCAUGGGGGAUGUCGCAAACACGAUGCACAACCGCUAAGAAAGGAAAGCUUCCACAAGGUGAUACUGUACCAUCACUCUCCAAGUAAGGUAACAUCUUAAGGUACUUGACUAUCACUUUUAUAAGCUUCUCCUUGGUUCUGGCAUUCAUAUGAAUAAAAGAGACGAACAUGUAUAAUUUACAACUCUAGAUUAACCAACCCAAUCGAUUCAACACGUUUAGUCCUUCCACCUUUAUGAUCCCACACUCCUAAUCAUAUGAGCUAAAAUGUUGCACAUUCAAUCUUUGAGAGAUAUAAAGAAAAAGACAUAUACAUAGAUAGAUUAUCUUUCCAUAAGGUUGAGCGAUCUGAUCUGACAAAUGUUUUAAAUUCUACACUCAUGAUCUUAUUAUCCAUCAACUUUAUCUUGCUCACUAUGCUUAAGGUUAGAGAAGAACAAAUACACUUUUAGUUCUGUUGCUGUUUUCCACCAACAGGGCCCAUGCACUUGAACUCUGCCUUGUCUCUAUGAGCAGGUACACUUGGAGCAAAACAUGGUGGAGUUUUACAACUCCUAGAUUCCACCAAGUGAAGGACCUAGAUCUACGAGCACAAACACACUGAGCAGGAUGCUGCCAACGCCGCACUUCAAACUGUUGGGCAAACAAAGAACAUGGGUGACACCGUAUCAAGAGGUGCAGACAUCAAGGUCCACACCUGAAUCAAAUGAGGCACCUAAAGAAUAAACACAGUGAGAAGUCUUGUUCAGAAGACUUAAAACAUUGAACCCUUGCCAAAAGGUAAAAUCGGUAGUUACCCAUAUUUAUCCUUUCUGCAUUCCCUUUUCCCUUAAAUUAUAUACUUUCCUUAAAUGGCUUGUUAGUUCAUCAUGUUAUCUUGAAAAGAAAAUAAAAAUGUUAAAAAUAGUAAGCUCCAUGUGAGUAUGCUCGUGGUAUAAAACCCAUAAGUACAUUCACUGUGGUGGCGUAAAAAUAAAAUAAAUAUAUUCCUGUCCUAUAAAAAUGAAAAUAUAAAAAUAAGAUUGUGAUCCCACUAAAGAGAAUAACAUUUAUUGAGGAGGCUCAACAUGAUAAAGGCAAGAUAUUUAUGCUAACACUUAACUAGUUCCACAAAGCUUUGUUGUCUAUUUGAGCUCCACAUAAUUUAAGGAUCAAAGAAGACUAGCAGACGGAGGACAUCCUAAUCGCUGUCAGGGUACUGCCAACAUUCGAAUACACCUCCGCCACCUGCUAGCUACAUCAGAAAAAUUACGUCAAAAUCCAGCUUCGGAGAGAGCACCCCCAUUUAUCUAGGUAAGUGUUUCUACUCGCGUUUAUACUUUACUCAAAUAAUAAAAAGAUGCAUAAUUGUAAAACCCAAAUAAAGAUUUUAUGCUUAUAUAUAUAUAUCCCUGCUUAGUUUGCUAGAUAAAUAAAUAAAUAAAUAAAUAAAGUUUGCUAUGAACCCUCAUGAUAAGCUCUCACAUGGAAAUGAUGAAUAGUUACUCUGCCAUGACUAGUUCUCAAAAUUGAAUUCUCUCUCAAGUUUAGGCAUGACUGUUAUGAAUUAAGAUUUGCUCUAAACCUGAACUUGUGGGAAGAGUACUUGAUCUAAAGUCUAAGUCGUUAACGGAUAUGAUAUGGGAAGGUUGAGCUGCUAUUUAUCUGUUCCUAGAGAUGCUAGAAUUCUGGAGAAUUUUAUCUUUGAAAAUGUUUAAAAUAUUUCAUGAUGAGUUCCUGUAUGAUGAGUGUUUAAAAUCUUACCACAACCAUAUAUACAUGCUUAUUAGACUAUGAAUCAUACAUUUACUUUUUACUGCUUAUGAGCAUUGAGUGUAGUCAAGCUGUGUAGACCCUUAGGAGCUUGUCAUGCGGUUAAAAUCAAGAUUCACUUGCACGUUCACUCAUACAUGCUACUUCUACUUCGGAAGUACGCAUCCACAUACAUCCACUCCUUUCCAUCUUCAGAUUCACCCAAAAUUAUUCUACUCCUAUUAAGGAGAGAAUAGCCAAAAACAUUAUUCUAUCCCUAUUAUUCCUCGUGAAAUAAAUGCUCGAGAUAUUUUGGUUACUACCACUUGCUACAUUAUUCCACGAGGGUGAGUGCUCUGAAAAAAAGUGAAUACGAGGAAAUAAAAAGGGGCAAGUGCCCGGAACCUUGAAGAAAAGAAAAAGUGAGAUGAGAGGUAAAACUGGACAAGUGUCCGACAGUAGAAUUAGGGGUACAAGAUACCCACCUUAGAAAAAAAAUAAACAUAGAGCAUCUCAUUCUCCGCAAAAGUUUCAAAGAGCAAGAAAGGUAUGUAUCCCCUCAAAAGAGCAAAAGUAGAAUUAGACUUUCACCAUUGUUUUCACCAUCAUCACCAUACACCAUUCAUUCGCCACACAUGCACAUCUUGAUAUUGACUUAUUGACUUGUUUUUCUGGAUCCAUGGUUUGACUAUGCAAUAAAUGUCUUGUAAGUAUGUAUACUUUAUCUCCCACCUAUGAGCUCCAAAUAUCAAAACCUUUUUAGAGCAGGGUGAGAGAGAAGGCAAUGUCACUAUGCCUCAUACCAAAAAUACCACAUACUUUGAGAGAAGGCAUAUAUCAUCACUGCCUUGGUGAGGAUCCAGAAAUACCACAAAAGAGAGAAAUGAGAGAGUCAUACAAGGAAUCUCUGAGUUUCAUUUUGAAAAUCUACAAAAACUCUAGAGCUUUAGUUGAUCAAAGAACAAGAGACAUGGCACUUGACUUGACCGUUCUAUCUUUUAACUACUCAAGAUACAAGUGACGGUUGCAAGCCCCAUGGUGGAAGGUAAAAUGAGUAAGUUUUAAAUCUUAACAGUUUACUCUAACUCAGAGAUGAGAUCUUGCUCGAAUGCAUGUGUACAUUUAAGGCAUAAAACCACUGCAGAAACUCUUGAGUCCAUCCUUGCUCACGGACGAGCAAGAGGUAAGCUUGGGGGAGUUGUUGACGGUCCUUAAGUACCAAAUAUAAUCAUCAAAUAAAUAAAGAAAAGGAUCCAAAAGCAACCAACACCCAGACUUAGGGUUUUAUAUGAUAGAAUUCCACGAGUUUUGGUGUUUGUCUAUUUCUGCAGGGGUUUAUCAGAAAAUAUGGAGGAAAGGCCCACAUGUCGGGUUUACAUAGUGUCGACGAAAGCUGGUCGGCAGUCUACCUUGGGGUAUACCCACAGUAGUAGUUUAUCGGUAGACGGUGCGCAAACUACGAACUCGAUGGUGACACAAGACACGGACAAGCUUUUUAUCCAGGUUCGGCCGCCGAGUUGGCGUAAUACCUACGUCCUGCGUCUGAUUGUAUUGAUUUGUGUUGAGAGAAUCUGAUGUCCUAGGGGGGUCCCUUGCCUCUCCUUAUAUAGUUCGGAGGGCAGGGUUACAGAUCCGGAAACUAAUCCUAGUCGGUUACAAUUGCCAUAGAUAGUUCGAUAUCAAUUUCUAUUCUAACCGACUAGAAUCGUGUUUGAUCUCCACGUCUUGUUUCCUUUCGCGAAACUCCGAGCUAUCGGAUCAAACCUUGAGCUUGUCUCGUAAUGGGCCAAGCCUCCUGGCUCAAGUCUAGCCGUAAGGGUAUAGGGGUUUAUACCCCCACAGCUAGUCCCCGAGCACCAUGUAUUGUGAUGUAACACGCCGUCUUGAGCUUCUUCGAUCAGUGAGGCUUGACGUCUUCAGUAAACAGAGAAGUCGCCCAAACAGUUGCAACGGUACUUUGACCAACUCAAAAGACAGUUGAUCAACAUUGACAUCGAAGAAGCUGGUUGUUCAAAGAAUGCAUGGUGCUCUAAAUUAAAAAAGAUUUCUUUCCUGGUGAAGUGUGCCCACUUUACUUUUAAGAAAAGUAUGAACCUCAAAAAAGCAAGCAUAUUCACCGCAAGGUGAAGUGUGCCCACUUAGUCCCCGAGCCUGGUAGUAGGUAACGUAGGCACGUGGUGCCAGGGUCAAAAGAAAAAUCCUCAAAGAAAUUCUGUAACUGAGAUGCAUCGCCAGAUGCAUCGUACCGAUGUAGUCCCCGAGCUUGCUGGAAGGCGAAGUAUGAGCCUUGUAGCAAGGUCUAAAAAAUUAAAUUUACCAGUCUGUCUGCAAUUGAAUUGAAUAAUCGACCAGUCCCUAGGUGUACAAUAGUAUGACCACCAGGACCCAAGCACCAAGUGCACUCCUUAGAAUUCUGCGUUGCUAUACUGGACAACCAGUCCCCGAGCAUCGAGCGCUCAGUGGUUGGUGCGAUAUUUUGAAGUUCCGAGCUGAUAGACUAGGCGACCAGUCCCCGAGCAUCAAGUGCUCGGUGGUCGGUGCAGUCUUUGAAGUUCCGAGCCGAUAGACUGGGCGACCAGUCCCCGAGCAUCAAGUGCUCGGUGGUCGGUGCAGUCUUUGAAGUUCCGAGCCGAUAGACUGGGCGACCAGUCCCCGAGCAUCAAGUGCUCGGUGGUCGGUGCAGUCUUUGAAGUUCCGAGCCGAUAGACUGGGCGACCAGUCCCCGAGCAUCAAGUGCUCGGUGGUCGGUGCAGUCCUCGGAUUGUUGACUUCCUACCAGUUUUGUCUGCUUGUUCUGAAAAUUUUCCACACAAAGAGUUGACGUGACGAGUCCUUCUGACGGGAUGUCAGAUGGAUGCAUGAAAAGUUGCGCCUGGCAACUGUACAGCCGCCCUUUGCGCUGUUUGAGAAAAGGAAACCAUCAAUUUGUACGAAAACUCCGCCGCAUUAAUUGUCGAUAAUCAUUGAAAACCGAAACACCGCAUCCGCCGUAUGGCCCGCCCACUUCCCGAGGAUGCGGGAAGUGGGAGGGGUGAAGUUGUGGGUUAUAAGAGCUCGACAGUUCCCCCUUUACAUCUUACCCUUCAAGCCUUCACUCUUGCCUCCUUCAAUCAUCUACACCUUCCAAACUCGAAUCCACUUCCUCGACAAAAAAUGGCGAAGAGCGAAUCCAAGAAGAGGGCCGAGCUGAUGGCCAAGGAGUGGAAGAAAUCCCGCAGCACCGCCAAGUCUCUCGGUGACCUCGUCGAUAUGGGGCUUCUGCACGGCCUAGAGCUCGGCGGCUGGAGAGCGCCGGAAGGAGAGAGCUUCCCCGACCCCCGUGCCGGUGAGAUCGUGGUGUUCGAAGACUUCGUUAAGAGGGGUUUUGGGGUUCCUGUUCAUCCCUUUCUUCAGGGUCUUCUUCUUUAUUAUGCGAUCGGGAUUUGCAAUCUGCACCCGAACUCAAUCCUUCUUAUUUCUACUUUUAUCCAUUUGUGCGAAGCCUAUGUUGGCAUAGAGCCGCACUUCGACCUUUUCCGCUAUCUUUUUUGUUUAAGAAAGAAGGGAGCAGUUGGAGGCUCCAAGGUUGCUGGUGGAGUAUACCUCAACCUUCGCGACGGAAUGAAGAACCACUACCUGCACUGUCCAUGGAACACUUCCCUGACCGAAUGGUACAGGAAGUGGUUCUACAUCAGGGAGGAACCGGGCAGCUCCACGUUCUGCGACGUGGGAUACAUCCCUGAGAAGAGGGUGAGCUGGACCGAUCGCCCAGAGUUCGACGGUCAAGUGGCGGACCUCAUGAAGCUGAUCGACUGGUCGCGCCUGGACGGGCUUGGCGUGGUCGGCAACUUCAUUUGUCGUCGGGUGAUGCCCUGUCAGAAAAGGGUGCACUCGGCGUACGAAUAUGCCGGAAGCGUGGACCCGACCAGGAUGCGACCUGAAAUCUUGGAGAAGGCGGAGGUACAGCAGCUGCUGAACGAGCUGUUCAACUUCGCAGACGGAGGCUUCAUCCGUGGCAGUGAUCGGGUGCAAGCCUUCAAGUUGGGGCGACCAGCGCCUAAGGUAUGUUAUUGAUUACUUCGCUUUAGCGUCCGUAUAUUGUCUGCGGCUAACUUAUCUUUGUUACUUUUGCAGAUCGGAGAUGUCGACCGGUGCACAGUGUAUGUAUCACUGGCACCGGGAAUGGAGAAUCCUGCGGGAGAAGAUCCACCAGAGGAAGACGCUGCUCGAUGUACUCGUUACACCAGCAGUGAGGAAGACCAGGCCCGCCCCGUCCCGACCACCAAGGAUAGAGUGACGGGGAAAAGGCCAAUGCCCGCGGAUCCGUCGCCGGCACCGACGUUGCCGGCAGAGAGCAGCCGAGCGUCAAAGCGCUGUCGGUUUGUUCGGAUCGACGACGACGACGAGGAGGAGGAGGCCGUACCGUCGUUGGUCCGGAGGCCUCAUAGCCGUCCAGACAGCGUGCCGGCCACUGCUGAUCGGGUGGCCAGCGACCCUCCUGCGCCUCGCAUGGAGGAGAUGGGGGCACAGGUGCCAACCGGCCGGGCAAGAAGGAGGUUCACCGCGGCCCACCGUCGAUCGGACCUGUAAGUGUGCGACUUACGUAUUUUAGCCUUUCUUUUUUUUUGAUCUGUUGUUGAAAAUAUCGCUCUGUUAUGCAGCGCGGCGUCGGACGUCAACCCCGACCAAGCCGCAGAACAGGGGACGACCGCUCCUGUUGCCGCUGCUGAAGACGCCGCACCACGGGUCACAGGGCAACCUGCAGCGGUGGCGGGCACCGAGGAUCAAUCUGUUCCGACGGGUGCCGCGCCGAGCACUCAGCCGAGGGGUGAGGAGGCAACAGGGACCCCUCCCCCGAGUACUAUUGCAGUGGAGGGGAGCAGAGUCCCGACUCCUCCAGCCGAAGAAGGGAGGGUGCCGACACCGCCCCGAGCAGGGGCUUCUUCGCCCGUGGGCUCCCCUGGCCCAUACCAGGGACCAGUGAUGCCCUCGACCGCAGCCGGAGGCAGUGCGGCGAACGAGGAGCCCCAGGAGGCCUCCGAUGACGACGUGGAGGAGGUCCAGGGUCGUCCCCAUGAUGGUCGCCAGCACGUCUAUGUGUGGCGCAAACGCGGGGACCACUUUAUUGGUCAUGAGGAGCUCGCGGAAACGAAGGAGGCCGCGAGGGUGGAGCGCACGGCUAAACGCCUCGUGGACGAGGUUAAGGUAGGUGGUCCUAUGUGUUGCUUGGAUAACUUUAUGCAGUGUUCCCGUAUUCGACAUGUGUUCUUUUUUGCAGGGCGCAAUGAAAACGGCGAAGUACCGGAAACGGUGCUUCGACCAGAUCGAAGGAAUCGUGGCCGAGAAUAAGGCCUUGUCCGCGGAGGUAGACCGGCUGCGGUCGGAGGUUGGGGAGAAGGUGGCCGAGAUGAAUGCCUAGGAGGAGCAUCGUCUCGAGCUUACCCGUCGCUUGGCCGACCAGUACCGGCAGCGAUCCGGUUAGUCACGCGCUCUGAGCAGCUUUGUGUAGCUGUGUAGUUGGCUUUAUUGACCAGGUUAUGAUUCACGUAGUCUUGGAGGAGGAGGUGGCGCGGCUCCGACAAGAGAAGGAGCAGCUCAGCCAAGAGCUUGCCGGUUCGCUGGAGUCCGGGCGCCGAGCAGGAGAGGAGUUGGGCCGGAAGGACCGGGAGUUAUCUAGUAAUACGUGUCGCCUCGUUAUCUGCCGCUUGUCGCCCCUUUGUUUCUUUUGAUAUAACGUCUUGCUUGAUUUGCAGUGCUUAAAGUGAACGCCAAGAAGCACCUGGACGAGCUGAUCAAGGACCGGGACUCCUGGAAGGUCAAUUGUUGUAAGAUCUGGAAAGGAGUAUCCCCGGUCCUGGAUCUGAUCAGUCCCGAGCUCCCGGAGAGCCAGCCCCGCGCGCCGAGGUUGACUCCAGUGGAGAAAGCGCAACGGGCGUGGGACUGGCUCCAGCAAUUUGUGAAGGACGCCGGGGAGUUUGCUGGCGCGCAUGUCCUUAGCAUGGUGUGCGCCCACUAUCCCCUGGUCGACUUGACCAGGCUGGAGAAGGGGUACCCCAAGGAGGUCGGCCCGCAGGAGGCGGACGAGCUUCGGGGUGGUCUGCUAGACUUGUCGUCGACGGUGAUCGGCGACAUCAAUCUAUGCGGAACGGCCACUCCCCCCGACCAGCCGGGUUCAGACAGGUCAGCCAGGGAGCUGUCGGGCGCGUCUAUUGCGGGAGAUGGCCGGUCGACGCCUGCGGUCUCGACCAGCCAGGCGCCGGUGGCCCCGACCCCUUCGUCCGGGCAGCAGGGCCAGACGGGUGAUCAGCCCGAGCAGUAGGCCAAUAGGGUAGUCUGUAGGAAUAGACUAGCGUCUGCCCGUCAGGGUAUUUAUUGUAAACUUUGUAUGUAAAGUUUGUAAUAAAGUUUGCUUUUGUCAUGACUGUUGUUUUGAGCGCUGUACAAUUAUCUGAGUGACGUGCCACUAUAUUUGGCUUUGUAGUCGCUAAGAGCUUCUGGUGCAGAAGGCUUUCCGAGUUCUGCGUGUAACAAAGUAUAGGCAAAAAAUAGAAACCUUUGUUAUUGACAGCUAUAAGAUAUUUACAAGCGAAAGUUAUUAGAACUUAUGGAUAAAAUCGGCGCAGUUUGUCUAUGUGCCAAGAGUUAGGCACGCGUGUUCCGUCUGGGUAUACCAAUCUGUAGGACGUGGGUCGUGUAACUUCGGCGACCACAGUGUCGGACCAGUUUUUCUGCGUCACCGAGCGCGGUUGGCCAAUAAAAACCUGCUCGGAAGGCUUUCCCGAUCAGCAUUCUGGAUGCGGCGUGAUUGCCGCAGGAUCCAUCGUGUAUGUCUUCUAGGAGCUUGAUGCCGUCAUCUUGGGAUAUGCAUUUGAGCAGUACUUCAGAACUUGCGUUUUUUCGCAUAAGUUUGCCGUCCACCAGUAUGUAGUUCUUUGAUCGUCGAAUGAGGCGUUCAUUUUCUAUUCUGUCCUGAAAGCCCGACCCGUCCGAUAUAUAUCUUAUGCACGGGGUGCGCCAGUCGCGGCCACUGGUUGUCGGAGUGGCAUCGUCUAUGAGCAUUGCCCCAGUGAGUUGCUUUUCGACCAGUCCUGUGCCCACACUUGGCUCGUGGAUGUCCUGGACGAAAAUACCCCGCGGGAUCUGUGCCUGAGAUGACCCUAGCUCUGACAACGCAUCUGCUGCCUGGUUCUUAUCCCGGACCACGUGAAUGUACUCUAUGCCGUAAAAGUUGGUUUCCCAUUUGCGAAUUUCUUUGCAGAAGAGAUCCAUCUUCUCGUGGGUUGCGUCCCACUCCUUGUUGAGCUGGUUGAUAACUAAAGCAGAGUCGCCAUAGACAUAGAGGCGUUUGACUCCCAGCUCAACGGCUAACCUUAUGCCGUGCAGGCAUGCUUCGUAUUCGGCAACAUUGUUUGACGCCGGAAAGAGGAUCCUAAGGACGUAACGUAGUUUGUCCUUGUUAGGCGACACGAACAGUAUCCCAGCGCCGGCGCCGUUGAUGUUCAAGGAUGCGUCAAAGAACAUUGACCAGUGGUCGGAGACAUCGGGAACGGGAGGCUCGUUGAGAUCUGUCCAUUCAGCAAUGAAAUCGACCAGGGCCUGAGACUUGACUGUGGUGCGGCUCUGGAACUCGAGGGAAAAUGGGCAUAAUUCCAUCGCCCAUUUUACGAUUCUGCCGUUGGCAUCUUUAUUGCGCAGAAUGUCCUCGAGAGGGAAACUGGUGGUUACCAAGACUCGAUGGCCGUCGAAGUAGUGCUUCAGCUUUCUUGACGUUAUUAGAAUGGCGUAUAUGAGCUUCUGUAUUUGUGGGUACCUGGCCUUGGACUCGUUUAAGACUUCGCUUAUGAAGUAAACGGGCCUCUGGACCUUGUAGACAUGACCUGGCUCAUCUCGCUCGACCACUAUUGCUGUGGAAACAACCCUGUCGGUUGCAGCAAUGUAAAGGAGUAGGUCUUCAUUGGGCUGAGGCGCUGUAAGGACAGGCGGUGAAGUGAGGAAAGUUUUAAGCUGAGUGAACGCGGCGUUGGCUUCCUCUGUCCAAGAAAAUUUUUCCGACGCUUUCAAGAGUUUGAACAAAGGGAGGCCUUUUUCUCCUAGUCUUGAGAUGAAGCGACUGAGGGCGGCCAUACAUCCGGUGAGCUUCUGAAUAUCCUUGACGUUUUUGGGUGGUCGCAUGUCGAGUACUGCUAUUACUUUUGAAGGAUUUGGCCGUAUGCCGUCACGACUGACAACGUUGCCGAGCAGUAGACCAGAAGGAACACCGAAGAUGCACUUUUUGGGGUUAAGCUUCCACUUGUACCUAUUAAGUGCCUUAAAAGUUCGGUCUAUGUUGUCGAUUAGGGUGUUCGCAUCCCUUGUUUUGACGACCACGUCGUCUACAUAGGCCUCGACGAGGUCAUCACGAAUCUCGUCGUGGAGGCACUGCUGGAUGGCCCGUUGAUAAGUGGCUCCGGUGUUUUUGAGUCCGAAUGACAUGGUCGUGUAGCAAUAUGCGCCAAAAGGAGUAAUGAAGGAUGUUUUUAUCUGAUCGUCUUCCUUUAGCGAGAUCUGGUGAUAACCAGAGUAGCAGUCUAGAAAAGAGAGGAGUUCGCAUCCGGCCGUUGAGUCGACCACCUCGUCGAUGCGAGGGAGACCAAAAGGAUCUUUAGGACAGUGUUUAUUGAGAUCAGUGUAAUCAACGCACAUUCUCCAUUCAUUAUUCUUUUUGCGUACAAGAACCGGAUUGGCGAGCCAAUCGGGGUGAUACACUUCUUUUAUGAAUCUGGCUGCUAGAAGCCGUGUUAUUUCUGUCCUAAUAGCCUCCUUUUUGUCACGAGUGAACCGUCACAGCUUUUGCUUGAUUGGUCUUGCGGUCUUCGAGACAUUUAAGGAGUGCUCGAUCAGGUUUCGUGGGACGCCAGGCAUGUCUGCGGGUUUCCAUGCGAAAACGCUCACGUUGUCCCUUAGAAACCUGACGAGCGCGUCUUCCUAUUUUGGAUCCAGAUUGGCCCCGAUGAGGGCCGUCUUCUCGGGGCUGCCGUCGACCAGCUGCACUUCUUUGUACUCCUUAGAUUUUGAGUUCUUUCUGGCGGUCUCCUGCUCGGGUAAUGGGAGCUGGUCGGGAGGCAGCUGCGUGGCUUGGGUUGCUGUUUCUGCCAUGCGGAUUGAGAGGUCGAUUUCCUCGGUAAUCUUGAAGCUUUCCUCUUCGCAGGUAUACGCGGUGUAGGCGUUGCCUCUGACGGUUAGGACACCCUUCUCUGUAGGCAUUUUAAGGACCAAGUAUGAGUAGUGCGGGACUGCCAUGAACUUUGUCAACGAUGGUCAGCCCAGUAUAGCGUGGUAGGUCCCGUCGAAGUCCGCGACCACAAAGUUGAUGAACUCUGUCCGAAAGUGGUCGGGUGUGCCGAAUUGGACAGGCAAUGUUAUCUGUCCAAGGGGCACUGAACUCUGACCUGGCAAAACCCCCCAUAAUUGAGCAUCGUAGGGUUUUAAUUGUGCAGGAGAUAUUUUGAGGGCGGGCAGACUGUUGCGGAAGAGGAUGUCGAUGGAGCUUCCCCCGUCCACGAGCACGCGCUCGAAUCUGAUGCUGUUGAUGCAAGGGUCCAGGAUCAGAGGGAAGCGACCUGGCUCUGGGAUAGCGGCCCACUGAUCCUUCCUGCUGAAUGAGAUCUCCCUGUACGACCACGGGGGAAAUUUUGGGUCUGCGAUCAGCCCGUCCGUGCUGUCUAUGUUGAGGCAGGCUCUCUUUAAUAGCUUUCUCUCUCGCUUAGAUUCGAUGGAGACCUUGCCCCCGAAGAUGGAGUGGACCACAUCAGUGGGGCUGACGUAUUGGUGUCGGGGGUCCCUAUCUUGGUCCUCGUCCUCGUCUUCGUGGUCGUGCCCGUCUCGCUUGCCAUUUUUCUUGGUGGAGUCGUCUUGGACGGCCCGCCGUGUGGAGAUGCUUUUGAGGAUGCGACACUCCUCCAUGGUAUGAUUAGACUUUGGAUGCAGUUGGCACGGUCCCUUCAACGUUUUGUUAUAGUCUUCUUGGUAGUCCCGCCGCCCGUUGGGACGCUUGACUGUAUUUACUUCAUGGUCGUAGUCGCGGGGGCGCUUUCUUCUGAAAUCGUCGUGAUUGUCGCGGCGCCGAUCCCAACCUUCUCUGUGAUCACGGUUGUCGGGGCGACGGUGGUUCCUGUUGUCGUAGCGACCGCGACCAUCAUCUCGCCGGGGAGGCUGGUCGGGACCUCUCGCAUCGUCUCGGAUUAGUUUCUCUGCGUCGUCGGCAUCGGCGUAAUUUUUAGCCGUGGCGAGGAGCUCCGCCACCGUUGUUGGCCGUUUGCGCAACAGCUUGUUCCUCAGCGCUUCAUGGAAACGCAGGCCCUUGAUGAAGGCAGAGAUGGCCUCGUCGUGGGAAAUCUUUGGGAUCUUAAGGCGCAUAUCCGAGAAUCGUCGAAUGUAAUCGCGCAGAGGUUCAUUCUUCCUGUCCCUUAUCCUUUCGAGGUCGUACUUGUUUCCCGGCUGCUCGCAUGUGGUGAUGAAGUUGUCGAUGAAAGCCUGGCGUAGCUCUUCCCAAGAGUCGAAGGAGUCCUCGGGCAAGCCAAGGAGCCACUGAUGACCAGCCUGGUCGAGGACUACAGGGAAGUAGUUGGCCAUGACGUGCUCAUCUCCCGCUGCUGAUCGGACGACAAUUUCAUAGAGAGUGAUCCAGUUCUAUGGAUUUUCCUUGCCGUCAUAUUUUUUAAGUUUUUCGAGCUUGAAAUUGCGGGGCCACACGACCUGGCGGAGGUGUGAAGAGAACUGUCUUAGGCCCGGGGGGCCGUGCGUUGCAUCGUACUCGAUACAGCGUAGGUUUUCAUGGACUGCUCUCUCUGUGGCGCGCCUGUUGAUGCGGUCCCGGGCAUCUUUGGGAGGGAUGUUGUAUCGAAGAUCCCUGUGCUGGUUUACUUCUUGACCGCGCCUGCGGUUCUGCUCGCGGUGACCGUCAGUAUCCCGACCACCAUCAUUACGCCGUGAAUCUUUUCGAUGGUUGCCGGGAGAGCGGCUGCGGUGAUGCCUGCUGGGAGGCGGUGAGGUCCGGCUACGAUUAGUCUGGUCGGAGGUGGCUUCCGUAUAAGAGACGUCCUGGACUCUCUUGAGCAGAGUGGCUGUCUGUCCCAUUGUGGCGAUCAGGUGCGCUCGGACGCUGGUUCGGACUCCCUGGCACUCAGGGGUAUCAGGGAGCCGAUCUAGAUUAGCCAUGGCGACAGCCACGUUGGCGCUUGGCGUUUUGUAGACUGGCUGGUCGCCGGCCAUGUCAAAAGCGUCGCUGAGGUUAUGCGGUGGAAUUUGUCGUUGCUCAUCUGCACGUCGUCGGGCGCGAUCGGCGUUGCGCUGCUCGCGGAGCUGCCUCUGCUCGUCCGUUUCUCCAUCAACGACCGGCUCGUCGGCGCUGAUGUUGAAAACAAUGUCUCCUCGCCGGGGAGGAAAUACCGGGAAACGAGGGAAACCCAGAGGGUGUGAAGGCAAAUCCAGAUCGUAGUCCUCGUCUUCGGAGUUUAUAACUUCGGUGGGGACGGAACCGGUGCUUGAGUUGGUGCUGGAAGCCUGACCGUCCCGUAGCUCUCGGAUCGUCACCAUGUUGACGUAGUGACGAGCAGGUCGAUCGUUCCUUUUCGGCGACCAAUCUGCCUUGCUGAAAACAGAUUGGAUGUGCCGUGAGUAGAGAGAGGCCGAGUUGUUCAGGCCGCAAGGAUAAUCUUCCUCCCUAAGCUUGACGGUCCGUCCUGAGGGAGUUGAGGUUAUCGUCAGACACGUUCCCAGCCGUUCGUGUGUAACGACACGAGUUGGCCGGCGGGAUUUGAAAAAAUCCGUUGAAGCGGCUUGAUCAGGCUGGCGCAGGAUUCCAUCUACUAGUUGGGAGGCUUCAAGUAGCUUGGAAUCAGCACGAUCAAGCGCUUGGAGAAGGUCCGAGCAGUCGAUCUUCUUUCCCUUGUAGAGAGGGAACGGUGGUCGGGCGCUCGGUGCCGCCAUCCGGUGGUCGGAGACGACGUGAUCUCAGAUUGGAUCUGAGUUUCUUUCGAAACCGUGGUCGUAAGGCCACCGCCGCGCGUCGUCCACGUGAUCUGGCCGAUGGUGAACGUGAGGCCUCCGGGCACGGUCGCGGAAGCUGGGAUUGUGACCAUCUUGUUCGCCGGAGAAGUUGCACGUACACCCCCUACCUGGCGUGCCACUGUCGACGAAAUCUGGUCGGCAGUUUACCUUGGGGUAUACCCACGGUAGUAGUUUAUCGGUAGACGGUGCGCAAACUACGAACUCGAUGGUGACACAAGACACAGACAAGCUUUUUAUCCAGGUUCGGCCGCCGAGUUGGCAUAAUACCUAUGUCCUGCGUCUGAUUGUAUUGAUUUGUGUUGAGAGAAUCUGAUGUCCUAGGGGGGUCCCUUGCCUCUCCUUAUAUAGUUCAGAGGGCAGGGUUACAGAUCCGGAAACUAAUCCUAGUCGGUUACAAUUGCCAUAGAUAGUUCGAUAUCAAUUCUUAUUCUAACCGACUAGAAUCCUGUUUGAUCUCCACGUCUUGUUUCCUUUCGCGAAACUCCGAGCUGUCGGAUCAAACCUUGAGCUUGUCUUGUAAUGGGCCAAGCCUCCUGGCCCAAGUCUAGCCGUAAGGCUAUAGGGGUUUAUACCCCCACACAUAGAGAUAUUAACGUGCAGCGCAAUUUUCUAUCAUCUAGAAGACUCUAGAAGCCACGGGAACGAACGGGAAGCCGAGCGGGCUCGGGGACAGGGUGCCCGCCCUCCCCCCUUGGGCACCCGCCCUACUAUUUCCACCAAUCAUGUUCAAUCUCGCGGAUUAUGCUCCGCCGACCUAAAGGAUCAAGGAUAACCGUUCAAUCAAUGUCGGUUUGAUCCGACGGCCCAGAUUCACUUGAGGGGACUAUAUAAGCAGGCCCCCUGGCCCCUGGAGGAGGCAACCCCCUUGAUCCCUAUUCAUUAUUCAUAGACAGAGCAAAAGCUAGGGUUUGGAGAUGAGAGCUCUCCUCUCAUCUCUAAACUAGAGUAGAUCUAGAUAGUAGCAAGAUGGAGAGCGAGGGAGGAUUAGAGGAGAGGCCGGCCCGUCGAUUCUUCCGCUGGUUGUACUUCGCCAUGAUCAAGCUCUAAUCAAGCUUGCUCAUGGGAUGACUCUGGUAAACUACUUCUAUUUCAUUAUGCAAUUACUAUCCAUGUAUGUUCUGGUUCACAACUCUUUUGAGUACUUUAAUCUAUAGGACGCUAUAGGUGAGAGUUGUAGUAUAGGUGUAAGUGUGGUGCUUAGACCUAGAUUACUUGUGGAUAUCCCCUGUCUAGCCGGAUCGUGUGGUAGGCCGCUUAGGUGACAGUUACGUUGGUCCCCUGUAGUCCACCUCCUGUUCGCAGAACUGGUAGGGUUUAUCGGCCUAUGGAUAAGCAUCCUUUGUGGUGUAAUCUUAUCACGUGGUUCGUCCCAGACAUAGACAUACCCCUUUGAAGUAGAGAAACCAUAGUUAUCCUCUCUAUUCUCCUACCAUCGCCCAUAUACAAGAUUGCUCUACUCUCUAUUUCCAUAUUAUCACUCACUAUUAUCUUACCUUUAAUAUUGUUCUUAUUCAAUUCUACCAUCUUUCCUAUUUACACUUAUCUAUCUAUCUUGGUUAAGUUAGAGCGUAGUUGGUUCUCCCGUUUCCCUAUGGAUACGAUAAAACCUUUAACCGGUUAAAAGCUACACGGUAUCCGUGCGCUUGCGGAUUUAUCUGUGUGCAUAUAAAUACCAUAGUACACUCUAGUGCCAUGAUUGGGAUGACAACCUAGUAUUCAAGUGGUGUUAGCAAGUGUAAACACCUGGGUAAAUCAUCAGGGAAUACAUCCGAGAACUCACACACCUCCAGAAUGUCCUUGAUGGUCCUAGAUGUAACUGCAUUCAUCGUGCUACGGAUAUGGAUAUCCUGAGGAAGUUGCACUAAGAAUGCCUCUUUGGUAUUCGGGUCUCUCAACAUCACUACCCGAGUGGUGGUGUCGAUAAGAACUUCGUUGCCACUCAUCCACUUCAUACCCAGAAUUACAUCUAUACCCACACCGGGUAAAACAACCAGAUCAGCAAGAAACUGACGGUCUCCUAUUUCCAGAGUUGCCCUCAAAACCACUUGAUUGGAAGAAAUAUCGUUCGCAGAAGCACUAAUGCAAUAACUGCCCUUAUCAAGUGUAAUUGCCUUGAGAUUAUGCUUAGACACGAAGUCUGAACUCACAAAAGAAUGCGAUGCUCCUGAAUCAAAAAGCACAAGUGCAUCACAUUGGUUAACCAGAAACUUACCAGCCGUAACUACCUCACUAGCAGGGAUUGCCUCCACAGUCGUGUAGUGAACACGCCCCUAGCGGACGUUCCCUUGGUUGCCCUUCUUUGGUGGGUAAGGACAAUUGCUCUGCCAGUGCCCGGUCUGAUUGCAGUUCCAGCAUGAACGGUAGGCAGGUGGAGUCUUCGCAUAGCUGAGACCUGUGUUGCCCCUAGGAAGAGCAAUAGAGUACCCCUUGCGGAAACCCAUCUUCGCCCGAUUCUUCUUCACUGGAGGGUGAUACCGCUGGUUAGGAGUCGGAGCACGGUACUGGGGUCUAGCUGCCACUGGAGCCUUGGACUGAGAUGCCCCUGCCCCGGCCUCAAAAGCCCUCUUGCGAGUCUUGGUUGCAGUGUACACAGUGUUAUAGUUCUCUUGAGUGAGAGCAUCACUGACAAACUCAUUGAAAGUUGCACACUUAGAGCGGCCCAUAGUUUUCAGCAACUUGGGGCCAAGACCCCGCUUGAAGCUAGCAAUCUUCUUCGUCUCAGUGUUCACAAACUCAGGAGCAUACCUUGACAGGUGGUUGAAAGCAUGCAAGUACUCCUUCAGAGUUUUGCUACCCUGAGUUCACUGCAUAAACUCAUUAUGCUUCAUCUCCAUAACACCAGGAGGGAUGAAAUGCCCCUUGAAGGCUUCACGAAAGAGAUUCCAGUCAAUCACAGUAUUACCAGGGAGAGCCUCCCGAUACUGAUUCCACCAUAUGCCUGCUGGGCCCUGCAGUUGGUGAGCUGCAUACUCGGCCUUCAAACCCUCAGUCAGCCGAAGGAAGCGAAACUUUUGUUCCACCAUCUUCAACCACUCCUCAGCUUGAAGGGGUUCUUCAGCCUCUCUAAACGAUGGAGGCUUUGUAUUCAUGAAAUCCUUGAAGCUACUGUACUGGUUAGGUGCUGGCCCUUCUUGUGCAUUACGACCACCCUGAUUUGCCAUCUGGUUUAUGGUCUCAGUGAGCAUCCUCUGAUUUUCCACCAUCAUUUGCAUCAGCUCAGCAGGAUUUGGUGGUGGAGGAGGAGGGGGUGGGUUCAUGUUUGCACGUUGUUCCGCACCUCGAGUGCCACGAGACAUCUGUAAAAAUACAGUCAGUGAGUAUUGAUGAUGACAAGAUUUGCCUUAGAAGAACUUAUAUUCAUGCCUGAAAGUAUUCGAGAGAAUAGCUUUACAGAAAAGGCACAAUAAUUCAAUUCCACAAAACAACAUCACCAAUCUAACACAUGACAAAGAUAUCCGUAAUAUGCACCACGUAGAAAAACAUCGUCAUAACCGAUCGAACAUGUUAAGGUUACACAUUGGGUCCAUAAAGUUAUUACGCCAUCACAGUACAUGACAUGAGUCAAAGAUCAAGGUUCCGGAUUACAAAAUGAUUACAAAAGCACCACUGCUGACUGCCAUACUACAAAAGAUCCUCUCAUAACAACUAUCCACUACCCACUACACUCCAGGCUCGUCGCCCGAGUCAGCGUCGAAGAUCGCCUCUCCAUCCUUAUCACUAACUGGCUCAAGCUCCUCGUCCUCCACGUCCUCGUGCAAAGGUGGUGCAGCCAUGGCUGGUCCACCUACCUCCAUGCCGUCAUCAUCGGCCACAAUCACCUGGGGACCCACCUCUAGGUACACUGGUACAGGGCGAGGAAUAGAGUGUAGUAGGUUGUUGAGACAGUGAAUCUCCACAAGACCAGCCUCAAUCUGAUACUGUAGAUAGUUCUCCCGCUUAAGCGACUGGAUCCGGUGCAUCUCCCAUGCCCGGCGCCUGUUCUCCGACACACGGAGCGCAGUAUCCCUCUCAUGAGUGACCUGCACCGAGCACUCCUGCACUGUCUCCCUCUCUCGGGCUAACUGACUCAUCUAAUCCUGCUUAUGAUCUCUCUCCCUAAUGGCCUUUACCCACUGCUGCCUACAGUACUCCGCAAUAUCUUCCCAGUCAUUGCGGUCCUUCUGAGCUUGCUCCAGGAGUCUAGCCUGCUUGCAAAACUUGCGAGCAUGCUUUUCAGCCUUCUAUUGCAUCUCCUGAGCUUGGCGAACAGCAACCAUCACGUGUGCAUAGGUGCCCUCUCGCUGACUGAACAGCUUGAGCACAGCCAUCAUAGCACUCAUAGCAGGACUGGAACUCUCAGCUCACUGUCCUCUACCUCGGACCAACGCACAACCAUCAGCCUGCUUCCACUCCGCUACUGCUGGGUCAGCACGGGGAAUGGAGGCCGCUGGUCCUCCUGUCAGCUCAUCGCCAAACCUCUGACAGAUGUUGAGCAGCAUCGCAUGGGCUGCAAACUGAGCUGCUUCCCAUGGGUCUGCCCAUCGGAGUUACAGGUCCACCCAGUCCAUGCAGGCCUGCCCCCAUGUGGAGGGACAACUCCCUGCAUAGCAAACCACUGCAACUCUCCUGUCAUAUCCACCUCCCACCAAGAAUACUGAGGUGGCUCAGUAUAUCCUACAGACUGCAGCACCCUCCAGAGCAAGGUAGGAGUGCCAAACUCGCUCAAGAAGGUGUCACUGGGGCGAGGUGAAGCGGGCACGUCCAUCUGUGGAAAGAAAUAACCGUGGGUAAAAGAGGAUUAGUUUAAGAAACGAUUAUUUAAUUAAAAGGGAUGGCAUUGUAUGGGAAGGAGUAGACAGAAUGUAUGUAUGAAUGCGACAUGAUGCAUGCACGAACCGUACGUCCUCACAAACUUAGAAAAUUAAUAUUCUAACGGAUAUACGGUGGCAUACAUUCGUCUCUCGAUACUAUAACUAUCGAUUUACACGCACGCUAUUAGAGUACCUGCAGAAAACUUUAUUUCAGCCCAUCAAUUCCCAAUAUAUCACUCAAGAUAGCAGUAAACUAAGUGCACAUUGCUUGUACAUGCCCAGCAUGCACAAACCAUUACACCACAGCUACCCGAGAAAUUAAAUACUCCCCAAUUAAGUUUCUCUCGUGGUUCUAUGGUUUUGACAUGUAACCACUCCAGAAAACCACCGCGAACACUCCCCUAGACCGCUAUUUGGACGAUCAUGCUCUCACAGCUCACACUUACCAGAGCGUAGGUGCGACGUUGCAUAAUUUAAAUCUAGCGACAUAUGUGGCUAAUUCACAUAUGAAGGCUACCUCUACCAUUAGACCACAGGGUAGCAUAGUGCGGUCAUCACACAUCCAUACCUGAGUACUGCCGAAGAUGCAUAGAAUAAAACCCCCCAAGUCAGUACUUAAUUAGCCACCAAUAGUCCUUAUAUGGGCAAGGAGGAUUCGACCACUGGCAUAAUUAGGUGUAAAUUUUCACAAUUUUAUUCAAACUCUUUUGUUUUUAAAUACACAAACGCUGCACUUAUAAUGCUGAACUUGCUCCGAUGCCAGCUGUCACAGAACCGACCAAAUUAUAAGAGUUCAUGUGUAGAAACGAUCGACAAGCAAUCAAGUUUCAAAAUUUGAGCCCAUAUAAUCCCGGUAGUCAACUGAAAUCUCGAAGGACUUCAAACCAACUUGCAACAAACCAAGAUCGUAAUAGUUCAACAUAACACAGCGGAUGUUAUAUAGUCAUUCAUUGCCGUCGAAGCGGCACCACAUCAGAGUUACUUAGUUGUUACAACACAUGUUUAAAGUAGCGGAAGCAAAAUAAUUUACAACACAUGUUCCAAAGUUCAGUUCACGAGUUCUUGUUCAGCCAGGGUCUCAUGCCAUCCAUCCAAAAGCAACAGGUACGAAGUAGUUAGAGAACCAUGCCCAACGGUUAGUCCUCAUCCCCAGCGGGAUGGAGACAGGUCUUGUAGAAGCCAUCAUAAAAUAUAUCAUCUGCAACAUGUGGGGAUAAACCCUGAGUACGAGAAUGUACUCAGCUAGACUUACCCAUCUAGUAAAACAUAAAAGACACCAAGGAUCAUGCAAGGCUAAGUAUAAAGUGGAGCUGGUUGACUCACAAUUGCCAAAAGCUUAAUUAAUUACCUUCCAUGUGGUAUUAGCAUCAUAUUUUAUAUUGGUCAUCAUUAACCUACCACUAGAUUAGCACCUGUACUAAAACACAUCACUUCAUUAUUACAAGCAUUAAUAACCAUAUCAAGUUCAUCAAGUGCUCUUUCUUGCUAUAAUCAUUAUCACGAACCAUUGUUCUUUAGUAGAUGCUACGUUUGCCGCUGCUCUGUCAAGUUCUCACUAUCCGGGAGAGACGGUGAUUCGAAUCGAUUCCUAUCCAGCUGGAGGGUUAUUCAUAGCACUCACCCAAGCAUCCCCCGUCGGAGAGCCAGUGGGUCACCUUUGGUACGACUCAGAAAUCGCGGCUCCGAUCAGCGCCGCACUCCCAGGGCUACCACUCUGCCAGGGAGGUUAGGAAUUUUAACGCACCUGCCUUUGGUCUUACGCCAAUGGUCCCCCGCACACCGCACUUCCUCCUGUAGUGUGCACUUUAUACUUGCCGGUCUUUCGGCCUAAGUCAUACUACUAGGCUUCGCGGUCGGAACGAGUUAUCCGGCCAACUAAGUGUUAGGCAUGCGUUCAACAUGACAAGAGGACGUACAACGAUCGGUCCUUAGCUGCCACAGACGGAGUUACUACAACCUUGCAAAACUCCGCCCGGCUUAAGUCAAUUUAAUCAGGUUCCAUCCACGAUAGCACAUAUAGUCAAUCGUGAUCCGACACAACCCUAUAUCGCGCAGGUGACAGGAUAUCACCCGAUGGCUAAGCUGCUACUCGAUCCUAACUCUAUAACCAGGUAAAGGUAAGAUAUCUGGACAAGGAUUGAGUAACAUGCAGCAAGGGUUUCAUCACAACUCCUAUACGUAAAUGCAUCAAUAGAUAUAACAUAAUCAAGGAAGCUUUUUGAAAGUAAAGUGGGAGGCUUAAGAUGCUCUGAGGCUUGCCUUUCACGAACGAUGCAGGCUCAUGAUUCGGGCACUCAACCUCCUCUUCGGGCUCCUCGAGUCCGGCUUGCUGGACCUCCGCCUCCGGAUUGCACUCCUGGCCUUCGGGGUUCACCUGAAGCUCGAAUGAAGCUGUCGUGUCCGGUGCACCUAUUGCAAGCAUGAUAAGUAAGAACGGGUGCAUGCUGAACGGAAAUGAAUGCUUGACAAUGCAAUUAAGACUUCACUGGACACUCAUUUACUGAGUAAACUUCUAAGAUUAACUCCCAAAGGAUAACUAAUUAGGUUAGCAAAACUUAACAGGUCCAACUAUAAACAGCAAGCAUUUCAAAACAGAGCAGCUCAGUAAACAGGUCAUAACUAUUGCUCUAAAGAUCCAACAAAUAUAAAUGAGGACAUUCUGGAAAGCUUAUGAAAUUGUCUACGUUUCAUAUUUAUACAUUACAUCAAGAUUCAUAGGUUAAACAAGUUAAUUAAACAAAGUUCCAGGUUCUGUCCCAGAAAAACAGAAACCACCUAUUUCUGGAACCCAAUUGGAAAAGCCAUAACUUUUAAACUAUUGGACUAAAUGAUCCCAAAUUUGAACCACAGCUAGUUCAUAAAGUUUACAACAACUUUGAUUUAGACAAGUCUUCCAGAAAACCUAGUUAUUAGUAAGCAAAGAUUGAAUUACUUCCUUGCUGUCCAAAACAGCUUUUAACCAUUUAAUUAAUUAUUUGAUGACAUAGCCAAAACAUAAUCAGUAUCAACCACAUGGCUUAUAAGCACAAGCAUAUCAUAAGACAAUCAGAACAGCAUAUGUUAACCCCUAAACAUUUAAUAACAAGGCAUUUAUUAAUUUAAUUCUAUAAAGGGACAUAAUUACAAGAUACCAGCAAAAGUGCUCAGAAAAAUCUACAAAAAUUACAGAAGUACAAGCAUAGCAUCUUGACAUCACCAUAAAAUUUUCAGGGCAAUUGCACAUGCCAAAUUUAAGAUAAGCAUUUAACAUGUGGCAAGGUGCUUAUUUCACAAAUUAAGAAACAUGGCUUAUAUAGUGUUAAACAAAAGAUUUCAGAUUAUUUAGAUGCUACAAAUACCAUAAGCAAGUUUGACACUAGAGUAGAGCACCAGCAUAAGCACCAAUUAUUUACUAUGAUUUAAAUAAAAAAACAAGCCAUAGAAACAACAUAAAUUACAUAUCACAGAUAUAGUACUCCAAAAAUCAUUAAAUAUUUAUCAUAGCAUUCUCAUACCACUCAGAGCCUAGCAUAAAAUGUUCAGAACAAAAACAGCAGUAUAUCAAGAGAUAUGAAUUUAUAUAUAAAUAACAAGAUUAAAUCCUAAUAAUUAUUUAUUCCAGGAAACAUGGUACAUUUUAUAUUUUUAUUAAAAACUAGCCAUCUCAAGGAACAUCACAAAAUUUGUUUCACAAUUUUUGGAUCUCAGAAACAAAAGAUAUGAUUUUUGCAAGAAAGGCAAAAACCUGGAUUUGAAUAAAAGAAAAGGAGGGAAACGAUGUGUCACUGACAGCGGGUCCCGCAUGUCAGGCUCGUCUUCCUCACAGCCGAGACGACUCUCACCGGCGAUUUCUCCGCGACGGCGAGGUCUCCGGCCAACCCACGGGCAUCAACGUGAUCCCCAGACCCUUGCGAACCGAUUGACCCCCUUUUCCCCGCGGUGGAGCCACCGGAAAUGGCUUGCCGUCGACCAUGGCGGCUCGGCGGAGGUGCUCGGUGGUACGCCGGAGCUCUCGAGCCGGUAGAGCGCGACCUAGGGUUUCCUACAGCACCAGCGAACUACGGCGAAGCUUCCUAGGUAGGUGGCUAGGCUUGAAACGGCGUGGAACGAGCUGGCAACGAGAGAGCCCAACUCCGGCGGAAACACGGCGGCGCUGCGCGUCGUGUCCUGCGACGGUGAGCGUGGUAGAGCGUCCACCAAGUGGCGCAAACGUUCGCUAAGGACCUAAGCUACCUCUAGGACCUAACCAGAGAAGACGAGAGGCUCCGAGGAGCUCGGCAUUGAGUUCGCCGGAGAAGAAGGUCACGGCGACCCGAUUUAGGGGAACUCGGAAAUGUCGGCUCACCAGAGGUUUCACGGCGAGCUAGCGGGUGGAGGGUGGAGAGCGGUCCACGGCGGAGCUGUGGGUGAGUUUUGGUGAGCAGCAACACAGCAACGAGCGCGAUUGAGCUCGCCGGAGUGAGCUCGCGACGGUGAGCUCACUGCGGCCGCUUUUCUAGCGAGAGAGCGAGAGGAAGGAGAGAGUGGAUGCGUCCACUCCAUCCGAGGCGUCGCCGUGGAGGUCAUGCGCACACUGGGAGCUGACGAGUGGGGCCAAGAGCGACGUACGGGCGCCAAAUGUCGACGAAGCUCUGUCGCCGGUCGGCCACGUCGACGACCUCGGCUCCGAUUCAGACACGGCGUUGAUCGUCUGACAGAGCAACUUCAACGAUGAUUAACUUCCAAACCAAAGCGAGUUAGGAGAUGGUGUAGUUGACAAAGUUGAAGUACUAGCUGAUUUCUACAACAUUGUCAACUAGAGCAAAAGCCAGAUCGGCCUGGAUUGAGAGAUAUGAGGUUUUCAAAAUCGAUCGAGCAAACUGUUGCGUCCCCAGACUUAGAAAAUUUUUCUAAGUGUUGGAAACAGCCCCAAAUCUGCCUUGUGGGUCACUUUUGAGCUAGAUGUGGUCAUUUUCAUGAGAUGGACAUAUAACAACUUUUGUUCCUUAUACAAUUUGCUACAACUUUCCUGUAGAAAAUUUUGACAUGCAAAUAUUUUAUGAAAUACUUUUUAAAAGCCUAAGCAAAUGAGGUUUCUAGGGCCUAUACAUGGAAACAUGACUUAAGUAAUUAUUUUGGAGAAAUGAUCAACAUGAACAUGGUUCCUAAGGUUGAGUUAAGCAUAGAUAAACUAAUUAGCAAGGCUUAACACACAAUCAAGAGCAUGGUUCACACAAACACAAGAAUAGGAGGCAUAAUUAAUAAAGUUAAAGCACACUUAAGCAUAAAAUAACAUUGCUCAAGGUAGAUGAUGAUCAUGAUAUGCUUGAGUAGAUGAUGAUGCUCAUGUUAUGCAUGUGAUUGAUGCAACCAUAACACUGGGGUGUUACACGGGGUCCACCUGCCCAUCAUUCCUGGGUGUCCUGGGAUCUUCCCUUGCUACAAGAGCUCGACCACCGGUGGCAGCAUCCUGUGUGUCGUCCGUGGUAGCCACGGCCCCGUCGAGGUUGAAGCACUCCCUCGUAGGGUCAUAGCUGUCGGAUUUAGAGUCGGGGUCUGGCUCGGCGAUGUAGAAGCAUACGCGCCCCUCCUCCACCAACUGCUAUCUGAACAUGGUGAUGGUGUAUCGCCCAGGUCCUAGGCGUCGAAGUCUGCAUGUCUGGGGAAAAUCUGACCGCUCAGCCACUUGCUGAUUUUGCUGCCGUGUCUCCGUGUCGCGCAGGAGGACCAGUGGUUGCUCCUCGCUCGUCCUGGCACCGGGACAUAUUGUCCUGGCGAGCGAUGUGGCAGCGUUGUCCAAGCCGAACGGGUACAUCCACCUGGUGGCGAACAGACCGUGUGGCAGCAGUGUAGAUGGAGGCAUGGGUGCACGAGAUGUGCUGCCGCCUGACGCCGUUGCGCGGCCGUUCUGUCGUCUGGCCAUCGUGACUGUGGUCUCGGCACGUGGAGCUGUCGGCUCCUCCCCCGUUGCCCGCUCCGCACGAGGCGAUGAUCGCGCAGCAGCGGUGGGGCAGUGGCGACGCUGGCCACGCCUCCUCUUGGGCGAGGAAACGUGGUGGCGAGGCCGUCUCAGAGCCUUCGCUCAUGUGGGCAAGAUAUGAGCCCCUCUAGGUCCUUUGAUCGAGAGCAGGAUCAUGUCAUAGCUGAAGCCGGUGGACAUGAACUCAAGGCUCCCAAACCAAAUCACCGUGGAGCGUGGGAUCGGUGAGACGUGAGUGGCCAUCCAGAAAGAGAUGGGAAAUCGGUGGUAACACACAGGACCCCUACCUGGCGUGCCAACUGUCGGUGUUUUGACCCUGGGGGUGACACCAACGAGUGAAUUUAUGUGUGUGCUCCCUUUUCUAGAUGGUGAUGCAAGAAUAACAUAGAGAUUUAUCCUGGUUCGGGCAAGAGAAGGCCCUAUGUCCAGCGGGGGGGAAGACUUUGUAUUAUCUUGCACCUAAGUGCUUGUACAGGUGUGAAUACAAGUGGAUGUGGCCAAGGGUUCUAAGUCCAAGACGAUGGUGGUGUGUGGAUCGUAUUCUACGAGUUGUGUGUUGGAUCUCUUCUUUUUUUGUAUGUCAUCCUCAGCAUCCCCUUUUAUAGUUCCAAGGGGAGACCUAAGUUACAGGGUAUAGGCAUUAGAAUAAGCCUCGAUAGGGCUAUAGCGCGCUGACCUACUCGAGGCCUCCGUACCGAUGUGGCCUCGAGCCAUCUUGUUACAGGGUACUUUGGUGAUGAUGGCGCAUGCACUCCUGAAUUUAGCCCCUGUACAUCGUCUUGGAUUGGCUUAGGUGCGUGCACGCUUGCACGUCGUGGCAGUAGUCACGUCUAGGGUGGUUGAAGCGCUGACUUCCAUCGCCUGAUCCUUUCCUGGGAAGGAACGUGUCUGUUUGAGGGUCGGGUCGCACGAGCGGCCUUGCUGUGUGUGAGCACUGAUUUCAUGCAUCUCGAGGGGUGCCGCGAUGGGAUAUCACGUCUGCCAUACUGUGUCGGGUCGUACCUUUAUCCAUCCGGGGGGAUAAAGCUAGAAAAAGUGGAGAUUUGACGGGUGCUUGUUCCCCUAUCACGCUUCCCGUGACUGUCAGGUUAGGUGGGAGCAUGGCAGACGCAUUAAAUGCCCUAGCUUCCAUACCCGCAACAGGCGGUGGAGGAUGCUUUUGCGCUCGAGGCUCAUUGAUUCGCUCGAGCUACUCCCAUAUUCGACGAUCGCUAGCUAUCGAGCCCCUAUCGAUUCGUAGGACCCUAUUUUCGUGUUUGAGGCCACGAUCGACAUGAGACCUUGUGAUUGCGUAUUUAUGUCGGAGCGUCGAGUCGGAGCCUCGAUUUGUUUGUGAAUCCUCACGUUAUGAGUAUCGGCUGGGAUACCCGCUAUUGACAUCCUCGACAAUUAUAGAGCACCAUUAUUACAGGGAAGUGAUUGCAUGUUCAUGAUCUUUCUUGCUAAUAUCACUAUGCAUAGAUAUAACCUUUUCUUGUGCUGAUGCAAAGUAUAAUUGCACUAAUCAAUGUAUGCUUUAGCAGUAUAGUUAGAAUACUUAGGAUUUAUUCUUGUAGAUCGUCCUAAUACCAUGCUAGUGUUAUAGACUUAGACUAUUCUAUUGACAUGAUUAUUAUAUUUAUAAGGCUAUGUUGACGGUGGUUAACGUCAACCUUCAUUAGAACUUUAGACCCAAAAGAAAACAUGAAAACACACUAGUCUAGGGUUUUAACCGACCGUUUCCACGAGUUUUGCAUAUUCUGUAUUUUCCAGGGUUUAUUUCAAAAAAGCUGAAAAGAGGGAUUCAAGUGCAAAAUAAACAUGAAACUUAUCUGUGACGCAACAACACCGGCAAUGGGAUCAGGAAGGCUCCAGAAGACACCCGAAGCAGCGGGACCGACAAAGGCCACCACGUGGAGCCGGCCGGUCCCACCAUGGCGUCGACCGUCUCCUAGGGUUAGGGUUUGCGUGCCCCCUUCCAGAAGCUUCCUCCACUGCCUCCCAUAAUGCAUCCUAGCCCUUGGAUCAGUCGGUUUGAUCCUGCGGCGCACGUGCACUCCAUUAGGCUAUAAAUAAAGAGGCAGACCCCCCUGAGGGAACCAAUUCAUUCCUCCUGCUUCAUUUGUCAAGAGUAGUCAGAAGUUAGGGUUUCUAGAGAUUAGAAACAGAGCUCUAGUUCUUCAUGUUCUUAGUAUAGGCGUCUAGCAAGAUUCAAGUAGAGAUCAGGUGCUCCGCUCAGGAUUCCAGAUCUGUCUUCUAGAAAUUGGUAAUAUUAUCAUGUAUUUCAUUAUGACUUUGCUCUACUUUAAUAUAUUGCUAUUUAUUUAGUUCUUAGUUUAUUGUUGUUGCAUAUUCGAUAUAGAUGUGGUUUAUGAUGAUUAUCGUUAUAUGAUCGUAAAGCACCUGAUUCAGUACUUGAGUGAGUCAGGUGGUGCGCAUUAUGUAGAUGUUGUGUCUAGAUAUAUUGUGUACCUACAGAGGCACCAUGAUGUGCCGGGUCGUGUGGUAGUCCACGUAGGUGAUAGCUGCGUUGGUUCCUCUGUAGUUGACCCCCCAUACGUAGGACUAGCCAAGCAUGGUCACGAAGGAGGUGACCCUUGUGUCUUAGUAUCCUCAUUAGUUGAUGCUCCUUAUGAUGUCUUCUGAGUUUAUCAUGGUAUAGAUGAAGAUGUGUAGCAUGGCGUAGGCUUUAUCCUUUAUAUUAGUAAUUUCAUAGGUUUUCUUUAUUCUAACUGAAUCUCGAGAUUGCUUUACUACAUUAGUUAGUCUCUAUUUUCUAUCUCUGGAAUACCAUUUAUCUCAUUUACUCAAUUAUCAUUUAUCAUUUAUCAUACUGUUGACUAGUUAUCACUAAAACAUUUGUGCAAUUGGCUAUGAUAGAUUUACAUAAUUUCUUUAAUGCUUAUAAUAUUACCUAAGCCUAAUGAAUAGAAUGUUGCUUUAUCCUUUUGGCAUAAAAUUAAUCAACAAUACUCAAAAUACUUCCUGGGUGAAAUGCUACAACAGGAGAAUUAUCUGUGCGCUUGCAGAUAUAUUCUAUUUAGAGUCAUUGCGUAUAGAUUAUUUUUAUCCUUGAUUUUUGGCAUCAUGUUAGGGAUGACAACUUAAUAUGAAGUGAUGUUAAAAAUACCAACAAGCAUUUCUGGCGCCGUUGUCGGGGACCGAAAAUUUUAUUUAUUAGGAUAACUUUAAAAGGAUUUACCGAUUAGCCAGGAUUUAUACACUUUCUAGAAAUUUCAUACGAGUAAAUAUUUCAUAGAACCAUAUAUAGAAAACCAAACAUUUAAAUAUAUCUAGGACAUAGCCUUUUGCUUUAGCAGACUUACCAAAGUUUUAUGUAGCAAUUUUUUAUAGGAUAAGAGCAGGAUUGGUUGUAGUAUUUUAACCCUUAUCAGAAACAACCAUAGGAAGAAGGUUCUUACAUUAUUUUGAGAAGCGAUGGCUGAGAAGACUCUGCGUGAAUUCUCUGCUCCAAGCACCGAGAAUACUCACGUGGGUCCAACUUUUGACCUUGGAGAAUAUGAUUAUGAGAUCAAGCCAAGCCUCAUCAAAAUGGUGCAAGUUAUCAUAUUUAGUGGAAAGAAGGAUGAAGAUGUCAUUGCCCAUUUGUAGAAUUUUCUAGAGAUUAUACCAUUCACAUUCAAGGCAUUCCUCAAGAUGUUGUGCUACUUCACUUGUUUCCUUUCUCAUUAGAGGGAAGUGCGAAGCAGUGGUUUUAUCAGAGUAAAGAUCAAUUCAAGACAUGGGCAGAAUGUUCGAAAGCUUUCCUAGAGAAGUUUUUCCUAAUAGGCCAAACGAAUAUCUUACGAGAGAAGAUUUUGGAAUUUCAUCAGCAGAAAGGUGAACCUAUUCUAGAAGCAUGGGAGCGUUUUCAAGGAUACAUAUCAGACUGCCCGCAUCAUGGAAUGGAGAAGUGGUUGCUCAUGCAAAUAUUCUAUCAUGGACUAACCCAAAGGUCAUGUGAGCAAUUAGAUGCCACUAUGGAAGGAUCAUUUAUGUCACUCACCCCUAGAAAAGCUAAAGCUAUUAUGGCAAAGAUGGUAGAAAAUCAAAAUUAGACAUUCAACACUCAGACAUAUCAUGAAAGUGAAGAAGUUCUAGAGGAGUUGUUUGCACUAUCAACCAAGAUGGAUGUAUUAUUGAGCUAGCCAAAGCAGUGGGAUAAUUAUAAAAGAAAUUGUCAAGCCAUUCAAGAUGCAUUCAAAUCUCAAGAUCAAUAUGAAGAAGAUAUUAGUGCAAUCAUUAAGAAACAACGAUGGAGUCAACCUCAAGCAACAAGCCAAGGUAAGUAUCAAAGUAAUUACAAUUCAAAUCAAAGCCAACCACCCUUGAUAGAAUUAAUAUUAGAACAACCUAGAAUUAAUGAGAGUAUUUAUAAGAAGCUUGCUUUUAAUGAUAAAAUGUUAGAAGGAAUUAAUUCAAAAUUGGACAAUUUCUCUUGUAAUACCCGAUUUUAAGAACAAAAUCAAAUAUGCAACAUAUGUGAGUCUUAGAAGCCAAACCUCACAUAUAGCUACAAAUAAGGGGUAAUAUCAAAAGACAAUGCAUAAAUAUAUAGUGUACUUAGUAUAAAAGAGAUAACCUUUGGUACCAAACAGCGGAUAGACAACUCCAAACUUCGGGUAUUAACUUCACUCUACAGGAUUCCAACUGACUGGUUGAUCACAAGCCUAAACUUCUCCUGAGGUUUGGGGGAAAUAACAAGAGUGAGUCCAUGUCGAACUCCACAAAUAUAGCAACAAGGUUGUAUGAUCCCACAAACUCAUCGUCAAUGUGACAUAAAUAAUGUAAAGCAUUAAACAAUAAAUAAUGAGUAUCUUAACACAACAAGAAUCAUCACCAUUAAUGUAAGAAUCCCCAAAGCCGCUCCUGACCGUGAGCUCAGCUAGUAUACCAGUUUUAACACUCUGCGGAGGUUGUACAUCUUUACCCAUGAGUCAUGAUUUACCCUUUGGCCCGAGGUAGCUAAUCUCUUAACCCCCUUCCUAGGGAGGUCGGCAGGGAUCACUAUGACGUCUUUUAAAGGUUCAUCUAACAAGUUAGGUCCACUUGGUUUCAUUAGUCAGUCCGUGUGAUCCACCCGCAGGAAUCCACGGUCUGCUAUUCCCCAAUUGCGCCACACGGGUAACCGCUAAUGAGCUAGAAAAGUUACUCAUACUUGACUUAAGCCAGAGCCAUUAUAGCCCUCAUAGUUACACUAUUGUCCCAGUUAUCACUUACAGAUAAAUCAUCAAGUUGCUAAAAAGUCAUUUUUAUCGUUUGUUACUUAACAUUAAUCUAGUCACCUGAUCAUGGUCACAAAAAUAAAAUCCAAAUGCUAUACUUGCCUUAAACUAGUUGCUCUUGCUGAUCCUUUAGGUUCUGCUGGUCUUGUUGCCAAUGCUCUGAUCUUGAUCACUGAAGUAAUGCUCACCGUCUAAUCUCGAUCAUCAUUCAUCAACACACAAACAAUCGGUGACAACAUACACGAAGCAAAUAAGGCUACAAUUAGAACAGUACACCAAUCAUAUAAAAACAGUAGGAAAAGUUUAUAAAAUGAUUCUACGCAGCGCUACGAUCACACAGACGUAAAGAUCACGAAAAUCAGAGUUAAAAGAGAGAAGAUAUGAAUUUUGUAAGAUUUCCUAUAGAAAAGUAAUUAAUUACACAGGGUCAUGAGAUUAAAAAGUUUCAAACUAGUGAAUAAAGUUUACUAACAUGUAGAUCUCGCGAAGACGAACUUAACGCAAUUUGAAUGGACCAAAUCGAAGUUAAAAUAAAUAUUUUAUGGCCAAAAGAAAAUCAGUGGCAAACUUGUAAUUUGCUGAAAACGUAUUUUGAAAUGACCUGAGACAGUUUACGUUUUCAAAACAGCAAAACGUAUUUUCCGAAGGCGUAAAGGACUACGGGUUUGAUUCUUAAAAAUUUCAGGGGCUCUUUAGCAACUUUUACCCCGAAGGGUAUCUUCUAAUCGUGACCAUUGAUUUAAGAUCGGAAGGCUCAGGAUCAAUCCAAGGAGGGAAGAGGGGCUCCACGGCCGGAAUAGUGCUUCCGACACGGCGGUCCUCCAUUGCCGGCGCUAGAAACUCACCGGAGACCAUGGGGAAACACAGUAGAGUGCACCAAACUCAAAUCUGAGAACAUGCGGAGCACGAGGGGAUUACCGCGAGCUCACCUAGGGGAAAAACGAAGGCAAGGGGGUCUCGAGGAAGUCUGGCAACACAGGAUGGCGAACAACGGGUCCCUGCAAGGUUCGGUGAACAUCUGAGAAGGGUAGGGGCUGGUAGAGCAUUCGGAAAGAGGACCAGGAGCUUCCUUACCAAGUAGUGAAGCUCGGCCACUGCUGAAAUUCGACGGCCCGACAAUGCUUUGCGAGUUACACGGCAGUGGCUCUUGCUCUGUUUGCGGUGAGAUCCAAAACGAGGAUCCUGGCGGCUAGGAGGCUCGGGGUGCUGCCCAUACGGGAAAAAGGGAGUUGCUGAAGAGGGCACAAAGCUUUAUUGCGACUUGGGGCGUGUAUUGGCGAAGAAUCCCGGGAAGUAUGAGAUUUUGGAGGCCUCGGUGCUGUGAGUCCUAUCCGGCCACGAUGAGGAAGAAAGGGAGGGGAGGGAGGAAUCUAACGUGUGGGACCGAGGUGGCAGCGAGACACAGGAGGGUGCGGGGCAGGCUGGUCUUGGCUUCUGGGCCAGUUGCGCGCACGCUGGGCCACGGGAGAAGGAGAACGUGCUCCGGCCCAAAUGAGAAGGAGGGAGGGCGCGGCGCUGGCUGGGCCGCGUCUGCUCGCUGGGCCAAGACCGCGAGGGGGAGAGGGGGAGCCGGUUGGGCCACUGGGAAAGAAGAAAGGGGAGGGGCCCAAGGAAAAGAAAAACAGGCCGAGCGGGAGGGUUUAGCUGGGCCUUCGGGCCAGAAUCAGGGAGAGGGAGAGUUUCUGUUUUCUUUCAUUUUUCUUUUAUUCCAAAAUCCAUUUGAAACUCAUUUCAAAAUCCUUUUAAAUCAUUUUGAAUUUUGUGUUCAAAUACACUCAUCACAAUCAAUAAAAUGCCACGGUAUGCAUGCUCAAACACAUUGCUAACUCCUAUGAUAAUUUUUAUCUAAUGAAAAAUAUUAUUUUCCUAUAUUUUCAUGAGCACUAAAAUGCAAAAUUAAAUUAUUUUUCCUCUGUUUCCAAAGAUCAAAUUUUAGGGUGUUGUUGGGUAUUUUAAACGCAAACAGAAAAAUCCGCAAGCGCACGGAUACCGAUGUUGCUUUCACCCGGGAGUAUUCUAGAGUAUCGAUUUUCCACAGGGAACGUGAGUGUACUAACUAAGAUUCAAGAUCGCCCAAGGAUAACUAUAUAAUUAUUUUUGCUGAGAAUAGAGGAAGUUUCCUAAGAGUUCUCUAAUUGAACUAAGAAUCAAGAAUUACUUUAAAGUUUAUUUAUUUCGGGACAUCAGAACACUUACCACAGAAAGAGAUGAGAAGGGGGCUAGGAAGCUAUGACUACGGUCCAACAAACACCGAUCCGAACGAGGUGGAAUACGUCGACCGUUAGGACUGUCACUACCCUAGGGCUACCACAACAAUCCGCAGGAUUGGGUGCAAUUCCAGGUAAUUGCAAGACUAAACACCACGUCUAAUCUAUUAAUUACUACUCUAGCGUUUCAAAGACUAAAGCACUUGAUGCAAGCGGGAAUCCAAUAAAUAACUUGAAUGUAAAUAAAAGUAAUUAAAGAACUCAGGAAUUAAGAAUUAAAGAACUUGGAGAACGAUGAAGAACGAUCCAGAUGCUGCAAAAGUUCAAUGUUGAGGAAGAUCCGACAGAUCCGGCUCCUCCUCCGCUCUCCUCUUCUCUCUCCCUAUUUUCUAGAUUACAACUAGAACUAACUAGAACUAGAACUAGAUGAACUAGAACUAGAACCAGAUGAACUAGAGGGAUCCUCUCUACUUGGAUGAAUAAUUGAAACCCUAGCUUUGAUUCUGUAGAAGAGGUAUGUCCUCUAGGGGCCAGGGGGCCCGCUUAUAUAGCCCCUCCAAAUGAAUAUGGGCCGUCGGAUCAAACCGACCUUAAUCGCACGGUUUUCCUUGAUCCUCAAAGGUGGUGGAGCAUGAUCCGCGAGACCUGCCCCGAUUGGUCACUAGGGCAGGGCGGACGCCCAAGGGGGGAUGGCGGGCGCCCAGCCCCCGGGCUCACUCGGCCUCCCACUCGUUCCCGUGGCUUCUGGACUCUUCUAGGUGUUGGAUAAUUGCGGUGCACGUUAAUAUCUCUAUGUAAACCCGACGUGUGGACCUUUCCUCCAUAUUUCCUCAUACCCCCCUGCAAAAAUAGACAAACACCAAAACUCGUAGAAUUCUGUCAGAUGAAACCCUAAUUUUGGAUGUUAGUUGCAUAUAGGUCCUUUUCCAUGAUUAUUUGACGGUUAAAUGUGAGCAUUAAGGACCGUCAACAAGCUCCCCCAAGCUUACCUCUUGCUCGUCCCUAAGCAAGGAUGGACUCAAGAGUUUAUGCAGUGGUUUCAUGCCUUAAAGGUACACAUGCGUUCAAACAAGAUCUCAUCUCUGGGUUAGGGUAAACUACUAAGAUUUAAAUUUACUCUUCCACCAUGGGGCUUGCAACCGUCACUUGUGUCUUGAGCAGUUAAAAGAUAGAAUGAUCUAGUCAAGCGCCAUGUCUCUUGUUCUUCGAUUAACUAUAGCUCUGGAGUUUUUGCAGAUUUUCAAAUAGAACUCAGAUAUUCCUUGUAUGACUCUCUCGAGUAUCUCUUUUGUGGUAUUUCUGGAUCCUUACCAAGGCAGUAAUGGUGUAUCCCUUCUCUCAAAGUAUGUGGUAUUUUUGGUAUGAGGCAUAGUGGCAUUGCCUUCUCUGUCACCCUACUCUAAUAAGGUUUUGAUAUCUGGAGCUCAUAGGUGGGAGACAACUAAUACAUACUUACAAGAAAUUUAUUGCAUAGUCAAACUAUGGAUCUAGAAGAACAAGUCAAUAAGUCAAAUCAAGAUGUGCAUGUGUGGCGAAUGAAUGGUGAUAAUGGUGAAAAUAAUGGUGAAAGUCUAAUUCUACUUUUGCUCUUUUGAGGGGGUACAUACCUUCCUUGCACUUGAGGCUUUUGAGGGGAAUGAGGUGCUCUAUAUUUUAGUUUUUUCUCUCAGGUGGGUAUCUUGUACCCCUAAUUCUACUAUCGGACACUUGUCCAUUUUUGUCUCUCGUCUCACUUUUUCUUCUUUUUUUUCUCUAAGGUUUCGGGCACUUGCCCCUUUUUAUUUCCUCGUAUUCACUUUUUUUUAGAGCACUCACCCUCCUGGAAUAAUGUAGCAAGUGGUAGUAACCAAAAUAUCUCGAGCAUUUAUUUCACGGGGAAUAAUAGGGAUAGGAUAAUGUUUUUGGCUAUUCUCACCUAGAUAGGAGUAGAAUAAUUUUGGGUGAAUCUGGAUAUGGAAAUGAGUGGAUGUAUGUGGAUGCUUACUUCCAAGGUAGAAGCAGCAUGUAUGAGUGAACAUGCAAGUGAAUCUUGAUUUUAACCACAUGACAAGCUCCUAAGGGUCUACACAGCUUGACCACACUCAAUGCUCAUAAGCAGUAAAAAGUAAAUGUAUGGUUCAUAGUCUAAUAAGCAUGUAUAUAUGGUUGUGGUAGGAUUUUAAACUCUCAUCGUACAGGAACUCAUCAUGCAACAUUUUAAAGAUUUUCAAAGAUAAAAUUCUCCAAAAUUCUAGCAUCUCUAGGAACAGAUAAGCAGUAGCUCAACCUUCCCAUAUCAUAUCCGUUAAUGACUUAGACUUUAGAUCAAGUACUCUUCCCACAAGUUCAGGUUUAGAGCAAAUCUUAAUUAAUAACAGUCAUGCCUGAACUUGAGAGAGAUUUCAAAUUUGAGAACUAGUCAUAAACACAAAAUCUUUAUUUGGGUUUUGAUGAUUAUGCAUCUUUUUAUUAUUUGAGUAAAGUAUAAACGUGAGUAGAACACUUAGCUGGACAAAUGGGGGUGCUCUCCCUCAAGCUGGAUUUUGACGUAAUUUCUUCUGAUGUAGCUAGCCGAUGGCGGAGGUGUAUUGGAAUGUUGGCAACACCCUGACAGCGAUUAGGAUGUCUUCCGUCUACUAGUCUUCUUUGAUCCUUGAAUUAUGUGGAGCUCUAAUAGACAACAAAGCUUUGUGGAUCUGGUUAAGUGUUAGAAUAAAAUCUCUUAGCCGUUAUCAUGUUGAACUUCCUCUAAUAAAUAUUACUCUCUUUGGUAGGAUCAUUAAUUUAUUUUUAUAUUUCAUUUCUAUAGGACAGGAAUAUAUUUAUUUUAUUUUCACGCCACCACAGUGAAUGUACUUAUGAGUUUUAUGCCCUGAGCAUACUCACAUGGGGCUUACUUUUUUUAACAGUUUUUAUUUUCUUUUCAAGAUAGCAUGAUUAACUAACAAGCCAUUUAAUGAAAGUAAAUAAUUUAAGAGAAAAGGGAAUGCAGAUAGGAUAAAUAUGGAUAACUACCGAGUUUACCUUUCGACAAGGGUUCAAUGUUUUAAGUCUUCCGAACAAGACUUCUCCGUUUUCUCAGUCGUCCUAGGAUUCGUUGGAUGGCGUAGUCGGUGGUUCCGGCGGCGCUUCCUCUUCGUGUAUAACUAUCUUCUCUCUCCACACCUGACUCGGUGCUACGGUCUCCUCAGGACAGUACUCUUCAAGCUGUAUGUCUUCAGACCUUACCACUUCUCCUUCGUAGUCUGCCCAUCCGUCCUUGAUGAUUUGGCUCCUCUGGUUGCGGUUGCGUCGUCUUCUUCUUGUCCUGACCUGCUUAGAGUCUUCAACUAUAUAGUUAGGGUCAGUAAAAUAGCGGCGUACCUUUUCAGAGGGGAAGUGCAUGUGGACUUCUCCGGUUCCAAUGUAGAUGAUUGCUUUAACGGUGUUGAGGAACGGUCUCCUAAGGAUGAUGGGUGGAUCGUACUCGUCUUCUCCCAUGUCAAUAACCUGAAAAUCUGUAUGGACAAAAUGAUCGUCUAUUUUGACAGGGACAUCAGUUACUAUACCUUCAACCUUUCGGAAUCUCUGAUCUGCCAUCUGGAGCUGAAUGUAUGUCGGUUUUAGGGGCAUGGUUCUGAACAUGAGCUGAUAGGUGACUGCGGCCAUUAUGUUGACGCCCGACCCGGUGUCGCAAAGCAUAUUCUGGAAGUUGUAUCCAUCAAUGGAGCACUGGAUGCUUGGCAUACCUGGGUCGUCCUUUUUGGUUAGGAACGGUGACUUAAGUCGAUGAUCUUGACCUCCUUGAACUGCAGUGACCAUCUUAGCUGACUCGGUCCACAUUUGCUUGUUCCUGUUCCUCCUGUUGGUCCUCUUCCUUGGUUCAUGUCGGGAUUGCUCUGAGAUUUGUGUAGUCUUGUUCUUCAAGGAAAACGUGUCCUUCCUCCCCUUGAUGUAGAAACUAAUCUUGGUAGCACUAGCGUAGAUGACAGCUCCCGAGGUGUUUAGGAAUGGCCUCCCUAGGAUGAUGGGUGCCCUCUCAUCAGUACCAGUCUAUAUCACCAAGAAGUCUGUUGGGGCGUACAAGGUACCAACUCGUACGUAGAGGUUCUUCAAUGUUCCCUUUGGGAAACUUAGUGUCCGAUCUGCAAACUGCAAAUACAUGGUUGUUUCUAGUAAAGGAUGUGUAAAGAAUUUUUCAUAGAGUACCCUAGGCAUAAUGUUGAUGCUGGAGCCAAAGUCGCAAAGUGCUUCUAGGAAGUCCACCAUGCCGAUGGAGAUCGGGAUGACGGGGCGUCCUGGAUCGCCUCUCUUGACCGGAAGAAGGUCAGUAAUUACUUCCACAAUGGGGUUACUCUAGUAGUUACCUGCACCAAACAUGUCUACAAGAUUUGCAAAUUCUAAUCCUUCCGGUUGUGAUGGUAUACCGGGGUUAGUAGCAGGAACAGUAGCAGCUAUUUGAUUUAACUGAGAUUCAAUCAUUUUAUUAAAGCUAAUUUGAUUCUUGAUGGCAGUAGAGAAAUUAUCCAUUCUAUUAUUUAUAUUUUCUAACAUUAUAUCAUUAGAUGCCAAUUUCUUAGAUAGGUUAUCCAUUAGCUUUCCUUGAUUAGACACUAACUCUCUCAGAGGUAGAAAAUUAUUAUUAUUAUUGUAAGAAUUAUUACCUUGAUAAUUACUUGAGUAUUUAGGCCUCUGUUGAUAACAACCUUGAUUUUGUUGAGGACGGUUGUAGUAGUAGUAGUAGUUGUUGAUGUAGUUUACGUCCUCAAGCAUCUCAAGGCAGUGAUUACCUAAGUGUCCAGUAUCUCCAGUGUGUUUGUGCUCGUAGAUCCAAGUUCUUCACUUGGUGGAGUCUGGGAGUUGUAAAACUCCUUCAUAUUUUGCUCGAAGUGUAUCUGCUCAUAGAGACAAGGCAGAGAUCAAGUGCAUGGGCUAUAUUGGUGGAAAACACCAACAGAACGAAAAGUGUAUUUGUUCUUUUCUAACCUUAAGCAUAGUGAGCAAGACGAAGUUGAUGGAUAAUAAGAUCAUGAGUGUAGCAUUUAAAACAUUUGUUAGAUCAGAUCGCUCAACCUAAUGGAAAGAUAAUCUAUCUAUACUUAUGUUUUUUAUAUAUCUUCCAAUGAUUACGUAUGCAACAUUUUAGCUCAUAUGAUUAGGAGUGUGGGAUCACAAAGGUGGAAGGACUAAACAUAUUGAAUCGAUUGGGUUGGUUAAUCUAUAGUUGUAAAUCAUACAUGUUUGUCUCUUUUAUUCAUGUGAACCCCAGAACCAAGGAGAAGCUUAUAAAAGUGAUAGUCAAGUACCUUAAGAUGUUACCUUACUUGAAGAGUGAUGGUACAUUAUCACCUUGUGGAAGCUUUCCUUUCUUAGCGGUUGUGCAUCGUGUUUGUGGCACCCUCCAUGGAUCAUCUCUUAUGAGCUAUGUCUUCCUUGUGUAAAUUGUUAAACUUCAUGUGUCUCUCUCUUUGUCUCCAAUGUGGGUUUAUCUCAGGACUUCCCAGGUCGAUAUUGAAAGUUUUCCUGCAGGGGUUAGUCCAACAAAAUAUCCAAUAUCUACUAAAGUAUACUAUCGCGUCAAAAAUCAACCUAGACACCAUGUCUAAUUUGAUUUAGGUGGGCAUUUUAACCUAAGCACCAUGCUUAAUUUAAAAUCCCUUGGAAGUAAGAUUAUCAUUCCUAAACUAAGCACCAUGCUUAAUUAAGAGAUAAAUGAAACUACUCCAAACCUAGACAUAUACUAAAGCAAAUAAAGGUAGCAUGAGAGCAUUCAUAGAGAUCUACUCAAGUGGAGAUGAAGUAGUGUGAUUAGUACUUAACAAAUUGAGCAUGUCCCAAAGGUAGGGAUAACCAACAUAGCAACAUGGCAAAGGAUGUUUUUAUCUAAAGUACUCCCCAAGCUUGAAUUUUGCAAAAUUCAAGUUUGGAUGAAUUUAAUUCAAUGUUGUAUGAUGAUUGGUUGGACAUACCUUUAGUGACAAGAAUACCCAAAGGAAUUUUUUACAAUUAUCCUUAUAUGCUCGAUACACAAGGUAAUGUUGCAAAUAAUUAAAAGCUCAUGUUACAAUCUAAUCAGUGCUUAUUUUAGGACACUAAGCUUGUCCUUGGGAAACCAUCAAUUUAUGUCGGCGAAGUAGUUUCCCCUCCAACGCUGACCUAUAUCAACUCAACAAGAUCUGCAAUAUUUAUUAUAGACAUAUGCAUCGACAACCGCCCUAUUAAAGUUUUUAUAAACAGAAAGGAAGAGGAGGUUGGAGAUCUCGAAUGUGGUGAUGUUUGAGAGACCAAUAGAUUUGGAAGAUGUUGCAUAUGAGCAUGGAGUAAACGAAGUGGCUAUGAAGUAAAUUCCAUGCUCAUUAAUGUUUGGAGUGAAAUCCAUGUGGUAUGGUGAAAAUGGUAAGCUGAGUGUGGUAAAAAAGGAAAAUAAAAAGGAUACAUGGACAACUUGGUUCGAAACUAGCACAGCUACCGUUCCCCAGCAACGGCGCCAGAAAGCUUGUUGGGUAAUUUAAACGCAAACAGAAAAAUCCGCAAGCGCACGGAUACUGAUGUAGCUUUCACCCAGGAGUAUUCGAGAGUAUCGAUUUUCCACAGGGAACAUGAGUGUACUAAUUAAGAUUCAAGAUCGCCCAAGGAUAACUAUAUAAUUAUUUUUGGUGGAAAGAGAGGAAGUUUCCUAAGAGUUCUCUAAUUGAUCUAAGAAUCAAGAAUUACUUCAAAGAUUAUUUAUUUCGGGACAUCAGAACACUAACCACAGAAAGAUAUGAGAAGGGGGCUAGGAAGCUCUAACUACAGUCCUACAAACACCGAUCCGAACGAGGUGGAAUAUGUCGACCGUUAGGGCUGUCACUACCCUAGGGCUACCACAACAAUCCGCAGGAUUGGGUGCAAUUCCAGGUAAUUGCAAGACUAGAGCACUUGAUGCAAGCGGGAAUCCAAUAAAUAACUUGAAUGUAAAUAAAAGUAAUUAAAGAACUUAGGAAUUAUGAAUUAAAUAACUCAGAGAACGAUGAAGAACGAACCAGAUGCUGCAAAAGUACAAUGUUGAGGAAGAUCCGACAGAUCCGGCUCCUUCUCCGCUCUCCUCUUCUCUCUCCCUAUUUUCUAGAUUACAACUAGAACUAACUAGAACUAGAACUAGAUGAACUAGAACUGGAUGAACUAGAGGGAUCCUCUCUACUUGGAUGAAUAAUUGAAACCCUAGCUUUGAUUCUGUAGAAGAGGUAUGUUCUCCAGGGGCCAGGGGGCCAGCUUAUAUAGCCCCUCCAAAUGAAUAUGGGCCGUCGGAUCAAACCGACCUUAAUCGCACAGUUUUCCUUGAUCCUCAAAGGCGGUGGAGCACGAUUCGCGAGACCUGCCCUAAUUGAUCACCAGGGCAGGGCGGGCGCCCAAGGGGGGAGGGCGGGCGCCCAGCCCCCGGGCCCGCUCGACCUCCCGCUCGUUCCCGUGGCUUCUGGACUCUUCUAGAUGUUGGAUAAUUGCGGUGCACAUUAAUAUCUCUAUGUAAACUCGACUUGUGGACCUUUCCUCCAUAUUUCCUGAUAACUGCCUGCAGAAAUAGACAAACACCAAAACUCGUGGAAUUCUGUCAGAUGAAACCCUAAUUUUGGAUGUUGGUUGCAUAUAGGUCAUUUUCCAUGAUUAGUUGACGGUUAAAUGUGAGCAUUAAGGACCGUCAAUAGGUGUUACAUCUCUCUAGUAGUUAAAAAGCAAAUAAUGUUCAAUAAAAAGGUAGAAUCAUAGAUUACACAUCUAGCUUCUACUUUGUCUGCACUAACGAUGAACAUAUUAAAGGAAUAUCUACUAGAGGAGGUAAGGUUACAUGUGAUCCACCCUACUCAAAAGGGGCACAUAGACAAAGAAGCUGGAAAGAACAAUAAAGAAAAAGAAGUUGAAGCACCUUCAUCAAUAGUUGAUCCACAAGAGCCCAAAUUAACGCAAGACUUCCACGAUACAGUUGACGGUCCUUAAGUACUAAAUUCAACUAUCAACUAAACAUGGAAAAGGAUCAAUAUGCACCAAACACCUAGAAUUAGGGUUUUAUCUGACAGAAUUCCACGAGCUUUGGUGUUUGUCUAUUUCUACAGGGGGUCAUCAGAAAAUAUGGACAGAAGGCCCACAUGUCAGGUUUACAAUGAGAUAAUUAUGUACCGUGCAAUUUUCCUUAAUCUAGAAGAGUCCAGAAGCCACGUGAACGAACGGGAGGCCAAACGGGCCCAGGGGCAGGGCGCCCGCACAACCCCCUUGGGCGCCCGCCCACCUGCAGCAGCCAAUCAGGCUCCGUCUCCUGGAUCGUGCUCCACCGCCUUUAAUCUUCAAGAAUAACAGUGCGAUUAAUGUCGGUUUGAUCCGAUGGCCCAAAUUCAUCUGAGGUGGCUAUAUAAGCAAGGCCUCUCCACCCCAGGGGAAGAGGAGAAAUCAUUAUCAGAGGAAGCCAUCAAAGUUAGGGUUUAGAAUUUCUCUCCCACAGAGAAUUAGAAUUAGCUACUCCCAGUUCCUUCAAGUUCUAUAGGAUUGAUUAGAUAGAAUUAGAGAAGUAGAACCUAGUGCUCUGGAUUUCGGAUCUUCAUCAAUAAAGAUUGGUAUAAUUUCAUAUCUUUCUCUACUACUUUAUUCUAAUUGCAUUAUGUCUCUAUUUAUUAUGCUCUUAGUUUGCUCUAGUUCUAUAUUUGAUAUAGUUAUGAUUGAUAAUGAGUUUAUGUAUAAGUUUGCAAAGCGCUUAGCUCUUGACUCCAGGAAGCUAAGUGGUAGAUCAUAUGUGGGCGUGGUGCUUAGAUAUUAUUUACCUGCAAAUGUAUCCUAUUGGCCGGGUCGAGUGGUAGUUCCCGAUGGUGACAACUUUGUUGAUUCCUAUAUAGUCCACCCUCCGUUGAUAGGACAGGCAUAAUUUGUAUUGCGGAGUAAGUCUUGCUAUGUUCUGAUUUACUUUAGGAAUGUUCCUUAUACAUGAAUAAAGAGUCUUUUAUAAUAUAUAUGAUCUUGUAGAUAACUAGAGUAGAUUGUGACUUAGUAGAUAGUAGAUACUCAGAAUCCAUUCUCUAGCUAAUCCGACGUCAUCUUACAUUUAUGUGGAGUAGUCUAUUUCUAAUCGCUGUGUUAUUUACCCAUGAGCUUAUAUUUCACUAUCUUUAUUAUUAUGGCUUACCCCCGGCCAAAGCAAGUGACUGUGUGACGAGUUCCUCAUUAGUAAUCAUGUUAUUGCAAGUUUAUCUCUAAUCUAUGCCUUGAUAGAUUUUACUCCUGUUUUCACUUUCGCCAUUCUCUUAAGCAAAAAUAUAAAUAACGAUACCCGGAAUACUUUUCCUGGUGAAAUUCUACAAUGAGAUAUUUUAUCUUUGCGCUUGCGGAUAGAAUAGAUUAUUUUCUAGAGAGCCUCCAUAUUCAUAAAUACCUUUGUACACUCUGGCUCCAUGCUGGGGAUGACAACCUAGUAUUUAAGUGGUGUUAGUAAGUGUCAACAAGUAUUUCUGGCGCCAUUGUCGGGGAACGGUAAAGAAAGUCAGGAAUUCAGUCAAGGUUAUUCACAUAAAAAUAUUAGACUAGACUAUGGAGAAAUAAUUGCAUAAACAGCUACUAAAUGAGAAAUCAUAACAAGGCACCUCUGCUUUGGCAGGUUCACCCUGUUGUUUUUCUAUGUUUAUAUUUUUAUAUAGGUGAUAUCAGGAUUGACUUUGGUACAUUCAACUCUUCAUCAUCAGAAGCAAAGCAAUCAACAAAGAAAGAAGAAGCUACCUACCAAUUGCUGAAGCUAUGGCACAAAAGACCUUGCGAAAAUUCUCUGCUCCAAGUCUUGAGAACAUUCCAACUGGUCCAAGAUUUGCAGUAGAAGAAGGAGCACCUGAGUUCGAGCUCAAGUCAAGCCUCAUCAAUCUGGUACAAGCUUCACAAUUCAGUGGGAAUCCACAUGAAGAUACUAGUGCACACUUGCAGAAUUUCUUAAAGAUUGGAAGCACAAUCCGCAUCAACGAAGUCAACAAAAACAUCGUACUGCCUCACCUUUUUCCAUUCUCACUAGAAGGGAAGGCGAGGAAGUGGUUCUACACCCAUCAAGAUAACAUCAACAACUGGACGAACUUGUCAGAUGCCUUUCUAUCAAAGUUUUUCCCUAUAGGCAAGACAGCUGCCUUAAGAGGAAAUAUUGUCAGUUUCCAACAACAGAAGACAGAAACCAUUCCAGAAGCAUGGGAGCAUUUUCAAGGAUACAUAUCAGAUUGUCCUCACCAUGGAAUGGUCAGAUGGUUACUUAUGCAAACCUUUUACCAUGGAUUAACCCAAAAAGCUCAUGAGUGCCUAGAUGCAUCUGCUAAGGGAUCAUUUUUGGAGCUUACAAUUGGAAAAGCAGAGAUACUUUUGGAUAAGAUAUCAGAAAAUCAAAGCUGGUUCCAAGAUAAAGCUCAACAUUGUCAUCAAACUGAAAAAAUAUCAGAAGAAGUAAAUGCACUAUCAACCAAGAUGGAAAAUUUGCUCCAUUGGAUUGACCAGAGGGCCAAGUUCAAAGAAGAUCAAAAGGCCAUUGAGACAGCAUACAAAUAUCAACCCACUCCGAGUCAACCCAAUAGCAAAGGUAUGAAUUCAGGUAACACUUUCAAGCAACUUUCAUUAAAAGAGAUAAUUGCUCAACAAACCAAAACUAAUGAUGAAGUUAAACAAAGGCUAGAUACAAAUGGAUCAUCUCUAAAAGAUAUAUACAAUAAAAUGAAUUUUCUAUUAACUGCCUUUGAUGAGCAAAACACUCUUAAUAAAAGGGUAGAGCUUAAAUUAAUAAAGCUAGCUGCUGCAUUGCCUGUUGCCACUAACAUUGAGCAGGUAAAGAACAUAACUACUAGAGGAGGCAAAGCCACCAGGGAUCCCCCAUACCCAACAGAGAAACAGAGAACAUCAGCACCAGUGCAACCAGUGGUGAUAGAAGAAGAAAGCCCCGUUGAAGCAGAAGAUCUGCUACAACCACCAAGAGCUGGAGAAAUGAGGAAAGAUUUUCACGAAACUAACUAUUUGCCAUUUUCCAGAAGAAACAGAGGACUGCAGUCGGAUGAGCAGUUUGGUGAGUUUGUAGAGGUCAUUCAGAAAUUAUAUGUCAACAUACCUCUACUUGAUGCCAUACAGGUACCCACAUAUGCAAAGUACAUCAGAGAUAUUAUUAACAAGAAGAGACCACUGCCCACCACUAAGGUUAUCAAGGUGACAGAAGAAUGUAGUGCGGCCAUCCUUAACAAACCACCAAGGAAGAAGAAGGAUCCAGGAUGUCCCACCAUUGAUUGCUCGAUCGGAAACCAACACUUCAAUAAUGCACUUUGUGAUCUCAGAGCAAGUGUUAGUGUGAUGCCAGCAUCAGUCUACAAGAAGCUUGAGCAUACGACCCUAGAACCAACAUCAAUGUGCCUGCAACUAGCAGAUCAAUCAGUUCGACACCUGAUGGGCAUCGCUGAAAACGUCCCAGUCAAGAUAAGAGAUUUCCUUGUGCCAGUAGACUUCGUGGUACUGGAUAUGAGUCCCGACUCAAAAGUGUUCAUUAUCCUUGGAAGGCCAUUUCUGAGCACUGCCAAUGCCCACAUUGAUGUCGGGAAGGGAGAAAUCAAGUUCAACAUAAACGGACAAGAAGAACACUUCACAUUUAAGCCCAGACCAGAGAGAGACUCUACAGUGAAUGAAGUUCAUGAAGAAGAACCACUGGAGACACCAUCUCUGGAGGAAGGUAAUUCAGAAUAUUAAAAUAUUUGGAGGUCCAGCCUGGGGGACCUAAAAAUCCCAAACCCUCGCCGGGAGGUAAAUCGGUAUUUAUCCACAUCAUUUAAAUUCUUGCAUAAUUAAUUGUUGCAUUAUCCAUAUUUAUUCAUAGCAUUAUAUUCAAAAGCCCCAUUUAAAUAAUAUUUAUGGUGUGUAACAACCCAUAUUUAUUAAUUAUUGUGGAGGCGCAAAAAAAUAUUUUUCCAUGAUCAUUUUCCAUAAGUUUCAAUUCUCAUAGUUUUUCCUGCAUUAUAUUUAAUUAUAGCAACCUUUUAGAAGCAUGACCCACACUCCUUGGGUCCCACAUGUCAUACACCAAUCCUCACAUAUAUGUCAUCACAUUAUUUGAUCCACCAAGAUAUCCUCACCAGCAUUUUUCCACCAACCAACCACCACCCAUGAGUCAUUUUUUGGCGUAAAGACUAAUCAAAGGAGGGAGUAGAGAAAGGGCAGCCAGGAUAGCCACCAGAAGAGGGCACCUGCCCAAUUACAGAGGGCGCCCGCCCUGUCCCCCCUUCCUCCUAUAAAUUGCCACUUCCUACCUCCAUCUCCAUCACAUAAGCAUUCUAAAAAACCCACGCACACGUCAGUUCUCGGUUUCUAGAGGAGGAGCUCUGGUAGUGAAGUAAGAAGGAGAGUAUAGGAGAAGAGAAGAGAAGAGUAGCCUGGGAGUAAGAGAGCAAGGUUUAUUAUUAAGUAGUGAUCCUGCUAUCCAAAGUGGAAUUAAAAGUUGUAUAGGGGGAAGUGUUGCCAAAAUUAAAACUUGUUUCGGACGACUAACCCCUGGACGACUCAUAUUUCGGAUAGCUGACCUUUAACAUUUUCCACUAGUUGUAUUUGUGUCAACUUUUGUUUACAAGAUAUUCAAGAAGGUAAAGAACGUGGGAAAGACCCUCAAGAGCAUAGGUACUAGGAGUUCAUCCCGACACUCCUCACACCCGUCAGAGAUGAGCAUCGACCCGACGCCCCCGCAAGCUCCGUCGUCUUCGUCAGGUACACGAGUCAAGGUCCUCCUCAAGACAGGAGACCUUGGACUGAAGACCCGCAGGGAGAAGGAAGUUUUCCAGCAGCUAAAGAACAAGGAUUUCAUUCACACCCCCACUCUUGAUCCUAUCCUGCUACAAGAAACAGGUAUGGAUACUGAAUUUGACUUGAUUUUCCAGAUGGUAGGAUGGACAAACUUUUGGGAUAUAACUGAGUUGGGUUCCCAUCUCCUCACCCUUGAAUUUCUUUGCACUUUGCAAUAUUAUGAGGGGGGAAUCGCUUUUUGGAUGUUCAAACAGGACAUUAUGUUGUCUUGGAGAGAAUUGAGCGACCAUCUCGGUUUCUCUUCAAGAUGCAUCCUGGGCAUUGACUCCGACUUGCCCAAUUUUGAGAGACACCAGUUCUGGAGAGAGAUAUCUAGGGAUGAGUUUUAUAGUCAAGCCCGAACCAUCGACAUGGAACACCCCACUCUUAGGAUGUUCCACAAAUGGCUCGGGUACAAUCUUUUCCAUCGCGAUGAUAUUAGAAAAGUAAGAGUAGGAGACUUACAACUUCUUUGUGCUGCUAUAAAUAAAAUACCCACUUCACCUGUUACUCUUCUGGUUUCUCAUUGGCUCAGUAUACCUAGUCUUCAGGGACCUGUCGGUUGUAUUUCACUCAUCACACGUCUAGCUUCUAGUCUUAAUUUACUAGAAAACUCGUCAUUGGAAUUCAUUGACGAGUUACGGAUUUAUCAUGGCUAUGACACAUUUAGGCAAGCUCGGAUGCUGAAAAAAGAGGGGAACGUAAUGUAUAUGUUAUACGAUAAUAAAGGCAAGAUUCGGUUACUGUUGACGGUCCUUAAUGCUCACAUUUAACCGUCAACUAUUCAUGAAAAAGGAUCCAAAUGCAACUGACACCUAGACUUAGGGUUUCAUCUGACAGAUUUCCACGAGUUUUGGUGUUUGUCUAUUUCUGCAGGGGGUUAUCAGGAAAUACGAAGGAAAGGCCCACACAUUGGGUUUACAUAGAGAAUUAAUGUGUGUGGUAAUUUUCCAUAAUCAGGAAGACUCUAGAAGCAACUGGACUGAAGCGGAGCCGAGACGGGCCUGGGACCAGGGCGCCCGCCCUUGAUCCUAGGGCGCCCACCCUGGUACAAGCACUAAUCACAGAAUGGAGCACACCAUUACAAAGAUCUCGUCGAGCUGAUCGAAAUGCAUAUAUUAUUUGCUAUAUUUGGAGUUCGGAAUCAAGAGAUAUUAAUAAAAGAAGGACUCUACAUAAAAGAGCUACGGGAUUAAUUGGGCCCAAAUCAGAUUUUGAUCCAUUAAGGCCUAUGUGCAUUUUAAUGAGAUAUGGUGGAAAGUUAAGUACCACAUCGCCUGCUGAACCAAAAACGCACAAAGAAGGAGGACUAUAUAAGCAAGGCCCCUGGCCCCUGGAGGAGAACAUAUCAUUAUAGAGUUGAGAGGUGCCCUCGAAGGAUAACCUUUCCUCUAUAGAGAAUUAGGGCUAGACAUUCCAAUGUAGUAGAUUAGUUCUAGUCGGGAGUUAGGGAGAGCGGAGCUGCGCUUCGGUUCUGGAGUAGUCUUCAGAGUUUUGGUAUGUCUUUAUAUUUAUUGUAAGACUUAUGCUUUACUAUAUUUAUCUUCUCUAUUUACGUUUAUGCCUUUAUUAUUAUCGAGUAGUGUAGUUGUUAUAUUUUGGCAUAGGAUCUCCGUUCGCAUCGAGUGCUCUAGUUAUUCAUGGUAAUUAGAGUAGUAAUCGUUAGUGUAGACAUGGUGUCUAUACUAGAGGUUACCUGAGGUUGCACCCAGUCCUGCGGAUUGUUGUGGCAGCCCUAGGGUAGUGACAGCCCUAACGGUCGAUGUAUUCCACCUCGUUCAGAUCGGUGUUUGUAGGACCGUAGUCAGAGCUUCCCAGCCCCCUUCCAGUUCUCUUUCUGUGGUUGGUGUUCUAAUGUCCCAAAGUGCUAAUAUGUGAUUGCUAUAUUUAUUCAUUCUUUGUUAUCAUAGAACUGAAGUAAUAGAGAAGUAUACAGGAACUUAGGUCACUCCCGUUGUCCUCCCGCUAUGGCUAUCUAUGCAUUUAUCAUUGAAUUCUCACCUUUAUAUUAUUACCUAUCAUAUACCAUUUACCCCUACUUUAGUCUAGUUGGUUUAUUAAAUUAGUAGAUGCAUGAUAGUAAGUUAUCAGAUUCUUUGACCUUAGCUUCCCAGUGGUAAAAUAUAAAUAACGAUACCUGGAAUACUCCCGGUAAAAUGCUACGAUGAUGUUCUGUGCGCUUGCAGAAUUUUUCUUAUUCUUAUUGCACUUAACGAAUGUCAACAAGCAUUUUUGGCGCCGUUGCCGGGGAAGCAAUUGGUGUGAAGAUUUUGAUAAUGAUCUUGAUGUCAGCUAAUUUAAUGUAUCACUAGCUUUAGUAGGUUUAUUGUAUUUAUCUUUUCUGCAUUUGUUUUUAGCAUAUUUAUUUCUCCAUAACAUAUUUAUCUUUCUGCAUUAUUAUUGCAUUAGAAAAUAUAAUAAAAAUAUUUUAUAUAACUCAUUGCAUCUUAAAUACUAAAACCCAAUGUGAAUAAAUUGUGUGGUGUGUAAAAGCCCACACGGAUAUUCACCGUGGUGGAAUAAAAAAAAUAUAAAUAUAAAUAAACAUGCAUUCAUCCUGUUCCAUUUUGUUUUUGCUUCAUAGAAAGAUUAAAACCCAAAAAUAUAUAUAUUGAGAAAGAGAUCUUAUUGAAACUCUGCUUAGAAAAAAGAAUUAAGAACAAUCUAAAAAGCUUGGACAACAAAGGCUUAAGUGGCCAACUACUAAUGUUUAAUCGACGCCACAAGUUGUAUUGUCUAUUUGAGUUUAACAUGAUUUAAAAAGAGAAUCCCCAAUGAUCAAGAUAUCUUCAUCAACUUGGAAGCGCUGCAAUCAUCACUAACAUUUUGAAGCUCAAGAAUAUUGAAGAACAUCUGUGUUGUGCGGAUUCAAGAUUAAAGACUAUGUCAACAUUCAGCUCUGGGGAAGCAAUCCCAUUAUCUUCGCGAUUCAGGCUUGAAGUAAAAGAGUGAUGAAUAACAACAAGGUAUGUCCAACCAAUCAUCAUGCAACAUUGAAUUAAAUUCAUCCAAACUUGACUUGUUCAAGCUGGGGAGAAUACCUUACACAAAAACAUCCUUUGCCAUGUUGCUAUGUUGGUUGUCCCUACCCUUAAGACAUGCUCAAUUUGUUAAAAACUAAUCAUUCUACUUCAUCCCCACUUGAGUAGAUCUCUAUAAUGUUGUCAUGCUACCUUUGUAUAUUCACAAGUAAGUGUUGGUUUGAAAGUACUCGACAUACUUCCAUUGGCAUUUAAAUUAAGCAUGGUGCUUAGGUUAAAUAGCCUUCCUUAAUCCAAUUAGACAUGGAGUAUAGUUUGGUUAUUGAACUAAAAACUGCUUGUGUAGACACUGGUAUAUUUUGUUGGACUAACCCCUACAGGAAAAUUUUCAAUAUCGAUUUGAGAAGUCCUGAGAUAAAUUCAGAAUGGAGAUAAAGAGGGAGACACAUGAAAUUUAACAAUUUGCACAAGAAAGACAUAGCUCGAUAAUCCAUGGAAUGAGACGAAAAGUGCCACAAACAAGAUGCACAACCAUUGAGAAAGAAAAGCUUCCACAAGGUGAUAUUGUACCAUCACUCUUCAAUUAAGGUAACAUCUUAAGGUAUGUGACUGUCACUGUUAUAAGCGUCUCCUUGAUUCUGGCAUGCACACGGAUAAAAAGACAAACAUAUAUGAUUUAUAACUCCAAAUUAACCAACCCAAUUGAUUCAACAUGUUUAGUCCUUUAAUCUUUGUUCCCGGUACUACCUUCUUGAUCCCACACUCUUAACCAUAUGAGCUAAAAUGUUGCACAUCCGAUCUUUAGAAAAUGAUAGUCAUGUAAAGAAAAAAACAUUUACUUAGAUAGAUUAUCUUUCCAUAAGGUUGAGUGAUCUGAUCUGACAAAUGUUUUAAAUGCUACACUCAUGAUCUUAUCAUCCAUCAACUUUGUCUUGCUCACUAUGCUUAAGGUUAGAGAAGAACAAAUACACUUUUGGUUCUGUUGGUGUUUUCCAGCAACAGGACCCAUGCACUUGAUCUCUGCCUUGUCUCUAUGAGCAGGAUACACUUCGAGCAAAACAUGGAGGAGUUUUCCAACUCCCAGACUCUACCAAGUGAAGGACCUAGAUCUACGAGCACAAACACACCGAGGAGGAUGCUAAAACGCCGCACUUCGAACUGCUGGGAAAACAAAAAGCAUGGGUGACACCGUAUCAAGAGGUGUAGAUGUCAAGGUCCACACCUAACUCAAAUGACGCACCUAAAGAAUGAACACGGUGAGAAGUCUUGUUCAGAAGACUUAAAACAUUGAACCCUUACCGAAAGGUAAAAUCGGUAGUUAUCCAUAUUUAUCCUUUGUGCAUUCUUUUUUUUCUUAAAUUAUUUACUUUCCUUAAAUAGCUUGUUAGUUAAUCAUGCUAUCUUGAAAAGAAAAUAAAAAUGUUAAAAACAGUAAGCCCCAUGUGAGUAUGCUCAUGGCAUAAAACCCAUUCACUGUGGUGAUGUGAAAAUAAAAUAAAUAUAUUCUUGUCCUGUAAAAAUGAAAAUAUAAAAAUAAAUUUAUGAUCCUACUAAAGAGAGUAAUAUUUAUUAGAGGAAGCUCAACAUGAUAAAGGCUAAGAGAUUUUAUGCUAACGCUUAACCAGUUCCACAAAGCUUUGUUGUCUAUUUGAGCUCCACACAAUUCAAGGAUCAAGGAAGACUAGCAGACGGAGGAUAUCCUAAUCGCUAUUAGGGUGCUGCCAACAUUCAAAUACACCUACGCCACCAGCUAGCUACAUCAGAAGAAAUUACGUUAAAAUCCAGCUUGGGGGAGAGCACUCCCAUUUAUCCAGCUAAGUGUUUCUACUCACAUUUAUACUUUACUCAAAUAAUAACAAAAUUCAUAAUCAUAAAAACCCAAUUAAACAUUUUGUGCUUAUAUAUAUCUUUGCUUAGUUUGCUAAAUAAAUAAAUAAAGUGUCUAUGCCAAACUGAACUUCAAUGAUAAACUCUUACAUGGGUAUGAUGAAUAGUUGCUCUACCAAGUACCUAGUUUUCAAAUUUGAGCUCUCUCUCAAGUUUAGGCAUAACUGUUAUAAUUUAAAUCUUGCUCUAAAUUUGAAUUUGCGGGAAGAGUACCUGAUCAAAAGUCUAAGUCAUUAACAGAUAUGAUAUGGGAAGGUUGAGCUGCUGUUUAUCUGUUUCUAGAGAUGCUAGAAUUCUGGAGAAUUUUAUCUUUGAAAAUCUUUAAAAUGUUGCAUGAUGAGUUCCUGUAUGAUGAGUGUUUAAAAUCCUACCACAGCCAUAUAUACAAGCUUAUUAGACUAUGAACCAUACAUUUACUUUUUACUGCGUAUGAGCAUUGAGUGUGGUCAAGCUGUGUAGACCCAUAGAAGCUUGUCAUGCGGUUAAAGUUAAGAUUCACUUGCACGUUCACUCAUACAUGUUGCUUCUACUCCAGAAGUACGCAUCCACAUACAUCCACUCAUUUCCAUAUCUAGAUUCACCCAAAAUUAUUCUACUCCUAUCUAGGAGAGAAUAGCCAAAAACAUUAUCCUAUCUCUGUUAUUCCCCGUGAAAUAAAUGCUCGAGAUAUUUUGGUUACUACCACUUGCUACAUUAUUCUAGGAGGGUGAGUGCUCUUAAAAAAAAGUGAAUACGAGGAAAUAAAAGGGGCAAGUGCCUGAAACCUCAAAAAAAAGAGAAAAAGUGAGACGAAAGGUAAAAAUGGACAAGUGUCGGACAGUAGAAUUAGGGGUACAAGAUACCCACCUGAGAGAAAAGAAAAAUAAAAUAUAGAGCGUCUCAUUCCCCUCAAAAGCCUCAAGUGCAAGAAAGGUAUGUACUCCCUGAAAAGAGCAAAAGUAGAAUUAGACUUUCACCAUUAUUUUCACCAUUAUCACCAUUCAUUCGCCACACAUGCACAUCUUGAUUUGACUUAUUGACUUGUUCUUGUGGAUCCAUGGUUUGACUAUGCAAUAAGUGUCUUGUAAGUAUGUCUUAGCUGUCUCCCACCUAUGAGCUCUAGAUAUCAAAACCUUAUUAGAGUAGGGUGAGAAAGAAGGCAAUACUACUAUGCCUCAUACCAAAAAUACCACAUACUUUGAGAGAAGGCAUACACCAUUACUGCCUUGGUAAGGAUCCAGAAAUACCACAAAAGAGAGACUAGAGAGAGUCAUACAAGAAAUCUCUGAGUUUUAUUUAAAAAUCUGCAAAAACUCCAGAGCUAUAGUUAAUUGAAGAACAAGAGACAUGGUGCUUGAUUAGACCGUUCUAUCUUUUAACUGCUCAAGACAUAAGUGACGGUUGCAAGCCCCAUGGUGGAAGGUAAAAUGAGUAAGUUUAAAUCUUAACAGUUUACCCUAACCUAGAGAUGAGAUCUUGUUUGAACGCAUGUGUACCUUUAAGGCAUGAAACCACUGCAGAAACUCUUGAGUCCAUCUUUGCUCAAGGACGAUCAAAGGUUAAGCUUGCGGGAGCUUGUUGAUGGUCCUUAAUGCUCACAUUUAACUGUCAACUAACCAUGAAAAAGGAUCCAAAUGCAACCGACACCUAGACUUAGGGUUUCAUCUGACAGGUUUCCACGAGUUUUGGUGUUUGUCUAUUUCUGCAGAGGGUUAUCAGGAAAUACGAAGGAAAGACCCACACAUCGGGUUUACAUAGAGAAUUAAUGUGUGCGGUAAUUUUCCAUAAUCAGGAAGACUCUAGAAGCAACUCGACUGAAGCGGAGCCGAGACGGGCCUAGGACCACGGCACCCGCCCUUGAUCCUAGGGCGCCCGCCCUGGUACAAGCACUAAUCACAGAAUGGAGUACACUAGUACAAAGAUCUCAUCAAGCUGAUCGAAAUGCAUAUAUUAUUUGCUAUAUUUGGAGUUCGGAAUCAAGAUAUAUUAAUAAAAGAAGGACUCUACAUAAAAGAGCUGCGAGAUUAAUUGGGCCCAAAUCAGAUUUUGGUUCAUUAAGGCCUAUGUGCAUUUUCAUGAGAUAUGCUGGAAAGUUUAGUCGCACAUCGCCUGCUGAACCAAAAACGCACAAAGGAGGAGGACUAUAUAAGCAAGGCCCCUGGCCCCUGGAGGAGAACAUAUCAUUAUAGAGUUUAGAGGUGCCCUCGAAGGAUAACCUUUCCUCUAUAGAGAAUUAGGGC